GCUUGGCCUACAGAGAGAUAAGAUUUGAGGUUUUAAUGUGAUCUAGAGCUUUUAGCUUUUGAAAUACUUAAUUGACCAUGCUUUGAGUUUGAUUUAGGUUUCAACCAAUCGCGAGUUCAUAAAAAUAGAGCUAAACAAGUUUGAAUUUUACAAGACUUGGCUCAAAUGACUUCAAAAGCUUGCUGAAAAUUUCUCCUUCCUCAAUUUGUCAAACCAAAUCCCAACCGAACCCUCUUCUGGCUGUCCAUGGCAUUUGGUUUUUCUUUAGGGAUAAUUUCAAAAACCUCCCUGAGAUCACUAACAAUUUUACUAGCCUCUCCUAAAGUUUUCAAAAUUACACAAACCUCUCUUGAGAUUAAAGUUUGAAUAACAAAAUUAGUUAAUUUAAAAAAAAGUAACAUUAAAAAAGUACUUUAAGUAGGGAGAUGAAACUUUGAUUUCAUAAAUACCCCUUAUGCAUGAAUAUAAGUUGUAAUAGUAAAAGAAUAAAAAUAAUUAAGAGUUCGAAACAAUUAAUACACACAUUUCACCAAUUAAAAAGUUCACAUUUAAUGAAUUAGUAACAUAAAUAAGCAACAAAAUUAUACUAAUGAUCACAAGAUUCAACAAAACAAACUAGUCAUCUCUUUUAGUAUAAUGUUUGCUAUGAUUUUUGUGAUUUUAAAUAGAAAAAUUUUCAAAAUUUGCCUUUCUUUUCCCUCCAUUCUAUGUUUGCUACGAAGGGAAAAGAAAGACAAAAUUUGAAAUUUUUUUUAUUUAAAAUCACAAAAAUCCCCACCAAGGAAAGUCGCAUCAUUUUAUUUCUGACUAUUAAGGAAAAAACCCCACCAAGGAGGCUCGGAUAUAAAUUCAAAGCCAAUCUUAAUCUAAAAGGUCCACAGGUUUAUACAUUAUGCACUAUUUAGAUCUAUGUGUUAAGACACUAUUUCUACCCCUUUCAAACCAAUACGACACACUUAAGCCUGCUCAUGAACCUAAUCCAGCCAAAGUACACAUGUAACACAUCUUCCGCUUUCAUGUUCUGGAGAGGGAAAGAACCAGACAGUUCCUCUUCAUCUUUCCCUAAUGUUGUGAGAUGUUGGCAGCCAACUUUGUAAAGAAAUUGUUCAUUAUGCCAUCUCCAAAGUGAGCUUGAAAGAUGGGUUCAUCAAUAGCUCUCAAGCUCCUAGCCCUGUAAUUGGCAUUGGUGUUUGCAUCGCAAUCCGCCGCCCCCGCACCACCAAUCACUCGCAGUUGAAUGGUAUCCAGAUAACUUAGCUUAAGAGCACGAUUUUUCUCAAUGAUGGUCUUUACUUCUUCCAAAGAAGGCCGGUAAUGUGGAGGUUGAAAGUAUCAAGUGCUUUUUCCUCAAUCAAUCCCUAUAUAGUUUUACACAGAUGGUAUCAUAUAUUCACCCAGAUUGUAUAUAGAUUGAGUGUCUAUGAAUCAUUACCUCUGAAACCAUGUCAUUCAUUGUCAUCCCAAGUAAGUCCUGUAUGUUAUAAGCCACAGGAUCAUUGAUUUUAGGCGCCAAGGUCACAAAUAAGUGUCCCUAGACACCAAUUCAUCAGCACGGGUACUCAAGAAGUUUGUAAAAUCUUUGUCAAAUUGAUCCAAAUAUGCAUCAUGCACACUCUUAGGACUUGUUUUACCUAUGUAAAAUAUUGCCUUUGUUCAGUGGCAACCCUUCCUCAAUCACCAACCACUCGGGACCUGCAGGAGAGAGGUAGAUAGAACAAGAAAAAAAACCAGAAAAAACUAUUACAAAUAGUAAUAAUGUAAAAAUUAUAUCAGGCAGUCAGGGGUGUAGAUAGAUAGAUAGUAAUGAAAAUUAAAAUAGUGAGGGUGUGUAAAUACCAAAAUAGCAGUGUGUGUUAAAGACAAUAAAGUAGGAGAUUGGCGAACCUGAGAAAGCCAAUGAGGCUGUAAGAAGAGUGUAUAAAAUGCAUGGAGUUGUCAGGAAAAAGUCUGCCAUAAAAAGAGCCGGGCAUAGCUGCAAUGAAGCAUGACCUUGAACCACGUCCAUAUGAUUCCUCAAGUUUUUGAUAAAAACUGGGCAAUACUUUGAAAAUGGAGUUGAAAUCAUUGGACACGAGAUCAUUCAAGAAAACUUGAAUAUUAGGUAGCUUAAGAAUGUUCAAGUUAUGGCAUUCUCUAUUAAUGCUAUCUAUAAUGCUUUCAACUGUUAACAACGUAUUCGUCCCGUUGCACAUCCCAGAUCUGCUACUCUUAUGCACUCUGCCUCCGCUAGGUUGGCUUGACAAAACCCCUGAAUGCUCCGAUUGAGUGCAUGGUUGACAUUCAUAAACACUGAUCUGUGAAGGGUAGAAACUGAUUUUAGAGAUUAGUCACAGAAUUAUAUAUAGAGGACCGGAGAGAAAUCAUUUGGACUUCAUCUGAUAUGUUGAAAUGUUGAAUUUUUAGCGUAGCUUUCGUCAUCUUCCCCUCCUUUCAUGUGAAGAAUUUGUUCCAUUUCCAGUACCUUGCUGCUACUCUGCAAUUUGGAGUUAUGUUAAAGGUGAGGAGGGUAAGGGUAGCAGUAGUAACAAUCUAGCUAUUGCUAUACAUGUCAAGGACAAGGGUACUUGGCAGUUGGCAGGAAAUAAAAUGAGAAUUGAUCAGAAACAAUAUUCAUCAGUAGUUAAGGGAAUAUUGAACGGCUUAAACUACAAUCAAACUCAAUGUGUGAAUAAGAUAUUAAGCUACAUUAGUACUAUGCUUGACCAGUGAAAUGAUUUUGACCUGAACUACAUAUGAAAGUCACUAGAAAUAUUUGUGGGAUGUCAAAUAUCUUCUGUUUUAAUCUGCUUUACUCUCUGACAUAAGCAUUUGCCAAGCAUCACUAUCGUUCAACAUAUGAUUAAGUAUAUAUGUUGCUCAUGUUCUUCCUAAGCAUGCUUUUGUCAACCGAUCAAAAUGAGUGGGAGCAUGAUGCUCCAACUUAACUGGUUUUGCUCCUUCUAUCCAACCUUAAUUGAUGGCAAACUCUAAAACUAAUAUAUCAAGAUAACUUCACCGAAUGAAAAUCUUGUAAGAUGAGAAUAGUUGGAACAAACCUAUUUAGAAGGUCAAAUUAAUCAGUAGUCACUAUUUUACCAGAAAGAAAUUGAAAAUACCACUAGAUUUGCUUACUUCUGUCUCUUUAUUAUGGUAGAAGACACCACAUUCUUGACUAACUUAGGAGUUCGAUGAUUUUCUUUGGGUUAAUCUAAAAUUCCUUACUAGUUUUGUUCAUGUUACCCCCGUUUUGGAGCAAUGACACCCCGAGAGGCACACAUAUAUGCUCUAUUUGGUUAGUUGAUGAUGGGGUGUUUCUACAAAAACUGUACAUAUUAAUCGUUUGCAUCAGCAACAAAAUUCAAUAGCUAUUCCUUCGUUCAGUGCUCAGAGAAGUGAUCUAGCCUUUUAGCCAAUUAACGAAUUUUGACUUCUUGAACAAAGUAUAUGAAUGUGACAAGCCUGAGACCAAGAAAACAAGAAAUUCAUUUUCUAUUAAUAUCAAAUCGAGAAAGUUGCCAAACAGUAAGGAGAAUUACUGGCUAAAUGGAAAGUAUGAGCAGCGGAACUUUCUCCAUCGAGUCAAACACUCUAAAGACAGCUUUCAUCUCCAACUUUAACAUCAUAAUAUUCCAUAUACAAAGGGGAAAAAAAAGAAGAAAUCUAGUAGAGUACAUCCCCACUACCCUAAUGCAAAUAUAAUACAUACAAUCACAAAACAAAAUAUAAGGGAAAUGCUAAGAAUAAAGUUGGAGAAAAAAAAAAAAAAAAAAAAGAUGAAGAAAGAUAAGUACUUGCCUUUGAAAGUAUAAGAACUACAAAAUCAAAGCAAAUACAAUAUUAGAUUUAAAUCUCAACCUAGAACAUUAGUAAAUUGCAGAAAUAAUAAAAACAAAAACUAUUGUAGAUUAAGAAAUCAAACCUGCGCAUAUGGUUCAGGCACAAAACUGAACUUUAUUAGAAGAAUUUGAGAGAUUAAUGGUGAGAUGAUGAAGGGAGGAAUGAUUGAUGUGAGAAUUCAUUGAAGGAAAUUAGGUAAAAAUUAGGACAAAAGAAUGGAAGAAGUCUUGACUGUUGAGCUUGCCGAUCAGUAGUAAUAAUUGGGCUAGGUUGCACCUUCCAAGACUCUUGAAUAUUUUAUCCUUUCAAUGCAUAGCUGUGCUGGUGUUAAAAUAUUUUAAAAAGUUUAACUCAUAUAUAAUCAUUUGAGGCUGGUGAACAUAAGACAUUGAUGAAUGUGCGUGAAGAAGUAAACUACUGAUCGAGGUUUUAUAAGCAAAUAUAUCUAUAUUUGAUAAGUAGUCAAUGUAUGAAAGCAUAGGGAAGAAGAAAUUAUAUUGUAAAAGCAGGGGUGAUAUAAAUAUAAUAUUUACACCCUUGAGGAGUUCUGCACCCAGAUUUUGUGAAUUUCUUUCCAGUAUAAUAUAUUCUUCCACAUUGCCUAGUCCAUCACCAUUGUAGCCCAGAAUGUCAAAAGCACCAGCACCACCACAAGCACAAUCCAGAGGCUGCUCAACGAAAUCUACUUCUCAUGUGCUUGUCAUCAAAAAGCUGCCUUUGAGGGUCCAAUUUUGUUAGUAUAAGGGCAUCCACAAUGGAGUGUAAUGAUGCGUGUAAUACCUGUCAUGACAUGGAUUCAUUAUACGGUCACCCAUUGUGCCGUAUAAUACCCAUUACAUGCAUUAUUCUGAUGAUACGUACGUGUAAUAGGUGGGCUAGUGCCUUUAGACCAAUUUUUUUUAAGUCUAAUUUUUUUGAAGUCACAACGGACAAAAUUUAUACCGGCAAGGAAAAGUUAGUAACAUUCUUUUUUUUUUUCCAAUGGUUAUGUUUUAAUUCUCUAUAUAAACACAACACAUUCCUUCUUUUUUUCAUAUCUUAUUAUCCUACUCUAUUAUUCCUUUUACUCUCUCACUCAUUUUCCUCAACCUCUUUGCACAAUUUUUUAAAAAAUUUCAAUAGUUUGUGAUUAUGGAUGAGAAUUUUAGUAGUUUUACAAAUAUGUUAAAUGCUCCAAAUAUAGAAAAUUCAUCCUCCUCACAAAAUCAAAACUGCCAAAAUUUUUCAAAUUACCCAAAUUACCCAUUUUCUGGUAUUCCUACAAAUGUGCAAAAUUAUGUAUAUCCCCUAAAUUUAUCCAAUUCCAACUAUCCAUCAAAUUUCCACAAUCUACCAAAUUUUUCAUACCCAAUUCCCAUGUAUCCUCCACCUACUUAUUUUAAUCCAAAUAUGGGAAAUCACUACACAUCGGGGUAUUAUAACCUUGGUAUGGGUUGUGGAUGCUCAAAAACUCCGUCAGAGAUAAGGAAGGAUUUUGAUUUCGUCAACCAACAAGAAAAUACUGCAUCAAUAGAAUCAAUGUCGGACUCUCAAUUCCUACUGUAUUCAACACAACGAAGAAAAACUGUAAGCUAUGGAAAACUUAGCAAAUAAGUUAGACAAUUAUAAUUUUCGAAGUGAUUAUGAAAUCCUAUUGAAGGAUACCACAGGCAUGUCCGAGCAGCAGCUUAAAAUUCAUGAGCAUACAUGUUCCAUCCUAAAAGCCACUUAUAAUAUUCCUUAGUUUAGUUUUAAUUUCAUGGUUAGCAAUGUAAUUUUUAAAUUUUGCAUAUGUGUUGUAUCAUAUUAAUCACUUGCAUAGUAAAUUUAUGGAGUAACUAGACACAAGUUAUGAAAUCCGGCCAUGAAAGUAGAAGUCUUUAGGGUAAGCAUAAAAGUAGAUACAAGCCAGUGCCAUUGUUAGUAUUAAACGCUAGAAUUUUCAAUCCAAAGCUAUUUUGUUUUCUUCUUUACCGUCCCAUACUUCCUUGAUCGCUAAGCAAAUUUUGAUCAAAAGCAGCAGGAGGCUUUUUUUUUUUUUUUUUUUUGCCGCUCGACUCUUUGGUAUUCGCUUUUACCUUUCCUGCAAUUCAGUUUAGCAUAUAUACUGCCAAUUAGCUUUUAUGUUCUCUAUCAUAACCCGUGAAUUAAUUUAUUUGCAUUCCCACAUUAUUUCACACCCAAUUCUGGUCUUUAAACCUGCUUCACUUUUUAAUAGAAGCAGUUAGCAGAAGUCCCAUUUCGAUACAAACAAAAAUGUACAAACAAGUGUCACAUGGUAGUAUGGUACUAAUGAUGCCUGUAAUUUCAAGCAAAAUGAAAUCAAUGUUGUUGAGAUAUGCCAACUUUUUCUAUAGAUUUUAUUAGAUUACGUUUAAUACUAGAAUAAUUUAGUUAGUAGUUAAAUAAAUAUUGUUGUUGGAAUAUUUGUUAACUAAAAAUCAUAUGGUUUGUUAACAAAUAUUUUAGCUAAGAUUUGUUGAGUAGGAGAUUAUGUUAUCAUCAAGUGUUUGUUGAGAUUUUUAGGAUAAUUGUUAGUUUGAUAUUUUGUUAGUUGUUUCAUGUAAUUACUAUAAAUAGUAAGUUAUGUUAUCAAGUUUUUUUUUUUUGCAACACUAAGCCAUUGUUUAUUAAUUCAUGCUCGAAAAAAACCAACAAAGUGGUAUCAGAGCUUACGUCUUAAUGCUUAUGUUGUUUUAUGAGAGUGAGUGCUUUGUAAGUUCAAAGUCAUGAUAGGAAAGAACUUUUUGUCAAAUGUUUCAAUUUUUAGUGGUGAAACUUACCAAAUUUAGACUAUUAAAUUUUGGACUUAUUGAUAGUCAAUAAUCUAUGGGAUAUGGUAGACACAAAUUUUGUAUCGCCAGUAUUUGAAAAAUCGAUGGAUGCAUAGAUUAAAGACCAUAGAGUUGCAGUUAGACAAAGAUCCAAUACCAACAUUCACAUAUCAUUUGAUGCCGUUUUACAAGGAUAAUGGCUUAUGAUUUGAUUGAGAAUAACUUAUUCUCAAUUAAAAUGAAAAGAAAAAGUUUCACUAUGAAUUGACAAUUCUGAAGUAAAGCAUGGUGAAAUCAAGAAUUCAGAUUUUGAAAAAAUUUAAUAGGAGAUCAUUGAUGAGUUAAGAGGUAUCAAAUUGAUUCAUGAUAUUUAUCAAGAUUAUAAUAUUGUUGUUUUUGAGUCUACAAGUUUUGAUGGUAAUGACAAAAUGAAGAACUAUGUAGAAUUUCAUAUUUAUAGUACAAGUUCAAAUAUUGUCGAAUGGUGUUCCACUUUGAACCUAUGAAAAGGUUAUUUGGAAACAUCAAAAAAAAAAAAUCUUUUAUUUGGAGUUUGGCAUGAGAAGACAAAAGAAGUGGAUUGUUGCAAGACUAAUCUUUAGCUUGCAUAAAAAUCCAAAAAAAGAAGUUCAUUGCGAGGCUAAUCACCAGUUGUAGAGUUUCUUAUAAAGUCUUCUCCAAAACAAGAUCCAAACAUUUGAGAAGGCAAUUCAAAAUCUGUAGCAAAAGUGGCAAGAAGGAGUGUUGAGAUAUGUCAACUUUUUUGACAGAUUUUAUUAGAUUAUGUUUGAUAUUAGAAUAAUUUAGUUAAUAGAUAAAUAAAUCUUGUUGUUAGGAUAUUUGUUAACUAAAAUCAUAUGGUUUGUUAACAAAUAUUUUAAAUAAGAUUUGUUGACUACGAGAUUAUGUUAUCAAGUGUUUUGUUGAAAUUGUUUAGGAUAAUUGUUAGUUAGAUAUUUUGUUAUUUUGUUUCAUAUAAUUACUAUAAAUAAUGAGUUGAUGAAUAAAUAGCAAAAGCUCAUUUUCAGUUUCAAUACAAGUUUCUUAUAAGUUGUUUUUGCAACACUAAAGUGUUGCUUCUUAGUUUAUACAAAAAAAAAAAAAAAACCAACAAAUGUGCUAUAGUGAUUGAUUAGUACAACUAAUCCAUAAGAAAAAUGAAUAGCUUAAUCCACUUAACAGAAGAUGAGUUAAGUUCCUAUCAAUCUUUUCUCUCUUGUCAUCUUUCUCUUGGUCUUGGGCCUCUACCUUUGCUCCAUCUACCUUGGAACGGAGAUUAGACUCUUUAAAAGAAAAACCAAUUAAACUGGUUUUGCACCCUAUCCAACCUUUAUUCAUAGUCAAAAUCUGAAACAAAUAGAUGGAGACUAGCUUACCAAAUGAAUAUGUUGUAAAAUGAGAACAAUUAGAAUAAACUUAUUCCAGAAGUCAAAAUACUCAGAACGUGCUAUUUAACCAGAAAGGAAUUGAAAAAUCUAAUAGAUUCACGUACUUUUGUGUCUCCAUUAUGAUAGAAGUCACAAAAUUCUUAACUAGUUUAGGAGUUUGAUUAUUUUCUUUAGACUAAUAUCACACUUCUUUGGUAGCUUUUAUCAUGCACCUCUGUUUUGCAACAACGACAUCCCGGGCGCAUACAUUUGUUUGCAUCAUCUCAAUUUGCCACUGACAAAUAACUUUCUGUUUUAGAUCAACUUGGUAGUCGGUGUAUUGCAACGAAAUUAGUAGUUAUUUCUUUAUUGUGCGUUAUGGAAAGUGAUCUAACCUCCUAGCCUAUAAACAUGUUUUGACUUCUUGUACACAAAAACAAAAAAAAAAAAGAAGAAGAAGAAGAAGAAUACAAGAAGUGUAUCGCAGAACAUUCUGCCUGGAAAAAGAGUACAUAAAAGCACUUAAAGAUACACCUAUAUCCAGUAGCAGGCUAACAGCAGUAGGUAAUAUAAAUAUCAUAGCAAACCAUAUGUAGGAUCCUUGGGAGGCUUUCUACAAUCUGAGAACUUACAAACAUGCAGGCUCCCCUUUUCUCGCUACAACCAGUGAAUAAGAACAAUUAAUCUGAAUAUUGCAACGUUAUCGUGGCAAGAACCCAUGACGAGAAAUGGCAAUCUCAAAUGCCCGCAUUCUAUCUCCUCUUGCAAGACCAUUGCGAUCAUAUGAUGAAAUUUCAUUUAUGUCAAGGUCGAUGCAUGCCUUGACAAGCUCUUCACCAACACGUUGAGCAGCUUCCUGAUAUCAUCAAUUACCUAAAAUCAUAUCUAAAUUUGAUACAGUUAAACCUCAUUUGGUCAAGGACAAACUCAGCUUAUCCCAUUUAAAAGCAUUGAAAAGAAAGAAUAAAAAAGGAAAUUUUCAACUAUUUAUAUGUUUCCAAUUGCAUCCAGUUUACCGAAAUUUUGGUGCAUAAUUUGGAAGGGAGUACAGAAUUGUGGUGUUAAUUUGGGAGGGGGCACUGACAAUGGUGGUGCAAGAUGGAUCCUGGCGAAUUGAUUUCUGUAGAGUGCUUCCAUAGAACAAACACCUUUUGUUCUGAUCAUUUACUACCAUAGCAUAUAACUGCUUACCUGAAUAGAAAACUGAUAGCCUUGGAUUUGUUGUUGUGCCAUUAAACUGGUCAAAGACGCAAGAACCAUUAUUUGCAAAGAUAAGUGGAAAAGCUAGAACACUAAGCAAGUUAUUCCAUAACUUAAGAUUGCAUACAAGAAUGAAACCUGCAUGAUGAGCUCAUUGCAAAUGAGUUCCUCAAACUCCACAAACAAAUAUCUGAAGUCCUACUUGUCAAUUUGCCUUUCCAUGUAUUCUGACUUGCAUUAUUGGAGGUUUGGUACUCAUUAUGAUGAGUUAAAACAACACCAAGUGACUACUACUGUUAUUUAAGAUAUAUUCAAGGAGCUGAAUUUGUAAUGAGACAACAAGACAGACAAUUUGGAAAUCGAUGUGCCCAAUAGAAGUGAAGAAAACUCAAAUAAAGCUGCUAAAUCUUUUGAAUGUCCUCAUUCCCGGAAAUUCUAUGCCUUAACAGCUGUUAAGCCUAACCUUGAAUAAGGUUCUGAGUUGCUCAAUACUUAAGAAGAUUAUUCCACAGUAUUUUUGAAGGAAAAAGUUAUUCUUUGUAUGGUGAAUUGCUCUAACCAAAUUGUUCUAAUUUACGAAGGGAAGAAGAUGUUGUGGGGGCAUCUUUUAUGCAUUUAAGGUUGACUAGUAAUAGUUCACGUGCUUUGCACGUGAUUGUAAUAUCUUAAAAUAUAUUAUUUUUCAGAUACUAAAUUUUUUAUGAAAUUUUGAUCAUCAACAUCAUAAUAAUAGUAUUUUUAUGUUAUUUAUUUUUUAGCUAGUUACUUUAAAAUUUUAUUAAAUGAAAAGAAACAGAAAACAUUUCAAUAUAGUUGACAUAUCCUUAAGUUUGAAUUUGAAAUCAUGAACCAAAACACUUUUUGAUUUAUAGCUUGAACUCUAACAUAUCAAAUAUUGAUAAUAUCAUGUUUACCAAAAUUAUUGUAUAUUCAUGACUCUAUUGCAUAUAAACCACAAUCAUCACAAUUUUUUAUAAACGAAGAAUAUAAUUAAGUUAGAAAAAUAAACAUAAAUGUAAUUUGAAUUCUUUGUAUUAUGUUAAUUCUAUGUUUGUCAAUAAUGGAGUAUAAAUGAUCCAUCACGUAAAUUUUUUUUGACUUGUACAUUCUAUCAAUUGAAAUUUUAUAGAUAGAGAUAGUUGGAGUUUUUCUAUUUUCCUUUUCUUUUAUUCAUGUUUUUAGCACAAUCCAAUGUGAAGCAAGAGCAACAAGUCUACUUUUUUCAUAUGAGCACAAUAUUUUUGGUUUUAAUAGUAGUUUUUUUUAUGAUAAUGAAAUUGGAAUGAGAAUUGUGGCCUAAUUAAUAAUUUUAAUAUUAAUUUUUUGUGCAGUGUUUUAGUUUUUAAUUGCUAACUUUGAAUCCAUAACUGCUAUCAUUAUUAUCAAUUAUUGGAAUGCAUUAAAUUUGUUUAAUUACAAUUGUCACCAUAAAUGAAAUUUAAUUAAUUUUAAAGCUUUUCAUUUCAUAACCGCUUCCAUUAUUCACUAAUAUUGCAAUACAAUAAAUAUAUGUAAUCAUUAGAAAAAUAAGGGUAUUUUGGAUAUCACCAAAAACAAUUUGGAUAUCAUUUUCAUUUUAUCAUUCUUCAUUUUAUAUGUACUCUUAUUAUAAUUCUUAUUUUAUCAUUGGAGAUGGUUUCUGACUUGAUGGAUGGAUUUGGUUUGUUCAAACCAAUACAAAUGAAGUAUUACUAUAUUAUUGUCAAUAACAAUGUUUGUCUUUCCUUGGAUAUUAGUGAUUUGGAUGUUGUCUUUGGUAUUAUUUGAAUUGUAUUCUAACUUUUUAAUUCAUUUUCUAUUUACUUUAUGUCAUUUUAUAAAUAGUUUUCAAUCUUAUUUUAGUUUUUCUUGUUUUGAUUGGUUGCUAUUAAUGAUAAUAGUGGUUUGUAUGGUGCUAUUUUAGAUUUCUUUUUUAAGUUUAAUACUGCUAUUUCAGUUAUAAAGGUGUCAUCAUUUUUUGUAUAUUGAAAUUUUAUUGGGUGCAACAUGAAAAAUUCUUCAUAUUGGUAAAAGUGCAUAAUUGUAAAAUUGACUCAUGAUAUUUGUGUGAAGAUAUACAGAUAAAUAAGGGUUUUGCUUGUCAUUGUAUGUUUCUCCAUUUUCUAGAGAAUAUCUUUUUUUUAAAUUGAUUUUUUUUAACAAUCUCAACUAAUGACUAAUGAGAAAUUUUUCAUGCUUCAAUUAAGAAAUUUUGAUACGUAUAAUAAUAGGAGAUGGAGUCCAAGGGUAGAUAAAUAGUUUUUAAUGAGGAAUUUUUAAUUAUAAUUACCAAUACCAUUAAAAUGUAAUCAAUUGAAGUGUUUUAUUUCUUUUAAUUAGUGCCACUUAAAAUGCAAUAAUUAUAAUUAAAAGACAUGAGGGUAAUUUAGGAAUAACAAAAACUAAGAUAAAAAAGUGCUUACACUUGCACUCCCUAAUACCAACAUUCAUACUUUUUAUAUAGUAAUGAUAAUGAUAGAUAUUAAUUUAAGAAGACUUUAGCUAAAUAUGCAAUGAGAGUUCAUUUUGGGCUGCUAUAGUGAAUGUCAAUCAGUUUGGCUUGUAACAUGAAUAUUGUGACGCCCCCACUUCUCCCAAGAGCAUACCCAAGGGUAUCGGCGGCACACCUGCCUAGAUCUCGUCAGGACUCAGGCCCAUUUAUACUUAAACUAACGAGCAAUUAAUGGCUAAAAGGGCAAAUUAAAUAAAAUUCGUUUCCUUCAAUAUAUUCAAACUUACAACACAAGAAUCCAAUAUAUACAUUCAGAUUUCCAAAAUACAAGUCCAUAACCAGCCCUUGAAUUUCAUUUCCAAAGUUCUAAAAUAUCAAAAACAAGUCGAUCUCUUCAAAACAUCUCCGAUCCAGAUUCCUGUUAAGGAAAACAACUAAUGGGGUGAACAAUCGCUCAGUGAGGCCACAUAUAUAUAACAUGCGCACGUAGUUCAAGUAACAUGAUCAAGUGAUCAAAAGUAAUUGUCAUGUAGUUUCAAGUAUCGGCAAGUACUCAUAAACACAAACAAUUCAAGGAUACUGGAGCUCUCCGGAGCUCAUUUUCAGAUUAUUUGCCAUAGUCCCGAUCCAUGAACCAAGGGUUGACACUCUGUCAACCGAAUAAAUAUCCAAUCUGUAGAUCUCCACUUACUUCCCUCCAUCCAUCAUUUCACCCUCUCGGAUCCGUAACCAACAGGCAUGUAAAGGCGAUACUAUACAAGUAUGCCAAGCAAGAUCUCAAAAGAUCAAGCUUCAGGUCCCAAGGUUUACCAAGUUUUCCUGACCAAGACCUCACAAUUGGCUGCGACAUUACGAGGUUUAACCAUUGGGUUUGGGCGUCCCCACAGGUCAGGUUUUCAGAAACAAAUCAAGUUUUAGUCGAUGAGAUUUUCUUUGCAUUCGACUUCAGGUCAUGUACAUGUAAAAUCUAGUAAUUUCAUGUAAUUCAUGUAGCAAGUCAUGUAUUGAUCCAAGUAAAGGAGAUGAAGUGCGGUAAAGUACACACUUCCCUCAACAAGUAUAGUUCAUAUAACAACAAGUUCAAGUAGAGUUCAUGUAGGCAACAAAUUUCAAGUGAAGUACAAGUAAACAUGCACUGAUAGGGUGUUAAUUGUUAGUAAUUUUAUUGUUAAUUUUCCUUUUUAUCCUUGCCAAAUAUUGCUUUAAUUUGCUUUAAUUGUCAAUAUAUAUUUAUAUUUGGUAUUUGGAUAUAAUUUCAGAAAUUGGAGCAGAAACCUCUUGAGAAGAUUAUUGUGAAGCUUUACACAAUUUUGGUGGCAAACCAACGAAGAAGAAUGGAAUUGCAUUUGGGAAUUCAAUUUGGCUAGACAAAUUGGUGGGACCGCAAAUUAAAAUGGAGCAGAAACCUUCUUGAGAACAUUAUUGUGAAACUCUAUACAAUUGGCCCAUAUGCAUGGUGUAAACCAACGUCCAUUUCUUUCUAUGAUGAAAAGGAAUUGAAUUGCAUUUGGCUGGCCAACAUCUCAAUUAGGUGGGGACCGCGAAGACUGACCAUUGUGUAAAGACACAUUUUUGGUUUGCUUUCUUAUUUGUGAACGUGUGCACUUGGUCAAAGGAAACCGACAAACCAUAGUUGGCUUUGCUUUUGUUUUCGGUGGAGUUGAUUAGGUAGGGAAGGAAUGUUUUCUUUUGUGAGCGUGGAGUGAAGUUUCGAAUUGGCUUGUUUUUAUGCGGGGGAGAGCCGCACAUUUCCGCAGUCAGUUUUUCUUCUUCUCUUCCGUCUGUGAAGAGAAGUUUUUAGUUUUGGGGUGAAGAUUUCUUGUGUGUCUUGUUUUCUUCCGUCUCUUCCAUGAGACUAUUUUUAUUGUAUUAGAUUACAGAGAAUACAAUUCUUAUUUUUAAUUAUUAGUAAGAGAUAAAUGUCUUUGAGUUCAAUUGAAUUGUGUGAAGAUUUUCUUAUGAGGCGUGGCUAAUUUUCUCCUCUAGUCAAGGAUCAACGCGAAGACGCAGUCCCAAAUAUCUGUGAGAUCUAAUUAAUUUUACAUGUUCCUUAAUUUGUUAAUAUUUGCAUGUUUUCUAUUUUAAUUUCCAUGGGAUUAUUUUGUUAAUUGGAUAUCAAGGGCCGAUGUGCAAUUUGACUUAUUAAUCUCUUGUCAAAUUAAUCAAUUAAAUCCGUAAUUGUUUAGUUGGUUAAUAUUAGUGACAACUAGUAUUUUCACAUACUAGGGGACAUGCAAUCUGAUUUAAAUAACCCUCGUAGCGUGUUAUUAAUUUGGGUUAGACUUUUCUAGUUUUUAAUGCAAUUAGGAAAUUAAUUCCUACGGUCGUACCUAGGAGUAUUUCCUGGUUAGGGUAAUCAACGGUCGUACCUUGGUUAUCAAUAAAUUAAGGAAAAGCUGGUCGUUAGAGCUUAUCGACGACUAUAACUAACCUGUUAAUUAAAUUAAGUGAACCUUCUUUGCAUCAAUGAUCGGAUGAAUGGACUGUGUCUGCGUAGUUGUAUCCUUGGCUAGAAUUUAUUUAUCAUUUAUUUAAUUGCUAUUUACAAUUGUAUUAAUUAAUUAUUUAUUUUUGGUUAAUUAUUUUUAGUUAAAUUGUUUAAUUAUUUAUUUUUAAUUUCAUUUUGAUAAAAAUCCCCCGUGUCUCGAAUUUAAAAAGAAUCAAAUUUUUUCCAGUCCCUGUGGAUUUGACCCUGCUUACUACUAUACACAGAAAAUUUAUUUUUCUUAAGCAGGUAUUUAUUAUUGCACAGGCACGACACCUGUCAAUUUUUGGCGCCGCUGCCGGGGACUGGCGUUAAUUAUUUGUUUCUUUUUAAGUUCAUUUUUGUUCUAAUUUUCUGGUAUUUUUCUAGUUUAUGCCUCGUUCUUCUCGUACAGGCGAAUUAAUUUCGACCUGAAGUAGAGAAGACCGCGCGUAGAACGAGAAAAGAAACCAGGCGGCUCAGAGAAGAGCAAUACGGUAUUGCACCUCAGGACUUGAUCCAGAGGUUGAGCCGACAAAUUUGUCUGGUGACAAUUCGAGUGAUUCAGACCAAGAGAAAGUCACUAUGGCAAAUGCACGAACACUAAGGGAGUUGGCUGCUCCUGAUUUAAAUCAGCAGCCCUUGGCAUUACUUUUCCAAAUUUAAAUGAUGACACUCCCUUUGAACUAAAAUCUGGUCUAAUUCAUCUCUUGCCAUCUUUCCAUGGUCUACCAGGUGAGGAGCCCUACAAGCACUUGCAAGAGUUCGACGUCGUUUGCAACAGUAUGAAGCCUCCGGGAAUUAUAGAAGAGCAAAUAAAGAUGAGGCUUUCCCCUUCUCUUUGAAGGACUCCGCAAAAGACUGGCUCUACUACCUACCGCCUGGUAGUAUCACCACGUGGGAUCAAUUGAAGAAAAAAUUUCUGGACAAGUACUUUCCGGCGUCUCGAGCUGCGAGCCUAAGGAAAGAGAUAUGUGGUAUCAAACAACACCCAGCGAGUCUCUCUAUGAGUACUGGGAGAGAUUUAAGAAACUGUGCACCAAAUGCCCUCAGCAUCAGAUAAGUGAGCAACUGCUCAUUCAAUAUUUCUAUGAGGGGUUGCUUUUCAGGGACAGAAGCAUAAUCGAUGCUGCAAGUGGAGGGGCGUUGGUGAACAAAACCCCUCGAGGAGCAUGGGAGUUGAUUGAAGGGAUGGCUGAGAACUCACAGCAGUUUGGUUCAAGAGAGGACAUCCCGACGCGUAGGGUGAAUGAGGUGGAAACGUCCUCUAUCCAACAGCAGAUCUCCGAAUUAACAUCUUUCGUAAGACAAUUAGCUGUGGGGAGUGCUUCACAAGCCAAAGUGUGUGGGGUGUGCACUGCCGUGGGUCAUCCUACGGAAAUGUGUCCACUGGUUCAAGAAGAAACUGCAGAACAGGUGAACAUGGCUGGCCACGCCCGCGCCAAGAAAGCAGUACGACCCGUACUCAAACACCUACAAUCCUGGUUGGAGGGAUCACCCCAACCUUAGCUAUGGAGGAAAUAGGCAGUCUAACUUUGUGCCAAAUAGACAGCAAGGACACCAACAGCAGUACAUCCUCGCCCACCACCACCACCACCCUUCAAACUCAAGUCCGUCCAUGGAAGAGAUGAUGAAGCAAUUACUUGCUAAUCAACAAAAGACGGAUUCAGACCUGCAAAGCAUGAGAAAUCAACUGGGACAGGUGCAAUCAUUGCAAAAUCAAAUGAAUCAAAUGGCUAUAACAAUCAACCGUUUGGAGUCCCAAGUUCAAGGAAAGUUGCCAUCUCAACCUGAGGCAAAUCCAAAGAAUGUAAGCGCAAUGACCUUAAGGAGUGGCAAGGAAGUUCAAGGACCCGAACCGGUGAUUCCUAAAGACAAGGACGAGGAACGGAUUGAGAAAGAAUUGGAAGAGGAGGGCAGAGACAACAAAAAUGCAAAGGUACCCUCGAACCCAAUUCCUACAGCUAAAACUAAUCCACCUCCCUUUCCUAGCAGGUUAGAGAAACCAAAGAAGCAAGACAAGGAAAAAGAGGUCUUGGAGAUCUUUCGCAAGGUGGAGAUCAACAUACCCCUGGAUGCGAUUAAACAAGUACCCAGGUACGCAAAAUUUUUGAGGGACCUGUGUGCCAACCGCAAGCGGUUGAAGGGGAUGAACGAGUUAUAGUUGGGGAGAAUGUUUCAGCAAUUCUACAAAGAAAGCUUCCACCGAAAUGCGGAGAUCCAGGUAUGUUUACUAUUCCUUGUAGGAUAGGUAAUACUUUGAUUGGAAAGGCCAUGUUAGACCUGGGAGCCUCAAUUAAUGUCAUGCCAAAGUCCAUUUAUGCUUCCUUAAACUUAGGCCCUUUGAAAGAGACUGGGAUAAUAAUCCAAUUAGCUGACAGGACCAAUGCAUACCCUGACGGGUUGAUUGAAGAUGUUUUGGUAAAAAUUAAUGAAUUGGUUUUUCCAGCUGAUUUUUAUGUGCUCGACAUGGAGGAUGAACACUCCCGUGAUCCGUCACCUUUGUUGUUAGGUAGACCCUUUUUGAGCACAGCCCGAACCAAAAUUGAUGUUAAUAAGGGUACUUUGUCUAUGGAAUUUGAUGGUGAGAUUGUUCACUUUAACAUCUUUGAGACCAUGAAAUAUCCAUCCGAUUCAAAUGUUGGCUCUGUUUUCUCGGUAAAUGUUAUUGACCCUGCUAUACAGGAGGUUUUUGAAAUUGAAGGCAGGGAUGAGCUAGAGGUCGUUCUGACCAGGCACUUCGAGUCCGAAACGACCUCUGGGUAGAGUUGAGUGAAGAGCUUAAAUGCGUGAUUGGAUCGUUGCAAACGUUACCAACCACGAAGACAAGGUAUGACUUGCACCAUUUUCAUACCUGAACCUCACAAAAGGUUACUUCCAUCUGUGGUGCAGGCACCUGUCUUGGAACUAAACCGCUGCCGAAACACCUAAAUAUGUAUACUUAGGUGAAGGGGAGACACUUCCAGUGAUCAUCUCCGCGGGUUUAUCAAAGGUUCAAGAAGAGAAACUACUUCGAGUUCUUAGGGAACAUAAGCAGGCGAUAGGAUGGACCAUCGCCGACAUCAAGGGAAUUAGCCCGCGGUGUGUAUGCACCGAAUUCGACUCGAGGAGAAUGCUAAACCCGUACGGCAAGCUCAACGGAGAUUAAAUCCUCUCAUGAUGGAGGUCGUAAAGAAAGAGAUUUUAAAACUGCUGGACGUUGGAAUUAUAUUUGCAAUAUCAGAUAGCCCGUGGGUAAGUCCAGUACAGGUGGUCCCGAAGAAGGCAGGGGUGACAGUGGAAUCAAACCAAGAGGGUGAGCUCGUACCAAUUCGAAAGCCCACCGGAUGGCGACAGUGUAUCGAUUACCGAAAGCUAAAUGCCGUCACGAAAAAGGACCAUUUUCCCCUCCCUUUCAUUGACCAAUGGUGGAGCGAUUAGCAUGUCGAGCUUACUAUUGUUUCUUGGAUGGAUUUUCAGGUUAUUUUCAAAUUGCCAUCGCACCCGAGGACCAAGAGAAGACUACUUUCACCUGCCCAUUUGGAACAUUUGCAUACCGAAGGAUGCCAUUUGGAUUGUGAAUGCACCUGCUACCUUCCAAAGAUGCAUGGUAAGUAUCUUUUCAGAAUAUGUUGAGAAGAUUAUUGAGGUUUUCAUGGACGAUUUCAGUGUAUAUGGUGAAAGUUUUGAAAACUGUCUAGAUAACCUGAAAUUGAUCUUAGUAAGGUGUAUAGAAACUAAUCUCGUGCUUAAUUGGGAAAAAUGUCAUUUUAUGGUUGAACACGGGAUAGUUUUGGGUCAUGUUGUAUCAUCUACAGGUAUUGAGGUUGAUAAGGCAAAAAUAGAUGUUAUAUCUACUUUACCUUACCCCGCGAGUGUGCGGGAAGUUCGUUCUUUCUUGGGUCACGCAGGUUUCUAUAGAAGGUUCAUCAAGGACUUCUCGAAAAUUGGAGCACCCUUGUUCCAACUUUUGCAAAAAGAUGUAUCCUUCGAAUUUGAUGAAACAUGUAAGGGGGCAUUCAAUAAGUUAAAGGAGUUAUUGACCACCUCACCUAUUAUCCAACCCCCUGACUGGAACCUCCCAUUCGAGAUCAUGUGUGACGCCAGCGACUAUGCAGUGGGUGCGGUAUUGGGUCAAAGAGUAGGAAAGGCAGCUCAUGCUAUCUACUACGCAUCUCGAGCCUUGAACGGAGCUCAAUUGAACUAUUCAACCACCGAAAAGGAGCUUUUAGCAGUUGUUUUUGCCUUAGAAAAUUUCGGUCUUAUUUACUUGGUGCUAAAGUUAUUAUUUUUUCUGAUCAUGCAGCUUUGCGGUAUUGUUGACCAAGAAAGAGGCAAAACCGCGAUUGAUACGGUGGAUAUUGUUGUACAGAGUUCAACCUGGAGAUCCGAGAUAAGAAAGGGGCGAGAACUGGUAGCAGAUCACUUGAGUCGAGUACAAGUCGUCGAAGAGACAUCCCAUUGAGAGAAGCAUUCCCGAGGAGCAUUUAUUUUCUAUUAAUUCAUCUUGCCUUGGUAUGCAGAUAUUGUUAAUUUUCUAGUCACUGACAAAUUUCCUACAGGAUGGCCUAAGGCAAAGAGAGACAAGUUGAGGAGCGAUGCAAAGUUCUACAUUUGGGAUGAUCCUUACCUCUGGAAGCGGGGUGCCGAUCAAAUCAUCCGUAGAUGUGUAAGUGAAGUUGAAUUUCAAUCUAUUCUAGCCUAUUGUCACUCUUUUGCAUGUGGAGGUCACUUUGGACCGAAGAGAACGGCUCGUAAGGUGCUAGAGAGUGGAUUCUAUUGGCCAACUCUAUUCAAGGAUGCCUACUCAUUUUGUAAGUCAUGUGAUAAGUGUCAAAGAGUGGGUAAUAUCUCUCGUAGGGAUCAAAUGACUCAAACCCCAAUGAUUUUUGUUGAAAUUUUUGACGUUUGGGGCAUUGAUUUUAUGGGUCCUUUUCCUUCGUCCUUUGGUUUUUUGUAUAUAUUGCUUGCUGUAGAUUAUGUUUCGAAGUGGGUAGAAGCAAAGGCCACCGCACUAAUGAUUCCAAAGUGGUUGCAGAAUUCGUUAAGUCUAAUAUUUUUGUUCGCUUUGGGAUGCCGCGAGCAAUUGUAAGUGAUCGGGGUACUCAUUUCUGCAACAAAACGAUCGCUGCAAUUUUUAGGAGAUAUGGUGUCUUGCACAAAGUCUCUACAUCCUACCAUCCUCAGACAAAUGGUCAGGCGGAAGCAUCGAACCGAGAGAUCAAAUCAAUUCUAGAAAAGAUGGUCCGACCCGAUAGGAAGGAUUGGAGUGUGAGACUAGAGGAUGCACUAUGGGCAUAUAGGACGGCAUACAAGACACCCAUUGGCAUGUCCCCUUACCGAUUGGUAUUUGGAAAGCCAUGUCAUCUCCCGGUAGAGUUUGAGCAUAGAGCGUUUUGGGCGGUCAAGCAAUGCAAUAUGGAUAUCGAGGAAGGCGGAAUUCAAAGAAGUUGCAAUUACAAGAGUUGGAAGAAAUCCGAAAUGAAGCAUACGAGAAUGCAGUGAUCUAUAAGAGAAGAAUCGGAUCUUUCAUGACCAACAGAUCUCUAGGAAGACAUUCGUCUGCGGGCAAAAAGUUUUACUAUACCACUCCAAAUUGAAACUAUUUCCAGGUAAAUUACGUUCUCGUUGGAUUGGCCCUUUUGUUGUGACUAAUGUCUUUCAUUAUGGUGCAGUAGAGAUCCAAAGUUUGAAAACGGAGAAGAAAUUUGUGGUGAAUGGUCACCGUCUCAAGCCGUAUUAUGAAGGAUUUCCAAUUGAACGGGUGGAGAUGAUGCAACUGGAAGACCCGAUUUGCUUAGUUUAAGCAAAUUCUGGACUCCGUCUAGCCAAAGACGUUAAAGAAAGGCGCUUUUGGGAGGCAACCCAAUUUUUGAUUUUGUUGGUUUUUGUUGUGCAAUUCGUUAAAUAUGUCGUUUCUCAUCUGGGUAUUGCUUAAAUUGAUAUUUUCUCUACUAUGAUCAGGACAGGUGAUCAUGGCGUGCCCGCGCGAAGAGGGCACGCAUUAAUCUCACAAGUUCCAACUUCAAGGUCAGAGAAUGUUUUCUAAUCUUGGCAUGCCCACGCCAUAUUUGACGAACUAAAAAAAAAAUUAAUUAAAAAUUAUGAAAAACGAAAAAUAAAAAUAUUUUUCUUUCUAGCCUUUAAUUUUGUUUUCAAAAAUUCAAAUUUUUGUAAUUUAUAAAAAAAAAAAAUCAAAAUCAAAAUGCUGUUAUUUUCCUUCUUAACAUUCGUUUUAGUUUUUCAGCAAUUCAAUUCUGAAUUUAAAAAAAAAAAAAAAAAAACCCUUCUUUUUCUUCUUUUCUUUUUCUUUCUUCUUUCUUUCUUUCUUUCUUUCUUUCUUCUUUCCCUGCUUUCCCCUUUUCUCUGGUUCCUUCAACCAGAGCCGCCGCCGCCCCAGGUCUCCUCCCUUCCUCCUGCUCCACCGACGCCACCGCCGCUCCUCGCGCACCACCUAGAGCCCGCGCUCCCCGCGCGCUACCCCAACCCGUCGCCCACCACCCGCAGUCGCUGAGCACCACCAGAUCUAGCUACCGCAAACUCUUCUCUCUCACAGCCACCACCUUCAUCGCACCACUGGCUUCGUAUGCACGCGUCUGCUUCAAUCUCUUUUUAUUAUUUUUUUUUUAUUUUCUUAUUUUAUUAUUGCAGCAUGUUUUUAUUAUUUUUAUUACAGUACAUUUUUGAAAAUUUUGCGUGUUUGGACUACCUGACAUUUCUAUUCCUCCUUAGUUGGGUACUUCUGUGUUACUUUGCUUGUUUCUUUUUGCUUUGCUUGAUUUUUAUUUAUUUAGUAGAUUGAUUUGUGGUUAGUCGUGUGAUUUACUUAUUCCUUAUGCGUGCACCGAUGAUACUAGUUUAGGGUGUUUUGCAUAUCUUUAUUGAUUUUCCUUCGACACCUGUCAUUAUAUAUAUAUAUAUAUAUUUAGGUCGAAUUGUGUUUAAAUUGCUGUAAUUUGUGUCCAAUUGUGGGUAAUUUGCUGAGAUUGUUUGUUAAAUUAGGAGGUGCUUGUAAUGCUUAAAUUUGCUUAUUGAAGUAGAUUGUCUCUAAUUGCCUUGUGUGAGAGUCUUUUGUCUUUUUCAUUUCAAUUAUUACGUUGAUUGGGGUAAUUUUGAGGUGCAUUGUUAUUGCAUUUGGCUAAGUUUGGAACCACAAGUGCUUAUUGAUUGCAUUUACUAUAAGUGUUGGGGUAUUUGUAUAACUUGUGGUGAAUGAAGUGUGCAUUUUGUUGUUUAAAUUAACUAAGCGAGAGGCCCCAAUAUUUAUUACAAUUGUUAUUACAAUUUGUUGGAAAUGAUUGUCUAUUGUUCAUUGGAGUGAUAUUUGGAGAAAAUGGUGAGACUCAGAUCAACCCCAGGGGCUAAUCCACCGAUGUCUUGACGAUUUCAGGGGAGUUUCGUUGCCCUUCUUCUUACUUUUUCUAUAUAUUUGUUACAUUGAGGGCAAUGUAUACUUUAAGUGUGGGGGGUUUGGAUUUGAUUGGAGUUUCUUUAAAUUGUUGCUUUUCUUAUUGUUGUCUUGAUGAAUAAAUAUGGCAACUCACUCUUCUAUUGCUGGUUGUGAUUUAUCCUAUGAAUUUUGUUUAGAUGGCAAGUAAAAGCAUAUUAUUUGGUGAAUAUUAUGAGUUUAAUGACUUGGUGCAAAUUGUGGUUAAAUUGUUUAGGCAAUAUAAAUAUUUUACUAGCAAUUGUUGUGUGAAUUGGGCAAUUGUUGAUCUUAGUUCUCCAUAUUAGGAGAUGACGUGGGCCAUGAUCUUUAAUUAUCUGGUAUUUGGUGCUAUAAUUGUGAUUAAUAAAUGGCUCUACUCCGCUAGUGUCAUCAUCCAGUAACCGGGAGUUUUCACCACAAGUGUCGACUCUCGCGUCAAAAAGUGGCGAUAUCUAUGAGUAGUUAGUCCUGAAGCUGUGAAAAGUUGAGUAACUGGGCUCUUUCAUCUAAAAAUGUCAGAGUUCACGUCAAAAGACUUGAAUAGCUUGGGACUGAGCAUUUAUUGAAAAAAAAAUUUAUUUAUAAAAAAAAAAAGAAAAAAAAAGAAAAAAGAAAAUAAAAAGAAAAAUAAUAAUAAUAAGUAAGCUUAUGAUCAUGUUGGCCUGCCGAUCCUUGUUCUUCAAUGUUGAGAUUUUGAUUUUUAGUUGACCCAAUUGCUAACUUUUGCUAGUUUAAUAUUUUGAUUUCUUAGACGAGUUAGCCAUGAAUUGGACGAGUCUAUGAUUUCAGGAACUAACCGGGAGAAUAUGUUUUGACACUUAGCUACUAAAACUUGAUUUUGGGAUAAACGCAGCUUGGCAAUAAAUGAAAUGAGAAUUAGCCAUUGUUGAAUUUAGUUGUUCCCAUGCUUGAGGACAAGCAUGAUUUAAGUGUGGGGGAAUUGAUAGGGUGUUAAUUGUUAGUAAUUUUAAUUGUUAAUUUUCCUUUUUAUCCUUGCCAAAUAUUGCUUUAAUUUGCUUUAAUUGUCAAUAUAUAUUUAUAUUUGGUAUUGGAUAUAAUUUCAGAAAUUGGAGCAGAAACCUCUUGAGAAAUUAUUGUGAAGCUUUACACAAUUUUGGUGCAAACCAACGAAGAAGAAUGGAAUUGCAUUUGGGAAUUCAAUUUGGCUAGACAAAUUGGUGGGGACCGCAAAUUAAAAUGGAGCAGAAACCUUCUUGAGAACAUUAUGUGAAACUCUAUACAAUUGGCCCAUAUGCAUGGUGUAAACCAACGUCCAUUUCUUUCUAUGAUGAAAAGGAAUUGAAUUGCAUUUGGCUGGCCAACAUCUCAAUUAGGUGGGACCGCGAAGACUUGACCAUUGUGUAAAGACACAUUUUUGGUUUGCUUUCUUAUUUGUGAACGUGUGCACUUGGUCAAAGGAAACCGACAAACCAUAGUUGGCUUUGCUUUUGUUUUCGGUGGAGUUGAUUAGGUAGGGAAGGAAUGUUUUCUUUUGUGAGCGUGGAGUGAAGUUUCGAAUUGGCUUGUUUUUAUGCAGGGGAGAGCCGCACAUUUCCGCAGUCAGUUUUCUUCUUCUCUUCCGUCUGUGAAGAGAAGUUUUUAGUUUUGGGGUGAAGAUUUCUUGUGUGUCUUGUUUUCUUCCGUCUCUUCCAUGAGACUAUUUUUAUUGUAUUAGAUUACAAAGAAUACAAUUCUUAUUUUUAAUUAUUAGUAAGAGAUAAAUGUCUUUGAGUUCAAUUGAAUUGUGUGAAGAUUUUCUUAUGAGGCGUGGCUAAUUUCUCCUCUAGUCAAGGAUCAACGCGAAGACGCAGUCCCAAAUAUCUGUGAGAUCUAAUUAAUUUUACAUGUUCCUUAAUUUGUUAAUAUUUGCAUGUUUUCUAUUUUAAUUUCCAUGGGAUUAUUUUGUUAAUUGGAUAUCAAGGGCCCGAUGUGCAAUUUGACUUAUUAAUCUCUUGUCAAAUUAAUCAAUUAAAUCCGUAAUUGUUUAGUUGAUUAAUAUUAGUGACAACUAGUAUUUUCACAUACUAGGGGGACAUGCAAUCUGAUUUAAAUAACCCUCGUAGCGUGUUAUUAAUUUGGGUUUAGGCUUUUCUAGUUUUUAAUGCAAUUAGGAAAUUAAUUCCUACGGUCGUACUUAGGAGUAUUUUCUGGUUAGGGGUAAUCAACGGUCGUACCUUGGUUAUCAAUAAAUUAAGGAAAAGCUGGUCGUUAGAGCUUAUCGACGACUAUAACUAACCUGUUAAUUAAAUUAAGUGAACCUUCUUUGCAUCAAUGAUCGGAUGAAUGGACUGUGUCUGCGUAGUUGUAUCCUUGGUUAGAAUUUAUUUAUCAUUUAUUUAAUUGCUAUUUACAAUUGUAUUAAUUAAUUAUUUAUUUUUGGUUAAUUAUUUUUAGUUAAAUUGUUUAAUUAUUUAUUUUUAAUUUCAUUUUGAUAAAAAUCCCCCGUGUCUCGAAUUUAAAAAGAAUCAAAUUUUUUCCAGUCCCUGUGGAUUCGACCCUACUUACUACUAUACACAGAAAAUUUAUUUUUCUUAAGCAGGUAUUUAUUAUUGCACAGGCACGACACCUGUCAUGCACUGGACACUCACCAAGUAUCAAAAGUCAAAGUUUGAGAAAUUAGCUCUAAGACGCUUCGCCGGGAGUUCCCUCGAAGUCCUCUUGAGAUCCUGAAGGUAUGCAAUGAUGUAUUGUAUAUCAAAUUCCAGCCAUACAGUAUUCGCGUAAAGAAAAGAAAUAGUCAAUUUUGACUCCAAAAUUCAAGUUUCCAAAGUAUUUUAGUUCAUAAGAAACUGACUUUCAAUGAGGUCUCAAGUGAUAGGUGAACUCAAGUUCACCAUGAAUAAACGUUUGAAAUGCUCUAAGAGUUGUAAAAAUGUAACCUAGGCCCUUAAAAGAACAUUUAGGUCCAAAUUGGAAAUUUUCACUUUUCGAGUCAUUCUUGGAAAAAUCAGUCCGGAAAUUCGGAAAGUCUAAAAAUGGAAAAUUUUACACCGUCAGAAACUUCAUUUGAAACAUAACAACUUUGUAGAAGGUCACUUUCCAAGAAUCAAAUCAGAAACAAGUCAAUUUCUCCAAGAAAGUUUACUAUUCAUUGAAGAUAGGUCAAAACAGUCCAAGUUUUUCCAAUAAUUUUGGAAUUUUGCCAAAAUCAUAGAAUGAAAACCAGCCUUUGAAAUUUGAUAUGCAGGUAAAGUUCCAAUCCAGGUUUCAAAUAAAAAAAAUGGAACUCGAUUCCGAUGUUCCCAGCUCAAGAAAUAAAAGUUGAAGUUUCGCUAAAAUUCCUGGACUGUUGGCCUUUCCAGAAAUUUUCCAGAUUUAAUGCACUUCGCUAAUUAGGCCAUAUCUCACUCGAUUCUCAGUGAAAUUGAAAACGGUUGGUGGCUUUAGAAACUACGUUUACAAGGCUAUAUUUGUGUAGGAGAAAUCAUUUCCAAAAUCCAGACAUAAGUGGUUCAAAAUCAAGCAACAAAAUGGAUUUUCUGGCCAGUCUCGGAUGAACAGUAAUAAACAGGCAGCCAACUUUCAAGACUCGCCACGAAUCGGUCGGGAUGAACUAGAAAAUUAUCUUGGUACCAUUUUAAAGCUCUAAGAGUCUACUUUCAAAUGCCACAAACGGCACUCAAUUUCAAUCAUCGAGAAAAACGUUAUGAUCUCCACAAGAUCACUGGUCAGAAAAUUUCUGGACCUAGUCCAGUUUUGCCUCUUUGCUCAUAACUCAAAAUUUAUCCAACCAAAUUGGCUAAUUUUUUUUUGUAGACAACCACCCCACACAUAACACAACAUAUAUCACUCACAUUUGUAGCCAAAUUAUGCACGAAAAUAUCCAAGCAAAACAGGGCAGCAAGUCCUUGAAAUUUCGGACAGUACCUUCUCCAAAUUUCUAACUUUCUUCCAACUUCAUUCCAUCAAUCAUUCAAUAUACAUGUAACAUAGCACAAUAUCAGCAACCACAACAUGUUAAUUCAUCAAAUCAGCCACCAAUAAGCAUCCUCAAGCCCUCAAGCAUGUCAUGAAAUUGCAAGAAAAUAAUUACUCAACCAAUCAACCCAAAUUCUACCAUAGGUUGCAAACCCAUGCUACCUUUGCUCCAUUUGAGCUAUAAUUUUGCAAGAUUAAAGUGUGGGUGAGUGAGUUACCUCAAGAACUUAGUUGGACAGCUUUAGGGCAGAAAUGUUGACCGAAAUUCCUCCAAGAAAACCGAUGAACAGCCCCCUCUUCCAAGCUAGGAUCAGAGCCCUCUAAUGGAUGAUGAAAUUUGGAAGUGGAUUGAAGCAAGUUUGUGAGGAUUUUGGCUAGAUUUUUUUCUUCCCUUUUUUUUUUCUUCCUAUUUUCGGCCAAAUAGAGAGUGAAGAGAGGAGAGAGAGUGAAAUCAGAUUUUGUAAUGAAAGUAGAGAGAAUUGGUGACUUAAUGGUUAAGUCUAAGUGUCAACUCAUGCUAGGUCCGUUAAGGGUCUUCGCGUGUCCAAUUUUCGCGCUCGUUUGCAACUUUUGUGCACUAAACCUCUGAGGUAAUUUUUCUAGUACAUUAAUAGGACAUUACUAGUAGUCUCAUGUUCUUAAAAUCUCCAAUUAAUCAAAUUAAUGUGCCUAUCGGGGCCUUUUCGGCACGCUCGCGUAUAAAGGUCAAACUUAAGGAUUUUCUCGUUUGAACUUGGAAAUUCAACUUAUUCGAUUCUAAAACUCUACAAUAUGAUAAUCCAAGUAUAUAUAACAAUAAAAAUCAUGAUAAGCAAUUCAUCUUGAAUAAAUUUGAGCAUUAAAAUAAUAUGCGCUUAAAGAACCAAGCGGUAAAAUUUAUUUUCGAGAAAUUUGUGUACUUUAGUAAAUUUUUUUAGGGUAACUCGAGUACGAAAUAUUUUUAAAAUGACCAAUUUAAUAAUAUUUUGAAAUAAUAAAAUUAUGAGUUCUCACAUCCUCUCCCCCUUAAGAGAAUUUCGUCAUCGAAAUUCAUACCUUAACUCGAAAACUCCAGAUGUCUCUUUUGCAUCCCGCUCUUAUGAAUUGUAAAAUUUAUUCCGCAUUAAAUAUCAUGUAAGUCUUAUAUUCUUAAUCUGUUCAUGACGAGCGAGAUAACAAUUCUUUCAUGCGGUUCACAGAUUCAAUUGCCUUAAGAAAUUUGUCAAUUCAAGAACAAAUGAUGGUAUACGCAAUGAACUUUAAAUAUCUCGCAGAUCAAAUUCAAUAAGAUCUUAAAAGCACACAAGUUUUGUCCUACUGGACCUUAACCCUAGUAAUCUUUCAAAAUAGAUAGUAAGAGCCCUCAAGAAUCAAUAACUUCAAAAAUCAUAUCCGGUUCCAUAUACAUGUAUGCAAAUAUCGAAGUACUAAAUGAAACCUUAAAUUCAAUAAUAUCUUAUUGUAGUCCCCAAGUCAUUUACGAGUAUUAUCACCAAUUUUUAACUCAAAUACAACUUAAAGACCAAAUCCAUCAAUGCUACUGGUGUAUUAAUUACUCCCAAUGGCAUAAUUGAAUUUCAAAGUGCUUGAUAGGGUGUUAAUUGUUAGUAAUUUUAUUGUUAAUUUUCCCUUUUAUUCUUGCCAAAUAUUGUUUUAAUUAUUAAUAUUUACUUAUAUUUGGUAUUGGGACUUAAUUUCAGGAACAAAGCAGAAAAUUACCAAAAAGGAGGGACUUUAUGGGAAAAUGGAGACUUCUAAGGACCUUGGACUCUUGAAUUGGUGGGGACCACAAGCUAGUGCAAGGCAUUUAGUCAUUUGGGCUUUUCAAAGAAAGCAACGUAGAGAGACUUGGAACAACAAGUACUUUGGAGGAUUUGUCCACAUGUGCGGGGACCACGGAUAAGAAGCAUGAGUCAUUUGGACUCUAGGAAAAGAAACGUACAAGACUUUGAAUUUGGAGUGGGGACCACUAGAGAUAGCAUUAGACUUCCUUUUGGCUUUAAAAAGGGAGAAACGUACGAGAGGUGGAGGAAUCAAUAGUUUUAGUUUAGGCUUUUAGCAUAGUUUUAGUUUUUUUCUGAGCUCUUUCGCAUGGUUGUUCUCCAUUAAUGGAGGACUAACCUCUUAAUUCUAGUCAAGGGGACAACUGAAGAUUUGGUUCAACAAUUACUGUGAGAUCUAAUUUAUUUUAAUUGCUUCCUUAAUUUAUUUUAUUUAUAUGUUUCCUGCUUUUAAUUGCUAUAGCUCGUGUGAGUGAUUGAAUAGAUGCGCAAUAUUUAAUUAUUCACAUAGGCUAUUUUGCUAAAUAGGGAUAAUUGAAUCCGUAAUUGUUCGUUAUCUUUAUCUCAAUAGCAACUGGCGUAAUUGGGUUUAUGUCAGGGGGCAUACGAUCUAACUUAAACAAACCCUCGUAGCGUGUUUGUUAGUUAGGAUUGGGCCUUUCUAAUUAUUAAUGCAAUCUAGAAAUUAAAUCCUAUGGUCGUACCUAGGGUUGUUUUUGGGUUAGAGAAAUAGUUAACGGUCGUACCUUAACUAUCGAGAAAUUAAGAAAAGGUUGGUUGUUUAUCGCGUGCAUGACAACUAUAACUGGUCUAUUAAUAAAUGUGGAAUUAUGUGUGAAUCAAUGAUCAGUGCCUGAACCAUUUCUGAAGUGUACCCUUGCCUAGAGUUUUCCCUUAACUAUUUCUCUUAAUCAAUUAUUUUCUGCAGUUAAUUUAUUUAGUUAGCAUUUAAUCCAAAACCCCCCAUACUUUGAACUCUAGAAGAAACGAAUUAUCCCCAGUCCCUGUGGAUUCGACCCUACUCACCGCUAUAUACAAAAUCUGUAUUUUUCUCGAGUAGGUAUUUAUUAUUGCACAGGUUCGGCACCUGUCAAUUUUUGGCGCCGCUGCCGAGGACUGGUGCCAGAUUAAUUUGUUUCUUUUGAGUUUAUCUUGCUUUCAUUUUUUUUAAUUUAUUUUUCUCUUAUUUUUUUUAUUUUUUUAUGGCUGCUAACAUUCCAUAUUUUUGAUGAUAGACUGGACUUUGUUCCUGAAUGGGGUUAUGAGACUCAUGUUUUUCCUAAUGAUCAAUGGGCUGUUGCAAAUUGUGGAACUUAUUUUGACUCAGGUUAUUCAACUGACACAUGCCCCGCAUUUCAAGAUAAUCUAAGUGCUCUAAUUGAUAUUUUUGGAGAUUUUCCACCCCAAUAUCAAACGCAGUAUGACCCUUAUUCAAACGGGUAUGAUCAAGGAUGGUGGGAUAAUUUCAAUUUUGAUUAUGCGACCGGACCAAUGGAUUUUCAACAGCAAGAGUCUCAACAACCAUCGUCCAUGUCAGGUAUGUCUUUUCAGGAAUUGGGUGAAUUAUUUAUUAAUACAUACCGAUUCCAACAGGAGACACAAAUGAGGAAUGAGAUGAUGAACGAUGCAAUGAGUUAUCUGGCAGAUCAACUAUGUCUAUUGACAUCCAGAAUAAAUCGAUGGGCUUCUCAAAUGGAAGAAUUGCCCUCGAAAACCGUUGUUGAUCUGGAAGAAAACGAGAGUGCAAUUUGCUUGACUAGUGAUGAGGAGAUGCAAGAGUGUCAAAAUGAGAAAUCUGCAGAUGCAGUUGAAAAAGAAGCCGAAAAUGAAGAAAUGGAACCCCAACCGCAACCCAUUCAAGUGAAUGAAUCCAAUGAACAAUCUCCAAAUGCGGUGACAUCUUCUCCACUCCUUAAUCAAUAUUUUCCUGACUCCUAUUCUUCAAUUCCUGUUACUGAAAUUGAUUUUAUUAUACCAGAAAAUUUGAAAUUUCAUGACAGGAAUAAGUUAAGAGUGGCAAUGGAAAAAUAUCUUGAACCGAAGAAUGCAUGUGAUGGAGGAGUGAAUGGAGAAUGCAAAUUAUCGUUGACUUGUUUAGCACCAUUUACUAGUCCAUGGAAGCCCGCAAUUCGUGUGCUCAAAGAUUACUCCAUCUAUGAGGGUUACCAGGAUCACAUUGAAGAUGAAGCAUUGAAGCGAGCCACAAGAUUUUAUCCUCCAUGAACAAGCAUAGCAUGUCUAGCCAAAGACAUUAAAGAAAUGCGCUUUUUGGGAGGCAACCCAAUUGUUGAUUUUGUUAUUUUUGUGUUCAAUUUCUUAAAUAUGUCGUUUCUCACUUGGGUACUAAUCACUUUUGAUGUUUUCCUCCACUAUGGUCAGGACAGCAAUCUUGGCGUGCCCACGCGGUGUUUGACGACCUAAAAAAAAAUUUUUCAAAAAUUCAAAAUAAAAACAUUUUCCGUUUUACACCUUCAGUUUUGAUUCUCACAAUUCGAAUUUUGAAAUUUGAGUGUGCAAAAAAAAAAAAAAAAAAAAAUCCCAAAAACUAUUUUUUUUUCUCUCUUUUCUUUUCUUUCUUUUUUUCUUCUUUUUCUUUCUUCCUUUCUUUCUUUCUUUCCUUUCCUUUUCUUCUUCUUCUCUGCCGUUCCUCUGUUUUCCACUUUUCCUUCUCUUCUUUUGUUCGUCCGCCACCGCCCGCCGCCUAGCCACCACUCGCGCGCCUCCUCCUGAGCUCUGCCCGCGGCCGUCCACCCACAGCGCGGCUCCGCUACCAUCGCGCGCAGCUCCUCCUGAGCUCGCGCGCCUCCAACGCCACCAGGAGCCGCCGCACUUCCACGACUCUCCACCGCCAGCAGCCACCUCCAUCUUCCUUCAUCACACGCCGCUGACCACCAACUCCCUCUCCUUUUGCGCGCGUCGCUGUCCACAGACACGCCACCCCACCUCACUUCUCUCUCUCUCCCCCAUCAUCAGCUCCGCCUCACCUCACGCCAACCUCCAGCAGCUCCACCAUCGCCACCUCCUUGCCGCGCGUCACCACCUGCCCAAAAUUGGCAGGUGGAGGUAUUCCAAUUUCCACCUUGAUUAGUAUUUCUCUGGUCCUUAAAUUGCUGGAAUUUACGUUUUUGUUUCUUAGGUGUCUUGAUGGAUACAAGCAGGAGGUGAUUUGGGCAUUUUCUGGGGCUAAUUUUGGGUGAAAUUCAAUUUAUUUGCUACCCCAUUUGGGGGUGCUCUCUGGUAUUGAUUAUAUUGUUGAAUAUUGUUUGGGUUUUGACUACUUGAGAUUUCUAUUGCAUCUGGGAGAUAAAAUUUGACGGCUCUUGUGCCAGUUCAUUUGUUUGGGAAUUGUUGGGGUUGAUUUGGGAGGUAGUUUCCAAUUGCUUGUUUUGAUUUCUGCUCAUUUUUGGUGCUACUUGGUGUGUUCGGAUUUAUUAGGUGCAGUGGGUUGGCCAUUUGAUUUAAUUUUUUUUUCCUGAACCUGCAGCGGAGGUACUGGAUGUGGUGUUGACUAAAAUUUCUUAUUCCUUUAUGCUUGACUGCCUACUUGAUUCUUGGGUUUUAGUGCUUAAAUUGUUCUCAAAUUCUAAACGGUGGUUGCUAGAAUUGCCUAUUGCUUGGCCCAAUUGCUAGGUUUGGUCGCUUGAAGUGGGUAAUUGAAUGUCCAAUUGGUGACAUUUGUUGAGUUUCACUUGCUCCAAUUGGUUAAAUUCAUUGCUCUAUUGGGGUCCCUGGUAUCACUUGAGUUCUGCUUUGUUAGUUUCUGUAUCGUGCCCCUUGAUCUUAUUUUGACUGAAUGGGAGACCCAGUGCAUAUUCAUUCUAGUCAAGGGGACAACUGACGAUUUGGUUCGACAAUUACUGUGAGAUCGAAUCUGUUUUAAUUAUUUUCUUCAUUUAUUGAUAUUUAUAUGUUCCUUGAUUUUAAUUGCUAUGGCCUUGUGUAUGAUUGAUUAGUGCGCAAUAAUUAAUUAUUCAUAUAGGCUAUUUUUGCUAAAUAGGGGUAAUUGAAUCCGUAAUUGUUCGUUAUCUCUACCUCAGUAGCAACUGGCGUAAUUGGGUUUAUGUCAGGGGAGCAUAUGAUCUAGUCUAAACAAACCCUCGUAGCGUGUUUGUUGGUUAGGAUUGGGACUUUCUAAUUAUUAAUGCAAUCUAAAAAUUAAAUCCUACGGUCGUACCUAGGGUUGUUUUUGGGUUAGACAAAUAGCUAACGGUCGUAGCUUAGCUAUCGAGAAAUUAAGGAAGGGUUGGUUAUUUAUCGCGUGCAUGACAACUAUAACUAAUCUAUUACUAAAUGUUGGAAUUAUUUCUGUAUCAAUGAUCAGUACAUGAACCAUUUCUGAAGUGUACCCUUGGCUAGAGUUUCUCCAAUAAUUAUUUCUUUUAUUUAUUUUCUGCAUUUAAUUUAUUUAGUUAGCAUUUAAUCCAAAAACCCCCCAUACUUUGAACUCUAGAAGAAACGAAUUAUUCCCAGUUCUUGUGGAUUCGACCCUACUCACCGCUAUAUGCAAAAUCUGCAUUUUUCUCGAGUAGGUAUUUAUUAUUGCACAGGUCCGGCACCUGUCAGUGCUUACUUUUCUGAUGAACUAGCCUUAAUCACAUCUUCCUCUAGAAUCCUCAAUUAGUUGUAGUCCUGUAUUAAAUCUAACUUGGAAAGUACUACUGUCUCUUGUAGAUACUCAAAUGAUUCAUUUAUACAAGGUAAAAGAUAUUUAUUCCUAAUACCCACUUGAUUCCAGCCUCGAUAUUAUAGACAUGGCCUUCUCACAAGGUUAUAAGCGUAACAAAAUUUAGAUAUACGAAUAAGUCAUGAAAUUGAUUAAAUGCAAAGUAAACUUUCAUUUGCUAUAAAAGACCAUAAUAGUUUCAUCAAGUUAGGAUAAGUUUAUCAAAUCAUUUCAAAAGAAAAAGGGAAUAAACAAGAUUGUACCAAAACAUGCUAAGUCAUCCAUGUUCAAAGCAACAAAAAGAUUUCAUCCCUUACACAAAAGAUUACAACCUUCAAAAGUCUCAGUAUAGGCUAGGUUAUAAUCAUAAUCCCUGUCUUUAAGCAAAGUCAGAUCCAUCUUCACUUGUAGAGCUUCUAAUACUUUGGUUCUUCUCAUAUCCAUUAGUAUUAACCACUCCCUCUAACACUCGACUGUUUUGCAGCAGGCUUAACUAGCUGCUGAGGAGUUCCUCGGGCAACUUUAAAACUUUAUGCUCAAGACUCCCGCAGAGCAAGCAUUUCCUUGUUUCCUCUAGCACAUAGUCUCAGUGUGAUUAAACUUGUCACAGUAUCUACAAGUUACUCUAGAAGUUACGGCCUGAUUAGCUUGAGAAUUCUCCUUUUUCUUUUUCUUCUUUUCUCUCUGCUCCACAACAAAUUCAUGUUCACAUGUCUCUUUACAUUUCCCUUUUUCCAUUAUGGGAGUUUCCUUCACUACCCUUAACUUGGUUGCUAGAAAUAUAUUGAGGUGAAACUUGAAUAGUGGAUCACAUCCCCUCGAGCUUUUUUUUUUUUUUUUUCUGAAGUUCUCCAAUACGCCUUCGUGUUUCUUUUUCAAUUCCAAGUUCUUGUUCCAUAAUUCCAUCUUCUCUACAAACUCUUGUUUGCAUCGUUCUUCCCAGAAUUUAACUAAUUUAGUUUGGAAUUCCAACUCCUUGCAAAGAACUUCUAUUUCUAUACGCAUCUCUUCCAAACUUUUCAUUUCAUCCAUUUGCUUAAUCCUAACUGUCAGCCUAUCAACAACUCAAAGCAUCUAAAUGAGUAGCAAAUCAAAACUUGAAACUUAACUAUCCACAACCUAUAAAUUCUCAUGCAUCUAAGUCAUCCAGGUCUAUUUACUCUUACCUCUCCAUGAAUUUGAUACUUAAGGAAAUCCACACACACGAAUAAAGUAAUACCCUUUGAUAUAAUGAUAUGUACUUCCAUUCUAAGGUCUUCCUCACGUACAUAGUGAAACCAUAAAUCAUACGCCAUAUGAAACAAGUUCCAAACCCUGACUAAAAACUGUUACGCACUAGCAGGACCAGAAUCCUUAUCCUCAAAAUUUUGUCUAAAACAAACCAAUCAUGACCUACAAGAUAAAGUUGAGACUUUUGAUGUAUUUUGAAUGUAUCUGUGGCAAAAUGCGAUUCAAAAUUUUCAAAAUUAGCGUUAAAAAUACAAAUUUUCUUCAUGAUCCAAAACUAAAUUUUCUUAGUAAGAGAUUUCAAAUAAUGUUUAACCACAAUCAUCAAUACAUUUUUCAAAUCAUCAAUACAUGCUCUCACAGAACAUGCCAUAUCCAACAACCACAAUUCUUUACACGUUCGUAUGUCCACUCACACAAGCUAGAACUACCCCAUCCACGAGCACUGAAAGGCUGUGGUACCUCCAAACAGUCCGUACUCAAGUCUCCCGGUGAGAGCAAUUGAUGAAAACUUACAGAUAGGAAUAUUCAUGAACCGGAUUAUCAAUCCAUUUAAAAUUUCGUUAAUCCUAAUCGAAUGUAUUGGUUCUGUAAAAUUGUAUUCGAUACCUUGAUUCAGUUCAACCGGGUAAUCAAUGACCAAUUAAUUUAUAGGAUCGAAUCAGAUAUGCAGGAUAACCUAACCUUCUUCUUCUUAUAGGGAAAGAAAGAAUUAGAUUAACAAAUCAAGUAAUACAACAUUUUUUCAAAUCAAUAAGAGUACUUAAUCCUGCAACUCUAAAAAAUUAUCAACAAAAUAGAAAAUCAACACAUCAAAUAAUUAAAACACUGAAUAUUCCAAACAUUUUAUUUUCAUUUUCUCUAUAUCUUGAAAGCUAUCAAUUUUUUGAAUUUUGAAAUAGUCUCACAUUUCAUCAACCAGGCAUACAAAUUGAGAUAGGUUAUACGGUACCCUACACGUCAAAAUACAUUUUAUAGAAUUCAAUAAUACUACCGCAGAUGAUUGCAAACUCCUGUGUUCACAUUGUCUUGAACUUGCGUGCACUACUUGGGACAAUAUGUGCCAUAUCCUCUUUGCUACAGUCUACUUUCUAGAUAUCAAUUGCACUGGAAUACCACAUUUCUACUGCAGUUGCUGACGGAAAUCUCCUAACAAAUGUGUAGUUACUCUUCGUAAAAUUUCAUGUGACAGUUACCUGGUUGCCGUCGAUUAUCUUUGAAGAAGACAAAUCUACUUUAUUAUCUCUUCAAGUCUGAAUCAAUUUGGAUAAGAUAGAUCUACUUUAUUAUCGCUUCAAGACUGAAUCAAUUUGGAAACAAAGUCUUUAAUGUUUUUAUCUGAACUUCCUCCCUCAUCAAAGGCAUGUCUCGCCAGAUCCUUCCAUUUAUCUGCAUUUUUCCUAAUCUCUUGUCCUUUCUCCCCCUCCAUCACUACGCUUAUGCAUUGACGAAUGACAUCUCUUCUAACAAUUCCAUUUUCAUCUGACUGAGCUUUGAUUCCCGUUUUCCAGAUGUCCGUUACAAACUUGGCAUUUGUGCUUUGAUCUGUCCAUCGUGGCAUGACUACCAUUGGGACUCCCAAACUUAAGGCCUCCAAUGUUGAAUUCCAUCCACAAUGAGUGAUAAAGCACCCUAUAGAUUUGUGUGCUAAAACUUCAAGCUGAGGACACCAUGAACUGACUAAUCCUCUAUCAGAUAUUUCUUUAACAAGAUCUUUUGGCAGCUUAUUUGAUUCUGAUUCUCUAACCACCCAUAGAAAAUAGUAGUUGCUAGUUCUCAAGCCCCAUGCUACUUCUUCCAUCUGCUCAGCAUCAACUUCUGCUAUACUUCCAAAUGAUAUAUAAACAACUGAACUGGUUGAUCUUUCAUUUAGCCAUGGCAUGCAAGCAUUAGUCAUUGGGUUAAAAAGACUGAGACCAUACUGCUUGUCAUCUUGAAGGCGCUUGUCAAGGUACAUAGAUGGAAUAGUUGGUCCAAUUGUCAUUAUUGGUAGGAUCCUGGAUGUCCAAUCAAUCACCUAAGCAAUAUAUGAAACAAAUUGAUCAAAAAUUUAGUUUUUUGUUUAUAUUCUUUCCUCUAUAACUGAAAAAACAAAGCAAAAGAAAUAUGAGGUAGGUAAGAUAUUGUGAUACUACUUUUUUUUUUUUUUGGAGCAGUGGAUGCCACUCAUGCCAUGUGGUUAAUGUACUAUUAUUGUCUCCAUCUAAUCGUGUGAUACUCUCAGAAGUAAGAUGGCAGGGAGGAUAAAUCUGGUGGCAAGGACUAUCCAAUGACAACAUAGAUAGGCACAUUCACAUUGGAAAUUUGGAAGCCUAGCUUCUUCAGGGUCAUUAAGGAAUUAGGUAGCAGUAAUGUACAGGUAAUAUAGAGAUAAAUCCAGGCGUGCCUUUACCUCUUCCUCCAACUUGUAAAAUGUGUUGUAGAUGAUCGAGUCAGCUUCAUGAAUGUUCUUCAUUUGAUCAUGUGUAACCAGCUGAAAAAUUGGCGGAUAUGAACCGUAACUAGAAAUAAAAGAAGGCAGAUCUGAAGCUGAAAGUGGUGGUAAGCCAGGAAUUUCCACUUUAGACUCCUCCAGAGGAAGUUUCAAAAGGCCUGUGUAAACAUGGUAGUAGAUCUUGUUGACAGCACAAGAUUGAGUGAAGAACACAGCCGCACGUAAGCCAAGACUCUUGGCCACACGCAGAGCCCAAGGAAGGACUGCAUCAUAAACAAUACAGUCAACAGGAUAACCCGAAUCUUUAAGCUUCAAGAUUAGCUCAGUUAUAGUUUCUGAGCCAACCUUUUGAAACGUAGCGUAAUAUGUAUCAACGGCAACUCCAUUUUCUCCUUCAUCAAAUCCAUCAGAGAUGGUCUCCACUGUGAUAGAACCGGAGACUUCGUGCAAGGUUUUGAACACGAAUUUAGUUGUAGCAAGUGUAAUUUUGGUGCCUUGAUGUUGCAAACGCUUAGCAAACUGGAGCAUAGGGUUUAUAUGUCCUUGCAUGGGAUAUGGAAAUAUCAAGCAAUGAGCUUUGUGAGUUUCCAUUUGCUCUAACCACGAGACCAGAGUAUGGAUUCUCUAGAAAUUCACAAUCUUUGAGAGCUCGAAUAAUGGUGCUUGUUGCUGGAGUGAGGAGUGCUUGUAGCUUGCUUGCUACGAGUAAAUAUAACAAUUAAAUAUAAGAAUUGUUUCACCAAUGUGGUAAGUGGGUAUGGUAAUCGUUUGUGGUUUGGAGUGCAAUAAUAUGAUUGAAUCAAGCUUGCUUCCUUGUGCUUUAGGAGUAAUUACACAUUACCACUUUGAACCUUAACAAUAAAUCUUUGCUCCUUGAACGAUUGUUGGGUCAAGUGACAAGAGCUCAAUACCUCCAAAGUAUGGUUAUGGAUUUUGAGUUUUGUGGAUAGAGAAAACAACCUUAGAAUCACCCUUUAAAAGGGAUCCGACAAUGCUUAAUUCUAAAUUAGUCAAGGCAUAAUGUGGUCAUGGGACAUUAGGAGAUUAGGAGAUAUAUGUCAAAAGUAAAUAAAUAAGCUCUUUGCUCCUAUGAAUUUUAGUCAGUGUCAGAAAUUUUAACUCAUUAAAACUUGUUCAAUGCAUACUCAGAAAAAAAUUACAAAAAUUUGAGCUUUUCUAAUAUUAGUAUUUGGACACUUAUUAGUGCACCUAAAUUAAACAAAAAAUUACUAAGUGAAUGUACAAGCUCACGUCCAUUUACAAACCCUUACAAAAUGAAAGGAAUGAUUUCGCAUUCCUCAAACAUAGAACCUACCGCCUUAUAAAGACAAAAGAUAGUUACUUACUUUGGUUGCAGUGCUCUUUUAUUUGCUUUGCCUUUCGUACGAUAAAAGCCAAAAUUUGAUAGCCAAGUUGUCGUAAAGGAUUAGAUUUUUUGGCCCCAGAAAGCAGUCCCAGGAACUUUGUUAAAUGUGCGAAGAAACAUGAAUACAAAGGCAUUGUCGGUUGGUUUGAGAAAAAGACAAUGGAUGAUAAACCAAGCGAAUCUUGUGAAUUCAUCAAAUAACAUUCAAUCCCCUUUGGGGCUUGAAUGUCUUAUCAAAUAAGAAGCUGUAGAGCUCCAAAUGCCUUUCCUGACUGCAAUACAGAUGAAUGGAUUUUAUAGACUAAAAUAACCUCUUAUCCAAUUAAGCAUUUAAAAGCAAAUUAGGCUUAUUUACAGAUGGUACUGGUGUAGGUGAAAAAAUAUACAUCUUUUAAGGAAUAAAGAAAGACCAAAUUAUUUACACAUGGCUGCUAUGUAGGGUUCUUUGAAACGUAAGGACAAAGAUUGAGCAUACCUCAGAAUUUUAGUAUUGGAAUAAGAGAAAUGGCUUGAAAGCGUGUUACAAUAUUGCUUCCUUUGCAGUUGGAAUUCACCCUAUCAUAAUUGGUGUGCAGAUUAUCAUCACAAAUAACUUCUAAAAUACAAUGAAAUCUAAUUAACGAUUGACAAAUUUUUUUAUUUUAUUUUAUGAAGAAACAGGAAGACCAUGAGAGUCAUUUUAACAAGAAUCAUCUUAUGCUUUAUAAUUACAUAACUGGUUUUUACAAGUAUUUGUUUUGGAAACAUUUUCUUCAAAGCUGCCACAAAUUGAAGGUUUGUGAUUGCAUCGAUCCCCUUUUUUCUCAUCUAACAGAGCUCACAACGAAAAAUAUUUAUUUAUUUAUUUUAAUUUUUAAAAUUUUUUCCUGUUUCUCUUGCCAAUUCUCAUUCAACAGCAAAUUAAAGAACCAAACAUCCAAAAAACAGGUAGGUUUUACAUUAAACAACAAAUUAUGUCUUUGUACCUUCUUAGCUGACCACAAAACACACAUCAAUGUGACUAUAUAUACCACAUAUCCACAAGUAACAACAAUUGCAGAUGGAAACCUGCAGAUGUUGACUGCCAACGUCAUUGGCUGCGCAAGUUGAGCUUAACAAUACUUUGUAUCAUUGCAAUCAGCAAAAUAGUCAAGGAUUUGAUUAACAGGUACUGGAGGGCACUCAUUAAAAGAAUUUUAUAUAUUAAUUUUUUGAUCAAAGUGAAAUUAAUUUCAAAAAAAGUGUUCAAAUAUUGCAGGUGCAAUGGAGGUGGAUGUGUGUAUUUAUAUAAUAAAUUCUAUAUAAUUUAGGCGUAUUAAUUAAUACUCGAGAAAAAUUUAUAGUUAAGAAAGCGUGCUUAAGAAUUGGUUCAGAUUGCCCACUGAAACAUACAUCAAAUGUGACCUCGAAUUUGGGAGUUAAGUUUCUUAGAUCUAGUGACCGUAUUUGAAGGGAGAGGUGAAUUCGUGAAAAUUUAUUUGUGCCACAGCCAAGUAUAUUUCUGCUGCAACCCCAUUUGCUCCUUCAGCAUAUCCAUCAGACAUGGUCUCCACUGAGAUAGAACCUGAGACUUCUUGCAAGGUUUUAAACAAGAAUUUGGCUGUGACGAGUGUAAUUUUGGUGUUUUAGCAAAUUGGAGCAUUGGGUUUAUGUGGCCUUGGAUGGAAUGGGACAAUAUUAAGCAAUGAGCUCUGUCAGUUUCCAUGUAUUGCUCAGUAUAGACUGUUUGGAGGAACCACAACCUUUAAGAGCUCGUGAAGCGGGUACUUCUAGCUUGUCCGAGUGAACAUAAGAAUGUCUAAAGAAAUGUGGUUGGGUGGAUAUGACAUUUUCUGUGAUAUGAAUCCAGUUAUAUUCUCUGUUUUGGACUUCUCUCUCUUUUUUUUUUUCCCUAAGAUACUCCAUUUUAGCAGCCCAAGAACAAUGUGAUCUGCAUUCUACAUUUCAAAUAUCAACAGUCAAUAGCCAAUGGAUCGAAAUCUUAAAUAAUAAAUUAAUUUGUCCUUUCACAUUUUACCAAAUGAACAGUAGUUAGGUAAGACAUCUGUAAUUCCGAAAGUUACACAAGAACAAAACGAUGUAGUAUCCGCAUCCCACAUCGGAAGAAAGCAAAUGAAAAAGAAUGGUUCAAGGACUUGGGCUCAUGGGUUAUCUUUGUAAUUUGGGUUAACUAUUUUGGAUCAGUAGAUUUCGGUCCAAAAGUUACUUAGGCCAGUCUUUGGACUCGAAUCGUAACAGGUGAUAUCAGAGCGAAUCUCGCGUAUUUUUUGCUUGGAGAGAGCUUGAGCCAGCUAGCGGGGUAAGAUUGUAACUACGCAAGGAUGCAAAAGUCUUAGAGAACCCACCACCUCUAGAAUCUGAGCAUGACCAAGUGGACAAUCUGGAUUUUGACGGGUUUUGCAAGGAUGCAAAAGUCUUAGAGAACCCGCCACCUCUAGAAUCCGAGCAUGACCAAGUGGAUAGUUUGAAUUUUGACGGGUUUUGCGAGGAGGCAAAAGUCCUAAAGAACUUGCUGGAUUCUGUGCGGGGUUAAAUGCUAUGUCGGAUGAGGGCCACCUCUAGAAUUUGCAUCCUCAAGGACCUGCGAGACUAAAUGCCACGUCGAGCAGGGGCCACUUCUAAAAUAAAAACAUAACCAAAUGGACAGUUUGGAUUUUGACGGGCUUUGCGAGGACGCAAAAAUUCUAAAGGUAGGAAGAAUGAGGUAUCUCACAUCGAUAAGAGAAAGAGAAAAAAGAAUUGUUUAAGAACUUGGGUGCUUGGACUACAUAGUAAUUUGGGGUUAACCAUUGUGGUCCAAUAGAUUUCGGUCCAAAAAUUAUUUUGGCUGGCCCUUGAACUCGGAUCAUUAUAGUUGGUAUCAGAGCGAAUCUCACGUAGUCUUUGCGUGAGGUGAACUUGGGUCAACGAGUUAUGAUUCUGAUUACGCAAGGAAGUGCAAGGAGCUAAGUGCUAUGCAAGGUUAAGUGUCAUGUUUGACGGGGGCCAACUCUAGAACCUACGAGACUAAGUGUCACGUCAGAUAGGGGCCACCUCUAGAGCCCGUACGAACCACCUCUAGAGUCCAAAUAUGACCAAGUGGACAGUCUGAAUUCUAACGGAUAUUGCAAGGAUGCAAAGUGUUAAAGGUGGGGAGAAUAUAAAUCGACAUCCCACAUGGGAAGAAAGCAAAGGAAAAAGAAUGGUUUAAGGACUUGGGCUCAUGGACUAUCUUAUAAUUUGGGUUAACCAUUUUGAGCCAGUGAAUUUCGGUCCAAAAUUACUUGGUCAGCUCUUGGGCCCGGAUCAUGUCACACGAUGUCAUAAACUUUCGGUUGCAUUGAUUUCUGGUGGAAUAAUUUUACUCAUUGAUAACUGUUUAUUUGUAGCUUUUAAGAGAUUAUUCAUUUAUACAUGCUUCUAAGUUUUCUUUGACGUAUACAUACGUAAUUAUGAGGUUUUAUGUGGUUAUUGUCAAUUUAUUACAUUUUUUGGCUUGAUAUACAUUCUCCAAUGAUUAAUUCUUUCAUGCAUUUUCUUGAUUGGAGUAAAAAAAAAAUAGUUUGACAAAAGAAAUCUUCUUUGGAAUAAAUCUCUUGAAAAAUUACACCGCAUAUUCACCAUAUGGGGUAAAACAAAAAGGAACAAAUCAAAUUUAUAGAGUUAAUCUUUGGUGUAUAAACAAUUACACAUACAUAUAAAUGCAAAGAGAUAUCAUGUGGAGUGAUAACCGGUUCCUCGCUUUGCUGCGAUCAAUCUAAUUCUUUGUACAUUGAUAUCGUCAAUUUUAGGUAAGUAAUACAAAUAAGAAUAACACGGCAAGAAACUGGCAAUGCAUGAUCUCUUACCUCACAAUCCAAGAGAGAUUGAGUUUUUUUUAGGUAUAAACUUACUUAUAAAAAAGUUUUUGGUUAUAUCAUAAACACCAUUUCUCAACCACUUUUUGUAUAUUUUCAAUCACUUUUUUAUUUGAAAUAUAUAAUAUCACAAAAAAUGCUAUAGUAUUAUUCUAAAUAAUUUUUCUCAAUGAUCCACUAUCCAAAAACACUCAGUGAUUUUUUAAUAUCUCAUUAUUUUUGUUAAGAAAAAAUCUCAUUAUUGCACGUGGUGCUAAUUAAACCUUUGAUUUGACAAACAUAUCUGAGUUUUUUUUUCCGUGAUAAUGCCAUUCUUCAUCAUUUGGCUAACAAAUUAUAACAAACUUAAAGUCCAACUUCUUUUUAUUUUGGUAGGAAUAAGAGGAGUUUUAGUAUAUUUACAUGGAUUUAUUUACUGCAACUCUUUCCAUUGAUCACCUAAAAAAUAUACAAAGCUCAAGGGGCUUAAUUAAACCAAGGCCUAUAGCAAUAGAUUGUUGAUUGCACUCAAAUCUCUGUUCUCGAUCUAACUCUAUGUAUGACCUUCAAUAUUUACUUUAUUGAAAGGAAAGAUAGACCAAAACCAUUUAAAUGGUACCGUUCCCUAAAAAAAAAAAAGCAUUGCUUUUUGGUCCUAUAUCGUUGGCAUGCCAACGAAUGUAAUACUUUUUCUAUCACAAUUAACUAAUUUGAUCCCUUAUCUAGAUAAGUUACAGCCAAUGUAAUACUCUUAAUGGCGAAUUGGGAAACCUUACAGAUCAAGUUAUGUGCAAUGCACAUGCACCAAGAAAACACAAGGGAAAAUCACCGAAAUAUUCUUUCAUUCUAAAAGAAAAAAAAAAGAGUCUGGUUUUGAUUGUUCAAAUUUAAAAUGGUGCGAAAUGGUUCCUCAUGGCUUCACUUAUACAAGAUGUACCCUUUUGGUCCCAAAACUCAUUCAAGGGCAAUUUUCUAACUAAAACUCGAAUUAUGUUAUCAAUUUAUGAUAAAAUCAUCAGCCAAAUUACUGCUUUCGAUCUACAACUCCAACCAAAAAUUCUAAACAACAAUAUCAUUGUUUCGCUCAAGACAAUAGUUUUAUGAAGUCAUUGAGUAAAAGAAAAGGCGAACAAAAAAGGAGAAAGAAAACCUGUUGAAAUCCGGAUGACUUUAUUUAAAUUCAAAGUUACAGUUGGCUCAUCUAAACAGAAGAACAUUUUGUAUAAUCCCAAAUAUUGCGGUUUAGUCAGCCAACAAUAUUGUAGGGUCAUCUAAGAGAAGUUGCUUUUCUGAGUCUCAAUGUUAAAACCGAUGCAGCGGAACGGAAAGAACAAACAAGAACAAGCAAGAACAAAUUUGGAAGAAAUCCAAUUUUUUUUAUUAGGGUUCGGAAUGUAUCAGAUGUUUUUGUACAUAAUGGAUAUAAGGUAUAUAUAUACAACCAAAUAACCAAAAACGGAUUGGAUCAUUAGGCCCAAAAAUCGAGACCCAAACUAAAACGGAUACGAUAUCUAAUAUAUACCGUAAACUCAGCGGGGGUCGAAGAUCUGAUUCAUGGUAUUUCAACAAAUCUCAACCUUGACUUGAAUCUUCUCGAAAACAGAUGUAACAGACGCACUGAUGAAGUGCCAAACGUACUCAAAGUCUUCUUUUACCAUCAGAAUUGUCUCUAAGUACCAUUAGAAUGCCCAUAAGGGCUAUCAGAAACUUAGGACAUUUAGCAAAUCCAAACAAUGUUCGAACUUGUGAUAAGGAACCGGCUUGGUGAACAUAUCAGCAGGAUUGUCAGCAGUGCCAAUUUUCUUCACCUUGAUCCUUGUCUCAGAUCUCAAGAAGUGAUAUCGGACAUCAAUGUGUUUAGUCCUCUCAUGAUGAACUUAAUCCUUGGCUAGACAUAUUGCACUGAGACUAUCACAAUAUAUAUUAGCCUGAUCCUAAUGUAGGCCAAGAUCUCCAACCAGCCCCUUUAACCAAAUUCCCUCUUUAGCAGCCUCCGUCAGUGCCAUAUACUCUGCCUCAGUAGUGGACAGAGUCACUGUAGGUUGUAGAGUUGCUUUCCAACUAACUACAAAACACCCAAGAUUGAAAACAUAAUCAGUCAUCGACAUCCUACUAUCAACAUCUCCAGCAUAAUCAGAAUUUGAAUAGCCUGUAACCAAACACUCUGUAUCACCUCUAUAGAUAAGACCAACAUCAGAUGUACCCCUCAAGUACCGAAAAAUUCGCUUCACGGCCAGCCAGUGCUCCUUCCCAGGAUUAGCCAUAAAUCUGCUAAUAACACUGACUGCAUAUGCCAGAUCAGGUCUAAUGCAGACCAUGGCAUACAUCCAACUACCCACUGCACUAGAAUAGGGAACCUUAGCCAUAUACUCUAUCUCGGCUUUUGACUGUGGUGCGAGUGUAACUGAUAGUUGAGCAUUCGCUGCACUCGGAGUAUUCAAGGGCUUUGCUGUACACAUGCCAAAUCUAGAUAGUACCUUCUCAAUAUAGCUCUUCUGUGAUAAGAAAAACUUCUUCUGACUUCUAUCCCUGAAAAUCUCCAUUCCCAGAAUUUUCUAUACUGCACCUAAGUCUUUCAUCUCAAACUCUACACUGAGAAGACUUUUCAACUUCUAUAUAUCAACUUUGUUCCUCGCAGGUAUGAGCAUAUCAUCUACAUACAGAAUCAAGUAGAUCAUCGAACCAUCUUCAAGUUUGUUGUGAUAUACACAACAAUAAUACUGACUUCUGUUGUAGCCGAGCUCAAUCACGAAGCCGUCAAAUCUGUUGUACCACUACCUUGGGGAUUGCUUUAAUCCAUACAAGGAUUUCUUCAACUUGCAUACAUAAUCUUCUUUUCUCAUAACAUGAAAUCCAUCUGGCUGAAUCAUAUAAAUCUCUUCAUCUAACUCUCCAUGUAGGAAAGCUGUCUUCACGUCUAGCUGCUCAAGUUCUAAGUCCUGAUGUGCAACCAUUGCUAGUAGCACCCUGAUAGAAGUGUGUCUGACCACCGGUGAGAAAAUCUCAUUGUAGUCUACUCCUUCUCUUUGAGUGAACCCUUUUGCAACAACACGUGCUUUAUACUUAAUGCCCUCAGCUGGAGAAAUUCCUUCCUUCCUUUUAAAGACCCAUUUGCAAGCCAUAACCUUUCUCUCUGCUGGCCGUUUGACCAAUUCCCAAAUGUCGUUCGUGUGUAACGAUUCCAUUUCAUCACCCAUUGCAGCAAGCCAUUGAGCUGACUCACUGCCUGAAAUAGCUUCUCUAUAGGUAGAGGGCUCAGGAGAAUCCACCUCCUCAGCAACCUGAAAUGCAUAACCUACAAAAUCCCAAUACCUGCUGGGAGCUCGUACUCCCACUCUCCUUGCACGAUCAUAAGCAAUACCGUGCUGCUGAGUUUCUGAUGCAGUAUGGGAUAUAGAUGCCAACUUUUCUGCUGAUGUAGGUUCUGGAGACUCUAUUUUUGCAGGAGGUUCAGUUUCAAAGGAUAGCUGUUGAUGAUCACCAAAUUACUGCUAUGAUUCAAAAUCAAUUUGAAUGAUUUGUAGCUCCACCUGUUUAUCAACACCUGCAUUUUCUUCAACAACAGUCUUCACAGGGGGGUUAAGUAUAGAGUUUUCAUAAAAAAUUACACUUCUACUAAGUAUAACUUUCUUUUCUGAGGGUGACCAGAUUUUAUACCCUUUAACCCCGUCUCUAUAUCCCGGAAAUACUCCCUUUUUAGCCUUUAAUUCUAGUUUGCCCUCACUGACAUGAUAAUACGUAGUACAACCAAAAGCCUUCAAAUUUGAGUAAGUAGGGGACAUACCAGACCACACUUCAUAAGAUAUCUUGCAGCCUAUACCUGUAUGAGGUGCACGAUUGAUCAAGAAGCAGGCUGUGCUCACUGCUUCCGCCCAGAACCCCCUUGGCAACUCAGCAUUGAAAAGCAUACACCGUGCUCUCUCUAAAAGUGUUUGAUUCAUGCAUUCUGCUACACCGUUUUAUUAUGGUGUGUGUCGAACUGUGUGAUGCCGAGCAAUUUCUUCAUCUUUGCAGAACUCAUCAAACUCCUUCGAACAGAAUUCCAGACUAUUAUCAGUUCUCAGCUUUUUGAUCUUCUUUCCAAUUUGAUUCUCUACUAAGGCCUUCCACUGUUUGAAGUUCUUGAAAGCUUCACAUUUUUCCUUCAUAACGAUUACCCAAGUCAUCCUUGAAUAAUCAUCAAUCAUGGAUAAAAAAUACCGACAGCCUCCCAAAGACUCAACUCGUGAAGGACAUCAACAGUCAGAAUGGAUAUACUCAAGUGUGCCUUUUGUCAUGUGAAUUGCCUUCCUAAACUUUUUGCGAUGUAGUUUACAGAAAGUACAAUGUUCACAGAAUCCAAGAUCGGUGACCUUGUGGCCUUCUAGAAGAUCAUGUUUAGACAGAAUCUGCAUCCCCCUUUCGCUUAUAUGACCAAGUCUAAUGUGCCACAGCUUAGUCAUAUCAGACCUGCGAUCUUUAUAAGAAGCAACAGCAGCAGCGGCAGAACCUGUUAGCGUAGAACCCUGUAAGAUGUACAAGGUGCCAUGCUUAACUCCUUUGAGAACCACUAAUGAACCUUUACUGAUGCACAACUCUCCACUUCCUCCGCUGAACCUGAAACCCUUACUGUCAAGAGUACUAAGUGAUAUCAGAUUCUUUGUCAUUUUGGGGACGUGCCUGACUUCAUUAAAUGUGGCAAUUUUCUAGUAUGUAUCCUGAUCUUAAUCGAACCGAUCCCAAUAGCCUUGCAGACAGCGCUAUUAGCCAUCACAACAUUCCUGCCAUCUAUCUGCUCAUAUGUUGUAAACCAUUCCCUGUUUGGACAUAUGUGAUAGGAUGCCCCAGAAUCAAGAACCCACACAUCAGAGUGAUGUGUUGGUUCGUUUGCAAUUAGGGCCAGGUCUUCUUCUGAAUUUUCCACUUCCUUUUCUACAACUGAAGCUGAAGCAUGUUGUUUUUCCUGUUGCUUCUUCUUCUUGGGACAAUCAGAUUUCCAAUGACUCUUUUCCUUGCAGUAGUUACAGACAUCAUCCGGCUUGGGACCUUUAGAGAACUGCUUCUUGUUUCCAAACUUCUUUUUUCCCAAUUUUCCUUUACCACUGCUGACAACUAGCCCAGCAGCCUGAUUAUCUGUAACAUUACCAGCUGCCUUAUGGUGCAACUCUCUACUAUGCAAUGCUGAUCUUACUUCUUCUAAAGUCACUGUAUCUUUACCGCCAAUAAAAGACUGAACAAAAUUCUCAUACGAUAACGGUAGAGACACUAACAGAAUCAACGCGGCAUCCUCAUCCUCAAUUUUAACAUCAAUAUUACGCAACUCAAGAAGAAUCGUAUUUAAUUGAUCUAAAUGUUUUCGAAGAGGAGUACCUUCCUGCAUACGCAGACCGAACAGACAUUGCUUUAGGAGCAACUUGUUGAUUAAAGACUUCGUCAUAUAGAGAUUUUCAAGUUUAACCCACAAACCCGCAGCAGUUUCUUCACCGGCGACCUCAGUGAUGACAUCAUCUGCCAGGCACAGCAUGAUUGUCGAGUGAGCCUUUUCCUCCAGACUCAUCGACUCUUCAUCAACGGAAUCCGAUUUCUUCUUCGUCAGCGGACUCCACAGACCCUGUUGCUUUGACAGAGCCCGCAUCUUGAUCUGCCACAAACUGAAACUAUUUCUCCCGGUGACCUUGUCGAUCUUGAUGUUCAAAGCAGACAUGUUGUUGCGUGAUCUGAGCCCUAGGACAAACCUAGAGCUCUGAUACCAAUUUGUUAAAACCGAUGCAGCGAAACGGAAAGAACAAACAACAACAAGCAAGAACAAAUUUGGGGGAAAUCAGGUUUUUUUUAUUAGGCUUCGGAAUAUAUCAGAUGUUUUUGUACAGAAUGGAUAUAAGGCAUAUAUAUACAACCAAAUAACCAAAAACGGAUUGGACCAUUAGGCCAAAAAAUCGAGACCCAAACUAAAACGGAUACGAGACCCCCGAACAGGUCAGUGGGGGUCGAAGAUCUGAUUCAAGGCAUUUCAACACUCAAUAUUAUCAUAAUCAUCCUCCAAUGUUGUUAAAGAUUGAUAGUCAACUUUUCCAGAUAGCAUUUUGUACAAUAUCAAAUAAAGACACACACCAAAUAAGAUCCCAAUGGAUUGUUCUUGAAUGUGGAGGAAAUUGUUGAAACUAAGGCUGGUAGCUCAAUCGUUUAUUCAGAAUGUAAUUGAGAAUGGUUUUCAAACAAAUUUUUGGUAUGAUGCAUGGCAUCCUGUGGGACGAUUAUUCUUGCAAUUUUCAGAAAAUCUACUACGCUGCUUUGGGUGCAACUCUCAAGAUACAGUGGCCAGAUGUAUUGAAGAUGGAAAAUGGAAGUGGCCUCAAAGUAGGAAAAUGUCAAAGGAAGUAGAACGGCUGAAGCAAUUAAUUCCUGAAAGUUUUGUUCCUAUGUCAGAUUACGAAGAUCAAACUAGAUGGACUGCAAGUGGCAAUGGUGUUUUUUCUACUAAAUCAGCUUUGAAGGCAAUCAGAUGUAGAAACCCAACUGUGGAAUGGUACAAAUUGGUUUGGGGUAAAAAUCAUAUACCAAGAUGCUCCUUUAUCUGAUGGCUACUUUGCAAAAGAAGAUUGGCAACAGUGGACAGAUUGAGGAAGUGGGGCUUGAAGGUGGAAUCAACAACUUGUGUUUUUUGUGCAACAAUUGAAGAAAGUAUGGAUCACCUAUUCUUUGAUUGCACAGCUACUCAAAGAAUUUGGCAAAAUGUGCAAAACAUGUGUGGUGUAUUUAGAAGUAAACUCUCUUGGGAUUGUGAAAUCGCUUGGCUUGCUCAUUACUGGUCAAAGGAUUCAUUCUGCAAUCAAUUAGGAGGACGGCUUCAGCAGUAAUAGUGUGUACCAUUUGGAGAGUUCGAAAUGAAAUUAGAUUCUAUUAAAAGCAAAGAUCGGACGUGGAUAUUCUUGAUGCCAUUAUUAACACAGUCCAUUAUGCAGCCGUUUCUUGGGAUAGGAUCCUAAGACUAAGGAGAAUUGGAGGAUGUUGGUGGAGUGUGGGAUCCCUACCAAAAUUUUGAUAGAGCAUGUAUUUGUGGAGUUCCAAGAAUAUACUGUAGGGAGGAGUGUAAUAGUUAUGUUAAGAGGAUCUGUGUGUAAUCUGAUUUCCUGAUAUUAAUAAAAUAUACGAUUUACACAAAAAAAAAAAAAAAAAAGACACACAUCAAAAACUGUAACUCCAAUUAGGUACCAGCUAGACUGAAUGUUCACUAAUGAUUUAGCCCUUUCAAGGGCUUCAUCAUCUUGGCAACUGACAAUAUCGUGUCCAUAUUCCGAGUUUAUAAAACAGCCUUUGGGAAUAUACUCUGGUGUGUAAAGCAUGACUCCCAUGACUAUCAUCCAAACUCCUUGAAACAAGACGCCAAGAGACCUUACGAAAUUAUUCAAGAAACUCUUUGGGUAACCUAUGCCUAAAAGGGUAGUGAAAAAAAAAGACAAGUAUGACAAUUUGGUGAAACCAGUGGGACUGCCCUUCCACACCCAUGUGAUCAGUCGAGUGGAAAUGGAAGAGGAGAAAUUGUUGGCCCAAAGAAAUGGCUCCUAUCAUUAGAGUUAGGCCAUAUUGAGCUGGGGGCUGGAUUUUGUCAAGAAUGAAGGAGAAAAGUGCAUAGAUAAAGAGAGACAAGGCUAUGUUUGUGUGCUCAAAGUUGCAAGGAUGGUCCGAUGGGAUGGUGCCAUCAGAAUCCAAUGGUUGGUGCCUGGCAGGACCAACGAAUAGUUCCAUAAAUAUAUAGGCAACGCAGCUUCCCAUCAGGAAGAAAAGUUCCAAGUACCUAAUUUUUGAAGUUGGAAACCAUGGCAAAGAUAUGUAGGAUUUUGGAUGGAGAAAGUGAAGCCUAAUAUGAUUAACUAAAUGCCAGAGCCCAAACAGAAAGAAGCCUAAUCAAGUGAUCACAUGUCCCACCAAACUGCCCAUUGCUAGUGCCUUGUGUUUUGCUUGCUUGAUUUGUAUGUUUUGUUUUAGGAAAUAAGGGUGCAAGGAGGUUACAGGGAAACCAGAUUUCUAUGUAUUCAAAGUAUGUUUACCAUACUACAUUAUGAGCCUAUAUAUAGGCUUACAUACAAAUUAAAAUAAGAAAAUUAGGUAAUACGAGAAACCUCUUGCUAAUCAUGACAAUCAAGUCAAAUUUAAUAUGGAUUAAAAAUUUUACAGAAACAAAUCAGAUCAAAUAUUUAUAAUCUAUAGGUAGGCUAUUUUAUUUUAUGCUCUAACAGCACAAGAUAUAUAAGAAGUGACCUUGAUCACUCCUUCCACUAAAGGUUAUUCUUUUUCGCACUAUUCUUUGUGCCUGCACACAAAUGGAAAAGAAAAUAGAAAAUAGAAAAGAAGCACUAUACAAGCAGAUAUUAAUUUUAAGCUCAAAAAAUUCUCUCCCCCAGGUGGCAACGUGGCUGAACAGAAUUUAAUCAUUUCUAGAUCACAAUUAGGCAUUUCGAUAUGUCUUACCACAUUGAGAGCUUAUGCACUGUUAGAGAUUCAGGCACUCAACAAGUUAAAUGAAGAUUUUUUGAUCAGUUGAUUCUUUGACUUAAUGGCUCAAUAUAUGUUAAGGUGAUCAAUUAGGUGGGAAGAAUGGACAACGAGAUGCUUCAUAUUUUACCCCGCUGACCAUAGAUUUGGCUUCGCCACUGCUACUGGCUAAUGGUUGGAAAGCUAGAUAUGUUGAAUACAUUCUUUGCUAAUUGUAGUAUCUAUCAGUCUCAGUAUUUAAUUACGAAAGGGAAUAAUUCAGUUUGAGGAACAACCAAAUUCAGCAAUCAAACGAAAUUUUUUGUUGGGCGCUUUCAUGAUUUAUUGAGCUUACCGACUUUCUCUUUCAAGUAACAUUCGUUUUGGUUGGUAUCAAUGCAAAAUCAAGUAAUCAUCAUACGCAACCAACUGAAUAACACCCUUAAGCGGGAUUACCUUUGAGAUGUCCUUCAAAAUUUUCAAAGUUUCAGGAACAGGAAAAUAGAAAUGUUGUUUUAGAGUUUUGGCACAGCUUGUGUGAUUGAAGAACGUUAAAAUAUGGUAUGCUCCUUUAACAAAAUUGAAUAUGGAGUCGCACAAUUAUUAAGAGUACUACGUAUUCUUUGGGAUGGUUUAAGGGUGAAUUCAAACUUGCACUGUUAGGCACCGUUUGGAUUGAGGGAAUUGGAGGGAAAGCAAAGGAGAAGAAUUGGAGGGAUUUGAUUUUUGUUGUUUGGUUUGACUUUGAGGAGAGAAAGGAAAGGAUAAGAGCGAAAGACUCUAGUUAUUUUAUUGAGUUAGUUUCCACCCAAAAAUGGGCAAAAACGGAGGAGAUGAAACUAAAUCAAUUAAAAUAAUUAAAACUUUUUAAACGAUAGUUUAUUUUUUAUCUUUUCCAGUGAAUUAACACUUGCAUGUCCACUUUGUGUUAUCUGUUUCGGUUGCAACAGUUUUACUAUUAGCUACAUAUUGUUAUAUUCAUGGAAAUUUUUUUAUUGAUUUUUUUUAAAAGUGAGAUGUCUUGAAGACAAUCCCUCACAUCUUACCGCUCAACCCAAUUCUCUCCUGUUAUACUCUUGAAAAUUGACCUUACAGUAUCUAGUUAAUCUCUCUAUCAAUUAAACUGAAUUUUGGGACAAAAUAUUUAGGGUGAAAACAAUGAGAUAAGAAGAGCCCGAUUUUUUUUUUAUGGGAAUAUUCUAAACUUUACAAGAGUGAAGGGAAAAGAGGAGGAAUUGUCGGAUCAAGAAUUUUACAGAUCAUCUGACUAAUGUCCCUACUAGUUAAAUUGGAUCUUAAGGAUUCUGCGUGUGUGUGUGUCUAUAUAUAUAUAUAUAUAUAUAUAUAUAUAUAUAUGCAUGCGUGUCUAUACACACACUACUGUAUAUUCCUGUAAAUUAUGCAAAUUGACACGCAACAACUAAAAAUGUAAAUAACGUGAUUUAUAUUAAUUAAUUAAGAUUGGUUUAAUUUUUAAUAGAUAAUUGAUAUAUUCUUUAACAAUGUGGGUAUAAUACUGUAUGAUGUUGGAAGAAAAGUAAUCUUAAACGUUGUAUGAUAUGCUAUGACAUACAGCACUGGGAGAGCUAGAAAAACUUUUCAGUGGGAAUGCAAAUUAAAAUAAAUUCUUUUAGUUCUAUAAAUAAAAGCGAAUAAUAUUUUGUAAUAAGUUAUUAGCCAAUUUUUGUAUGUUGUUUUCUAAAUACAUUUCCAGCCAUUUUUUACUCUUGAACUGACUUUUUCAUCUUAUUUAUUAAUCCAUCUUCAAGGUUUCCCACUUUACAAAGCAGACUUAAGAAAAAAGAUCAUUUUCAAUUACGUUACCCAGAGAAACCGAUGCCACAAGGCAAGAAAGGCAAGAAAUUGCUUUCCCCGUCCCCAUGGAAGACAGUAGCAUCACUUCACAAAAAUCUUAUCAGUGAAGAAUACAAAAAAGAUGCAUCAAAUGAUAUUCAAACAGAAAGAAAUAAACAGUGACUACAAAUGUAUUUAAUAAAUAAUAUAAGAGGAUAUUCGAGAACUAAACUGUUUAGGGCAUUAGACUUGUAAUAAUCAUUAAAACGAUGAUUCAAGUCUACUAUUUGUUUGUUUGAUUAAGAACUGUUAUUAAGUUACUUAAAAAUGCAUAUGUAAAUUUUAUUUAUAUAAAAUUAUUAGGUGUAAAUACAAAAUUUUUGUAAAUUUGAACACCUAAAUUAAAAGUUUUUCCUUUAGGCCCUAUUUGAUAACUCAAUUUAAUAUUUAAAAUUAAUGAAUUCAGAUCUUAACAUAUUUUAACUAUUUGAUAACAAAAAUUGAACAUCUGAAUUAAUUAAGUGGCGCUUAAUUUGUUAGGUAAGACUUGCUUCUAAAAUUAAAUAAUAAGUUAUUCACUUAUCAUUAAAUGUGACAUAUAUUUAAAUAUACUAAAUUUAAUACUUAACAAUUCAAUAAUUUAAUGGAUUCAAAUUUCAGAUUUCAAACUUCAAUUUUCAGAUUUCAUUUUUAUCAAAGGCACCGUUAGUUUGUGGAGGCACAUUUAUAAAUUAAUAGAAUACAUUUAAUAUUUUUCUAAAAAAUCUAUGUCUAAUGUUGAAAAUUUCAUUUGUCGAGUGGGGCACAGGACAAUGGAGCUAUCACCGGAGAAUAAAUCAAACAGCUCCGCCCCGCCCUGUCUCCCAUAUGAUAUCUCGGAGUAAUAAUAUUGUCUGAUGAUGGAAGAAAAAAGAUGAAGAACGCCCUGAGCCUUUUCACACACAAAGAAAUAGUAAGCAAGCAAGCCCUGAAACAACGAAAAUAGCUUCCCGUUGCACACAGUAGAAAGAGAAUCAGAUGAGGAUGAAUUUUCCAGCAACAACUAUUUGUGCUGGGAGUUUCUUCAAAGAUUAACGAACUUGACAUGCAAGAUUAUUGGAAUAGCAAAUCGAAACAGCUUAUUAUUGAUAAUCAGCAGUAAAUGACAAGGUAAAGGGAACAGCAGACUUGCAGAGACAGAUGAAUUUGGAACGGCUGAAACCUCAGGCAGGCCGGUUGGCCGGCUCGAACUAACCGUCUGGCCGCUCUUUUCUUAACUCGAAUAGCGAAGAAUUUUUCGGGCUGACAUGAGUUCUUGACCUUGACUACCAGUACUGUUGAAGCUUAGAAAUGAUGAGGCAUCUCUGAAAAUUUUGCCGUCUGACAAAAUAGGAAGACUGAAACGGCGGCAAUCAUAGAUUUGGCAAAAUGAUUGGAAGAGAAGCAGCAGCACGAUCAAUGCUGGGACGAGUGGCUUCAAGAGAUUAAAGAAAGGAACAAUACGAUUCUUUAUCCAGAUGCAGGUCUUCACAAAAGGGUUAUUACUGAAUUGUUCUCGGAGAGCAUUGCCAAAUUCAUCAGCUGUAGACAUUUCAUUCUUGUCACCUCCGUUAGCGAUGAUGGAUUUCCUCAAGUUAGCGAAGAGGCAGACGACUUCAUCAUUUUCCAUUUCCCCUUUGACAAUCUGAGCAUUCCUUAGAAUCUUCACGUCCUUCUCACCUCUUAUCAAUCCAGACAGGAGAUAAAUAAAAUAUUGAAAUACUGACGAAAGAUCGGGUGCUGAAGCUUCGAAUGCCAAUAGAUUUCUUAACAUCACCUCUGAAUUUUUACCCAGUUUCAAGGUUGGGAGGAAGAAUACAUUCUCGGUGACAUCAUAUACAGUACCUUGGAUACCAGAUGCCGGCAAAAGGCAAGUAAACGUUGUUUCACAAACGUCAUGCAGUUGUGACACCGAUGGAAGUAAGUUCCCUUGCAGCUUAUCUUGAUCAAUACUAGUAUUAGGACUUAAAAUUUUCCGAGCAUUUUCAGCCGUCGUGAGAAUCAAGCCAACUUUUCCUGGCUCCUGAAGACCCACAGAUUUCGAGCUUUUAAACACGGCCAACAAUUCAUCUACCCCCAGCUUAAUAGUCUCUGUUAGCCUAGACAGAACAUGUUGCGUGACUGCCCAUAUAUGCUGUGCAGCUUUCACUUUGCCAUCAUAAGCCCGCUUGUAUGUUGUAAUGAUAUCACUGAUUUUGAUCAGAGUUAACUGGAGGUAGGGAAAAGUGACCGAGAGAAUUGGGAAGGGAAGAAACAGAGAGGGAAGGUAUAUUGAAAGGGAUUGAGAAAACUGAACUCGUUCUGUUUGAUAGCGUGCCCCAUCCGUCCUCUUUUAGGCUUAUUUAUACAAGCUUCUUCCUCUAGAUCCUUCUGCGUUCUAACCUCCUAACUGAAUGAGCAUGCAUGCAAGCAUGCUAUUUUUGGAUGUCUAACAGAGUAACUAACUUCUGGAUCGCUAACUAACUUCCUAAUAAGGAAAGCAUAGCAGAUACAUUUCUGCUAAAAGUAUUUAUAAUAUCUAGGGUCAUUACAAUACCUUCCCCUUAAGAAUCCUAGUCACUAGGAUUGAGCUGAAAAUUUGGAAACUGUGAUUGUAUCACCGUGACAUCCUCCCAAGUUGAGUCUUCAGUGCCUAGGUUCAUCCACUUGAUCAGCACUUGAGUCAUCUUCUGUUUUUUUCUUAUGAUUUCACGAGUGGCCAGUACACUUUCUGGUGCAAUCUUGAUCUGUCCCUCAGCCGUAGUCAAAGGUAACUCCUGAGUUAUAACAUGAUUCUUUGCAGAUGGUUUGAGCAAGGAAACAUGGAAGGUAGGAUGUAUCGCAGAGCCAGCCGGUAACUCUAGUUUGUAGGCUGCAUUUCCAACUUUUUGAAGGACCUUAUAUGGCCCAUAAUACUUGGAAGAUAACUUCAGAUUCUUCCUGAUUGCUACCGAAGUUUGUCUGUAAGGCUGCAAUUUCAAGUAUACCCAAUCACCAACCUGGAAAUUCCUUUCAAUUCUGCCCUUAUCCGCGAACUGCUUCAUACGAUUCUGAGCCCUGAUGAGAUUUCCCCUCAGCAAUUCAUUCCAUUUCCUCCUAUCUCCCAACCACUGUUCCACAGCAGCUACUGGAGUCUCUAAGGCAUUCAGGCCCAAUUGAGAGGGUGGAUAACCGUACAGAGCCUGGAAAGGAGUCAUUUUCAAGGCUGUGUGAUGGUUGGUGUUGUACCACCAUUCAGCAGCUGCUAAUAAGAACUUCCAUUUAUGAGGUUGUUGGAAACAUAAACACCUCAAGUAUGUCUCAACGCACCUAUUCAGCCUCUCCGUCUGCCCAUCUGUCUGAGGGUGGUAGGCAGUGGAGUAGUGCAGCUCAGUACCUAGCUUCCCAAAUAAUUCCUUCCAGAACAUGCUAGUAAACAGCCUAUCCCUGUCUGAUACAAUGCUCAGGGGUAACCCAUGCAAUUUGUAGACAUUAUCAAAGUACAUGUUAGCUACUGACUGUGCUGUAUACUUAGGAGGUAAUGGUAAGAGGUGGCAGUAUUUGGUGAACCUGUCAAUGACUACCAGCAUUCCUUCAUAUCCCUGAGACUUGGGCAAUCCUUCCACGAAGUCCAUUGAAACAUGCUGCCAUGCCUGCUCGGGUACAGGAAGUGGUUGCAGUAGGCCUGGUGUUUUGCAAUGUUCUACCUUGCUUCUUUUAAACACGUCACAUUGCUGCACCCAACUUUCUACCUCCUUCUUCAUUCCUGGCCAGAAAAAUGGCCCUUUCAACCUCUGAUAGGUUCCCAGGUUGCCUGAGUGCCCUCCUAGGUGCGAGUCAUGAAGGCAAGUUAUCAGCUUCUGUCUCAAGCUCCCUGAUGCUCCAAUGUAAACCCUGCCUUUAUACCUGAGUAAUCCCCCACUCAAAGAGUAAUUGGGAAGAGAGUCAGGUGUAAUGGUCAAGGCUUCGGUUAGCUUAGUUACGGCACUAUCCCCCUGGUAACUCUCCAGGACUUCAGAUAGCCAUGCAGGUUUCAUGACCGAGAGGCUGUGUGUAGAGCUGUCUUCUUCAUAGCUUCUUCUAGACAGUGCAUCAGCCACAAGAUUUUCCUUACCUCUCUUGUACUGUAUUUCAUAAUCCAGUCCCAGCAACUUAGUAAGCCACUUUUGCUGUAGGGGAGUGGUUAUCUUCUGCUCUAGUAGGUACUUUAAGCUCUGGUGAUCUGUCUUGAUAAUGAAAUGAUUCCCCAACAAAUAAUGCCUCCACCUGGAUACAGCUGUGAUAAGGGAUAACAACUCCUUCUCAUAUAUUGACAACCCCAAGUUUUUAGGCCCCAAGGCUUGACUGAGAUAAGCAAUAGGCCUUCCUUGCUGCAUGAGUACAGCUCCUAUAGCCUUAUGACUAGCAUCUGUUUCCAGAACAAAUGGUAAGGAAAAAUUAGGGAGUGCGAGGACAGGUGUGUUACUCAUCAGUUGUUUGAGUUUUUGGAAAGCUAGUUCAGUAUGUUCACUCCAGUGGAAGUUUACUUUCUUCAGCAACUCCGUAAGUGGCUUGGCAAUGAGCCCAUAACCUCUCACAAACCUCUUGUAAUAGCCUGUGAGUCCCAAAAAUCCUCUCAAAGCCUUCACUGAUGUAGGUGCAGGCCAGUCCAUCAUGCUUUUGACUUUUGAGGGGUCAGCCUGUACUCCAUUACUACUGAUAAUGUGUCCCAAAUACUCCACUUGGGACUGUCCAAAGAAAUCUGAGUGUUUCUAGGACAGUUUUGAGGUGUGAAAGGUGAGUGUUUGGGUCAGGACUAUACACAAGGAUGUCAUCAAAAAAUACUAGCACAAAUUUUCUCAAGUAAGGUUCGAAUACAUGGUUCAUCAGGCUCUGAAAAGUUGCUGGUGCGUUAGUAAGGCCAAAUGGCAUGACUGUGAAUUCAUAAAGUCCAAGGUGAGUUUUGAAGGCUGUUUUUGGAAUAUCAUCUAGGUACAUUCUGAUUUGAUGGUAACCGGCUCUUAGGUCGAUCUUAGUGAAGAUCUUAGCACCAUAUAGCUCAUCGAGCAAAUCAUCAAUGAUUGGUAUUGGAAAUUUAUCUUUGAUAGUCAAGUCAUUUAAUUGUCUGUAAUCAACACAGAAUCGCCAAGUUCCAUCUUUUUUCUUAACUAACAGAACUGGAGAUGCAAAUGGACUAUGGCUGAGCUGAAUAAUGCCACUACUAAUCAUGUCUUUUACCUGUUUCUCUAUUUCAUUUUUCUGGUUGUGAGGAUACCUAUAAGGUGCUAAUUUGAAUGGUUUGGCAUUGGGUAUUAAAGGAAUUUGGUGGUCACAAUCUCUGGAGGGAGGAAGGGAUUUUGGCUCCCCAAAUACAUCUUUGUAGUCCGCAAUUAGAGCAUCUAGGGGCUGUUGAAAAGCAAUAUCCAACUGAGUUACAGAGUGUACCUGAGUUCCACUCAUCUUCAGCCCACAGGCAUGCUUCCAGAUUUUGGUGCUUAGUCCUUCCUUCUCAGCAUUAUCUUUAGGAAGCUUAAGUACCGCCUCCUUCGACUCUCCUUGUAGCCAGAUCCUUUCCCCUUCCUUAUCAAAUGUCAUGUUCAACUGCCUGAAGUCAAAGGUGAUGGGGCUGUGUGCAGCCAUCCAAUCCACUCCUAUGAUCAUAUCAUAAGGUUCUAUGUUAAUGAUAAACAUGUCAUGAGUGAAUGGUUUACCUUGCAUUUCCCAGUUCAUGUUUGGAAUCAUCCUACUACAGGUCAAAUACUCCCCAUUAGCCACCUUGACCUUGAAGGGCUUGAUUGACUGGACCAUCUCUGGAAAGAGUUGAGCCACAGUAUUUUUGACAAAGCUGUGAGUACUUCCCCCAUCCACCAAGAUUGACAGGGGGGUUCCUUUGAGCAGCCCCUGCAAUUUGAUGGUAUUGUAAGUCAUUUUCCCCGUCAGUGCAUGUAUUGCCAUUUCCACUCCUCUGGCCGACUGAGCCCCUUGGUACUCAAUUACCUCCCCUUCCUCCAGAUCCUCAGGCCUAUCUUCUACUGCGACCAUCAAAUGAAUCUCCUUCUGCUUGCACUGGUGACCUGGACCAAACUUUUCUCCACACUUGUAGCAAAGGUGAUGUUCCCUUCGGUACUGCAGCUCUUCUGGUGUGAUUUUCUUGAAGUGUUGGGGUGUUUUUUUGACAGACUUGGCAAUGACAGGUUUGGUAGGUGCCAUAGUUUGCUGAGCAGCAGCCUGCGUGGAGUUUCCCCAACCCAUGGCCCUUUGAUGAGGUUUGUGCUUCCUGUGGUAGGCUUCAAAGGCAUUCUCCUGUAGUCUGGCCAACUCAAAGGCUUUGGACAGUGUCCUAGGGUCGUGAGCUUUCACCAUUGAUCUCAAUUCAUCUGGCAAUCCACUCAAAAAACAGGAAAUGUAGUAGUUUUCUGGAAGGUGUGGGGCUCGAAUCAUUACCUCUGAUAACAGCUCCUCAAAUUUUUCUUGAUAUGCUAGGACUGUGGGAGAGAGUUGCAACUUGUUGAAUUCCUCCACUGGAUCCAUCUGUCCUAAGGUUCCAAACCUUUUACACAGCUCUUCAGAAAACUCCAUCCAUUCCACCUUGUUACUCCUAGUAGAUCUGAAUCCUUGAUACCACACUGCCGCCUUCUCCUCCAAGUGGAACUCUGCCAACUCCAUCCAUUGCUCCUUGGAAAUGUGCAGAAGCUGGCAAUAUUUCUGUAGUUUCCUGAUCCAUUCCCUAGGAUUGUUUCCCCUAAAUGCUGGAAUUUCCAAUUUAGGCGUACUAGCGAAGAAGGCACUCCUAGUGUUCCUUUCUCCUUGAUCUCUACUCCCCAGGUCGGAGCUUCUGGAGUAACUUCCUUCUGGAGAUCCUAAUAUGCCUUUCUCUUGAUUUCCACGGUUUAAGCUGGAGAGCUGCUGCGAGAUGGCUGACAUGAACGCAUCUAGCUUAUUGCCCAGCUCAGCACUCACUGCAUCCAGCCUCUCCUCCAUGCUUUGCUUGUCUGCCGCCAAGGAUUCCAGAAUUCCGUGAAUCUUGCUUUCUUGCCUGCGGAGCUGUUCCUCCAUCGUCUUCAUCCUUGUUCCAUCCGCCAUUGUGAUAUGUCGAUCUAAGCUUCCUAGUCCAAGGACCGGAAGCUCUGAUACCACUUGUAAUGAUAUCACUGAUUUUGAUCAGAGUUAACUGGAGGUAGGGAAAAGUGACCGAGAGAAUUGGGAAGGGAAGAAACAGAGAGGGAAGGUAUAUUGAAAGGGAUUGAGAAAACUGAACUCGUUCUGUUUGAUAGCGUGCCCCAUCCGUCCUCUUUUAGGCUUAUUUAUACAAGCUUCUUCCUCUAGAUCCUUCUGCGUUCUAACCUCCUAACUGAAUGAGCAUGCAUGCAAGCAUGCUAUUUUUGGAUGUCUAACAGAGUAACUAACUUCUGGAUCGCUAACUAACUUCCUAAUAAGGAAAGCAUAGCAGAUACAUUUCUGCUAAAAGUAUUUAUAAUAUCUAGGGUCAUUACAUAUGUCUCCUCUUGUAGCUCUUCCAACUCUCUAUCUACUCCUAAGCAGAUAUCGUACACAUAUUGCAGAAUAUGAUUCCCUCUGGCUUUGAACAUUGCAUAAUCAAGCUCCGAAUUCGGGUCAUACUCGAUUUCAAUUGGAGCUAUGUCGUAGCAUAAGCGACACAAUGCUUCUCCAAUAUCUUUGCCCUGGGGAACAGGAUACUUGUAUUGGAGGACCUUAGGGAUUUCCUCCAUCAACAACGUGGGGAUUUGGUUCUCCAGCAUCACUAUAUCUCCAAGAAAUGAUUCAUCUGAGGAAGAAGUAGAAGAAGAACAAUGAUCAGACCGUUUCUCCGAGUAGGCUUGAACGAGAUGCAGCAAGAAUAUGGCGUCGAUGAUGACAAUCCAAGCCAAACUCUCUCGAUCCAGAUCAAUACUUCUGCUGUAACAGGAACGGAUCUUUGCUUCAAAAGAUAUUGGACAAUUCUCGACUAUCCUAAUAAAUUCCUCAAUGUCUUCGAUUUUCAACAAAUCUUUCACUGUAUCUCGCUUUUUGUUGGUCAUCAGUUGGAGAUCAGGGCGAAGAUGAUGAUAAGGUCCUAGGCCGACUUUCCGAGGAGCAUAAGCGUCCGGCUUUGUGUCCGACAACCUCUUAGGAACCUCAAAAACGCUAGGCCCGAUAUCAGAGGGAUGCCGGUACCGAUCCUUUGUCUGUUCAGCCCAGCUCCUAUGACUGCCAUUGGAAGUGGAACUAUUGCUACUGAAAUUGGAUGACAUGUUCUCUCUCUUGGUUGUCAAGUUACUGUUAGCAACAUGUAUAGAUCAAAAUUCGGCACUAGUUAAAGAGGAAGUUUUAUUAUUUAUAAGUAAGGUAUUAAGUUUUUGCUUAUUCUUAAGAAGACCACCACCUCGUUUAAUUGUAUGCUCGAACAUCAUGGUUUAUAACAAAAUUAUGGAGAGCAUAAACUGUGCUCCUUCUUUUAUUUUUUAUUUUUUCAAUUCCUGAAACCAAAAUCCUUUAACAAUUCGCUUUGCAAACUAAACCAUUUCAUGCAUCUUAUACUAUUUUUCUUUGUUGACAAACAAUUCAUCUAUUAUUUUUUGGUCAAGUAAUUCAUCUAUUAUAUUAGUGCAAUUUUUAAUUCCAUGAUAAUAUAUUAAUGUAGAAACUUCUUUGGAUUGGGAAAAGGUAGAUUUUAUUGUAUAAUAUUGCGGAUUAAUUACUUAAAUAAUUUAAUUAUUAGAUAUGAUUUUUUUAAUUAUUUACUAGUGAAACAGCAAUAAUAGACCAUUCAUAUUAUAUUUUAGUAACACGCAAUUUUCUGUACAUCUAUCUCUACCUCUUCAUCUUCUUUUCUUUUUGUUACCACUACGAUUUCCAUGAAAGUAUACAAAACAUUACAAGAUUUUUACUAGAAUACGCAUUUGAUCCAUUGAAAUAUAUUGGGGCUGCAAGUAUCCUUGAAAAGAUGAUAAAGUUUUUCCGAAAACCUAAGCGCUAUUGGGCACUUGAGUUUUUUGCCAAGUUUGUCUGUUACAAGUUUUUUAAAAACUUUAGUUACAAUAAUAUAAAAAAAAAUUUCAAAGUCUUUAAACUAUACACUUCAAAAUAUUAAAAAAUUUACAUAUUUCAAAAUUUUUUUAAAAACUUCUAUAAUAAAUUAGAGUAAAGUUUUAUACAAAUACUCAAACAACUCACUUGCCAAAUGGGACCCUAAUUUUUGGAUUUAGUGCAGUACUGGUGGCAUCGGUGGAAUGAAGAAAUGACAGCAAUUUGUUAACUUUUUUUUCAUUUCAAUUGCUAAAGACCCGGUUUAAUUGAAUAUAGUAUCCUACUUAUAUAGCGCCAAGCGCUCCUUAUCUCAAUUAGAGCUUGCCUAACCAAAUGUUUUCAAGGUAAAUUAUGUACAACCCCCUUGUUGUUUUGUAUAAUGUUAGAUGACCCUUUUAAAGUUUUAAAUUGCCAUAUAACCCUUCUGUAGUUUUACGUAAAGUAAAAAUGGACGGAAUAUACAAUCAGUUAUGGCAAUUAUACAAAAUAUGCCCCAAAAAUGUGUGUGAUGAAAUCACAAUAUCUACCUAACCUCUAUAUUGUUUUCAUAAUCAUCCACUUUGCCCCCUAUGGUCUUUGCAUUUAUCCACGUAAUUCCCGGAUGGAUUUAUAUAAGGUGAUUAAGUCAUUAUUUGAUUUAGUAUUUAAGUAUGGGUACUAUUGAAAUUUUAACUAAUGAUGUGAUGGGGUGUUAAUUGUCGGUUAUUUUAUUAUUAAUUUUCCCCUUGUCCCUGCCAAAUAUUGUCUUAAUUAUUAAUAUCUAUUUAUAUUUGGUAUCUGGACUUAAUUUCAGGAAAUGAAGCAGAAAAUUACAAAAAAGGAGGGACUUUCUGAAGCAAAUUACUUCACAUGUGGGAGUCUUCUGCAAAGCUCCAUCAACGUGGCCCACAAAAGGGAAGAAACGGAUAUUCAUUUGCUCUUGCUGAUGAGGAGUGGCUGGUACAAGGAGUCCUACUAUCAAUAGGAAACAAGGAGGAAUUUCGGUAGAGCUCCAAUUCUUUGGCUCUUUGACUCUCAAUUCUGCGGGGACCACAGGGAUAGCAUUAGUCAUCUUUCUUUUGGCUUUAAAAAGGGACAAUCGUGCAGAGGCUUGGGGGGGGGGGGCUUAGUCUUUAGAAUAGUUUUAGUCUUUUCUUUCUUUUUCUUUGUUAGGCGCAUGCCUACUGUUCGACAAUAUUCCCCAACGGGAAAAACAUCUCUUAUUUCUCGUUUCCUAGUGAAAAAUUUGAUGCCUUUGCAAUCAAUUGAUUUGCAUAGAGAUUUAUUUAUGCGGUGUGGCUAAACCUGUCGUCUAGUCGAAGGCCAACUUGAAGGCGCGGUUCCAAAUAUCUAUGAGAUCGAAUUAAUUUUAUUUAUUUCUUUUAUUCAUUGGUAUUUGUACGUUUCCUGAUUUAAUUGCUUAUGCUUGCUAUGUUAUUUGAAUUUCAAAGGCCCGAUAUUCGAAUUAACCUAGUGAUCUAAUGCCAAAUUAAUUGAUUGAAUCAGUAAUUGUUCAAUUGAUUAAUACCAGUGGUGACUAGCGUGAUUGGUUUCAUGUUAGGGAAACGUAUGAUCUAACUUAAACAAACCCUUGUAGCAUGUUUGUUGGUUAGAGUUGGGCUUUUCUAAUUAUUAAUGCAAUCGGGUAAUUAAACCCUACGGUUGUACCUAGGGUUAUUUCUUGGUUAGAGAAAUAGUUAACGGUCAUACUUUAACUAUCGAGAAAUUAAGGAAAGGCUAGUUGUUCAUCGCAUGUAUGAUAACUAUAACCAAUCUAGUAAUGAGUAAUUGAAUUAUCUUUGCAUCGAUGAUCAGUUAAAUGGACCGUGUCUGAAAAGUUGCACUUUUGGUUAGAGUCGUAUUAGUUAUUGAUUAAUUCUUGUUUAUUUCUAUUAGUUGUUUCAGUAGUUAGUUAAUUAGUCAUUUUAUACCAAAAUCCCUCAUGCGCUGAAUUCUAGAAGAAACGAAUUAUCCCCAGUGUCUGUGGAUUCGACCCUGCUCACCGUUAUAUACAAAAUUUAUAUUUUUCUUGAGUAGGUAAUUAUUAUUGCACAGGCUCGACACCCUGUCAUGAUAUUACGUAGGUUAUUUUUCCUCAAAAUUUUACUUUACAUAAGAUCAUAGAGAGAUGAAGUGAAUAUUUUAAAACUUUAAGAGGAUCAUGUGGCAAUAAAUGAAAUCACAGGAGUUAUAUGUAAUUUACCCAUGUUUUUUUUAUCUAGGCAGGGUUGUAUGUGACAUGUAAUAUGGUAUUAAUUGCAAUUUUAAACCUCUUGUUGUCACUUAGAUGACUUUCAUAUUCUAUAUUAAUUGCAAUUUUAAACCUUAAAGGUUGGUAUAAGAUAGAUAGUCAAUAAACCAUGGAUAAAGGCGGGUCCACGUUCUAUUUGUCAUCAUCUCCUCUAUCAAUUUCUUCCCCUCUAUCAUUGCUUGGACCUGAUUCCGCAGGUUUACCAAUUUUGGCCGAUCAUGGUCUUGAGUAACACUGUGAAUUCAGUUCACUCAUAUUUCUGUAUGGUUGGUAAUGUAUUCAUACCUGUCCCUGUGUAUGAGCAUAUCGACAGUGUAACGCAUUAAUUAUUUCAGCAAAUCACACCUUUAUUUCUCUCUAGACACACUAUUAUAGCAGGAAUAAAAUAUUGUAUCAAAAUUGAAAUUGAGAUGUUAAAUGAACACUACGCAUGUGAGAUGUACCUGUUCUAUUUUUAUCUGAAAUCUUUUGGUAAGAUGUCGAUGUAGAUAAUUUUCCCCUCAUUUUCUGGUGCAUACCUAUUUGUUUACUUUUGUUUUUGGAAGAGAUCUUUUGAAUACUUAGAGGGAGUUUAAUAACCCUAUUAAGUGCUUAAAAUUAAUGGACCAAAUACUUUUCAAUUAAGCUUGUUGGAUAACAGUAUUUCUCUUACAUUUGGAUACAAUUAAAUCCGUUCAUUAAUUUUUUUUAACAAAAUUGCAAGUAAAAUAAGCCUUGUAUCACGUUCUUUGCUGAUUUAUUAAAUAAAAUACCUUUUUUGGAUAACGUGCAGAAAAAAUUCAAAUUUCAUCAAGAACCUCAAGCCGGCAAGAAUUAAUUCUGGCCGCCCUUUUCUCUUAAUCAGCUUGAAUAGCCUAGAAUUUUCUGGCCAGACAUGAAUUCAGGUUGACUGGUGUUCAAGCUCAGAAACGAAGCAUGUCUCCCUUUGAGCAACCAUCUGACCAAACAGAAAGAUGAAAAAGCUGGCAAUCAAAGAUUUGGCUAAGCAACAAAAGCAGCACUUCAACAAAUCCUGGGUGCUGAUACCAAGCGAUACAGCAUUAAUGGAGUUGAACUGCUGAUUUUGGAGGAAAACUCCACAUCUAUAAAUAUCCAAAAAUACAUCAAAUUGGUAACAACCUUUUCCCUCGACAAAGACAUGACAUUUCUCUCCUUUUAUACAGCUUUCUUAGAAGUCAUAUACUAGAAUUAGGAUUUCCAAAGUUUUCUUAGAAGUAUUAGGCUAAUUUCUGGGAUUUCCAAAUUUUCAUGCAAUCAUUUUGUUUUUAGUUCAUAUUUUCAGUAGUUUCAUGUCUGUCUUUGUACAAAUCAGCAAGACUAGUUUGAAUGUUAUUUCCAUUUCCGAGCAAUCUUCAUGACUUUUCUAGCAUAUUUCAUGUUUUAUAAUUCAUUAGCUUUAGCCAUUGGUCAUUGUUUGUGUAUUCUUUCCUUCUUAAUCAGUUAUUCUUGGCACAAAUUUUUAAGUCCUUGAGACUGCUCAAGGCAGAAUGACUAGCAAUUGUCCUAGAAGUUAGCAUAAUACAUGCAUUCUCAUUUCACCCAAUCGGUUCAUUCAUAAGGUUUUCUUGAUUUUCCUUCCACAAACUAGGUGACAUGCUAGCGACCAUCACUUCAUUGGCAACAGCUUGUAGAUAGGUAAAAAUUGGUGCAAAUAGUAUCAUAACACAUUUAUUCAUAUUUUUAUUAUUUUUUAGCAGGAAAGAGUAAGAUUUAAGAAGGAAGGCAUAGAAGGAUUAAACAGUCAAUAAUAUUUCAUUAUUAUCCCAUGAAAAGAAAAUAAAGUAAAGAUUAAAAGGAAGAGUGAGAAAAUGUUGUAUACUAUUUUUCAUAAAUUGGAAGGAUAAAGUGCAAAAAAAAAAUUAUUACUAUUGUUGGAAUUGAGUUUUAUCCCACCAAACCCAACAACUAUUAUCAUAUAACCAUGGAAUUCUAUGAACCUCUUAUAUUCGAACAUCCAAACAACGUGCAGAGUAGAAAACAAAAUGGAUGAAAAAUGAGUCUACAUAUCCCAAGAGUACUCAAACCUAUGCAUAACCACAAUAUGAACCAAUAUCCUAUUAAACUAAUUGAAUAUAUUUUAUUUUUUAAGUAUCCUUGAUUUCACUAUUAGUUUUUGGUAGAAAUCAAAAUGAAAUUUUAGUUUGUUCACACUAAGCAUUAUGGGACGGAAUUAUUAUUAUUGACCAAUGGGAUAAAACUAAGGUAGUCAUCAAUGGAAAAAAGUUUAAAAUUUAAAAUUUAAUUGUCUUCAUUUUGAUAGUAGCAUUGAUUGAAGGAAACAAAUAAGCUGAAUUUGAUUUUUCUUUACACUAAAAUUUUCAAAAUUUAGUAAUAGUAACUUCUAAUAUAUAAUCAAGCCAAAUAAUAAUUUACAAGACGUGAUUGGAGAGAAAUAAUAGAAAAUUAUAAGUUGAUUGAUAAAAAAAUUUAGAAAAGAAUAAUAAAUACAAAUGCAUAUAAUGUGGAAAAUAAUAAAUUAAUUGAAAAUUGUUAUAAAUAAGGAAGUCAAAAAGGAAAGAGAAUAAUUGUUUCAAAAAAAAAAGAAAAAGAAUAAAAAUAUCAAAAACCAUAAACAUUAAAUAGGUUCAUGUACUAGAAAGAUAGAUAUUCCACUUGGUAGAAGGUAAAAGUAGCUAAGUCAGCAACAUUCUAAAAUCAAAUCUAAAUACACACACACACACACAUAUAUAUAUAGACACACACACACACAUACACGUAUAUGAUAAUGCUCACUUAUUGAGAGAGAAAUGAAAUUGAAAAAGUAUUGGAAUUAGAUAAAUAGGUGAAUAGCUUUUUAUUAUAUAUACGGACGAUAGAGUGUAUCCUUUUCUAAUUGUUCUUAAUUAAAAAAAUAAGGAACAGUUGUAUAUUCUAGUUUUUUUUUCUUUUCUUCCAGAAAUGAAUUUAUGUUGCAAGAAUCAAGCUUAAUUAGCAUUGAUCCACACCAGCAUAGGCAUAUACUUCAUUAAAUUAAUGAGCAAGAAUUAAAAAUGUAUUAUUGAAGGAAAAGAUAGAAUUGCAUUUAAAUAAGCUUUAUAGCUAGGAAAUUGUGUAAGCACAACUGGCAUGCAAUGAGCAUGUAUACCAUGCCGGCUAAAUGAAUAUGUAUAGGCAUACUACCAAAUAUGGAAAAAAAUAACGAGAUAUAUUUAUUUAUUUAUUUAUCUAUGGAAAUUAAAUCUAAAUUCAAUUAGAAAUCAUAACUUGUUACAUCGGAUCCUAAUUGCUAUUCUUAAUCCUUUUCCCUUUUUUCACAAAUAGCAAGUUAGAAUGGGAAAUAGUAACAAAGUUGUUAAGACUUACCAUAAUUUCAAUGUUAGGCAAAUAGUAAAGGCCAGAAAUCUACAAAAAUAUAAAUGGUAACAGAUAAUUCGAAUUGGGCAACAAUCCUGCAAAUUGGUUACUUUGAAAGCUUAUAAAUUUACCUAGUCAUGAGCUCCAAUACACACUAAUGACCUCAAAACUAGUUAUGGAUCGCCAAUUCUGUAUUGUGAAUGCAAUGAAGGUAUUCUAUUGCCUUAUUCUAUUAUCAAUGGUAAACUUUUGGGAUGCCUCAAGCAAGAAGAUUCUGGUGAAGAAAAAGCUGAGCCACCGAACGAGAGCCCUGUCAAGGCCAUCAAGGUUGUCCCUCCUUGUGUAGAUGGCACGUGAAUGCUUCCUGAUUCAUUUCGGAUUGGGCUUGCAUUCAUGUUCUUGUGUAUGUACAAUAUAUGUGUGUGUGUGUGUUUUAUUUUUUGUGCACUUUUCUAUUUUGGUCCUCUAUUCACUUGUAUAAUUUAUUGAAAAUUUAAGUGUGGUUUUUAUAUUCUAAAGUUGUCACAUUAGUAGCUUCAUGUGGCCGAGCCCAGAUGGUGAUAUUAUUGACUGCAUUCAUAUUUAUGAUCAGCCAGCAUUUGAUCAUCCUUUGCUCAAAAACCAUACUAUUCUGGUGAGCAUUUUUGUUCUACUUAAAAGCAAUACAAAUGAAAAUUCUGGUGAGCAUUUUUGUUCACCUUAAAAGAAAUACAAAGGAAAAUUCUCUAGAAUUAUAUGUAAACAUUUGAAUACGUUUGGUAAUUGUUUUAUUUGAUGAAAGCAAAAUGUAUCUGUUUGGAUGUUGCAGACGAAGGCUAGUUUUCACCCAGAGAAAGGUAUUAUUGGUGAGAAUGAUGCUUUCGAUUUUGAAGACCAUGGGGAGGAUGAUAAAAUCACUCAGUUAUGGGGUGAAUUCUUAGUUCAUGAUGAAAAAAAAAAAAAAAGGCAUUUACAACUGGGGCGUUUUUGGAGACACGUUCUACAAUAUGGGGUCGUCGCAGUCCGGAAUGCAGAGGUCAGUUGAGCUCGCAUUGCGAAAUGCGGAGCUUAGUGCAAAGCUCACUGACUUGCAUUCCGCUAAUGCGAGCUCACUGAACCUGCAUAUUCGCGGAUGCAGAGCUCAGUGCGACCACCGAGCACCAAGACCUCAUUUCGAAAAAAAAAAAACAGAAAAGUGAGUCAAAGACGCAGAACGCAAUAUCGAAACAUAACUGUCGAACAGCAAAACAAAGAAAACAGAGCUGCGUUCUGCACAUCGAAGCAUCCAAAGACUGGAGCUGGCCACCAUUUGUCCUAUUUUGUGCUGCCCAAACGCCGGACGGCAGAAAUAGGAGGAGCGACGGCACCAUCUCUGUUGUUCUGCUCCACCGGAAGCCACACCUCCUCUUUGUGCCUCGCUGAAGCAAACCCUCCAGAUUGCAGCCGGUUUUCAGAGCUUCUUCAACCACCAGAUUGCCGACCCAUUUGCGCCUUUGACCACCUACUGCCGCCCCAUUGCCGACCCAAAAUUUGCCAGCAUUGCCGUCCCAUUGCGACUCUCAAAAGCAUUGAUUGAAGGAAACAAAUAAGCUGAAUUUGAUUUUUCUUUACACUAAAAUUUUCAAAAUUUAGUAAUAGUAACUUCUAAUAUAUAAUCAAGCCAAAUAAUAAUUUACAAGACGUGAUUGGAGAGAAAUAAAGAAAAUUAUAAGUUGAUUGAUAAAAAAAUUUAGAAAAGAAUAAUAAAUACAAAUGCAUAUAAUGUGGAAAAUAAUAAAUUAAUUGAAAAUUGUUAUAAAUAAGGAAGUCAAAAAGGAAAGAGAAUAAUUGUUUCAAAAAAAAAAGAAAAAGAAUAAAAAUAUCAAAAACCAUAAACAUUAAAUAGGUUCAUGUACUAGAAAGAUAGAUAUUCCACUUGGUAGAAGGUAAAAGUAGCUAAGUCAGCAACAUUCUAAAAUCAAAUCUAAAUACACACACACACACACAUAUAUAUAUAGACACACACACACACAUACACGUAUAUGAUAAUGCUCACUUAUUGAGAGAGAAAUGAAAUUGAAAAAGUAUUGGAAUUAGAUAAAUAGGUGAAUAGCUUUUUAUUAUAUAUACGGACGAUAGAGUGUAUCCUUUUCUAAUUGUUCUUAAUUAAAAAAAUAAGGAACAGUUGUAUAUUCUAGUUUUUUUUUCUUUUCUUCCAGAAAUGAAUUUAUGUUGCAAGAAUCAAGCUUAAUUAGCAUUGAUCCACACCAGCAUAGGCAUAUACUUCAUUAAAUUAAUGAGCAAGAAUUAAAAAUGUAUUAUUGAAGGAAAAGAUAGAAUUGCAUUUAAAUAAGCUUUAUAGCUAGGAAAUUGUGUAAGCACAACUGGCAUGCAAUGAGCAUGUAUACCAUGCCGGCUAAAUGAAUAUGUAUAGGCAUACUACCAAAUAUGGAAAAAAAUAACGAGAUAUAUUUAUUUAUUUAUUUAUCUAUGGAAAUUAAAUCUAAAUUCAAUUAGAAAUCAUAACUUGUUACAUCGGAUCCUAAUUGCUAUUCUUAAUCCUUUUCCCUUUUUUCACAAAUAGCAAGUUAGAAUGGGAAAUAGUAACAAAGUUGUUAAGACUUACCAUAAUUUCAAUGUUAGGCAAAUAGUAAAGGCCAGAAAUCUACAAAAAUAUAAAUGGUAACAGAUAAUUCGAAUUGGGCAACAAUCCUGCAAAUUGGUUACUUUGAAAGCUUAUAAAUUUACCUAGUCAUGAGCUCCAAUACACACUAAUGACCUCAAAACUAGUUAUGGAUCGCCAAUUCUGUAUUGUGAAUGCAAUGAAGGUAUUCUAUUGCCUUAUUCUAUUAUCAAUGGUAAACUUUUGGGAUGCCUCAAGCAAGAAGAUUCUGGUGAAGAAAAAGCUGAGCCACCGAACGAGAGCCCUGUCAAGGCCAUCAAGGUUGUCCCUCCUUGUGUAGAUGGCACGUGAAUGCUUCCUGAUUCAUUUCGGAUUGGGCUUGCAUUCAUGUUCUUGUGUAUGUACAAUAUAUGUGUGUGUGUGUGUUUUAUUUUUUUGCACUUUUCUAUUUUGGUCCUCUAUUCACUUGUAUAAUUUAUUGAAAAUUUAAGUGUGGUUUUUAUAUUCUAAAGUUGUCACAUUAGUAGCUUCAUGUGGCCGAGCCCAGAUGGUGAUAUUAUUGACUGCAUUCAUAUUUAUGAUCAGCCAGCAUUUGAUCAUCCUUUGCUCAAAAACCAUACUAUUCUGGUGAGCAUUUUUGUUCUACUUAAAAGCAAUACAAAUGAAAAUUCUGGUGAGCAUUUUUGUUCACCUUAAAAGAAAUACAAAGGAAAAUUCUCUAGAAUUAUAUGUAAACAUUUGAAUACGUUUGGUAAUUGUUUUAUUUGAUGAAAGCAAAAUGUAUCUGUUUGGAUGUUGCAGACGAAGGCUAGUUUUCACCCAGAGAAAGGUAUUAUUGGUGAGAAUGAUGCUUUCGAUUUUGAAGACCAUGGGGAGGAUGAUAAAAUCACUCAGUUAUGGGGUGAAUUCUUAGUUCAUGAUGAAAAAAAAAAAAAAAGGCAUUCUACAACUGGGGCGGUUUUUGGAGACAGUUCUACAAAUGGGGUCUUCGCAUUCCGGGAAUGCGAGGUCAGUGAGCUCGCAUUUGCGAAAUGCGAGCUUAGUGCCAGCUCACUGAGCUUGCAUUCCGCUAAUGCGAGCUCACUGACCUCAUAUUCGCGGAAUGCGAGCUCAGUGCGACCACCGAGCGUGAAGACCCUAUUUCGAAAAAAAAAAAGAGAAAAGUGAGUCAAAGAAGCAGAACGCAAUAUCGAAACAUAGCUGUCGAACAGCAAAACAAAGAAAACAGAGCUGGGUUCUGCACAUCAAAGCAUCCAAAGACCGGAGCUGGCCACCAUUUAUCCUAUUUUGUGCUGCCCAAACGCCGGACGGCAGAAAUAGGAGGAGCGGCGCCACCAUCUCUGUUGUUCUGCUCCGCCGGAAGCCACGCCUCCUUCUCUUUGUGCCUCACUGAAGCAAGCCCUCCAGAUUGCAGCCGGUUUGUAGAGCUUCUUCAACCACCAGAUUGCCGACCCAUUUGCUCCUUUGACCACCCACUGCCGCCCCAUUGCCGAUCCAAAAUUUGCCAGCCUUGUCGUCCCAUUGCGACUCUCAAACAGCAUAAAGGUAAGUCUUUUCCAUUUGCAAUGCCUCACUUAUAGCAUUUUAAGUUUAAUUAAUACUUGAAUCCAACGGCAAGUUCAGAUUUGUUGUGAAAUUUGGGUUUAAAUUUGAUGUGGGUUGUGCUUAUUUUUGCAAUUUUUGUGGUGGAUUUGAGGAUAUACGUUACAUUUUUCGAAUUCUUGCAAUUUUUCUGUUUCCAAUUUGUUGCAGUUUAUUUGCAGUUUCUGCAAUUAGUGCAGAAAAAGCAUGAUCCGAGCUCGGAUCCGACUCUACCCAGAUGGAUCCGACCUUGGAUCCUUUGAGGAUCAAAGGCGAAAUUGGGUGAUACGACCUCAGAUCCAUAGUUGUUCACUCAGAUCCGAGGGCUCGUCUGAUCAUCUGUUCAGACGGAUCCGAACCCUGUUGGAUCCGAGGGAUGCCAGAAAUUAUCCGAGCUCGGAUCUGUUCGCGGACAUAGCAGAUCCUAUGCUCUAUUAAGAGAUGCGAGGUAACUGACCCCGCAUUUCAUAAAUGCGAGGUCUGGUUUUCUUUUUGUUUUUUUUUUGGAUUUCGUUGUUCGAAAAUUCGAGGAGAGUUCGCAUUUAGGAAAUGCGAACUCACGGAGCUCUCAUUUGCUGAAUGCGAAGACCCUUUGGACGGAAUCCCAUGCUAAAAAUGCCCCAUUUGUAGAAUUUUGUUAAAAUUCAUCAUAAUUUUAGAAAAUUCUCUUUCAUCAUAAUUUUUUUAAAAAUGUCUAUUUUUUUGUGUUGAAGAAGAUAAAACAAAAAAAAAGAAAAAAGGGGCAAGUUCCAUUUAAAAUAGAAAAUGGGUUCUAAUUAAGGGAAUUAAACAUGAGAUGCAAAUGAGAAACGAAUUUCUCUAGGGCAGCUAUUGGUAAAUCGUACAUUAGAGUUGUGUUCCUAGAGAAGAUUUUAGAAAAAUAAGGGCCUUGAACUAAAAUGGAAAAAUAAAUUUUGCUAAAAUUACAAUAUAUGUUAGCGUGACCCAAAAUUUGAUGCCGAGCAUUGAAGUUGUUUUGGAUGCAUUUCCGUUGCUUUAACAGUCUUAGCAUGCCAUUUAAUUAUUUUUUAUAUACAUUUAGACACUAUUGUCGUACUUUAACAAGUGUAUAUAAAUAUAUUUGCCCAAGUACUUAUUUUUCACUAAUGUAGUUAUCAAAGCCAUUUACAAUAAUUAGUACUUUAAUACGCCCUGUAUAAUUUGAAAUGAUAAUAAUUACAAUAAUUAGUACUUUAAUAUGUCUUGUGUAAUUUAAAAUGAUAAUAAUUAAUCAUCUCUGACUAGUUUAAUGUACAAAAUAAUUCUCUAAAAUGCUAAGCACAUAGUAGACAAAGUCUCUAAUACUCAAUGUGGGGGCAAGGGUUAUGUACCAAAUUUGGGUGGCAAGUGCCCACUUUUCAGUUUUUGUUUUUAAAAUCUAUUUCGCAGCAUUAUUUUUGGUCGAAACACUAUCUACAUUAGACAUUGUAUGUUUUACAAUUGGAGUUUAGAAAUUUUUAUUGACAUUAUGUAGUUUAUAGAUUGGAGAUUCUGAAUUUCAUGGAUAUUUGGAUUGUUUGACAGGGAGUUUUAGCCCAUUUAUAGGGGAGACUCUAUCGAAUUUUUUGUAGAGUUUUCUUUGUGAGGGCAACUGACUAUUACAAAUACAUGUCGCAACUUCUGUUUUUUUAAAUGGUUUUUUGUUGUAAAUUAUUUCUUCAUAUAGGUACAUACAAGGUUGGUGACACAAGCUUGGGAGGUUUAGAGGCUGGAGUUGGUACUCUAAGAUCCUGACCACAGAAGUUGGCUAGAUUCGAAUUUGAUACAAGUCAUUCGGUAAUAUAUUUUAUAUUACAACUUUUGAAUUUUUGACGUCGAAUUAAAAUAGUAUGUUUUGUUAACUUCUGGAUGUAGAAGAGGGCGUUAGAACACGUUAAGGAUUUAUUUUAAGUCGAAUCGAUGGAUUUAAAGUUAAAUCUAAUCUGUAGUCUGUAUUUACAAUAUAUGCAUGUCGAGGUUAGGGAAAUAACAGAUAAUGCUGUCAAGUGGCCUUUGGAUAUAGCCAAAAAAAUCUUAUUGUGUUGUUGAUGAAAAUAGCAUACGUAUAUGAACAUAGAUCUUGUAUAGCUAUAUGGAUGUGGAGCCCAAAAAUUGAUUAAAUAUUCUUCCAAAUCGCAUGUCAAUCAACUCUCUUUUGCAAUUCGUAGGCGGCUCAUAGUUGUUAGGGUUCUAAUUAUAGGGGACAUAUAUAUUAUACAGUGUGGUGUUGAUCGAUUACAACUUAAUAUAGACCAUGUUUGUAUCAUUGGUACAGUGAGUUUUAGCCUACUUAUAGGGGAGACCUUGUCAAUUUUUUUCAAUAUCUUUGUCAGUUUUUGAAUAUUUAUAGCAAUUUCUGUAGGGGAGACUUUGCCGACAUUUUUAAAAUUUUUUGUAAUCCUCGUUAACUAACUAUUAGUAAUUGGGAUGCAAAUAACUUAUAUGAAAUGGUUUGCAUAUUGAGCAAUUGUUGCUUCAUAUAGGUGCAUACAAGGUUGGUGACACAAGCUUAGGAGGCGUAGAGACCUGGGUUGGGAAGUCGUCGUCCAAACCACAGAAGUCCAUCUUUCGAAUUCGAUACAAGCCAUUUGGUAUUAAUUUUUAAUUUACAACUACAUAUUAUGGACGUCGAAACAAUGAAUAGUAUAGUUUGUUAAGCUCUUCCUAACCACGAAGGCGUUAAUGAAAUUAAAUGGAUUUAUUUGAAGACGAAUUGAUGGACUAAAAAUACUUUAAUACGUCUUGUGCAAUUUGAAAUGACAGUAAUUUGGAUUGUUUGACAGGGAGUUUUAGCCCAUUUAUAGGGGAGACUAUGUCGAAAUUUUUGUAGAUCUUUCUUUGUGAGGGCAACUGACUAUUAGGUAAUUUAUUUAUAUUACAACUAAUUUCUUUGUGAGGGCUACAUUCGGAUUUGAUACAAGCCAUUAGGUAAUUUAUUUUAUAUUACAAACUAUUGGAUCUUUGCCGUCAAAUUGAAAUAGUAUAGUUUGUUAAAUUUGUUUCAGUAGAAAAGGGCGUUAGAAUAUGAAAUACGGAUUUAUUUUAAGGCGAAUUGAUGGAUUUAAAGUCAAUGACAACCUUGUAGUAUUUUUUGUAAUUGGCAAAAUCUAUAAUGCUAAAAAAAUGGCAAAAUCUGCUACAGGGAAAAACAUUAAUUUUCUAAGGUUCAUUGCUAGAAUAUACAUCAUUGUGAAUGUGGAUCUUGUUAUGCGGUGUGAAUGUGGAGCCCAAAUAUAUAUAACUUCCCGUACUUUUCUUAUACUUGUACUUUGAAAAUUAUAGGGUCUCUUGACAAUAUGUAGUGUGACAAAUGUCAUUACAACUUCAUAUAAACCCUGUUUGGAUUGGUUGACAGGGAGUUUUAGUCUAUUUGUGGAUUGGUUGGCAGGGAGUUUUAGUCUAUUUUUUGGGGAGACUCUGUCCAAAUUUUUUAAAAUUUCGUUGGGAGUUUUAGGCUAUUCCUAUCAUUAUUUAUAGCAUAUUUCAUACCUGUUUUUAAUUUUUUUUCAUAAGCAUCUGGAUCGAAAUUAGUCUAUUUAAUAGUUCCAAUUUCGACAUAGAGUCACCCUCUUGAAAUUUGUUUGGACCCUUGAACCACUAAUUCUAAUUAUUGUCCCAAAAUAGGGAUUCAUUUCACAAACAUGUCUGUAGAAAGAUCUCUGCGGUAAACCUAUAAUGGGGAGGAGAAAUACAUUACAAGGGUGACUUUGUUUGUUAUUUGUCCGUACUUUCAACCGGACAUUUACUUUGAGACAUAGAAUUGGAUACGGGGAGUUGGUUGACAGAAUUUACCACUAUAUUGGGGUCGAUAAAGGGAUGUUCAAGCUGAAAUUGUUUCUUCGUCAACGCGUUGGAGAGUUCCAAAUAUACUGUUUCCACAGUGGUGGAUGAUGAAACUCUAAAUGUAAUGUAUGAUCUUUGGAUCGAAAGAGUUUCAUACAUGGCGGAGAUUUAUAUCGAGAAGGAAGAAAUCGUCCAAAUGCCUGUAGUUAAUAGCGUAUUCACUGGACCAAUAGGUAAUGUUGGUCAAUGAUGUCGCUUGUACAUGAAUUCAUGGAUCCAACAAAGUUUAACUUCGGUUCUAGUUCAAUCGUUCCAGAGAUUUCAUCGGCAUCUCACUAUAUGCAUGAUGAUCGAUCUAUGAAUUCAUUAGAACAAUGCUCACAUCAAGGUCCAUGGGUGCCCAGGAAUAUUUUCAUGGCCUAGAUUCGAUUCAAGUUUUGGAGAUCCAGGGCCAUCAUGCCAUAUUUCUCCACAUGGGAUCGAGUCUAACCCUGGUCAAGGUUGUCGCAGUGGCAGCUGAAGAUGAUGUAUAUGCUAGUGGGCAUGAUAGGCUCCUUGCCUCUGAAGAAGAUGAUCCGGAAGAAGAUGACCCGAAAGUUGAUGCGGAAGAGGUUGAAGAGUCGAAGUCGCAAGAUGUGUCUGGUAGUGACUCGGAUGAUGAGCAUGAAGGUGGGAGUUUAAGAGUAACCUCGAUACCCAACGACCCUUUGUUGGAUAUCGGGUUGCCAACAAGAAUGCGGAGAUAUCAGACGCAAUAGCACAGCUGGCAGCUUGCAUAUGUUCCAAGAAGAAUGUAUUUUUCUCGAUCUUGGGAGCAUAGAUGAUGAUGAAUAGAAGAGGAGGAUGGAUUGGAGCGUAUUGUCGCAUUCAUUGAGGAGAAUAAUAAUAUACGUCUCCAUAUGAGAUUUGAGAGUAAGCAACAGCUCAGCCGGGCAGUUAGGAUGUGGUCCAUCAAUCACAAUAGGGAGUUCAGAGUUAUUUGAGAGUAAGAGUAACACGUGGUUUGCUAAAUGCAAAUCAUCAAUUGAAAGAACUCCUUCCACUUUAAGCGCCAUCGUAUCCACCAUGCGACUGGUGUGUUAGAGCCGUAAAGAAAAAGACUCAUGGAAUGUGGCAAAUUAAAAAUGGGUCAAUGACAUAACUGCUUGGGCGACAUGAUUAGAAAUAACAAUACAAGCCUGACGGCUUCCGUUAUUUCAAGGCACAUACUCCGUAGCAUUGAAGAUGAUCCUGGAUUAAAGGUCAAGAACAUACUAAGUUUCGUUAAAGAAAACUUGAAGGUUGAUGUGUCUUACAAAAAAGCCUGGUAUGCCAGACGUAAAGCAAUUGAGCUUGUGUUUGGAUCUUGGGAGGCGAAUUUUGCGAACUACCACAGUAUCUCGAUGCCCUGGUGCAAUCCAAUCCAGGCACCGUGGUGGAGUGGUCACAUCAUUCGGAUAGUUCGGAUCGAGUUAAGACUUUUAAGUAUGUAUUCUGGGCCUUUGGACCGGCUAUUGAAGCAUUCCACAUGUGCAGGCCGGUUAUAUGUGUUGAUGGCACUCAUUUGCGUGGCGAAUACAAGGGCAAACUCCUUGUUGCAGUCACUCAAGAUGCGAACAACAAGAUUCUGCCAAUUGCUUAUGCCAUAGUGAUGAGGAACGAUUUCCAGUUGGUCGUGGUUCAUGGAACAAUUAAGAUAUAAUGUGGCACUUGAUCGACAUCCUAUCUGUGUCAUUUCGAUCGCCACAAUGGUAUCAUCUAUACCAUGACACACUUUGACUAUUGGAGGAACCUUUGGCCUACCAUAGUUUUGCCUGCGACAUGUUAGGAGCAAUUUGAUGACACACUUCAAAGGUUUACACCUUAAAAGUUGUGUUGGGUAUGGGAAGGGCAAGACAAUUGCGCAAGUGGCGGAUGUUCAGAAGAGAACUACGAAGCAUGUUUCCAGAUGCUUGGAAUUAUCUGUCUGCCAUUAGUCCAGAAAAGUGGUGCCUAACACACGACGAUGGCCGUCGUUGGGGUAUUCUAACUACCAACAUAUCCAAAGUUAUAAUAAUGUCUUGCGCGGGCAGCGCCAUUUGCCAAUUCGUGCAUGCAUUGACAUGACAUUCAUCGGACAGUUGCGUUAUUUAAGACGAGAAGGGAAGAUGCUUCACAUUGUCGCAAUCCUUUUCCCCAAAGAUAUGGCGGCGUUUUAAGAAUGCUGAGGAAGGCAGGCGCCCACAGAGUCAUUGAGUUCGAUGGCCCAUCGGGCGUAUACAAGGUUAUCACAGGCCGGCGUGUCGAUGGUAAAAAGAAUACGCAAACCACAGGUUUUUUGAUAAGGCAUGCUCUUGUGGAAAGUGGCAGAAUUACAGGCUUCCUUGUUCACAGCUUUGGCGGUGUGCAGGAAUAGAGGUGACAAUCCGGAUUGCUUGUGGAUCAGCAGUUUACCAAAACAGAGGUGGGCCGUGCAGUAUUCAGGGAAGUUUAACCACUGCCGCAUCAAGAUACUUGGCUCCAUCUGGAUGGGAACUGCAGGCAGACAGAGCAAAUUUGUUGCACGUCGGGCAGGGCGGGUUCGAGCUAGCAGAAUUCGAAUGAGAUGGAUGAAAGGGAUCCAGACGAACCAAGAAGAUGUCGAAAUUGUCAUCAACGGGUCACAAUAGGAGAAAUUAUCCGAAUUAUAGGUCUUGAUUUGAUCGAAUUCCUAGAAAUUGAAACUCAUGUCAGUGCACUCCAGUUUGGCGUAGGGUUCAUUCUAGUUCAUUUGUGUUCGAUUCAGGAUUUAUUUCAAACAAUUACAUUAGUGACUUUCAUUGUUCAUUUGUCAAAUGCAUGUUUCGUUCUUGACUAUGAUAAGUAUUGAAUUAACCAGUUUAAACGUGCAGCCCAACAGUUUUAUUCAUUUAUCGCUACAUCCCUAUCCAUUGAUUUGUUGACAUAUUGUUAAAGGAAUGCUCGGAUGGUGUUUAUAUGUGUUAAUGCUCUUGCAUAUAGGAUAUGGUAUUUUGAUGUUUGAUUGACAGGGAGUUAUGGCCGCUUUAUAGGGGAGACUCUGUCAAAUUUUUUUUAAAACUUUUAAAAUAUGACUACAAAUAGAUUGCUGCAAUAUAUGAAUACAUAGAGGGAUAACAAAUGUUUCUCAAAAAAAUAACUGAUAGGCAUGGAGUUUUAGUCGAUUUAUAAGGGAUAUAUGGUCAAAAUUUUCUCAAAAAAAAGUCUUGAACGCGAUUUAUAGGUCAAUAUACACAAACUUUUGGAUACUUAUGCAUAACUAUUGAAUUUAAUCGAUGCAGAUAUUUGCUUGGGAUUAUGGCCGACACUCCUAUCCCUGCAGGCCUACAUCCAGGACCAUACGUGCACGACAUUAUAUCGGCGAACUGCACACCGGGCACAUUCCAUUUUUCAGGACAUAUUGAGGGCAAUCAGUUAGAUGUCAGACGGUGUGACAGAGGAUUUUGGGAGCAUACGCCUAUUCCUGAUCGGGUUGUCGUUAUAUUGCCUUGGCUGGAUUUGAGGGGUGCUUGAGAGUGGAUAUCAGAUGGUUGAUCAUUCUUUGAUCACAAGUUUAGUGGAGAGAUGGCGGCCCGAGACGCAUACAUUCAUUUACCGGUUGGAGAGGCUACCGUGACAUUACAGGAUGUAGAGGUGUUGUGGGGGUUGCACAUCGAUGGUCCACCGGUUAUAGGGAUAGACACAUACCGCAGCAUUCAGGAGUGGGGAGCCAUUUGUGAGGAGCUCAUUGGAUUUUCUCCUGCAGUUGGAUACUUUGAUGGACAGAGGCUAAAAUUGGGAUGUUUAGCAAGAGCUUGGAUACAGAGUUGCCACCCGAUGCUUCAGAUGUCGAAUGUAGGCAGCGUGCGCGCAUCUACCUCUUACUGAUAUUAGGUGGACAUUUAUUGUCCGAUAAGUCCGGCAACAAAGUCCUUUGUUGUAUCUUCCAUUACUGCGGGACUUGAAACUGUUGGGCAAUAUAGUUGGGGUAGUGCGUGUUUGGCGACUCUCUAUCGGUCACUUUGUGAUGCCACGAAUCCUGCCAAAUCGGCUAUUGCCGGUCCAUUAGUUUUGCUACAGGUACAUUGCACCCAAUAAUGAUAUGUCUUGAUUUUUUCAUAUUAUCAUUUUAAUUUUAACAUUGAUUCUAAUUUUCCAACAGCUCUGGAUUUGGGAACAUAUACCAACCAUGCGUCCGGACCGAAUCGUGCCGUUGGCAUUACCCUGGUCCAUAUGGAGCUAGGUGCGCGUUUCGCCCUUAUUUCGGUUGUUUAAUGACAUUUGUUAUCGAAACAACUUUAAUUUGUUCUAAACAGGUUCCUACUUUAUUAAAUAUAGGUGGAAUAAUGACUUGGACGUACACAGAGUUGUUAGGCAUGUUGUGCCCGCAUUCCGAGAUCAGUUGACAGGCCUGCGUCCUGAAGAGGUAUUGUACAUAUGUCCGGACAAUAGAAAUAUUUGAAAAUUGCCAGUAGUCUUGUCAUAAUAUUUCUUGUCAACUGAAAGCAUAAGUUUGUCAGAUUGCAUUUUGUAAUGGAAAUUGAGUUUGUUGGCAGGGAGUUAACCUCAGUUAUAGGGGAGAUCUGCGAAAUUUUUUUAGAAUUUCAAAAAUUUUUUAAUUGACCGGAGACUAGCACUUUUUUCAUGAAAUUGUCCAAUUUGAAUAUUGGGAAGUUUUAUUAUUUCUUAAUAGAAAAAAUGAAACAACUUUGAUUUUAUAUUUUUUCAGUUCAUAUGGCAGCCAUAUUCGGAGGACGUUCUCGCUUCUCUUCCUGCGUAUUGUACUGCAGGUCGGGACAUUUGGAGAUCCGUAACGUAUCUUAUUUGUUGGGAUGUAGUUGAGCCGCACCUCCCUCAUCGGGUUAUGCGGCAGUUUGGGUUUCAUCAGUCCCUGCCUGAUAUGAGGUUGACAGAUAAUCAGGCAGCUCUACAUUCUCUAGAUCGUCGUGGUAGGGCGAAUCAAGACUGGAGCACCACGCAUAGACAAUAUAUUGAUAUUUGGACUGAUCGACGUGUGCAUGUACAAGAUGGCACUGUAAUUGAAGAUACUACAUAUCCAUCGAUGAGUAUGUUCAGUGGUAUCGGGAGCGGACGGUGAUUUAUAUUUCAAAUCCGAGUCGAUUUCCCUUUCCCAGAGGGCUUUCAGGGUGAUAGCGCUAGGGCACAAUAUCUUGUAAGUUUAUUUCCAACCCACUUUUAAUAAUCACUUUGAGUUUGCUCACUUUUUAAACUAUUUUUUACCACAGUAUCUCCUUCUUAUUCUUAUAUUUGUUUCUCCAGAGCGAUGCCAUGUCUCGCAUGUAUUUCAUGGCACAGGACUCUCUUGCAGUUAGUGAUGAACAACACAGCAGAUAUUUUCAAGAGUUGAGGGACUUUGCAUCCACAUCUUUGCAUCAUGUAGGAGAGUCACGCCGACUUGCAUUUCGCCCUCCACACGUACCACAGGAGAUUCCACUAUAUGCUGAUCCAUGUCGUGUUCAGCGAGCUCCUAGAAAUACCCACGGAAGUCAGCAUGGCGGUGGACGACGUCGUAGACUCCGAUCACCAGAACCCGCCAUACAAACUGGAUUCCAUGGAGGUUCGAUGGCUACUGAGGACCAAGCUGGCACAUCUACUUUUGUCACACCUCAGACCGAAGUCAUGCAUGAGAGAGGUGUAUCGAUUGGGCAUUCUAGGUCCCCUGUGACUUUUCAGAGUUUACGCCGAUAGGGACUCACAUCGCAUACUUCUGAGCAAUGUGAAGGAGGUGAAGGCACAAGCACUCAAAUUCAAGAUGCUACACUGUUGACACAUAUUACUCAAGUCCAUACAGUAGUGCCAAACCAACCACGUCGAAGUCAAAGAAUACCCAAACCAACAACAUGUGGUACUCAUGGAAAACUUGGGCAGCAUUGAUGGCACGCUACUUAUAUCGUUAUUGUAUAAAUAACCUAACUUAUGGAUUGCAUACUUUUUUGUGUGAAUUUUGUAUAUAUUCUAAAAUUUCACGAAUAUGAGUGGAACAAUGCCAUCACGCGUAUCUUAUUUCUCACUUUAUAUGAGUACUCUUUUAAACAAAACAAAAAAAACGGCUACAUAUGUAAACCAAAAAAGGUAAACUAUACUAACUCUCCUCUAGUUCAUACACGGUAAGUUAGUUACAUGUCGGAACUUCUCAAAAAAAUUAAACAUACUAUUUAUAAUAUAUUUAUAAAUUGUUAUUUUUUACCUUUUGUUAUUCAUAGUUUCCCCAUUAAAUAUAGGGAACAAACUUUAAUAUUCUCAUAUGGGCAAGUUAAAAAUAAGAUUCCAAUUUUGUUCAUGAAAAUUAAGCCCUAACUUAUUAACAAUUUAAUUUUAUUUUAUAUUGACCUUGAAAAUAAAGAAGCAAGAUGUGUAGUUAUUUCGUUAGUAUAGUUGUAUUAUAAUAAAAUUAUUGGCUCACCACAUGGUGGAUUGGCUCGGAAGUUUCGACCCAUGGGAGAAAAUCGCUCCCUAAUGUUCUAAAAUGAUUCAAUUUUUUUGAGUCGAGCCAACGACUAUAAACGAAACGCUUGUUGGGAGGCAACCCAAUAAUAAUAUUGUAGUUGUGUUUUAUGUGUUUCUUACAUUUUGGUGUGAUUUAAUUGACUAAUUAGAUAUAUUUCACUUGUUUGCAGGCGGUACCGGAGUUUCAUCAUUAUUUUGGAGGUACAAUUGAGGAACAAGUGUAAAAAGGGAGGUUUUCUUACCAAAUUGUGCUUUAAGUGUUUAGAAUUCCCAAGCAUACAUACAAUGUUGCAUUUUCAGUAUAUUCAAGUGAGUUUUGGUGAUAACAUGUUUAUACAUGCUCAUGGACUCAUUUGAUGUGCAUGUAAUGCCCAAAAGUGCCAUUUUUAUGUAAAAAUGCAAAAAUGAUCAAAGAACCUCACCCCUCGAUUUGCAAUGUAGAUGUGUUUGAUGUGUUUUAAGAGAUUGGAUAUUGUACUUUUGGUAUAUUACAUGUGCGUGGGAGUUAGAAUUGAUAAAACGUUUUUCCAACGGUGUUUUGGAAUUGGCCGAAAAAAGGGAGAAAAAGUUGAAAAAUUGCAGUUUCUGCAAUUAGUGCAGAGAAAUACAGAUCCGAGCUCGGAUCAUAAGUGCCCAGAACGGAUCCGACCGCGAUCCAUUGAUCCGAGCUCGGAUCCAAAAAUUUAUAUAUCCGAGGGCUCGUCUGUGCUUCUGGCGGUGCGGAUCCGAACCAUGUCGGAUACGAGGGCUUUCAGUAACGAACCGAGCUCGGAUCGGUUCGCGGAUAUAACAGAACGAAGCCUCGUUUCUGCACUUUUCAAAGUUUUCUUCCCUCUUUUCACCGAACCCUAACCCUCUCGCUCUAAUCUUCCAUUUCAUCCGUUCAUUCCCUAAUCUUUCACCUCAAAAUCAUUUUCCAACAUCUUGUGAUCAUAAACCCUCAAAGAUUUCAUUUGAAAAACAUCAAUUUUGGGGGAUUUCAAGUGUUAAAACGAAAGGAGGGCCGAACUGAAAUCUUCAAAUUUGGAGCGAAUUUGGACUGUUUUCUUCCUCAUUUUUCAACAAUAUCUUCUUCUAUCAUCACUCUACACAUUUGAGGUAACAAUUUGCAACUUCCUUUGAGAUUUUAUAUUUCCUAUUUUUGCAUUUUUCUAGUUUUUGGCAUAUUGUGAUAAAUGCAUAUUUGUUGAAAUUUCUUGUUAUAAAUGUGCUACAUUGUACUAGAAUAUGUUGUUACUACUAUUUUUAUGCUUAGUAUGGAAAAAGUUGUGGAUUUGGUGAUAUUUUUGGUAUAUUUUUUUAAUUUAUUAGGCUUGGCAAUUUGGUUCUUUAGGCUUGUGAAUGUUGGUUUCCAUUGAAUAUAUAAACUUGUUUUGAGGAGUAUAAGUCACUGUUGUACCAAUUAAAAAUGAUAUGCGAUUAAUAGAACCAAUUCCAUUGGGUAAAAGAGUGUGUUUAUGAUUAAGUUUAGCACAUUCAAUUUUUUUUUACUUGAAAUCUCUUAUCUCUUUGAGUUCAAUUGUAAUUGUUUUGGUAAAUUUGGAGCUCAUUCGUAUGCACUUUAUUAAGAAUGGGUAUAGUCAAUUGUGGUGUGAUUCGUGGAUAAAGUUAUGAAUAUAUCGGCAUGUUCAUUCUUGAAAUAAUGGUUGAGGUUCAAAUGAUCGAACUCUUUGAUGAGAUUCUACCUGAAAAUAUGCAUUUGAGUUUGAAAUGAGUUAAGUAGGAUCUUUGGUUGUUUUUUUGGUACAUGUUGGCAGGGAGUUUAGCCCUUUUAUAAGGGGAAACUCUGCUGAAAUUUUCUUAAAUUCUAUGUGAGCAAGUUUAUAUUGUUCUAAUGAACGUUCAUCUUGUUUUUAUAUAGGAACUAUGGCUCGCACAAGGAGGGCUCGUAUUCGUACUCCUACACCAUCUUCAAGCGAGGAACGCACUCCCUCACAUGAAGAGUCGCCUGAGGAAGAAUCUCCUUCGCCUGAGCCACCACCUCGGUCUCGCCGGAAGACCGCAUCCACUAGCCGCGACGAGACGCUUCCAGAUUAUGACACCACUAGAUUCACGUCACUCGAGAAUCAACAGUGGUACGAAGCAGGCUUAGAUAAGGAAAUUAUCAUUGAAAAGCACCUGACACCGGAGGUGGAUGCGCACUACCACAUCUCUACGGCAUUCAAGAACUCGGAUGGGAAAACAUCUUCAAUUGCCCAAGCACUACUACCCCAACUGGUCCGGGAGUUCUACGCCAAUGUAGAAAACAAAUAGAGUCACAGUGGCAACCUCAUCGUCUCCUGGGUUCGAGAAAGAGAGUGGCUCUUAACCGGGAUACAGUCGCCAAAAUCGCCAAACUCAAAGACGAAGGAGUGGAUGUUAAAUUGACUAAGGAAUUCAAGGCACGCGACCCUUGGCAGGUGGGAGAAGCGGUAGCACGUCUAAAGGGUCAAUAUAGGGAGCGAGGAAGUUCAAAGAAGCUCACCGUAUAUGCCGACUCCUUCGAGCAUAGGUACCACUUGAUCUUCUAUCUCUUCGCCUUCAAUGUGGUACCCAAGAGGAGUGGAAAACGGGAGCUCCGCAAUAGUGACCUCUACUUCUUGGAUAAGAUGAUGCAUGGUGUGGGUGGGCAGUUGACUGGUAUUCCUUUGCCCAAUCAUCAUCAGUUACAUGUGGACCACAGCUCGCAUGAGGGCUGGCGAGACUUGCUUUGGAUUCCCUCGACUGCUAUCCCUCAUUUUUGAAAGCUCAAGGUUCCUCUUGGAACCGAGCGAGCCAUUGUCACUAGGUCCGCCGAGGUCAGUGCCUCGAUACUCAAAUCCUUGAGUAUCUCUACAGAUUUUGGAGCUGCUCUGGUUCGAGACACUGGAGAAGCUUUGACUUCUGCUCAGCCCCCACCUCACACUCAGCAGGAACCAGAAGCUCAAGAGACAGGGGCACAGCAGACUCUUCCUCCACCCGUUUCACGACCACACCUCCGCCGCGAUCCAAGUGGCAAGAGCUCCUCAAUGCCAUCUGCUGUAUGGAGACACGAGUCGUCGAGCGCAUUGACCAGACCGAGAGGAUGAUGACAGAGCGACUCGACAGACAUGAUCGCCGUCUUCGUGCGAUCGAGGAUCAUUUCCAUAUCCGCCGUCACCUACUCCGACGCCUUAGCAGGAGGAGGGGCAUAUUGGUACAUCACAGGGUCCUCAUUAAAUGAGGACAGUAGACCCUCGUUCUGAGCAGCCAUGAAGAUCUUUAGCUGAUUACAUCUUUUGUUGCUAUAUUUUUCUUUUAUUGUGUUCGGUUUAAACUUUGUAGUUUUCAUAUUGGAUUCUCUUGUGCUACUCAUGGUUUUUUGUACUCUUUUGUUUCAUUGUGAAGAGAAUUUGGAUGAUCGUGAGGAUUAAUGGCUUCAAAUUGAAUCACCACUUAUUUUGAGGGAAGUUUCAGUUUCUAUUACCUUCUUCACAAUGAGGACAUUGUUAAAUUUAAGUGUGGGGAGGGAUUACUUUAUCUUAUGGGGAUUGUGUCUUGAAAUGCAUGAUUUGAGUUGUCUAUGGCUUAAAAAUGUUGAAUUUUAUUUGGAAAUGUUGUAUUGUGGUUAAUUUUCUUGAAAUUGAGGUUGUUGACAGGGAGUUUUGUCCAUUUUUAUGGGGAAAUCUGUAAAAAUUUUUAAAAUAUUUUCCAAUAUUUCAAGUUAAUGGCCAAAAUGUUCAAUUCUGUGAAUUGUGAGUGGAUUAAUGAGUGGAUUAAAUGAGUGAUUAAUGCAUUAAUUUUGUGAAAUUGUGAAGGAUAUCGAUAUAUGAAGUUCAUGCACGAGCUGAAAGAAGUGUAAGGAUUGUCCAGAGGAUAAAGUACACAAGAAAUUAGGAGCAAAAAUGAAGAAAAAGGAAAGAAGCGAAAAAUGGAAAAUUUAAUGCACGGAUCCGAGCUCGGAUCCGUGAGACCAAAGAGAGAUCCGAUCCUCGUCUGUACUUCUGGAGGAGUGUAUCCGAGGUCAGAAGAUCCGACCCCGGAUCCAUCAUGGAAGUCCUCGGAUCCUAAAGAUCCGAGCUCGGAUCUAUAUUCAACCCUCGGAUCGAGGCUCGGAUCUGUCUCUCUCUUCAGCAAGUGGCACAGCCGUUUUCCUUUACCUUUCUCACAACUUUUCCAGCUAUUUUGAGGACAGAAAUCGGUGGCACAUGCUUCUGCAACAAAAGAGAAGACCAAAUGAGUUGUAGACAAAAGAAAAUAUCAUAUCUUUGGUUCAGCUACUGACUACAUUAGAGAUAGCACUCAAGGUUUGAGGCUUUUAGGAUUCAGGGUUUUAGGGUUUUAGAGAUCAAGAUUUAGUGUUUUAGAGAAUAGCACUUUCGGGUUUAGGGUUGUAGGAUUUUAGUUUGACAAUAGUGUGCCUUCAUUAGGACUUUAGAUUUUUAAUUAAAAUAGUAAUCCUAUCGUGCCAUUAAAAUAUUUUUUAAUGGAUUUUAAUAAACCCAACAACCUUGAUUUAAUGUUUUAGGGUUUACAAGGAUUUGGUUUCUAAGAUUUACGAUUUAGUGUUUUACGGCUUUAGCACUUAGGGUUUUAGGAUUUUUGCAUGACAAUAAAUUUGCCUUGAUUAUCGCUUUAUUUUUUUAAUCAAAAUAGUAAUCCUGCCAAUAAUUGUAAAAGGUAAAACACGCAAGAUUUAAUCGCUAGAUAUUUGAUUUAAUUUUUUUUCUUUUCCUUUUCAACUACCAAACAAAUAACAUGCACUUCAUAAAAAUAACUUAUAUAAUUUUUUUAAAUAACAUUGCGUUAUGAAAUUUCUAAAAUUACAGUUGAAAUUGUAACAGAUAUUAAUGACUAUUAACUAUUACAUUCUUAUAACUAAUAUUCAUCGGUGUCAACAAAUAAAUACGAUUCAUUAAUAACAAAGGAAAAUUAGAAUUUGAUAAAAAAAAUUUAUUUGAUAAAAAGGAAAAAAAGUUAGUAUUUUUUUUCAUAAAAUAUAGUCAACACCUUACAUGUUAACAAUUUCAUUCUAUUUUUACAUUGAUAUAUGAAAUAGAAAGAACUAUGCAUGUGUACUUUUUCCACCAUUUAAAUGUAUUAUAAUAAAAUAACGUAUUUCAACAACCGUACAAUUACCAAUUUUUUUUAAUAUAAAAGAAAUAUGAUUUUUUUUAGAGCACAUAUUUGAUGACUUUAGGCACGUGCAAGUUUUAAAAUAAAAAAAAAUUUAUUCCUCUGCUAAUUACAGAUUUUUAAAUAACAUUUCUCCGAAAUAUAAGAUUUUAGUAGAGCUUUUAAAAUAAGAUUUUACUACCGACAGCAUUUUAGUAAAGGCAAAUUCUACAAAACAAACAACAUUUACAGUUAAUUUUAUAUUUUUUUGGGAGCUCGUAAAUUUCAUUUAAAUUUUUUUUCUAGCAAGUUUGAAUUUAAUUUUCUGAAAGUCAUACUUAUAAAUGCGAAAUCUAACAAAAAAAUUAAAUACAAUUUUUGGAGGUCAAAUUUAUCAAAUGCGAGCUAUUUGAAGAAUUAAAAAAAAACAUUUAGGACCUUGCAUUUAGCUCUUACUAUUUUUUGGAAAAAAUUCUCUAGCUCCAAAAAAAAACAAAAAAAUUUAAAAUAUACUUAAACUCGCAUUCCUCAAUAAGUAGAGCUCGCAUUCAGGGAAUGCGAAGACCCCCCUACGGAAUAACUCACAAAAAUCACCCCUUUUGUAGAAUUUUUUUAAAAUUCAUCACAAAAUUGAAAAUUUCUCCUCAUUUAUGACAGUUGAAUGGGAGGUGUCCUGAGGGUACCAUUCCUAUCAGAAGACACCAAAAUCCAAGCAAUCUCAAGAGAUAUGCCAAGAAGAAGCACAAAAACAUUCUCCAAAUUUCUCCAAUUGAUGUGAAGGCAAACAUCAAGAAAAUUCUUGUUUAGAUAAAGGUAUUAAAUAUUUAUACGUUCCUAUAAUUAUUAAAGUUCUGAUGCAAAUGGUACAAUCACUUGAAACAAUUGUCAUUGCACUGUAGAAUAUUCUUGCUACUCAAACACCAUUAGGAUAACAUUGGCCAGGGGCGGACCCAUGUUACCGGGUUGGCCCGUAAGUUUCAAAAAUUUUUAUUUGUCUCUCGUAAAAAAUUGAAUUUUUUUUUAAAAAUUAUUCUUUAAAAUUUUGAACUUUUAAACCAACAAAAAUUUAAAACCGUUUUACACUAGUAUUAAAAUUCAUCCCGCCAAUGUAAACUUUUCUCGAUCCCUCUCAAUAUUGGCUGUCUAGUUUUGUAUAUGAAUAGAAUCUUAUCAGAGAACACUAAUUGUGGAAGAAUUUUAAUUCAUUAAUUUUUGUAUUUUAGUUUGAUUUUCCUGUUCUUUGAAUUGUUUCCGUUUAAAUUUUUAGCGUGCAUUUGCAUACGUGCAAGGUGGCAAGUACUUUGGGACAAAGGCAUAUCUAAACCUUUGGAAACCCCACGUUCAAAACGAAGACUUUAGCUCGUCUCAAACCUGGAUUCUUGGAAUUCCUGAUGCAAAGGUCAACUCCAUUGAAGCUGGUUGGAUGGUACUUCAUCCCUAUAAUUUUUUUUUUUCCAAACUACUCAUUUUCUUGUUAAACUAUAAACACUUGAGCAUUUGGCUCAUAUUCCAUGAUUUGCUUAAUUUGCUUAUUAAAAUAACAGGUACUCCCAGAUCUUUAUGGAGAUUAAUACAGCAAGACUCUUCACCUACUGGACUGUAAGCAUUACAUCUAAUCUAAAUUUCCUUAUUAAUCUAAGUUGUAUAAACCAAUGUUUUAAAAAUCAGAUCAGAUCAGUCGGUUCAACCGGUUGAACAGCGAACCGAUCAUGCUUCCGAUCCAAUUCAAUUAAAAAAUCAAAGUACCUUCGAGUGUUAAUUUAACUUUGUUGGGAGUUUCCAAUUAUCUCGACAGUUGAAAAAAAAAUUAAAAAAUCAAAGAAUUAAUUGAAUCGAUCAAAAUCGGUCAUGAAUCGGUUGAACCGGUAAAAAUCAAAAGGUUCAACUGAUUUUAUUAAAUAUUUAUUUUCUAAAAUAAAUAAUUUAAUUUUAUUCAAAAUUCUUAAUACUAAAAUGGAUAAAAAAUUAUUAAACUUUUGAAUUGGGAUCGAAUCGGUUGAAUCAAUCAAAUCGUGAACCGGAACGUUUUCGGUUCACUCUCUGGUCCAAAUUUAAAAACAUUGAUGGGCUAUCAUUCCAACGGGUGUUACAAAUUGGACUGCCCUGGCUUUGUUCACACGAAUCCAGACGUAGUAUUGGGAGGCGGCAUUUAUUGGAUUUCUACCCAUCGUGGACCCCAACACGAACUCGGCUUCCGUUUUCGGAAGGUAGCAAGAAUAAAAAUGGUUGAGAAAUCAGCAUAGAUUAGCUGUCAAAUGGUUUGCCAUCUGAUAAUUAACAUACUUUUUCCUAAUCAUCCUGAUUCUUGCUUCUUCCUUUGCUCCUAAUUGCUUUUUCCUCGUACUUGAAAAUUUGAUCUAGUGGGUAAACUAAAUUUCUUUAGGACCCAAAACAAGAUGUUUGGGGGCUAGCAUGGAAAACGGCCGAUAAAAUAAUUGGUUACUGGCCUGCCUCCCAUAUUCUCAGACCUGGCUGAAAGUGCUUCAGUGAUCGGAUGGGGUGGAGAGGUGCUAAGCUCUGCAAUUAUAGAUGGGCAGCACACUACAACUCAAAUGGGUAGUGGCCAUUUUGCUCAAGAAAAAUUUGGAGGAUCAAGUCUUAUCAGAGCCCUUCAAGUAAUCGAUGAAUCAAACAAUUUGAAGCCUGCUGGAAACUUUAAAGUUCGCGUCGACAAUCCAAAUGGCUACAAUGCAGUGCUUGUAAAGAAAUAUAAUUGGGGAGAUACCAUUUUCUUUGGAGGACCAGGAAAAAAUAAUAAUUGUCCUGGCAUUGAUGAAUGAUGUAAUCUGGAAAAUGAGUGAAUGAUUAUGCAAAAGACACUACUUCUUCUUCUUUUCUUUACACGAAUUAAAUUUCAGGAUUUAUAUAUAAAAAAAAAGUUAAAGAGAAGCGCUCAAGUGCAUGUCUACAUAUUCAUGUUUGGAUAAAAGAAGGUAAUUGAUGUUUUAAUUAGAAGAAAAUAGAAAACAUGGUUUCCUUUAUUCUUUUAAUCGGAGCACAAUGAAACCGAAUAGGAAGUAUUUGAAUUGCAAUUGAUUGAAGCCAGAUAGGAAAUGAGGGUAGUAUAAUUUUUUUGUAUUAGAGGGUAUUUAUGUGUAAUUGUCAAAAACAUCAGGGGAAGUUUUUGAAAUUAUCCACAUAUAUAAAUCUUAGUAUUUUGAUAGCUCUUAGUAUUGAUUUUGACCCAGGAUUCAAUAUAUACCCAUAAUUCAUUAAAUACUUUUUAUGAAUGUCAACUACGUAUUUUAAGUAAAUUGCUCCAGAUUGUUCAAUCAAUUGAUAACCAGAGUCAUUCUUUGAUAAAUGAUCACUAUGAGUCAAACUCAAUAAUAUGUAUGUAUGUAUGUAUUGUACGAGGGAUUUUCAGGUCAAUUCUCUCAUUUAAGCAUCUUAUUCUCCAUUCUCUUUUUUAACAAAAUUGAUUUAAUUUAAUCAUUAUAAUUACUUUUAAACCUAUGGAAUAGAUACUAACGUAAAUACAUUACUUAAUAUUAGAAAGUGUCCACCUAUCAUAUGAUAAUCUAUUUAAAUGUCCUAACCUUACCUAAUACAACUUUAAAAAAAAAGUUUAAAAGUAGACAAUUUCAAACAUGGCAUGCCACAUAGUUGCCUUUGAUUUUACAAAAUAAAAUAAGACCAUAAAUAGGUUUACCAAACUUAUAGCGAACAAUCAAACGUUAGAAACGUCGUAAUAAAUGAAACCACCAUCAAUUUCCUUAGUUUUACUUAUUAACCAUAACAGAAAUAAGUACGACUAUCUACUAACUAUAAUACCAAAUUAAGGAAAAAUGUUUAGAAUUAAUUAAGUUCCCUAACAAUACAAUAAUUUGGUAAUGUUUAGAAUUAAUCAAUUUCAGUAACAAUUGUAAACAAUACAAUAAUUUGAAUACCAAAUUAAUGGCAUUAUACAUAAUUAUAUAAUUUAAACACUAAAUUAAGUAAACUUUCACCAAUACCAAUUUUUUUAAGGAAACUUCCCUAUUUCUCAUCAGUUAAAUAUCACACAUGCUUUUAGAAAAAGGAUCUUUCUGAUGAGUACCUAUUGGGCACUCAUUAAUGCACAUAAAUUCCAUCUAAACUACUAUAUAUUGAUAGGUUGCAAUUUUCUCAUUUAUUUUAUUAUUAAUUUUCUCUAUUACCUGACCCGAUGUGGAUUAAUUAAUAGUUUCUACUCACUUUUAGUAUUUUGCGUCUAUCUUAGGGGGCAGAAUGAAAAUAUGAUAACAGGUGCCAAUUUGACAGAAAAGAAAUUCAAAUGAUAGAGCUUGUUCCAGGGGCAUUUUUGAAAAAGAGACGCAAGCCCUUUUUGGUCAUUUGGCCGAAGUCUUCCUCCGGAGAAAAUGGGAGCUGCCGCACGGAGAUUGAGGAAGAGAUGAAAAAAGGAGAAAAAGAGGCAGAGGAUUUUGGCCUCCCGGAGCUUAGCCUCACUUUUGACUUUUCUUCUUGGCCUUUAGUAGUCAUUCUCCACGGUUGUGAGGAGAAACGAUGAAGAGCUUUAGUUUAGCAUUAGAUUUUUCCUUUUAGACUUUUGGUUAGGACCUCUCCUAUGCAUGUCAGAGGAAAUUAAACAACUUUGACUUUUCCAUUUUCCUUCCUGGCGUAGUCUUCUCUUCGUACGCCUGGACAAGUAGAAACCAUGGAAUUAGUUGCUGUAGCUUUGCUAUCUUUUCAAACAUUUGGACGAAUUGGACUCUUCUAAUUUCGAAGGACAAUGGCCGCAACUUUCUCUGCGAUUUUCUGUGGGUUUUGUUCAUCAAAUAUGAACUAAUUUUUCAACUCUAGUCAAGGGACAAUGAAAGCUUUGAUUCGCCUAAAAAUUGUGAGAUCGGUUUAAUUUUAUCUUUUCCUUUUAUUUAUUGGUAUUCGCAUAUUCCUUGAUUGCAGUGCUUAUGAUUGUUCAAUUAAUUGAUUGUUUUGGAUGCUGAUACUUAGUUAAUUUGAUAAUCUAUUGUCAGUUAGGGCAUUAAAUUCGUAAUUGUUUAAUUGUCUUAAACUAGUGAUAACUGGCAUAACUAGAUUUGUGUCAGGGGGAUAUGCGAACUAAUCUGAAACAGCCCUGGUAGUGCGUUAUUUGAUUGGAAUAGGGCUCCUCUAACACGUAAGGCAAUUGGGGAAUUAAAUCUUAUGGGUGUACUUAGGAUUAUUUCUCAAUUAGAACAGUGAUUAACGGGCGUACCUUAAUCACCGACACAGUAAGGAGGGGUUGACUGUCAUCACUUGUUUGGCAGUUAUAACCUAUUUAUUAAUAAAUAAUUGGAAGUGCUUGUGCAUCGAUGAUCAAUUAGGUGAACCAAUGCUGAAGUUAUUCCUUGGCUAGAUCUUUAAUUAAUAUUACCUUGAUUUUAAUGAAUUGCCAUUUGACCUUUAGUUGCUUACUUUAUUUUAUUCUUAAUUGUUUCUUGUUUUAAUUGAUUUAGCCCUUUAAUUAUUGUUACUCUAAGUUCAGUGAAUGGUUGUUUAAUUUCUAGUUAGUUAUUUAUUUUUAUUUUCUUAUUUGAAUUUAUCUGAUUAUCGUCCUUCCUACAAAAUCAUCCCCUAUGUUACUUUGGAUUUCUUAAGAGACAAAUAUACUCAAUCCCUGAGAAUACGACCCUACUUGUCUUGUUUACAAAUUCAUAAUUAUUUGUGAAAAAAAGAAAAAUCAUCCCAUUCGAGUAUAUCGGAUCAAGCAAACUCUUCGGGAACAGGGUGAAUCAAGUAACCCAUUGCACACCUAAAGUCCCUGCUCCAGUACUUGGAAUUGGGUUUUGAUCAUUUUAACUGGCAAUUAGGUUUAAUUUUAUUAUUGUACAGAUUUCGACAUCCUGUCAAUUUUUGGCAUCGUUGCCGGGGACUGGCGUUAUUAUUUGUUUCUUUUUAAAUUCAUUUUUUAUCUAACUUUCUGGUGCUUUUCAAGUGUAUGCCUCGUUCUUUUCAUACAGGUGAAUUAAUUUUCGACCCCGAGGUAGAGAAAAUCGCACGUAAGACAAGAAAAGAGACCAGACAACUCAGAGAGGAGCACUCCAGUGCUGCAUCUCUGAGACCUGAGUCGGAAGUUGAACCAACAGAUUCGUUUGGUGACACUUCGAGUGACUCUGACUAGGAGGAAGGCACCAUGGCUGAUUCACGAACAUUAAGGGAGUUGGCUGCACCUGAUUUAAAUCAGCAGCCUUUAUGCAUUACUUUUCCCACUUUAAAUGAUAACGUUCUAUUUGAGUAAAAAUAUGGUCUAAUUCAUCUUCUACCUUCUUUUCAUGGUUUAUCAGGUGAAGAGCCGUAUAAACAUCUGCAGGAGUUUGAUGUCGUGUGCAAUAGUAUGAAGCCCUCGGAAAUCACAGAAGAGCAGGUAAAAAUAAGGGCAUUUCCUUUCUCCUUGAAAGAUUCUGCAAAAGACUGGUUGAACUACCUACCACCAGGUAGUAUCACCACGUGGGAUCAGUUAAAGAAAAAAUUCUUAGAUAAGUAUUUACCCGCGUCUCGAGCUGCAAGUCUAAGAAAGGAGAUUUGUGGUAUCAAACAGCACCCAGGGGAGUCGCUUUAUGAGUAUUGGGAGCGAUUCAAGAAAUUGUGCAUCAAAUGCCCCCAACACCAAAUAAGUGAGCAGUUGCUCAUACAGUAUUUUUAUGAAGGAUUUCUUUUCAGAGACAGGAGCAUAAUUGAUGCUACAAGUGGAGGAGUAUUGGUGAACAAAACCCCUCGGGAAGCAUGGGAGUUAAUUGAGGGGAUGUCAGAGAAUUCACAACAAUUCGGUACGAGAGAGGAUAUCCCAAUACACAAGGUGAAUGAGGUAGAGACAUCCUCUAUCCAGCAGCAGCUAACUGAGUUGACCUCGUUUGUUAGGCAACUGGUUGUAGGAAAUGCAUCUCAGGCCAAGGUGUGUGGGAUUUGUACUGGUAUGGGUUAUUCUACAGAUAUGUGCCCAGUGAUUCAAGAAGAAAGUGCAGAGCAAGUAAACAUGGCUGGUCACGCGCCCGCGCCAAGAAGGCCCUAUGACCUGUACUCGAAUACGUACAAUCCCGGCUAGAAGGACCAUCCGAAUUUCAGUUAUUGAGGAAAUAGGCAGUCCAACUUUGUACCGAACAGACAGCAAGGGCAUCAACAACAGUACCACCCUCGGCCACCACCACCUCCUUCGAAUUCAAGUCCGUCUAUGGAGGAGAUGAUGAAGCAACUACUUGCUAAUCAACAAAAGGCGGACUCCGAAAUGCAGGACAUAAGAAAUCAGAUGAAUUAAAUGGCCAAAACAAUCAACCGCUUGGAGUCCCAAGUGCAAGGUAAAUUGCCGUCUCAACUUGAAUUGAACCCGAAGAAUGUAAGCACGAUGACCCUAAGGAACGGAAAGGAAAUUCAGGGGCCUGAGCCUGUGAUCCCUAAGGACAAGGAUGAAGAAAAAAUCGAAAAUGAGCUUGAGAGGGAGGACAGCAAUGGUGCAAAUCCAAAGGUACUUCCAAACCCAAUAAUUACAGUUAAAACUAACCCGCCUCCUUUCCCUAACAGGUUGGAAAAAUCGAAGAAGCAGGAUAAGGAGAAGGAGAUCCUGGAAGUGUUCCGCAAAGUAGAGAUUAAUAUACCCCUCUUAGACGCAAUCAAACAAGUACCGAAAUAUGCCAAGUUUCUAAGGGACUUGUGUGUCAACCGAAGGCGAUUGAGGGAAAUGAAAGGGUCAUUGUUGGGGAAAAUGUGUCUACAGUCCUGCAAAGAAAGCUUCCAUCAAAGUGCAAGGACCCAAGUAUGUUUACUAUUCCCUGUAGGAUAGGCAACACUGUGAUUAGACGGGCCAUGUUGGAUCUGGGAGCAUCAAUUAAUGUCAUGCUUAAAUCUAUCUAUGCUUCUCUAAAACUAGGUUCAUUAAAAGAAAUUGGGAUAAUCAUUCAAUUAGCUGACCGAACUAAUGCAUAUCCUGAUGGAUUGGUUGAAAAUGUGUUGGUAAAAGUUAUUGAUUUGGUGUUUCCAACUGAUUUUUAUGUACUUGAUAUAGAUGAUGAUCACUCACCCGAUCCCUCACCUUUGUUAUUAGGUAGACCCUUUAUGAGUACAGCACAAACAAAAAUUGAUGUUAAUAGGGGUACGUUGUCCAUGAAGUUUGAUGGGGAGAUUGUGCAUUUUAAUAUCUUUGAUACUAUGAAAUAUCCCUCAAACUCUAACUUUAAUUCUAUUUUUUCUGUGAGUGCUGUUGACCCUGCGGUACGGGAAGUGUUUGAAACUGUUUGCAGGGAUGAAUUGGAAGUUGCUUUAACCAAGCAUCUCGAGUUGGAAACAAUUCCUGAGAUAGAGUGGAGUGAAGAUCUGAAAUGCACAAUAGGGGCAUUACACUCAUUGCCAACCUCCACAAAAAGGUACGAAAUUUCACCUAUAUUCAUUCUCGAAUCUCAUCAAAGGGUAUUACCAUCGGUGGUGCAGGCACCCGUAUUGGAGUUGGAACCCCUACUGGAGCAUUUGAAAUAUGCGUAUCUGGACGACAAUGAAACAUUUCAAAUAUUAUCUCAACUGCACUCUCGAAAACUCAAGAGAAGAAGUUGAUCCGAGUCCUUAGAGAGCAUAAAGAGGUGAUUGGUUGGACCAUCGCAGACAUCAAGGGGAUCAGCCCCUCCAUCUGUAUGCACCGAAUUAGACUUGAAGAGGAUGCCAAACCUGUACGAUAGGUUUAAAGGAGGCUCAAUCCCCUCAUGAUGGAAGUGGUGAAAAAAGAAAUUUUGAAACUGUUAGAUGUGGGGAUCAUCUUUGCGAUAUCAGAUAGCCCUUGGGUGAGUCCGGUCCAGGUAGUCCCAAAGAAGGCAGGAAUGACGGUAGAGGCUAAUCAAACGGGUGAGUUCGUGCCAGUGCGCAAACCCACUAGAUGGAGGCAGUGUAUUGACUACCGUAGGUUGAACGCCGUCACCAAAAAAGACCAUUUCCCCCUCCCUUUCAUUGACCAAAUAGUUGAACGUUUGACUUGUAGAGCUUACUAUUUUUUUUUGGAUGGAUUUUCAGGAUAUUUUCAGAUAACAAUUGCACCAGAGGAUCAAGGGAAGACGACCUUCACAUGCCCGUUCAGGACCUUUGCUUAUAGACGAAUGCCCUUCGGGUUGUGCAAUGUACCUGCAACAUUUCAGAGGUGUAUGGUAAGCAUUUUCUCUGAAUAUAUAGAGAAAAUAAUUGAGAUUUUUAUGGACGACUUCAGUGUGUAUGGUGAUAGUUUUGAUACAUGUCUAGAUAACCUGAGAUUGAUCUUGUUAAGAUGUAUAGAGACUAAUCUCGUGUUUAAUUGGAAAAAAUGUCAUUUUAUGGUUGAACAUGGGAUAGUUUUGGGAUACAUGUCUAGAUAAUCUGAGAUUGAUCUUGUUAAGAUGUAUAGAGACUAAUCUCGUGUUUAAUUGAAAAAAAUGUCAUUUUAUGGUUGAACAUGGGAUAGUUGGGAUAUCGUAUCUUCUAAAGGUAUUGAGAUCGAUAGGGCUAAAAUAGACAUCAUAUCUGACUUAUCUUACCCCGCGAGUGUGCGGGAGGUGCGUGGACAUGCAGGUUUUUACCGAAGGUUCAUCAAGAAUUUUUCAAAAAUUGAAACCCCGUUAUUCUAACUUUUACAAAAAGAUGUGACCUUUGAAUUCGAUGACAAGAGUGAGAAAACUUUCGACAAGUUGAAAGAGCUAUUGACCGUACCCCCGAUCAUCCAGCCCCCCGAUUGGAGUUUGCCAUUUGAGAUUAUGUGCGAUACCAGUGAUUAUGCUGUAAGGGCUAUAUUGGGGCAAAUAGUAUGAAAGGCAGCUCACGUCAUCUACUAUGCAUCCCGAACCCUGAAUGGGGCCCAAUUGAAUUACUCCACUACUGAGAAGGAGUUUCUUACGGUUAUUUUUGCUUGAAAAAAAUUCAGGUCAUAUUUGAUAGGUGCUAAAGUAAUUGUAUUUUCUGAUCAUACAUCAUUAAGGUACCUAAUGACUAAGAAAAAUGCAAAAUCGAGACUUAUCAGAUGGAUAUUGCUCCUACAGGAAUUUGACUUGGAGAUAAGGGAUAAAAGGGCCUCAGAGAAUCUAGUUGCCGACCACUUGAAUCGCAUACCAGUAGGAGAGAAGAACGAACCAUUGAAGGAUGCAUUCCCUGAAGAGCAUCUAUUUUCUUUAAAUUCUCAAUUGCCUUGGUAUGCGGAUUUAGUUAAUUAUUUAGUAACGGGUAAUUUCCCUUCAGGUUGGCCGAAAUCGAAGAGGGAUAAAUUGAAGAGCGACACCAAGUAUUUCAUCUGGGAUGACCGGUACUUAUGGAAGAGAUGUGCUGAUCAGGUGAUGAGGCGAUUUGUAAGUGAGGCUGAAUUUCAAUCAAUUUUAACUUUCUGUCAUACUUUUGCCUGUGGAGGUCAUUUUGGACCCAAGAGAACGACUCAUAAGGUAUUGGAAAGUGGGUUUUACUGGUCUUCUUUGUUUAAAGAUGCAUAUGUGUUUUGUAAGUCGUGUGAUCGCUAUCAAAGGGUAGGUAAUAUAGCCCGUAGAGAUCAUAUACCCCAAGUUCUGUUGAUUUUUGUUGAAAUUUUCGAUGUGUAGGGUAUCGAUUUCAUGGGGUCCUUUCCUACCUCAUUUGGUUUUGUGUAUAUUUGUUGGCAGUCGAUUACGUGUCUAAAUGGGUGGAGGCUAAGGCCACCCGGACUAAUGAUUCAAAAGUGGUUACAGAUUUUAUUAGGUCUAAUAUUUUUGUACUUUUUGAAAUGGCAAAGGCCAUUGUCAGUGACAGGGGGAUGCAUUUCUGCAACAAAAUCAUAGCCGCGUUGUUUCGCAAGUAUGGCGUACUUCACAGGAUCUCGACGUCGUACCACCCGCAGACUAAUAGUCAAGCAGAGGUAUCAAAUAGGAAAAUUAAGUCUAUUUUGGAGAAAAUGGUGCGACCCGAUAGGAAGGAUUGGUGUCAACGGUUGGAAGAUGCACUUUGGGCCUAUCGGACGGAAUACAAGACCCCUAUAGGGAUGUCACCGUACAGGUUGGUAUUUGGGAAUCCGUGUCAUCUUCCAGUGGAGUUUGAGCACAAGGUUUUUUUAGCCAUUAAACAGUGUAACAUAAAUCUAGAAGAUGCCGGUGCUCAACGGAAGUUGGAUUUGCAAGAAUUGGAGGAGAUCCGCAACGAAGCCUACGAAAAUGCACUAAUUACAAGAAGAAGAGUCGGGCAUUUCAUGACCAACAAAUCUCUAGAAAAACCUUUGAAAUUGGUCAGAAGGUCCUCCUGCACCAAUCUAGGCUCAAGCUAUUCCCAGGUAAGCUAUGUUCCCGUUGGAUUGGACCUUUUAUUGUUACUCACGCGUUUCCAUAUGGUGCAGUUGAAAUCCAGAGUGCCAAGACAGACAACAAGUUUGUGGUGAAUGGACACCGUCUCAAACAUUAUUACAAAAGUUUUUCAAGUGGAGAAGUGGAGACGAUGAGUAUAGAUGCACCACCGUGUCCCACUUUGUAGCACUUUGCCAUGUCUAACUAAAGACGUUAAAGAAAGGCGCUCAUUGGGAGGCAACCCAAUUGUUGCUUUUAAUUGUUUGUUUGAUUUCGUGUGAUAGUUUACAUAUGUUUUCCUUGAAUUUGAAUGAUUUCUGAUUUCCAUUUUCGUUUUGAUGAUUUGUAGAUGUCCUUCUGUCAUGACGUGCCCGCGUCAUGACAUACGAAGAGCUCAUGGUUAGAAUCGUCAGAAGGAGUUUUUGCCCUCAUAACGUGCCCGCGUCAAGUCACCCGGAGAGCUCCUCAUUCCGUGCUUUCGUCACGUGCCCACGUCGCCUUCGCGGGAAAAGCAAGCAUUGAAAAGAAAAACUCAAGACCGGUUAGUGAUUCCCUGUUAGUCUCUAAUUUUGAAUUUCAGAGUUGAGUUUUGUAAUAAUAAAAAAAAUAAAAAAAAUAAUUUUUAAUUAGUACAAAAAUAAAAAAAUAAUAUAUAUAUAAAAAAACGAAACAAAACAAAAACAAAAAAUUUCCUUUUCACCGUAGCUUAAAUAUUUCAAAAAAAAAGAAAAAAAUCUUUUUUUCUUUUUCUUUUUCCUUCUUUUCUUUUCUUUCUUUUUUCUUUUCUUCUUCUCCUUCUUUCUUUCUCUUUUCCUCCUUUCUUCUCCUACCGCUGUUUCCUUCCUUCUGUUCGACCGAAGCUCCAUCGCGUGCCGCCUCCACGAGCUUAGCUCCGCCGCCCCUCAGUCGACAUCGAUUCCACCUCGCACGUCCUAUCUCCUCCUCACCUGCGAGCUGCUGCCCUCUACCUCCGCGCGCGCAGUCUCCACCACAGCAGACCCAUUGCCCGCCGCCGUCCGUAGCAUCGUGCACCGCCGCUGCCCACGGUCGCGCGUGUAACAGCCCCACCUCCCCCUAAGGCGAACCAGAGGGUUCGGCGGGCCGCCUGCCCAGCUCUCGCCGGGACUCAUCCUCAAAUAAAUUACAAUAUAAAACUCAAAUAUACAUCAAAUUAACCAAUAAUUACAUGUCAAAAGCGAAGCGUCCACUCAUCCGCUGCGCCACUCUGAUCCUUAAUCACAAUUAUUAUACAGGAGGAAGUCCAAAACUAGACUAUUACACAUCCAAUCAAUUCCAAGCAAGCACGAAUAAUUAUUCCAAUCCCACUUGUCCGAUUUUCAUUCCUACAAGGAAUCACUUACAUUGCAAACUAGACCCACAUUCCGGCAUCCUAAACUUUAAGCUUAGGAUACAUUACAGAGAUCUGAAGCCUAAGCUCUGAUACCAGCUGUAACGGCCCCAUCUCCCCUAAGGCGAACCAGAGGGUUCGGCGGGGGCGCCUGCCCAGCUCUCGCCGGGACUCAGUCGAUCACUACAAUCCUCAAAUAAAUUACAAUAUAAAACUCAAAUAUACAUCAAAUUAACCAAUAAUUACAUGUCAAAAGCGAAGCGUCCACGCAUCCGCUGCGCCACUCUGAUCCUUAAUCACAAUUAUUAUACAGGAGGAAGUCCAAAACUAGACUAUUACACAUCCAAUCAAUUCCAAACGUUCAAUACAAUCCCUAAUAUUAAUCUAUUACACAAGAGGCAAUCCAAUUUCGAACCAUACACAAGAUAAUCCAUCCAUUCGCAGGAAUACGCACUACAAGCCUUUUUUUCGCCUUGAGCCCUGCGAGGGGGGGAAAAUAGUUUUGGGGUGAGCUAGAUGCUCAGCGAGUAACCAAUAAAAUCAGUUAUCGAAUCAGUUUCACAAUAAUUCAUUUUAAUGAUACCAUAAAUCAAUGAUGUCAUAAAUCAAACGUUAAGUCAAAACAUUUAUAACGUUUGCAAAACAGUAAAUAUGGAGUAUCAUUAUUUCAAGAAACAUGUACAACGGAAAACGAUAGUAACAUUCAUGGAAAGGAUACAUUCGUUCUCCUGACAUUUCCUCGCUCAGGGUCAUUCAUUUCAUUCAUUCACCAACCUCCACCAACCUACAUAGGUAAUACUCGAGUAUACCAAACGUGCACCCAAGUGCCUAAUCGCCCGACCGAGACCGUUUCUGGCUCGAGACGACCGGUAACAAGGGGCUAUGGCCAGUUCAGCCCAAAUGCUUACAUACAUGCGCAACUAGCAUUUAAUCAUUUAAUCGUUAAAAUUUUCACAUUUAUUUAGGUCGAGUGCGAUAAAGUACACACUCGCCUAGAAAGCUCGUUUGGAAAUCAUUUAAAGCACUUAAUACCUUACCAAUCAAUAAUACAAAGCACGAAGUCAAGAAAAUAUAGCAAAUAAGGAACACUCAUAUACAAGCAUGCAUGAUAUGCAAGAAAACAGUUCAAAAGUAACUUUGGAAACAGUUCAAAAGUAAAUACUGCAGGAAACGGUUUAUAAAUAACUUUAGAAAUUGUUUGAAGUCACUCACCUCCACGGCUCAAGAUUCAUCCACAAUAUACCGUUACCUUAUCCAAAUCGAAGCCCUAACUUCCAAACUCAAAGCAAACAUAUUCACUCAAGGUUCGGACAGCAUUUCCCCUUAAAUGCUUCAUUUGUCCAACCUACAACCAAACCCAAUCAUAUAGCAAUUAACCACAAUUGCACAUACGGUUCGCAAGCAAUAAAAGAUAUCCAUUUAGGCCAUAAAAUCCUUGAAUCAAGGCCAAUUAGCAACUCAUAAGUCACUCUUGGAAAAUCCCUAAAUAAAACCCUAGAAACCGGAAUUCUUACCACAAGCGGAAAUUUUCCGUAAUCAAUCGCAAUUAACGUAUUCAAGCUUCAAUUAACACCACAACAUUCCAUCAAUUCAAGACCAAUUCAUGCUUAUCAAAUAAAAUCGGAAAAAUACCCAAUAAAUCAGAAAUCCACCAUAAACUCUUUCAACCCAUGAAAUACUCCACAAAAUAACACACAUGGCCACCACAAACCAUUAAUUAACCAAUACUAGAUCAAAAGUAACUUGUAUAUUCAACUCACCUCAAAUUCAAGAGAGCUACCAACUUAGAGCUUCCCCUUCAAAACCAAUCCAUCAAAAGCUUUAACCAACCAUAGUGAGCCCUUGUAUAAAAUAGUUUGCAAAAACAUCGGUUAAAACUCAAGAUAUUUGGCAAAGAUUAAACUAGGAAAAUUGAGAGUAUUUUCUCUCUAUGAAGCUCGGAUGAACCAGGGAAGAAAAUGAGAUAUUUUGGCCAAAACAAUGAGAUAAGAAGGAAGAAAAAGGCAGCCGGUCAAAGCUGACCGGCUGUGACACGCCACAAUCCGGCCGGAAUCUGGCCGGAUUUCCGGCCGGAUUCUUGGCCGGAUUCAAGGCAGUAGCUAAACCAAUUUUUUUUCAAAACGACUAGGCAAUUCGGCCAGCUAUCCGGCCAGAAACUGGCCGGAUUCCCGGCCGGAUUUGGCCCCUGCCUUUUUAUAAAAUUUUUUCUUUUUCUUUUCCGAGUUGAAAACUGUGCUAUUCCUCUCGUCCAACAAAAUAUAUAUAAAAUGAAAACCCUCCUUCAUACGGGGCGUCACAGCAUGCCUCUCUCCAGCUUUCCCCCACAGUCGCGCGCUGCUCCAUCGCAUGCCGCCGCGACUCACGCCUCCUCAACUCACGCCGCCUCAACUCUACCUUAUCCGCCAACCACCAUACCCACUCCACAGUUCCUACCAGCGCCGACUGUCCACCGCACCCAAUCAUGCGACUCCAACAGUAGUUCCGCCGUUCGCGGUCAGUCGUCACAGCUCAGCAGCCUUAGCUCUUCACCCGCGACUCCACCCUCUCUUGCGCGCCUCUCACCACCAGGCCGCGCCGCGUCGGCUACUGCCGCUCCAGUUCUUUGUUUGGCGGCCAGUAGAGGUAUUUCAACCUCGAUUCCAAAAUUUUUGGUGUUGAUUGGUAUCGUUUAGCGGCUGUGUUGUUUUACUCCGGAUUUGUUCAUUCUCUGUUGUUUCCUACCUAAUUGAGAGCGCGGAGAUGGUGCCUAUGUUACUACUGUCUAUAUUAUGACUUGCUAUUUCGGGUCGGCAAGAGUCUUGGGAAUAUUUAUUGCAUUUUCUUUGUGGAUUUGAGUUCAAUUGUUUUGGAUUGUUGGGUGUUUGACAGUUACCCUGCUCUUAGCCUCUUUGAUUAGCAUAUUCGUUGAAAUUGGUUGUGCUCUAGCACAGUGUGGGGAGGCAUUUGUUGAACUUUUGGGUGGAAUUAUUGAGUUUUUGGGUGAGCUGAAAUACUGUUAUUGCUUGAAUUGUUGGGACUAUAGUGGCGCAAUCUCUGGGUUGUUUGUUGAAUCGGAAGGGCAUUGUGACCCCUGCAUUGCUUCCUGAAGUUGGUUAACUAAUUUUGGUUUACUGCGUGUGUUUAGUCUCUUGAUUUCACUUGCCUUCCGUAUUCGUUUCAAUUGAGUUCAUUUGUUGCCUUUGUUGAAGCAUCUGCUGCGAGUGUGGCGUUGUAUAGCUUCUACUGUUGGCUGAUGCAUUGGGGCCAUAGGUAGCAUUUACUCUGCUCUGUUAUAGCUAUUCCAUUGAUUUUGAACUACGUUCUGCACCAGUGGUACUGGUUGGCAUACUUUCCCUUGCUUGUGUUAACUCUAUUGGGUUGGAUACCUGAUUAUCUACCAAAGGCUUGUGACUGUGUUGCUCUUGUUGACUUUCUGAACUACAAUUGCUGGAUUUAGCAUAUUAUUGGGAUACUUGUUGAAACUUUGGUUGGACAACAUUUGCUUGUCGACUAAGCGACUUGGAUAGUCCCUGUGCUUAUUGAAUAGCCUUUGCCAGUUGCUAAUUGUUGUUAAUAGUUGGGCAUCCUGUGGUUAUUGAGUGUCUUUGUUGCUUUGUUGGGAUAUUGGUAUAAAUUGUGGGCGACUCGAUUGUACAUUUUCUGGGUGAUUAAAUUGGUAAUUGCUGGUUGCACUGAGCGUUGGAAAGUCUGUAUUUUGUUGUUCGAGCUGACUGUUAGGAGAAAUGGUGAGACCAAAAUCAUCCUUUAGGUUUAGAGCUUCUCAAUCUCAACCUCCACCCCAAGCCUCCAUUCCUGUCAAUACCCUUAUAAAUCAACCUUCCGCUUCCGGUGUCCGUACCCGAUUAGGCAGGGGUAGGGGUGCCCACGUGGCUUCCGCCACUCACCUUAGAGGGCAUUUAGAGUUCACUAGACUCGCCAAUCAGCGACGCUAUGCUCAAGCCUGUGAGCGGCGUAUAAUCCCGUGCAAGUGCGCGGACGACAUAACUAUGGUCUUUUUAGGUAUCCAAACGGAAGUUGAGCGCAUGUACACCGCCAUUGGAUGGCGCCCCUAUCUUGCGGUCUUCCAACCCGUUUGGCCCCAGUUGGCAGUGAUCCUGGCCCGUCGACAUCCGCUCAGCCCCCUCCACCAGCAGGGGCUAAGGACUGGCACUAGCUCCGGAUGCAGGUUCAGAAUUUGGAGGCCCGGAUGAUUAACAUCGACAACAAUGUGGCGACUAUGGCACAAAAUCUGGCGGCUUUCAUGCAGCACUCGGGUUUCCCGCCCCCAGCACCACCUCACCCUCCACUUUGACCCGAUUCCAGGGGAGUUUUGUUGCCCUUUCUUCUACCUUUGAUGUUUACUUGCCACAUUGAGGGCAAUGUACCGUUUAGGUGUAGGGGGGAUUGGAUCAGUUGUGGUUCUCAUUUUUAGUAGUUUUUAGUUUUAGGUGUUUUUCCUUUAAUUCUAGUGUGUUAUUUGAAUCUCUUUCUUUCUUUUUACUGAUUAGCUCUCAUAUGAAUGCCAAAGUUUGAUGUUGGGUUAUUGAUUUUAAAUUUACUCUUGCCAAGUUUUAAUGAUAAAAGCGUAUUGAGUUGAUGUGGUUGAGUCCAAAAUGUCUCUUUGGUGAAUAUCGAUGACUGUUUGACUCUUUUGAUGUCUUUGUUAACUUUUCUAGGCAUAAGAAAUGAUUGUUGGCAUUUUCAUAUAAAUUGGUCCAAUAUUGACUCUAGUUCUCCAUGUUUGGCAAUAAUGAGGCGAGCUGCUCCUAUUUUUUAUUUUUAGUGUUGUUAUUUUGCGUUUUUGUGUUGUUUGGCUGUGAAUAAACUUGACUGUACUUCGCUAUUAGUUACUACUGAAUAACCGGGGAUCUGCACCUAAAAGUGUCGGUUCUCGCGUCAAAAAAUAGUACUUUCUAUGAGUACGUGGUCGUUAUAGCGAUAGGAGCUGAGUAACCGGACUUCUUCAUCUAAAAAUGUUGGAGUUCACGUCAAAAGGCUCCAAUGGCUAGAGAUUAAGUCUUUUUUGUGUUAUUAUUAUUAUAAAAAAAAAAAGAGAGAAUGAAAAAAUGACAAAAAAAGAGAAUAAAAAAUAGAAAACGUGAAAAAAAGAAAAGUGCAGGUUGUGUUAAUGCAUGUUAGAGGUCAGUUCGCCGACUUAUGGACUUAAUAUGGAGACAUUGGUUAAUAUUUGGACUGUUCGCUGAUAAAUGUUGUGUGCCAUUCCUUUUUCUUAAAUUAGUUAAUUUGGAAUUGAAAGAGUUUGUAAUCUAGAACCUAACCAGGGUGAUGUCUAGUGGAUUUUGAUCACUAAUGCUCGAUAUACGGUUUUCCUUGGUAUCUUGGCAAUAUAGUAGAUAGAGCAAUGGCCAUAAUCAAAUCUUGGUGUCUGCUUACUUUUCCUAUGCUUGAGGGCAAAACAGGUGUGGGGGGAAUUGAUAGGUUGCAAUUUUCUCAUUUAUUUUAUUAUUAAUUUUUCCUAUUACCUGACCCGAUGUGGAUUAAUUAAUAGUUUCUAUUCACUUUUAGUAUUUUGCGUUUAUUUCAGGGGCAGAACGAAAAUAUGAUAACAGGUGCCAAUUUGACAGAAAAGAAGUCCAAAUGAUAGAACUUGUCCCAGGGGCAUUUUGGAAAAGAGAUGCAAGCCCUUUUUGGUCAUUUGGCCGAAGUCUUCCUCUGGAGAAAAUGAGAGCCGCCGCACGAAGAUUGAGGAAGAGAUGAAAAAAAGGAGAAAAAGAGGCAGAGGAUUUUGACCUCCUGGAGCUUAGUCUCACUUUUGACUUUUCUUCUUAGCCUUUAGUAGUCAUUCUCCACGGUUGUAAGGAGAAACGAUGAAGAGCUUUAGCUUAGCAUUAGAUUUUUCCUUUUAGACUUUUGGUUAGGACCUCUCCUAUGCAUGUCAGAGGAGAUUAAACAACUUUGACUUUUCCAUUUUCCUUCCUGGCGUAGUCUUCUCUUCGUACGCCUGGACAAGUAGAAACCAUAGAAUCAGUUGCUGUAGCUUUGCUAUCUUUUCAAACAUUCGGACGAAUUGGACUCUUCUAAUUUCGAAGGACAAUGGCCGCAACUUUCUCUGCGAUUUUCUGUGGGUUUUGUUCAUCAAAUAUCAACUAAUUUUCCAACUCUAGUCAAGGGACAACGAAAGCUUUGAUUCGCCUAAAAAUUAUGAGAUCGGUUUAAUUUUAUCUCUUCCUUUUAUUUAUUGGUAUUCGCAUAUUCCUUGAUUGCAGUACUUAUGGUUGUUCAAUUAAUUGAUUGUUUUGAAUGUGGAUAAUUAGUUAAUUUGAUAAUCUAUUGUCAGUUAGGGCAUUAAAUCCGUAAUUGUUUAAUUGCGUUAAACUAGUGAUAACUGGCAUAACUAGAUUUGUGUCAGAAGGAUAUGCGGGCUAAUCUGAAAUAACCCUGGUAGUGCAUUAUUUGAUUGGAAUAGGGCUCCUCUAACACGUAAGGCAAUUGGAGAAUUAAAUCUUAUGGGCAUACCUAAGAUUAUUUCUCAAUUAGAACAGUGAUUAACGGACGUACCUUAAUCACCGACACAGUAAGUAAGGGGUUGACUGUCAUCACUUGUUUGGAAGUUAUCACCUAUUUAUUAAUAAAUAAUUGAAUUAGGUGAACCAAUGCUGAAGUUAUUCCUUGGCUAGAUCUUUAAUUAAUAUUACCUUGAUUUUAGUGAAUUGCCAUUUGACCUUUAGUUGCUUACUUUAUUUUAUUCUUAAUUGUUUCUUGUUUUAAUUGAUUUAGCCCUUUAAUUAUUGUUACUCUAAGUUCAGUGAAUGGUUGUAUAAUUUCUAGUUAGUUAUUUAUUUUUAUUUUCUUAUUUGAAUUUAUCUGAUUGUUGUCGUUCCUACAAAAUCACCCCCUGUGUUACUUUGGAUUUCUUAGAGACAAAUAUACCCAGUUCCUGAGGAUACGACCCUACUUGCCAUGUUUACAAAUUCAUAAUUAUUUGUGAAAAAAAAAGAAAAAUCAUCCCAUUCGGGUAUAUCGGAUUAAGCAAACUCUUCGGGAAUAGAGGUGAAUCAAGUAAUCCAUUGCACACCUAGAGUCCCUGCUCCAGUACUUGGAAUUGGGUUUUGGUCAUUUUAACUGGCAAUUAGGUUUAAUUUUAUUAUUGUACAGGUUUCGACACCCUGUCAUAUAUAUACACAUACUAAAAAUUAUUACUUCCCUUACAUUUAUGCACUUUUCCUAAAUGAACUUGCAUUUCUAAAAGUCCAACAUUUGAAGUACACUCUAAACGAUUGCCCAAUGAGGAAUUAGAUGCUCAAUGAGAGAAUGGUGAGAAACAUUAGACAUAGAAAUAAUAAAACUCAUUAUCAAUUAAUUAUUAAUAGUGAAAAACAAUAAUACACAUAUAUUAUAUCAAAUUUGAGAUAACUAUGCAAAAGAAGAGAAACAUAUAAUAUAUUAUUAGCAUGAAUAAAUAAAAUAAGAAGGUGGUUUGGGAAUAAAAAAAACAUUGCGCAGUGGAAUGUGUUCUUUAUCUUAAAGCUACUGUGGAACAUUUGUAGUAAAAAAGACAAUUUAUGGGUGAGGUGGAUACAUUCAGCAAUACUGAAGGGGAGAAGUUUUUGGGAGGUUACUACAACAGCUGGCUGUUUUUGGAUUUGGAGAAAAAUAAUGAAAUGUAGAGUUCUAGCUUAGCCAUUUAUAUGCACUUCUAUAGGCAAUGGAGCCCAAACGUCAUUUUGGUAUGAUUCUUGGCAUCCGUCCGAACCACUCUACAAGAUAUACCUCAUUUCCUUGCUCGAGAACUUGGGACCAAAUACAAGAUCUAAGGUGGCUGAUUUUAUUCACAACAAGUGCUAGAAAUGGCCUCGGGCAAGAAGACUUAACUCUCUUGUUUAGGAUUUGAAGGAUGCAACUCCUACAUCUCUAUUGCAAAACACACAUAGAGAGGACCAUGUAAGGUGGCUAGGCUCAUCAACAGGUAUGUUCUCUAUCAAAUUUGCAAUGAGGAUAUUCCCUAGUGGUGAAAUUGUGAAGUGGCAUAAAAUGGUGUGGGGAAAGGGUUGCAUUCUGAAGCUUGCUUUUACUUUAUGGUUAGCUGUACAAGGAAAGCUGAUGACAAAAGAUAGACUAAGAAAAUGGGGAAUGCAGAAUGUUGAUUAAACAUGUGUACUCUAUCGGGGAAUUGAGUCAGUAGCCCACUUGUUUUUUGAGUCUACGUUUGCUAAGUCAGUUUGGCAAAAAGUAAAAAAAUAAUAAUAAUAAUGUGUCUUUUAUAUAGAGGAGAUGUGCUGGCAGAUGGAGGUGCAAUGGUGGAGUGUUUUCUUGAAGGGUGAAUCCUUUGCAACUCAACUUAGAAGGCUAUUCUCUCUACGAUUGUUUGGCACUUAUGGCAAGAGAGGAACAGCAGGAUCUUUAAGCAAACCAGCAAAACCAAUUUCAACUUGUUGCAGCAAUUGUAAAUUUUGUCCAAUCAACAUGUGUAUCUUGGGAGGGUGCUCCAAGAACAAAGGAAAUUGGACUAAUGCUCCGAAUGGGGACUUAAAUAUAAGUGUUUGAUGAGCUAGAUAGGUGUUAUAUAUAUGAGUCAUAACUAAAUACUUAGUUACUAUAGAGAUGGAAACAUUGGAGUAUAUAGUGCUGACAGACACAGGAAACAGAGCUAUGAUGUAAUAGAUGCAGAGCUUCUUGUACACUUCUAGUGAAUUCAAUAAAAACUCUUUUUGAGAAAAAAUAAGCAAGAAGAAAAAGAAGUUUAAUUAUCAUAAUUAAUUUUGAUUAUCCAUAUGAUACUAUUUCACUCUAAUUUGCAUCUGAAUUCAUGCUCAACCUUUAAUAUCACUAUUUAAAAUUUAGAGAAAUAUAAUGAUUCAAAGUCAAAACGUUGGGGAUCAAAAGUGUAAAAUCUAAGUUGUUGACUAACAGUCCUAACAGUAAUUUGAUGUUGACUGUUAGUCAUUAUUCUGUUUCCGUUAAUUGUUCUAAAUCUACCUAAGAUCACAAAUUUUGGAAAUUUGGCCGAAGCAUUAGGGACCAAUUUCGCAUGCAGGUCAAACAUCCGGGGCUAAAAUUGCAUUUUUCCCUAAAACGAUUAUGAUCUCCUUGUAAUAGGCAUCAUAAUGAGAAAAAGAAAGUCAAGGCAACUGAUUGUUGGGUUCCAUAUAAGGAAAUCUUGAUUUACAGAUAUUUUAAUUUGGAAUUGUGAUUUCUUGGAUAAUUUAUUGAGCUUGUGUGACUUCUACUCAUGACAUGCUUCCAGGAAAAACUAAUCUUAUGGAUGUUUUUGUUUUCUCCGACUAAAUUACUUUGGCCUUGGUGAAGACCACAUUAAUCCUUCAAGCAAUUCCUUUAGUAGAUCUGGAAGGUCCUUGAACUUGUGAUAAGAACUAUACAGAUUUGAUGCUUGUUUUCAGGUGCACUGAUUAAUAUAGUACCUCUACAUCCUUUGAUUGCAGUGCUGGAAUUCAUGGUUUUGUCUUUGCUAAUCCAGGAGGACUAGAUCAUUGCUGCUAGUUAUCAAGUAUUCCCUCUGUUUUUAUAUAAAUGAGGCAGCAAUAUUUGCUUUGGUUUGAAAGGUGAUUGAUUUUGAUAGUGUUCCAUGAUAUCACCUACUUCUGGAAGGUGCUCUUAGGGGGACUGUAAAACUGAGAGCACUGGCCAAUCAUUGCAGAUUUUCUUCAAAGCACAUUUGAUUAUGCCAUAAUUUAGCUAUAACAGUGAUUUUUACUACUAAUGGUCCAUCAAAUAGUAGGACUAGGAUCUCAGAUUUGCUCUUAUAAAAAUGUGUGUAGCCUUGGUAUUAUUUUUUUGUUUAUUUGGUAGUCCUAACUCCUAACUCCUAAAGUUUCUUUAAAAUUGUCUUCUGCUGAAACAAAUAAAUACAUGAAUCUCCUCCUUGACUAUUUUAGGUGAAAGUCUAAGAACUUCCACAUGCUGGUUGAAGAAAUCACAGAAACCAGAAGAUUUUAUACUUAUUCAGCGGAAUGCACUCAAACAAUAAGUCUUUUGCUCCUUUGUAUGAUUUAUGCAGUGCUCAAAACACCCCAAAAAAGAAAUUAAAGAGUACUCUUUAAAUUUUGGAUUGCAUGCAAUUGCUUGAGCAAGUUUGCGAAGAUUUACUUAUCUUCUUGUUGUCUUAAAGUUAACAUGGAACUAGGCAUGUUAAAGAGAUGAAUCUGAAAUUUAGACAUACAAAUUUUUUUUUCCAAUUAUCACACCUAAAAAACCCUCAUGAAUAUGAAUGUUAGUUUAAUAAAAUUAGUCAUGCAUGUCAGAAUAAAAAUUCAUUUAAAAGUGUGUCAUGAAUUUGAAUGUUAGUUUAAUAAAAUUAGUCAUUCAUGUUAAAAUAAAAAUUCAUUUAAAAGUGUGUCAUGAAUUUGAAUGUUAGUUUAAUAAAAUUAGUCAUUCAUGUGAAAAUAAAAAUUUAUUUGAAAGUAUGUCUAGGAAGCCAUCCAAAUGGGUCACCAAUGAUUCUCCAGAUAAUUCUUCCGCUACUUCCAGGAUGCCUUAAAAAUCCAAUUUCCAAUCUUUGAAGAACUUCAGAACUCCACGGGAAGUACUCCGUCAACUUGUUUUGAUAUGUUUUGGCCAUCAGUAUUUGAAGAAUGGACCCCCUUAACUUCAUCAGUAAAAUCAAGAAAGAGAUCUCUUUUGCUUUUCAUUUUUAAAGUGAUAUCAACACAAAGCCCAUAGUCAGUCAAUACUAUAUCAUACAAGUAAGCACUUUUUGUAGUUUAUAUUUUUUGAAUGGGUCCUAGCAAACUAGUCUUGCAUUUGCAGUCUUGUUCGGGAGCUGCAAGAUGCUGAGUGGCCAUUCAAAAAGAAAAGAAAAAUAAAUGGUUGGGUGGCCAUUAAUUAUUAGCCAAAUUGAGAAAAUCAGGUCCCGGUAAAAAUGAGUCAAAUGUUCGUGUCUUUUAGGACACGCAAAAGAUGAAUAACUACUGUUCAAAUUCAACGAAACAAAGAUCACUUCCCUAAUUUUUUGAAAAGGAAACAUCUACACGAGAUUUCUGGGAAUAUUCUAGAAAUUUUCUCCCGUUGACUGAUUUAAAGAGUGAACAAUUAUGCUAUUCCUCGCUGCUACUGAUCAAGAUUGCCAUAUUAGUAUAAAACAAGACAGGUGAAGAAUGGUGGUUACUGAGUUUUACCAAGGGGACUUCUGCAAUUUAAUCAGGUAAGUCGUCUUACGAAUUCAACAGAGUUGCAAGGUUUUAGUUUCUUCCCAAUCUCUUCCGGUCGCCUUUUAUGUCGUUUAAAUUUGAACUGAUUUUGAUUUUCAAUUACCUCUAACUUAAGUUUUAAUUUUUGGGCAUACAACACUUUGUGCACUUCGCAAGUUUUUGAGUAGAUGUAAAUAAUACUUGAUUCUUAUUCUAUUGUAUGUUGCUACUAAAAAUGGUUAGAGACUAUUUAUGACAAGCGGAAAAGGCCAUGGACAACCCAUAAUUGCAGAAUAUCCAGUUCUUGUGAGGUGGUAUCCGUUAAAAUUGAUAGCUUGAUGCUGGGAUGGGAUGCAGAGCUAGGAUUAAAGGGUUAAUUAGUUGAAUUUUUACACUUGGAGAAUGUAUAUUUGUUGUGCGACAAAUGGCAAUGCUUGUCUGUAUGUAGAGUGUACGAGAUGAUUGUGGCUACAAUAGUGGUUUUUGUUGACUGAUUCUUUUGUUUUAUUCACAAUUUCAGUAUGUGUUUCUAGCGUACGACUGUAAUAUACUGUCAUUGAAGUCAUGGGCUUGAAUUCUCCGCGACUUCUUCAGAGAAGAAAAAGAUGUUUGAAGGAGAAGAAACCACUACGGAAGCACAAGACGAAUAAGCCAAUUACCUGAUGCAAUUCUGUGUCACAUGCUCUCCCUUCUUCCGACUAAAUUAGCAGCACAAACUGGGAUUCUAUCUAAACGAUGGAGGGACGUUUGGCUUUCAAUACCUGCUCUUGAAUUUCAGAUGCAUCUACGGGCAAAUUAUGAGGGUGAUAUGACUGCUUUUGAUAGCUUUGCAAAGCCUAAAAUUGAGAGUUUUACUAAUUUUCUGGAUCGGCUUUUUGCUAUUCGUGACACUUCAUCCAUUAAAAAGUUCAGAUUGGUGUUUGAUCAUCAGGUUGACUCUAGAUGCCUCAAUAAUUGGUUGUCUGCUUUGCAUAAUAUUCAAGAAAUUGAUCUCGAAUUAUUGGUGCAAAGGGAAUUCCCCUGGAGUCCUUUGGCGGAUAAAUUGCUGGAAAUCUUGAAACUGAGUUGCAUUAGUUUGCCCAACAUCCCAUCUUCUGUUUCUUUUCCACGUCUUAAGGUUCUUCAUCUUCAUUCAGCCACGUAUGUGGAUGAUGCAUCGGUUGAAAAGUUACUUUCUUCUUGUCCAGUCCUUGAGGAUUUGCAGAUAUCAAGGUGGCAGUGGGAUAACGUUAGGAAUUUUGUGAUUGCAGUCCCUUCAUUGAAAAGGUUGACUUUGGACUUCAGUACACCUGAGAUGGACUUAUAUGAUGGCGAUGAUUACGAAGAUGGUGUUGAGUACAAACUGAUAAUUACUGCACCAAAUUUGGAGUAUCUAAACCUGAUUGAUUAUAUGUCAGAUUCAAUUCAGGUCAGUUCCAUGACCAGAGUAACUGAAUCACGCCUUUCUGUUUACAAAAUCUUAACAUGUGUUCAGCGGACAGCCGAACAAACAAGUAAUUAUGAAAGCAAUGUGCGUGAAAUAUUUCGAAGCAUCCCAAAUGUCAAGCACCUAACAAUAGGCGAAUUUACCAUGAAUGUAAGCCAUGACUCAAAUUCCAAUCCUGCUUAUUGCUUUCUAAUUGUUAUACCAUCAAUUGCUUUCUUGGUCACAACUUAUAGCUGUCUUCAUACGUUUGCAGUCUUUGGGUGAAUCUCUUGAUAGCAGGCUGCCAGUGUUUCAGAACUUGGUCCACCUGGAGAUCAGUUUUUAUGUAGCGAACGGCGCUAUACUGCUGCCAAGUUUGCUCAAAAUCUCUCCUAAACUGGAAAGCCUUAUCUUGCCUCAGGUACAUUACAUAAGAGACUUGCACAAUUUUGAGAGAAAUAUGGUGAGCGUUGAGCACUCCUGUUUUCUUUUGACCAAAAGUUGAUUUGUUUGUAAUUUUUUUUCCCUAUGUCCUGGAUUUCAGGGGAUUACCAGUCCAAAUGUAAUCGGGUGGUUUAACCCUGAGGAGAAUCAAGUUAAGCCUCCGCAAGACGUACCUGAAUGCCUGCUAUUUCGCCUGAAAAAUGUGGAAAUUUCGCGAAUUACUGGAAGAGUAGAGGAAGAAGUGGAGGUGUUGAUAUAUCUUCUGGGAAAUGCAAUGGUUCUAGAGAAGAUGACGAUUUGGUACGAAGAAUAUUAUGUUUCCGGUGGACCGAUGGAUACUACUAAUUAUCCAACUGCUCGUCGGGUGCAGGAUCGUUUAUCUUUCACUGACAAAUUGAUGAACUGCACUAGGGGAUCUGCUGCUUGUCAACUUGACAUACAAAUGCCUGAACUACAACUCUGAGCUCUGAACUUGCGACAGAAUGUUGGUAUUGUAUUGUACAUAUCUGCACUUGUUUCUUGUGCAUUAGGAAGAAAGUGAAGAAUCUGUGCGUAAAUAAAUACUUAUAGUAUUCGAAUUUUAUAGGUAUCAGAUUUAUUUUUAAGAUUAUCCUACUCUAAAUGACAUACGACUUAUACAAUAGAUACAAACUAAAUAAUCACUCACCUAACUUUAGAAAUUCCCAUAUUUAUAUCCAUCACUCAAACAUGUAUUUUUUAAUAUCAUUUUGCAAGUGAGCUCUUAUUUUUGGAUCACUUUAUCCUCUUGAUAUUUUAAUUUUUCUCUAUAUAACACUCUUAGCCUUUUUUUUUCCUGUUAGUAUUGUCUUCUAUUAAAACAAAUUAAUACAUAAAUCUCCUCCCCAACUACUUUAAAGUGAAAGUCUAAGAACUGCCGCAUGCUGUUUGAAGAACCCCCAUGUUUUUAAACUCAUAUCGGACCGGGUGGUCCAAUCGGUCAAAUAAAAAAUUGGCCGGACAUCUGGUCCGAGUCAACUUAAAUAACAGCAUUUUCAAAAGUUCAGUCAAAAUCAUUCAAAGAUCAGGUUUGACCAGGCACUAGUGAAACCGAAACCUGGUUUUUCCAUUUUCAUAUAUUUUGAUGAUUUUUUCCCCUUCCCUUCCUUUGAUCUUUGGCUAGAGGCUAAAAACUAAUCUAAAAAGAGAAAAGAGCAAAAAUGGGAAGAGAAGAAAUUGAACUGCCAGAUGCAAUACUAAUUAUCCACUCCACGGGUAGAUUUCCCUUGUCAUCCGAAAAUGUGAGACUGAUAUGGAAUUUCUGGACCUUGUAUAGAUGGGUUAACCUUUUCGUAUCAGCGGCCUAAUUGGAUUAACUUCAGUAAGUCUACAUUGUCGUUUAAAGUUUGAUAAUGAAAAUCACUAUUGCUUUUGAAAUUUCCCACAGGCCUAAGAACAAUACCAGAAAACUCAGUAUCCAUAGCUACAUAAGGAUAGUCAUCCACAAUUUCUCGGAUAUAUGCAAACACUUCUUCAAGAUUAUCAUUCCAUAGCUCCCGAAUUUGAACUGAUUCAUUUGUAGGCAAAAGUGACACCUUUCUUUUUAACUGUUUCAAACAAAAUCUACGCAAAAUUUCUUUCAAAGAACCUAAUCAUCAGAGAUCCUUGAGAUUACCAGAACCUAUACCCAAUCUAUUGGACAACCCUCCAAUUCCAACAGAUCUACAAGAAAGUCAAAACCCAGAAAAAUCAGCCCAGAAAGCAACAAUUAAUCAAAACCUACAGAGCAUUGGCUAGGGGCUAAGAACUAAUCUUAAAAAAAAAAAAAAAACAAAAAUGGGAAUGUGAUAAAAGAAAAGAGAGAGUUAUGGUGUAGUCUAGAGGAAGAAGAAGAAGACAAAAUAAUAAUAAUAAUAAUAAUAAUAAUAAUAGAGAGCAAGUGACGGUUGCUCCUCCUUAUUCCUUGGCUGUUCCUUCACGUGAGUUUCCUUCUCAGAAGCCAUGAAUCAAAAUUAACUUAUAAAAACCAAAAGGCUUUAUCGGGACUCAAGAGAACAAGGCUUCCUAGGAAGAACAAGAAAUUGAAGGAUAGAUCAUACCAAGUAAGUGACGGCCCAACAAAGGAAACAACAAGUAUUAGGUUUAACAUUUAUUUGUUUUGAAUGCCCUAAAACUUUCUAAUAAUUGUGUUUCAGACUUUUAUAGUUUUAUUAAAAUGUAAAAUUAACCUAUCACAUUUUCCAAAUUACUUUAUUACUUAUGGCUUUUAAAACUAUUUAAGUAGAGUCCUUUUAGACUAAAUCUAAACUCAUAAAACAACUAUGUAAAGUUGUAAACCCCUAAAUUAUUUAAGAGGAACUUUUAUGUAUUAUUUUAAUUAUGCAUCAUUAAUAUAUAUUUAUGACGUAUUUAUAACGUCAUCCAAUUCAACUCCCAGUUGGACUCGAUCGAAUUCAUUGACCCCUGACCCCUGAGUUUGGCUAAGUCAAUACCUGGUCUGAGUCUGAAAACAUUAGAAGAAACUAGAGAAAUCGAAAGAUUUUAUACUUAUUCAAUGGAAUGCACUCGAACAACAAGUUGCUACUUUUUAUGAUUUAUACAAGCUUGGAAACACGAAAUAAGAAAUGAAAUAUUUAAAUUUUGGAUUGCAUUAAAUUGUUUGAGCAAUUUAAGGAGAUCUAUAUAUCUUCUGGUUACCUUGAAUUUAACAUGGGAUUAGAUAUAUUAAUGGGUUGGGUCUGGAUGGAUCUGUAUUGUUAGAUCUAGAUUUUAGACCUAUUAAAUUUUUUUCAUAACCACGUCUACACAAACUUUAUGAAUUUGAAAACUAGUUUAAAAUAAUUAGGGGUGUUAAUCGGGUUCUAUGAGUUGGACAUUGACAAAUUCAAGCUUAGUUCAAAAAAUAAAUAGGGCUUUCAAGCGUUCGAGUUCAUAAUAUAGACACACAUAUGCACUAGCCGGACCAUAAUCAGGAUUGAGUCUAAUAAAAUCCAAACUUGACUCACAUUUAUUUUGGGCAUAUUAUUUAGGCCCAAACUUUACUCAACCCUAAUAAACAUAAGGCUCCUUGGACUUUUUUGGGGCUAAACUAAAAAAAAUAAGUGAUAGUUUGGAUAUGUGUAAAGCCAUCCAAAUGGUCAUCCAUACUACUCAUACCAUAUUUUGUCUCUCUUUUACUAAUGGCAGAAAUUACAUCAUCAAAAGAUAUCAAAGGACAAAUCUGAAUUUGGUUGUACUUGUGGGGUUAGCUUAGGUGUAGCUUGUGAAAAUUCUUGCUAAAAAGAAAAAAUUGACCUGUUGGUGAGGUUUAAAGACUAGAGUGAAUGAGUGUUAUUUAGAACUUAGUAGAGGUUCCCUGCUCCCUUGCCCUGAGUCCCACAUCGAAUAGUUAGAGUGUGCGUGAGUUCCACUUAAAUUCCAUGGGUGCAACCAGAAGUCAGCAAUUGCCUUUUGGUUGUACUUGUGGGGUUAGUUUAGGUGUAGUUUGUGAAAAUUCUUGCUAAAAAAAAGGACAAAUCUGAAGAAUGGAUACUCUAGAUCUACAGAAAAUAAAAACUACACUAUACAGCUCUAAAAAAUAUUUUAAAAAUAAGAUAAAAUAGUUGUAAUCCCACGAAUAUUUGUGCUUGCUUUCAAUUACCAGAUCUACUAACUAUUUCAAAUCUAGAUAUUAUAGUGAAAUUCAUCAAAUAGACCCAAGAAUUCGAUAUCUAAUAAUUAGAAUAUGAAAAAAACUCAGAUUUAAUAAAGAAAAGGGGGAAAAAACUAUGUAAAAUUCUCACUAGAAAUUUCAAGCAAAAAAUAAAACUCUCACUAGAAAAAGAGAGAAGAAAACUCUCACUAAAUAACACUACAAAAGAAGAAACUCUCACUAAAAAAUCCUAGAAGAGAUUUUAUUUAGACAAACAAAAAGAAACAAUAUAGAGGAUUCCUCUUAUGGGGAAAGAUCAGAAAAAUCUGAUCUCUCUCCCAUGGGAGAGUUGGAGGAAGUUUUAAAACCUUCCACUCCUAUUUCCAAGCCAAUCUUCGGCCUCUCUUUAAAUUUGCUAUACCAUAUUUUCUCUCAAUGGCAUUUUUAGUACAAAGGAAUGAUAAAAUUCAAGUGAUAUAUAUUUUCCAUUUUCCCUUCCAAAAGGAGACUACUAAUAAUGUUGAAAAAUUAUGGAAGAAAAUGCAAAAACCAUUCUCACUCUUUCAAUUUGCAUAACUUGCAUUUUGCACUCACAUUACAGAUUCGUUUAUUGAAGUGACUAAAUCAAACUUGAUGAACAUUCAAUAACGGUACAACAUAAUUCAUUAAUUUCAGUAAAAUAUUUUCAUAACCACCAAAAAAGAGGGUAAAAAACAACCAAAAUGAUCCAACAAAGGGGUCAAUAGCUACUAGAGUACUAGUAAUAUUGUGGUAGGACAGGCGAAGAGAAACAUGUUAUUGCACUAGAUACAACAGAGGGGAUGAGAAAUCAAAAGUACUUAAAUUGGAGCUAAAUAAAAAACACUAGUAUACCAUUUUCAAGGGUUGAAUAUGCAAAUUAAAAUAAGGGUAACCAUUUUAUACAUUGUCAAUGUAUAAUUGUUUUUACACUAGUAAGGUUAUAACUAGGGCUGCAAACGAGUCGAGCCGAGUCGAGCUUUGAGCUAAUCGAGUCGAGCUUUAGCUAAAUUUUAUCAAGCUCGAGCUCGAGCUCGAGCUCGACGAGCUGGCAAUUUUCGAGCUCGAGCUCGAAAAAAAUAAAAAAAUUUUUUUUAUUUUUUAAAAAAAUAAAUAAAAUAAUAUUUUUUUCUGAAUAAAUAAUAAAAUAUUAAGGAUAUAUCCGUAAUUUCACUAUGAAAAUAAAAAAUAAAAAAAUAUAUAUAUAAUAUACGUAAUUUUAUUAUUAAAUAAAAAUAAAAAUAAAAUAUAUAUAUAUAUAUUCAAGCUCGCGAACCGGCUCGCGAGCUAACGAGCUUAAUAUUCUGAGCUCGAGUUCGAGCUCGAGUUUGACUCGAGCUCGACUCGAGCUCGAUUAAUGUCGAGCUCGACUCGAGCUUGACUCGAGCCGCUCGCGAGCGGCUCGCGAGCGGCUCGAUUCGUUUGCAGCCCUAGUUAUAACAUACCACAUAACUUGAGUUCAAAUUUGAAAUUCAAAUCAUGCGCAUGUGCUAACGAGCGCGGGAUAUACAUAUAACAAUUAACUCAUCCACCAUCAAGUUUUACAUUUAUAAUAUUUUAAAUACCCCACAAGUGAUUUUUCACAAGUAUACGAGUCGUUUAUUGAGUAUAAGGGUAUUAGGUGUCGAUCCUAUAGGGAAGAAUUUCAAUUACCGGUGAUUUUUGAAUUCCUUUAUUAUUUAGACUAUCACAAGCACAAGAAAUUAAAUUUACACUAUAAAAUUAACAAAAAUACAAUAGAAAGCUCCUAGAGGUAUGAAAUUUCUUACUACUCUUGCAAAUGACAUUACUGGUUAAGUGAAUGCUCCUAGAGUAAUUUUCUAAUAUAUGUGAAAGCUCCUAGAGUAAUUUUCUAAUAUAUGUGAAACCGACUCUUGUAGUGAAUUAACUUACUUGUAAUUAAAUCAUACAUACUCUCUUGGUUAUGAAAUUAACUACAAAUUCAUUUCUUUCAUGAAAUUACAUGAAACAAGUCACCAAAACCACAUUGGUGCUCCUCUACUCUCGUGAGUAAACUCCCUAGAUUUAUCACUUUCUUGAACUAAUGGUAAAUUCUAAUUCUCAUUGCAAACUUAACACCUUAAGAUUGUCACAAUUAAUGACUGGUUAAUCAUGAGUAGCUAAACAAAAGUGAUAAAUAACUUGUUCAAAAUAAUAGCACCAAAUAACCAAAUAAACAUCACUAACAAGAUAUAGCAAGUUCAUCCACACUCUAGACAGAAACUUUAGAAACACAAAUCCAAAACUUACAUAUUAACCAUAUUUAAGAAUCCAAUACAAAAGAUAAAGAGUUGGAAAAGAGAUAACUCUUGUCACAUGAGUUUCAACCCCUCCUUUUUCAUCCUAAUCUAGUCAAUACACAAGAGUGGGUAAUACACAUAACUAUCUAAACUAUUCUAUACUAUACUAACCUAACUAAUGAACUAAGGAAAUUCUAAUGAAGACUACAUUUUUGGUAAGUUUCUCUAGCCUUUCAAAGUUUUAAAAUGGUCUCCAAAGGCUGCUAUUUAUAGAGAAUUCAACUCAAGGUGAGUUGUUUCUUGGUUGGCAAAGUUGGCUUUUGAACUCACCAAGAGUUGUUCUCUAAAUUUUCACACUCUUCUUGGUCAGAUACAGCCGAAUUCUGAGUUGUAGAUGAGUCAGAAAAGUUGUGUAAAUGCAAAACAAGUUGUAGAGCAAGUUGCAGCAGAAAAACUAGAAUAUGCAACCUCAAAUACGCUACCUUACGUUGCGUAUUGCAUCUCACAUAUUGCCUUUUGUAGGUUUGCGCUUUUUGGGCAGAAUUCAUCUUUGCUCUGUUUUUUGUCCAAUUUCAACUGAUAUUUUCUCAAUGAUGAAAGUCGAACUAACUCUUGUACGAACAUAAAAGUUGUAGGACUUGAGUUAGCUUUCCAAUGCCUUAAGAAUUAUCCAAUUUGGAGCUCUGUGGACCGAUAAAUGACCAAAAUAGCCUCGAAUGGUUAGAACUCUGUUUCAGCUUUCGACCAUGAAAAUGUACUUUGGUAUUUUGAUAUUUUGACUAAGACAAUGACCAAACUGGACUUUGAUAUCUUCAUAGAAAAUGGAGUUCUAUCUCUUAAUUUCAAAAUGGUGUAUGAAUUACCUCAAUCUGAUACUUGUAACUCAAGAUAUAGCCAAAACACCACAGGGUAUCAAAGCUGUGAAACUUCCUUCUUGUAUACUAAGUUGCAUUUCAUCUCUUGCACUUCAUAUUCUCUUUUUAUCAUUUCAAACCAUCAUCAAUCAUCCAAUUAUCUUUUCAACUCACUCCAUUUGAUGAUUGAAUUUUUAAACCUACAAAAAUAAGAAGUUUUCACUAUUAAAAUCCAUAAAAAUAUAAUUUUUAACACUUAAAUCACAAAAUGCAUAUUUUCACUGACAACUUAGUUCAGUAGCUAUAAAAGUAAUUAAAACAUACCAAAACUAAUUAAUAAAACACACUAAAAACAUAUAAAAUACACACUUAUAAAACUCUCCCAUAUUUAAACCAUUACUUAUUCUCAAGCAAUAAAAAUUACAAACCGACAAUGAUCCAACAUUUUGAAAAUAAACAUAUGUGCACAAUUCAACUUCAUUUCCUAAAAAUAAGGUAAAUAACCAUUAUACAAUCACUCCAUUAAGCUCAAGUACUCAUAAUAUCAAGUAAAGAAGAGCCAAUUAUACCAUAAUUGUAACUAGUUCACGUCAAUUUCUCAUCCUUAUCCAAUUCCACAAGCAAGUAACUCAUAUGGUCAAUAAAAUAUUUCUAAACCCAUGAUCAUCUUUUUAUUCAAACUUAAAGAGAGAUUUAUUCAUAUAACAUAGCUAAAUAUUACUCAAGUUAUGAAAGUGCCUUUUUACGAGAAAAUCGAUAUUUUUAGAUGAAAAUUGCCGGUUACUCAACACUUUACAUACUGAAGUUGUGUUGCAUACUGUUAAUUUAAGUACCAUUUUACGCAAAAGUCGACAUUUGUAGAAGAAAACUCUCAGUUAUUAAGUACAAGAACCAUUGGAGUAGAACAACUUUUAUUCUCGUUUUUCUUUUUUUUUCUUCUCCUUUUUUUCAAAGUAAAGAUAAUAAUCAUUCCCUCAAAAGAAUAAUCAUGAGAAGAGUGUUACACUUAUUGACUAAAUUAAUCACUUAACUAUGUAAAAUCAAGUAAAGAGAAGAAAUUUCAUCAAUUUGCAAAAUUUAGGCAUAAUUAUCUCUACUUUGCAAGAUAUACUUUCCUAUAAAUACAUAAAUUAUAAUCAAAUAAUAAUUAUUUUCAAGUUAAAUAAGAAAAGAAGUUUUCAAGUCACAUAUAUUUAUCUCAAAAGUAGAAAGAAUUUGAAUUACUGAUGGUAUGAAACUUGUUACCCCUUGGAUAAAAUUGAAAAAAAUUUGAAAUCUUUUGAUGCAAAUUUGUAAUUUUGGAAAAAAUUUGGCAGAGUUUUCCCUUAAAACUGGACGAAACUCCCUACCAACAAAUCCAAUUUUGAACAAAUUAAAAAACAAGAAAUAUUUCCAAGGCAAAUCUAAAUCAUUUCCAUCACAAGUCAAUCACAACCAACAUAUAUAAUAUCAAUUCUCCCUCCUCCCCCGCAACACUUAAAAUACACAUUGUCCGCAAUGUGUAAAAAGGGAAACUAAGAUAAAAAAAAAAAAAAAGAAUACUCCCAUAUAGUUGUGAUUGAAAUGUGUAACAUUGAAUCUUCACAAUCCAUUGUCCGUGUUUCUUCAAAGUUUCAUGAGUUCCAUUGGAAUCCAUUAGUAAUACAACCUAAAAUGCAAAAUAGCAAAUAAACUAGGUAAGGGUCAAUGAUGCAAAAAGGUGACAAAGGCAUGAAGAAAAUUUUGCAAAUAACUCUUUGCCAAAGUCUCUCACAUCAUCACACCACAUUUCCCAAACUCUUUAAACAUUUAGCACAAUUAUCAAGAAUAUUUAGCACAUUUUUUCUAUAGGUAAUUAUAACAUCACCAUAUAAUAACGAAAUUAGGAGCAAAACUCAAUCUAAGAACAUACAUUAUGCACAUGUUCAAUUUUACCCUUAAAUUAUCACCAAAAUUGCUAAAUUCUUCACAUAUUUAAAAUUCAUUAUCCAAUCAUACUCUAUAUGAAGAUUAAGCAAUUAAAUAGUCUAAAAUUCACCGUAUAAUGAAUGUGUACAUGUAAGCAUCAUAAACACGUCACAUUUUAGCAAUUUCAACCAUCCAAUUAUGUUUAACAACAUUUCAAGACCAAGUACCUCAUUGAUCAUAAAAUAGGAAAGUACAUAAAGUGAAAUAUUGCAUAAAUCACCACAUUCCCACAUUUGAUCAUCUAAACAUGCUUAGAGAUGUUACAUAAGCAUAAGGGAGCUUAUAUGCAUCAACAAAUAACAUCACCAAUUCACCAUUCAAAGUGUAUCAAUAAAACUCUACAAGAUAUGUAAAUAGUAAAUAUUAACAUACGAAAUUAAGUUCAAGAAAUUUACCUCAAGUUGGUAGAGUGAUGUUUGGUGAUGUAAAUAAUGCAAAAAUCCUAUGAAAUUCACCCCAAUUAACCUCCAAUUGCUUGAAAUAGAAACUAUGAAUCCUAACCUUCAAUCGAUUUUUGAGAUGUUUUUCUUGAAUUCUAAUCGGUUAAAAUGACUCUAUGAAGGUCAAAUGAUGUUUGUUGGAUGAUUUCUUGCAAGAAAAUGGUGUAUAAGAGGAAAUUGGUGAAGUGUGUGUGAGAAAAUAUGAGGAGAAGAAAAAGAAGAGCAUGAACAAGGAACCUGCGUUUUUCUUUAAAAAAGCUAAAAAUGCGAGUUCAUAAAAUGCAGCCUUGAAGUCGCGUUUUUACGAUUCGUGUUUUCUGAUGUAAUUUUGCUAGACCAAAUACGUGACUUCUGAAAACGCGACUUUAAGUCGCAUUUUGAAGCUUGCAUUUUCUUCUUUAUUUUUGCAGAAUGGAAUACACGACUUGAGAUCACAUAUUUAUGAGCUUACGUUUUCUUCACUCUAUAGUGUUGCUGCAAAAAUUUCUGAACUUUUCAAAAAUUAUGCUUUUAUCCCAAUUACUCAAAAUGCAUCCUAGAUCAUUUUUUUGCCAAAAUAAUCAAUACACGCACAUGUAAAAUGAUCAAAAACAUGUAUUCUACCCCUUCAUAACGAAUCAAAAACAGCAUUUGCUCAAAUUGAGGGGUGGAGUUUCUUGAUCAAACUUCGCCUUUUUCACCUCAAAGGGUCACAUUUGCUUCUAUUUCCCAAACUUACAAAUAAAAACAACAAAACAAUUUAAACACAUGAUUUAAACAUAAAAUCACACCAAAUUAACCUAAAUUACCAAAAUAUUGGGUUGCCUCCCAAUUAGCGCUUUUGGUUAUAGUCGUUGGUUCGACUAUUGAAGCUCAUUUUUCAAGAAGGUUUGGUUAAUGAAUAAUCCAUCAUUUUAGGUCGUGGUGGAUCAUUAAAAUGUGACUUUAUGACAAAAGCAACAUAAUCAAAUGAUAAGAGAGAUGAAAGUGAUUUACCUAUCUCAAGUGAUUCAUAGAUAUUACCUUGAAUGUGUAUCACUUAAGAACGCACCAAAGGAACGUCCGCGUGGCUUUCUUGGGGAAUAAUACCUUUAAAAUCUAUACUCUCAAUACAUUCCUCAAGAGGGGUGAAAAAUGAGUCGUUAAGUCUCACCUCUUGAGGUUUAAGAUUUGCUCCAAAGGUACUAUCAUGUGAAAUGGAUAUUUUCUUAUUGAAACACAAUUGAGAUUCAUCAUUUUCAUCAAAAUAUAAUCCAUUUUCACAUACAACAUUCCUACCAUUCAUGCUAGGGUCAUUUUGCAUAUCAUCAGAAGAAAUAACUUCACAUAACGCAUGCAAUUGUUCAUGUAAUCUACCAAAAUGAGAAACUAAUUUAUCUAACCUUUCUUUAAUUCUAGCAAAACAAUCAAAGGUUGCAUUAGCUAACUUUUCUAUAGCUAAAUCAAAGUGAUUAGAGAAUUUUUCUAUGGUUAGCUCCUAAGAUGGUUUAGAAUCAUUAGCUAAUGGUUCAUUUUCUAAUUCCCAAGAUAAAGAUGCAUUAGAUAACAUUUCUACUGCCAAUUCCCAAGAUGGUUUAGAUUCAUAUUGGACACAUUCAGGUUGGUAAUCAUAAGAACAUGGAGAAGCAAUAUUAACACUAUGAUUAUCCUAACCAUAUGCAUAAGAAUUGCCCCAACUAGAGUUGUUUUGAUCAAAACAAAAAUUAUAAUGCCCAAAUUCAUCAUAAUAAUCCACAUUUUAUACUUGCAUACAUUCAUAAGUAGUAUGAUACCCUCUACACAAGUCAUAAAUCACAUGAUAAGAAUUGAAAGCAUUGUCAUUUCUCUUUUGUUCAAGCAUGUUUGUUAUAGUGUCCAAUUGAAUUUUUAAUGUAAUAACAUCAAGUUUAGCCUUUAUACUUUUUAAACCGUUUUCAAAUGAUAUACCUUCGGUAAUUUCUCGAUUACCUCUAUUCAAGAACUUUGCCCGUGGUAACAAUUUAUUGUCGAUCUUCCACUUCUCAAGCAUUGUUCGCCCAUAAUUCCUACUCUUCUAGAGUUCCUAAACAUGUUUUCAAAGUAACUCAAAAACAUAUUUAGUCAAGAAGAAUAGAUGACUCAACAUAUAUAAAAUAUUCAAAUAAAGACUCAACUAGACACUAAACAUAACAAACAAGACACUAGACACAACAAAAACAUGAAAAACAAGUAAAAAUAUUGAGCAAAUCCACCCCAACAACGACGCCAAAAACUUGAUGAACGCGAGGUAUACAUAUAACAAUUAGCUUCCCACAGUCAAGUUUUACAUUUAUAAAAUCUUAAAUAUGCACACGUGAUUUUUCGCAAAUAUACGGGUUGUUUAUUGAGCAUAGGGGUAUUAGGUGUCGAUCCCACAGGGAAAAGUUUCAAUUAUCAGUGAUUUUCGAACUCCUUUAUUAUUUAAACUAUCACAAGUACAAGAAAUUAAAUCUACACUAUAAAAGUAACAAAAUACAAUAGAAAUCUCCUAGAGGUAUGGAAUUCCGUACUACUCUUGCAAAUGACAUUACCGAUUAAGUGAAUGCAUUAUCUUGGCUAAUUAUGGCAUAAUUUCCUAAUGUAUGCGAAACCUACUCUCGUAGUGAAUCAACUAUACUUGUAAUUAAGCCAUACCUACUCUCAUGGUUAUGAAAUUAACUACAAACUCAUUUUUUCUAUGAAAUUACAAGAAACAAGUCACCAAAGUCACAUAGGUGUUCCUCUACUCUCAUGAGUGAACUCUCUAGAUUUAUCACUUCCUUGAACUAGUGUUAAAUUUCAAUUCUCAUUGUAAAAUUAACAUCUUAAGAUUAUGCCAAUUAAUGGCCAGUUAAUCAUGAUUAGUUAAACAAAAGUGAUAAAUAACUUGUUUAAAAUAAUAUCACCAAAUAGUCAAGUAAAUAUUACUAAUAAGAUAUAACAAGUUCAUCCAUACUCUAGGCAUAAACUUUAGAAACACAUAAUGAAACACAAAUCCAAAACAUGUAUAUUAACCAUACUUAAGAAUCCAAUACAAAAGAUAAAGAGUUGGAGAAAAGAUAACACUUGUCACAUGAGUUUCAACCCCUCUUUCUUCAUCUCCAUCUUCAUUCUAAUCUAGCCAAUACACAAGGUGGAUAACACACAUAACUAGCUAAAGUAUUCUAUACUGUACUAACCUAACUAAUGAAUUAUGGAAAUUCUAAUGAAAACUACAUUUUUGAUGAGUUUCUCUAGCCUUCUAAAGUUUUUAAAAUGGUCUCCAAAGGCUGCUAUUUAUAGAGAAUUCAAGUUCAAAGUAAGUUGUUUCUUGAUUGGCAAAGUUGGCUUUUGAAUUCACCAAGAGUUAUUCUCCAAGUUUCCACACUCUUCUUGGUUAGAUAUAGUCGAAAGUCUGAGUUGUAGAUGAAUCGAAAAGGUUGUGUGAAUGCAAAGCAAGUUGCAACAGAAACCUAGAAUACGCGACCUAUUGUAUCCCACGUAUUACCUUUUGCAAGUUUGCACUUUUUGAGCAGAAUUCAUCAUUUCUCUGUUUUUUUUAUCAAACUUCAACUAAUGUUUUUGAGGAGGUUGUGAACCCCAGUUGAUAUUUUGGGUGGUUGUGAAUUCUAAAUAAAUUUUGGGGAGGUUGAACCCCAGUUUAUGUCUUUCUUAACAUAUGUACCCUUAGGAGGUUAGCUUUUGUUCGUAUUGAAUGUUUUGAAAAUCCAAAUUAUGUUUUGAUCUUAAGGCAAUUGGUGUGUUGAGAUUGAGCAAGUUGUGCACGCAAAUAUGCAAGAGAUGAUAAGAAUGGUAUAUUGUCAAAAAUCGUAGCAGUUUGUUUUCCUUUGUUUACUUGGUUAAACUUGAACAUUGUCGAACUUUAUUAUUCAUUUUUAAGUUUGCUAAUUUUUUGGAAACUCGUUUUAGUAGUUGUACAUGUCUUGUUUAAUAGAAAAAAGACAUGUUUUGUGUUCAAAAUACUAUGGGCACACACGAUUUUUAUUAGGCUUAUGAGCUUACAGUUUUGUUUUUGUUUUUGUUUUUGUUGUUUGAAAAAAAAAAUUUAGAUGUAUAGGAUAACUGAGUUCGAUUGAGACAAUCUGGUCUGUUAGGUCUCGAAAGUGUUAUUAAAAAUUAAUUGGACAAGAAAUAUCAACAUAUUGUACUUUUUUUUUUUUAAAGUCAAAAGUAUCGCCUUAGUUAUUGUUACCAAUUAAGUACGGCAAACACUUUUUCUCAUAUUUUGAGACUAAGUUGUCUAAAGUGUUUUUAAACACUUUUUUCCAAAUGAGCCUAAGAAUUUCUUAGGCUCAUUUGGAGCUGCCAUACUUUUGCUCAGAAAAUGUGUUUUUGGAGGAUAAAAGCACUUUUAAAUUAUUUGGUGAGCAUAAAUUCUUGAAUUAAAGAGGUAGAGCUUUUGACUAUUAAAACACUUUUUGCAUAAACUCAAAAUUGCUUCUUUUAGAGCAAUCUUUAUGUUUCAAAUGAAAAUUAAAGUUAUUUUAACGAUUCAAAGCUAGCCCUAUUUUUGUAUAGAAUUAUUAUUUAGCUAUUUCACUUUUCUAAAAUUAAAAUUGACCUCUAGUUUAUCUAUGAAUUCCAAAAUUGCCAAAUAAUUUUCUUUUUUCUUUUUUUUUGAAGAAACCAUUUUUUAAACUAAAAUAAUUGCACAAGUUCAAAUUUUAUAACUUCUAGUACUUUUUUUUUUUCAAUGUAUAGCUAUAUUCGUCUUAUCGUAUUAGAAUUUAAAAAUCAAGGAUUAAAAAACUUGAUUAGUUAUGGUGAAUAAAGGUGUGCUUUUGCGGGAUUGCUUUGGGGACCUUGGGCUGCACAAAGAUAGAAGAACAAAUUUGAAAAAUUAGUAACGCCAUAUUAACCACUAUGUAGUCCAAACAUUUUGUUAAAAUUUUGGAGCAGCAAAUGUUUUAAAAUACAUAGGUAUUUUUUAAAAUUUUAAGGAGAGAAAAACAUAAUUAUCUAAACUUGGGGGAGGGAGGGCAAAUGCACCUCCCCAUCCACCACCACCAACCCCCCCACCCCAAAAAAAAUCCAUCCAUAAAUGGUCCAAUAGAUCAGUCCAACAUUAAGCAAUGAUUCAUCCCCCAAACAGAAAGAUAGAAAAACAUAGCAUAAACUCUUGCAAAUGUGUGCAUUUGUGGGAGGUUUAAUCUUCAUAAGCUGAAGACAACACUUUCCAGUCUAACAACAUAACAAGUUUCAAAUUUUAUGAACAACCUAGGAAAACUAAUAUCCAUAAAGACUCCAGCCUUCACAGCAAGUGAAGACGAGUAAAGUCCAAAUAAGUAUAAUGUUUCACUGGCAGUGACAGUUCCGUGUCAUCAUAUGGAACACUUGACUGGUUCACAGCUAUGAGCAGGUUGAUUUAAACAUCAAGGAUGUCCACAGGAAUAACUAAUAAUGUCACAGUUGAUCUAUGAUAUUGGAGUAACCAUUUUAAGGGCCGUUAAAGCUGAGAACACCAUUUAAUAGAGAAUACCAUUUAAUGGAUUCUAGCCAAUGUCAGUUACAAUUAAGCUACAAAUACAAGAGUGAAACAGUAGCAAUCAUACUUUGUUUUGUGAAAGAGAAUACCAUUUAAUAGCCUGAUGCAACUUAUAAGCAAGCCAAAGAAUGCUAAAAAAAAUUCACCAUAACUAAUGCUUCAAUUGAAUGGGAAAAGAGCAUAAGUGGAACAUAAACAACUAAAUGAGGGAAUCAAAUCUACUCACCAAGCAUUAUCAAACAGGAAAUAGUUGAUGAGGGCUUACCACAGCUCCAAUACAUAGAUGGCUUGGUACUUUCUUGACUUCCCAAGUUUCCCCGCGACCAGACUAAUUUCAAAACUACCCGGCACAACCUGAUGCAAAAUGAUCAUAAGGAUUCAUAUGUAACCCAUUAAGAGAUGUUAAAAGGGUAUAUUUGCGUGAUGUACAUAAUACAUUUGGCCAAUUUAUUUUCUUGCAUAUUUAACAAAGCCCAAUUGUAAACUGUGUUACUUCCAAUACACGAACCAUUUCUUAACUUCGUUAAAAGCUCCCCCAAGAUAACAUGUAUAAUGUGGUUUGAUACCAUGUUGAACCCAAAUGUCAUUUAAUCAUGUUGAAAAAAUGAAUCAGUAAGCAAACCAUAUCCCAGAAAGCUACCAAGAAAAAUGUGCUAGUACUUCUAGUAAUAGGGAAAAUGAAAUUGUGUUGAAAAAAAAUACAAGUUGAUACAUUUGCAAGAAAGAAACCAGCAUAAUAAGGCAUCAUCAGUUUUUCUAGGUUAAAUAUUAUAAUGUAAAACAAGAAUGAUUAGAGUUGCGAAAUGACAAGGCAACUGGCUUGACAGCAAAUUUCAUAAAGAAAAACAUACCAAGAUAGGCACCAAAUGAGUAUGUAGAUUUAAGUGAUACAUGAAAAGUCCAAUCAAGGGAAGCAAGAUCCAAAAUGUAGAAGUCAAACUGUAUAAUGAAGUCACAAGUAAUGAGGGUAAAGGCAAGAAAACAAAUACUAGCUCAAAAUCACUUACAUCGAUAUCUUCUUCUUUGACCGAGUACUUUUUGAAAGUGUCCAAAGCUCCUCCAACAGUGGCUUUGUGACAAUUUCAUUGAAGCGAGCCACCACCUUUACACACAAAAGAAGACAAUCUCCAAAAUAAAAAAAUAAUCAAAAAAAUGCUUCACAACUCAAAAGAAAACCACAUGGAAGUCAAAACAGUGCCUUAGGUCAUUUCUCUUUGACAAACUCAAGUUGGAUACCAUACAACAAGAAUCAUCUAUAUUUUACAAGCCUGCAUUCUACUAAAUCUAUUGCAUCUUAUAUAGAACACCUAGUUAUCAUUAGAUGGCUCAAAACUGGGAUUGACCCUAAAAAUAUGGAAGUUUAACACUAGGAAUGAUAUUCUUAUUGAUUUUUGGGAAGUUGGACAUUACAUUCUACUGAAUUCUAAAAUGAACUCUAUCCAUACUCGGAAGCAGUCGGCCUAUGUUGUGGAUUGACUUAAUUUUGAUUCCAUAGGCAAGAUUUCCAUAUGAAUUGUAAAAGGAAUUUUGAGUGAGAGUGAUAUAUAGAUUUGCUACUUAAAAGAUGAAAACCUAGAUUGUGGAGUGAUUAUGGUGCCAUUCAAUAUUCUCAGGAUUUGGCUAAUUGUCACAAUGUGUUGACAUGUGAAAACAUGUCAUGUGUGAAUAUUCAUUUGAUUUCAGACUUUAGUUUUAGGGUGUAGGUUUUUUUUGACUGAUGGUAGAUGUCUUUUAGUAUGGAUCUGCUUUUUCUCGGUAUGGUUUUGCUAGUAAUAUAAGGUUUUGGGAAGCAAAUGAAAAUUUUAUAUUUGCGCUCUGUUUUCAAGUACUUUGAUAAGCUCUUUGGGCUAGGAAGCCUUUAAGGUCAUCAACUUAAUGGAUAACAGAGAAUCACCUACUUUUAAGAGCAUAAUCGAAAAUCUUAGAAAGUUUUGGGGGUUUAGUCAUUAAUGACAUGGUUAACUGCCUGUUUGCUAAGUUCUCAAGUAUUCGUGGUUUCAAAGAGGUUUUGUCCAACUUCCUAGAUUGGAACUGGCAACUUUCGGAUACUCUUCAAUCCUGAAUAUGUCACUUUCAUUAAAAAGUAAGACUAGCUUACUAAGACAGGGAGUUUGAGAAAGAGGAAGGUUGAUACAGCUGAAAGGAUAGUAGGUCAGGGAUUGUAGAGCUAUACAGUUUUUGCUUGUUAUAAAAUUCUACUGGUUUUGGAAUCUAAAACUUCAAUUUAUCCAGCUGCUGAGUUCUCAUUAAAUUUUCGCGUUGGAUUUUGACAACUUGAGAAUAAGUCUACCAUACUGAAUAUGCUUAGGGAAAAUAUUCGAGGGAAAAUGUACAUAGCUUUUUGAUGGGAAAUUAUUCUCUACCGCUACACUUCCUAUUAAUGGAGGGUUCUUGUAAUCUAAACUUGCUUCAGAUUGCUACUUUUUUCAAGAAAAUGACAAUUUUCCUGGACAACAACAUGGACAUGAUUUCUCCGCCCAAAUUAAGUGUCUUGCCGUUUAGAUUUCAACCAUAUGUGCUUCAGUUGGUAUAAAAGAGGUUGCAGUAUUGUAGAUAACCGUUUUUCAUAUCCAGACUUAAGUCAUGAGGUUUUUCAUGCGCUAGGGGCCUUGACCAUUCUUUGAUGCUAAUAUCAGCCUGAGUCCUGUCACGCCCUAGGCCCUUAGGCCCAAGAUGCGACCUGAAUUUCAGCAAACAAGUUCAACUAUUUGGUUUUCGUUCUCACCGGUCCAAAAUAGAUAUUUUAAAUUAGAUUCGAAUGCUCACACUCUAUUUGUGUAUUGCAUUAGUUUAUCGCACUAACUUAUUCGACGUGAGAUGGGAUAUUACAUUUAUCCCUCUUUUUUAGGCUUUGCGUCCUCUAACCCAAUCUCAUUUCGUAUAGAGGUUACGUGAGAUUCGCUCUAAUGCCAUAAUAUCACACCAAGACCAGAUCUCAGUAGCCAAGUCCAACUAUUUAGACUCCAUCCUUGUUAGCUCAAAGCAAAUAUUUUAAGUUGGAUUUGAAUGCUCAAAUCCUACCUCCGUGAUAAGCUUAUUCUACACACACACAUAUAUGCCAAAAAAUUAUAAAGCUUACCCUAUAAUGUAAAAGUGGAAAUGAAUAUAUAAACAGUAAUGAACAGUUGCAGUUGGAGUCUUUUGGUGUUGCCUGGGUUGGGCUUCUUUGGAGAUCGGUGAUGCCCAUGUGGAGCGGUGGGCAUGUGUAUACAUAAAAUCGCUACAUAAUCUUUUUUCUAAUUUUCUUUUUCAAUCUAAAUUACUCAUUUCUCACAGUAUGAGAUGCCUGCAUUUUUUUUAAUGUCAAAUCGUUACAUAAUCAUCUCCUUCAUACCUUUUUUUUUCUUCCGACCUAAAUCUUUUGCCUUCAUAUUUGCAACUUGUCCAGAAUAUAAAAGGCAAAAAGAUUCGCCCUUACACCUUUAGGAUGUCGAUCUCAAGUUUUGAAAUUAAUAUAAACAACAUGAGUGUUUUUCCAAACCACAAGUAAGGAAAUGCUCAAAGGUCUUGUAUGUCCAAAAAAAUUUGUUUGAUUGGGACAGCUAAAAUUGCUCGAAGGUCUUGCAUGUCCCAAAAAAAAAAAAAUCUAUAGCCAUGUUUGCACAUCUUGAUGACUUGAUUCUAUUGCCUCCGUUUGUGAUUUAGCUUUGCGUUUGGGGUUGGUUUUUCUUGGUACAAAAGUUGGUUUUAGUGCCUAGCGAGCGUCAAAUAUCUCAAUUUUUAUGACUUUUUUUUCAAGUUUUAUAAAUUUAAUCUUUUCUAUUUCAUAGAAACUAUUUUAUGCUACGUAUACAAAAGAGGAAUUUGUAUUUUGAAUAAAAAUUAUGUGUCAUGCAUCCAAACCUACUAAUGCAAAAAAAACAAAAAAAAAUCCACUAAACAUAACCCUAUUUAGGAAUACGUGUGACUCGAGGAUUAUAAUUCUAUUUAUAGAUAACUUUCCUAUUAUUUUUUAGAUUCCUAUUUCAACCCAUCAUAGAAAUAUAAAUUACCCUUAAAUAAAGAACCACAUCCUAUUAGAUACAUUAAAGUUCAAAGUAUGAUUGAUCAUUUUAAUUGAAUUUAAUCUUAUUUAACAAUCUAAGUUCAACGUUGGCUUAAAGAAGCAAUAAUUAAUGCUAUAUUAAGAAUGUUAGAUAACCUGAUUUCAAAGGUCUUGUUUCUCCGUACAGUGAGGAAAAAACACACACACAAACAUGACACAGCAGCAAAAUAACGAAUCGAGGUACCAGACGCAUGGCGUCCGGGCAGGCAAAACUAGUCUAUCUAUCAUUAUGCUGAAAGAAAGUGUGAGUUGCCUUAUGAACAGUGAAUGUGGACUGGUUAUUAGGGGUGGCAAUUCCUGACACAACCCGAAACACGACACGAACCUAACACGAAAUUAAUGGGUUUGGGUUGAGGUUUCGGGAGUUCGGGUCAGAAUCGGUCGACCCGAUGAACCCGAAAAGAAAACAGGUCAAUUUCGGGUCAACCCAUAGUGACCUGAUAUGACCCGAUGUGACCCGUUUACGAAUUAAAACUAAUUUAAUAAACAUAAAAAUUAUUUUAUCUAACUGAACUAAAUGAUUCUUUUUUUUCCAAAGGCAUUAAUUACUUAAUCCUAAAUGAAUUUAUUUAACUUGUGUGAAGUUAAAAUUAUUAUAUUUGGUUUGGGAUAAAACACUUUUAUGGUGUUUAAUUUAUUUUAGAUUUGGUUUGAAAUUAUUUAUUUAAAUUUUUAUUACUUGAUGAUGUAAUUAAUUUUGUGAAAAAUUGAUUUUAUUAGAAAUUAUAGUGAUAAAUUAAUAAAUUAAAAUUAAGUUUCGGGUCAUUUCGGGUCGACCCGCCAACCCGAAAUUUCGAGUUCGUGUCAGGUAUCCUGACCCAUUUUGGAUUUGACGGGUCGGGUUCGGUCAACAGAUUCUUUGUUUACACUUAAGCCGCAACCCGAACCCGACCGAUUGCCACCCCUACUGAUUAUGGCAUAAUUCCAGCAACUUGGUGGUCCUUUUGUUUUGUUAGCUACGCGUGAACUUCUUGGAAAUUGGUCCAGCCAUCUGUGCACCCUUGGAUUGCUUCCAAUUCAAAAUUUGACCAUCGAUCAUCAUUUAGGAACGUUAGGUGCUAGAGUUGAAACGGUGGAUGGUGGUCGUACGAAGAAGUUCUAGUGGGGGGACCUUGCUGCCUACGACUGAUUUUGAUGCAUCACGAAGAAGUUAAAGUGGGGGGACCUUGCUGCCGACUGAUUUUGAUGCAUCACGAAGAUGUUAAAGUGGGGGACCUUGUUGCCGAGUGAUUUUGAUGCAUGCAUGCAUUCCUUCAGACUGGGUUAAUGAAGGCAGCACGUACGUUCUUGGUAAUGAGUAUAGCUUUUUAUUGAUUUCUUGUUUUCCUCAGUAUACUGGUUGGACCCGUGUCCUCCUAGGAGGGGAUCGUCUUCAAAGGUAAGUUUCUUUUUUUCUUCCCUACUGAUUUCUUGCCUUCCUUAAUGUACUGGUUAGAACCGUUCGUUUGUGAUUUAGCUUUAUAUCAUAGUUGCGCCCUGGGUGUACCAUGUGUUUGUAAUAUUGUCCAUGUGAUUGUUAUUUUAUCUUGAGAUGUUCGGUUUGCUGCUGCUGCUGUGUUAAGCCGGAGUUAGUGAAUUUGGACUGCCCCGUUCAGUUCACUGAACGGUGAAGGGACAAUGCUUAGUUGGCCUUUACCCAUUAGUUGUUUUCAAUGUGAUGUCACGUACUGAUGAGAAAGAUAUGAACAAAUGUACAGGACAAGUUGGUCUACCACUAAAUAAGUGUAUUUUUUUUUUUGUCGAUACGAUAUCUUCUCACGCUAUAAGAAUGGAAGGGUUUGAAGAGAUCCAAGGGUAACUUAGAAAGAACUGAACCAUUAUCGGAUCAAAUAAAUGUAUUGUACAUCCGUUUGAAUUUUUUAAACAAAGCCACGCUAACUAAAUGAGUGUAUAGCUGCUAAUUUUACUGUUUUACAUCCAAUAACACUGCGACUGCAGAAUUUCUGUACUAUUUUUUUUUUGUCACGACUGCAGAAUUUCUGUACUACUUCGAUCAAAAUGUGCCACCCACUUACUGCAUGCUGGCUCAUUGCUCAUGAGAGCGUAUUCCGAAGUCUUGAAUGAAAAAAGGUAUACUUUCAGAAACUUCCCUGAGGUGUAUAACAUUUUCACUUGGUGCCCUUAAAUUUUGAAAAAUCUCGCUUGAUUUCCCUGCUUUAAACUUUUUGUAACAUUUGAAACCCGUUUCAAAAUAUAAUAUUAAAAAACUCAUUUUGGGAAAGAGAAUACAAUUUCGUUCCAAAUUUACCCUUUUGAUGUGAUUUUUUAAUUAUCAUAGCACAUCAAUUUUAUCUCUUAAUUUUUGUAAAUUGAUCAAUGUAGUUCUUUAAUAAAAAUUUAAAAGUUGAUUGUAAGAUUGAAAAACUCUUUAAUGUUUUUGUCUCAUUGGUUCGAACAAGAAAUACUAAUUACUUAAAUUUAUGAAUGAUUUAUAAUACACUUAGAGAUAACUAGCAACAAUUUACAACUAUAAGAAUACCUUUUGCACCAGCUUAAAGUAAGGCACAAACAAAUUUAUAUAUAAUUUUUAUGGUGUUGUAUCUUUUACUUUCAAACCAUCGACUUGGAAAAAAAUUAGAAAAAAUAAAAAAUAUGCAAAAGAUUUACAAAACUUCUUAAAUUAACUCAAAACACUUACAGUAAAAAACAUUAUCUUUAUAACUUGCAAAAAUUUCAAAUAAACUUUAAAAUAUUAACUUUUGGUAUUCAAAAAAUACAAUAUAUUUUGUCCAAUCAAAAUAAGCAGUCAUACAUUUUGUUUUUGUUUUUAUUUGUUAAUAAUAUACUUACUCUUUUGGGAAUAAAAAGAAAGACAACAAAAAAAAUCAAUUUGGAAUGAGGGUAUAUUUUUAAUCUGCCAAAAUGAAUUCCUUAAUAUUACAUUUUAAAACGAGUUGUAAACGAUAUAAAAAGCUUAAAAUAAAGGAGAUGAGUGGGAUUUUUUAAAGUUUGAAGGUGACAAACGAGAUUGUCAGCUAAACUUGCAACCUUUAUGUAAAAUCCAAAACCUUUAUGUAAACAGGACAGCUUGCCAACUUGCAAAGGUUAACUAAUUGAACGCCACCAAUUUCCCAUGUUGUUGGAAAUUACGCUAUAAUCGAUCCAUUGUGCACAAUGAUUGUUUACAACUUUACAACUUCUUGUUUAUUUGGUAAUACAUUUGAUAUCAAUAGCAAGUUAGUAAGCAACUUGAUUACCACAAUUUUUUUAUUAAAAAAAAGUACUUUUAUAUGGAGAAAGGCAUUCUGCUUCGCUUUUUUUUUUUUAGGGAAUUUUGAUUGUUACUUCUUAUGAAAAAUAUUAAUGCGCUAUAUAUUUUGGAGCAACAGCCAAUAUGAUAUAAAAUCUGAUAUUAAAUUGAUCACAAGGUGCAAAAUUCAUAGGAAUUUUAGAACAAUGCCAAAAAGGCUCCCACUACUAAAGUUUAUACUAAUAAGUUUGCCCCAAAUUACUCUCUACAUCCACAACGAAUAUAACGAUGAUCUUAAUCAUGCGUAGGCCUCAUAUACAUACGACUGGAGGUCAGGUUUUUUGCCCCUCCUACAUUAUAGUAAACUACCCCAUCUGGGAUUAACCAAAAAGAUAAAAAAAAAAAGAAAAAAAAAUCAUAUGUGGGCUGGGUCCAAACAGAGAUAGAGAAAGUCCAAUGUUGGAUUGCAAAGGUCUUAUUUCUCCGUGCAGUGAGGAAAAAACACAGGCACAAACAUAACACGAUAGUAAAAUAAGGAAUCUCAACUAUCUGAUGCAUGAAGUCUGCGCUGCAAAACCAGUCUAUCUAUCAUUAUGCUGAAAAAAGACAAGUUGGCUGUUGAAAAAAGACAAGUUGCCUCAUGAGUAAAAGGGAGUUUGGGUGGUAGUAUAAUAAUAGCUAUUCGCUUAGGUUCCCCCUUAGGUAGCUUAUCCCACGUCGGGGUUGGGGUUUGAUUGGGUUAUAAGUCCCCGGGACAUGCUCAAGAGUUGCCGACUUUUGAGUAUUAUUCUGGGAUUAGGUUUACAAUUCAACAAAAAGUCUAAUUCAGGCUGUUGAAAAAAAAAAUCAUUAUGCUGAAAGUGUGAGUUGCCUUAUGAACAGUGAAUGUGGACUGGUUAUAGCAUAAUUCCCAGCAACUUGGUGGUCUUCUGUUCUGUUAGCUACGCGUGAACUUCAAGAAGACUGGUCCAGCCAUCUGUGCACCCUUGGAUUGGUUCCAAUUCAAAAUUUGACAGCUGAUCAUCAUUUAGGAACGUUAGGUGCUAGAGUUGAAACGGUAGGUGGUGUCGUCCGAUGCAGUUAGUGGAGGGCCCUGUUGCCGACUGAUUUUGAUGCAUGCAUGCAUGCAUUCCUGCAGACUGGGUUAAUGAAUGCAGCACGUACGUUCUUGGUAACGAGUUUCGCGACAAAAUCACAUGAACAGCUAGGUAUCUUCUUUGCUGCAGCUUUUUAUUAUUGAUUUCUUGUCUUUCCCAGUGUGCUGGUUGGACCCGUGUGCUAGGUAGGUAACUUCUUCAAAGCUAAGUUUUUUUUUUUUUUUUUUUUGCCGAUUCUUUUGUCUUCCUUAGUAUACUGGUUGGAACCGUAGGUGUGCUCUGGCAAACAGUUUUGUGAUUGUUAUAUGCUCAGCUCUGGUUAGAAGCACCAUAGUUGCGCCUGGGUAUACCAUGUGUUGUAACAUUGUCCAUGUGAUUAUUACAUUAUCUUGAGAGGAGAUGCUUGGUUUGCUGCUGCUGUUGUGUUAAGCCGAGUUAGUGAAUUUGGACUGCCACACUCAGUUCACUGAAAGGUGAAGGGACAAUGUUUAGUUGGCCUUUACCCAUUAGUUGUUUUCAAUGUGAUGUCACGUACUGAUGAGAAAGAUAUGAACAAAUGUAUAGGACAAGUUGGUCUACCACUAAAUGAGAGUGUAUUUUUUUUUUUUUUUGUCGAUAUUAUAGCUUUCUAUACGGGGAGGGAGAGGAUCUGAAGAGGUCUAAAGUAAUUCGAAAGGAACUGAAUCACCACCGAAGCACACGAAUAUACUAUUACUUUUACUGUUUUACAUCGCAAUAGCACUACGACUGCAGAAUUUCUGUACUACUUCAAUCAAAAUGUGCCACCCACUUACUGCAUGCAUGCUGGCUCAUUGCUCGUGAAAACCUAUGGUGAAGUCUUGAAUAAAAAAAAGUAUUCUUAUAAUUUCAGAGACCUCAUUUCAGAGACCUCCCCUGAGGCGUCUAACAUUUUCACUUGGUGUUCUUAAAUUUUGAAAAAUCUCGCUUAAUUUCUCUGCUUUAAACUUUUUGUAACAUUUGAUAUUAAAAAACUCAUUUUGGGAAAGAGAAUCCAAUUUCGUUCCAAAUUUACCCUUUUCAUGUGAUUUCUUAAUUAUCAUAACACAUCAAAUUUAGCUCUUAAUUUUUGUAAAUUGAUCGAUAUAGUUCUUUAACAAAAGUUGACUGUAAGAUUGAAAAACUCUUUAAUGUUUUUGUGUCAUUGAUUCGAACAAGAAAUGCUAAUUACUUAAAUUUAUAAAUGAUUUACAAUAUUCUUAAAAACAACCAGUAAUAAUUUACAACUACGAGAAUACAUUAAUUUGUGCACCAGCUUAGAAAAAAUACAAACAAGUUUAUGUAUAAUUUUAUGAUGUUGUACACUUUUACUUUUCAAACCAUUGACUUGGAAAAAAAUUAAAAAAAAUCUAAAAUAUGUAAAAGAUUUUCAAAACUUCUUAAAUUAACUUAAAACACUUCACAAUAAAAAAAUAUUAUCAUUAUAACUUGCAAAAAUUUCAAAUAAACUUUAAAAUAUUAACUUUUGGUGUUCAAAAAAUACAAUAUAUUUUGUCCAAUCAAAAUAAACAUUCAUCAUUCAUUUUUUUUGUUUUUAUUUGUUAAUAAUAUGCUUACUGUUUUGGUAAUAAAAGGAAAGACAGCAAUAAAGCAAAUUUGGAAUGAGAGUAUAUUUACUCUCCCAAAAUGAAUUCUUUAAUAUUACAAUUUAAAAUGAAUUGUAAAUGAUAUAAAAAGUUUCAAGUAAAGAAGAUAAGUGAGAUUUUUUAAAGUUUGAAGGUGACAAAUGAAAUUGUCAGAAACCUCAGUGGAGGUUGAGGUGAGGUUUCUGAAAUUAUCCCUAAAAAAACUCCUAGUACAAAUGGAAAAGGACCCCUCUAUUAAUUUGUCCUUUUUUUUUUUUUGGUCAAAAUGGUACCCUAUUUGAGUACGGUCGAAAAUAGAAACAGACAACAUAUUCCAUGGUAAAAUCCCAACUUUUAUGUAAACCGGACAGCUUGCCAACUAAUUUCCCACGAAGUUCGCGUGCACCCAGUGGACUACACCUGACAAAACAAAAGACCCCCAAGUUGCUGGGAAUUACGCUAUAAUCGAUCCUUUGUGCGCAAUGAUUGUUGUGUAUAACUUCUUGUUUAUUUUGUAAUAUAUUUGAUACUAAUAGCAAGUUAGUAAGCAACUUGAUUACAACAAAUUGAAAAAAAAAAGUAUUUUUAUUUUGGUUGGUAAUUUUUGAAGUAGAAGUAAAUAUAGAUUUCAGCAGGUACUGUCUGUUUAAGUUAUUCCUUAGUGUUUUUCUAAUUUUUAUGCUUGUGUGACAAAAGUUGAAUCCUUUUUUGCUUUGGGAGAUUUCUCCUGAGUUUAAAAAAAACCACUUUGUUUUCAGGGUGUAUUGGAUGUAUCCAUCAUUAAUCUUGGUUGUUGGGAAUGGUAAAGAACAUUUAAUGUCCAUACACAAUUUCGAGGUACAAAGUAGUAUGACAUAUAUAUUUACAAACUUCCUUUGGUGAUAUGCCAGGCAACCCGCCACUGGCACUUUGGCCUGGGGUUCAUUGUCAAGCACUCAAGUCUCGAUAGCAUUGGAAAGUGAAAGAUUUAACCCUUGCCAAAAAAAAAAGAUAUGCCAGGCAACUUGACUGUGGUUCAUCUUGAUGUUACGAGAACUAAUGCAACAGUUUUUUCAAAAUAUUCUACAAUUGUAACAACAAAAGUCUUACCAAACUCCACCACAUGCCCAUGUCCAUCUCACAAAAAAUGAUAGUAUAUUAUUGUGUGCUAGUUGAAUUCCCAUGAAAAUUCGAGCAGCUUCCACCACAUGCACAUGGAUUUCCAUCUCUCGAAAAAGGUGUAUUAUUGUUUUUUUUAUAUAAUCCACAGAUAUUCGUAUCUAUUUUACUGUUUGUUCUAGUUAUGGUACGUAAUUAAAAAAUGGCAAUAAAUAAGUUCAGGAUAACUAAUUAAAUAGGAUUAAUGAUAUUUCUUACCUGAUUAAACACUCUAAGUGCCCUUACAAAAUACAGUCACAAAAUGACACCAAUUGAUGCUCCAAUAUGACGCUAUUUUGUGAUUGACAGCACUUGAAAGGGCAAUCCAAAUUGUAUAUUAUUUGUAUAGAAGAGAAGUAGAAGCAAGAAAAAUAUAAGAGAAAGAAACCUCUAGACAAUACUCCAUAAGAGAAUAAGUUCUAGUGGUUUUGGUUGACCUCACUCUAUCUUAAGCAUUCAUGAAAUGGAAGGAGAAAGAAAGCAGAAAUCAAGGCAAAAUCUAAGGAUUUUUUUGUUAAAAAUUUGUGACAAUCAAAAAAUAAUAGGUAAGCAAUCUUUUAUCAUUUCAAAUUAAUACAAAAAGUUUCUUUAGUAAAGGAGAGUUUUUGGAGUUGGAUGUACACUUUUAUACGUUUUAGAAUCUCAGAUUUCUGAACGUAUGUUCGUUGCUUCUUCUAGUUGUUGCUACUGUACUUGUUUUAUUUACCCUUAUAUCCUCUUCGGUUUCACUAACUGGUUCCACCUUUUAAUGUUUUUCAUUCUUUUACUAAUACAACCUCACAAGAAACAAAAAGGGUAUAAAUGGAAUAACAUUAUUAUCUCACUUGUCAAAAGAUUUUUUUUUUAAUGACAUUUUCUUUGACAUAGGCUGAAUCUGCUAUCAAAAUUUUAAGUUCAAGGGAAGUUAGUGCUAUUUUUAAAACCCCAGUAAAGGUGAGUGCAACUACUAGAAACCUCAAGGGAGGUUUCUGCAAUUAUCCCUUAAAUAAAAGUUGACUGGGAAGACCAAGUAAGUCGUCAAGACCAGCUGUAGCUAGAAAAGUAGUAGUGCUAUUUGCAGCCAAAUAUCCAUUCCAAAUCAUAUUAGUAGUAUUCUAUCGUUGCAACGGCUGAAUUGUUUGUUCCAAAGAUAAUAGCUGAAUUGGGUGAUGGUGUCCUGAAGCAGCUCGGGAAGAAGGUUAACCUGGUGAUGGGGGUUGAAGAAAUGGAUGUCUUUGACUGUGGUUCAUCUUGAUGUCACGAGAACUAAAGGAACAGCUCAUUCAUAUAUUCUACAAUUGUAACAGCAAAGUAUAAUAUUUGUCUCACUCUGGUCUUUUAAUUAAUGUACAAAAUCUAUCCAUUAAGUGUUGUGAAUUGUGUUGAAUCGUGGCCAUUAAGUGUUGCAAUUUAUUAUUUGGAUUAUGUGUACAUUUUUUGUCAUUGUGCACACUUAGUAAAAUAAUGAUUGGAUUUAUGCUUUUCGUCAAUUAUUCUGUGUAUUGUUUGUCACUGACAAGAGCCUAAAUAGUUCAUUAGUUAUAAAAAUAAUUAAAACACAUCAAAACUAAUUAAUAAAACACACUAAAAACAUGUAAAAUACACACUUAUCAUGUGCCAUACAUCCAAAGUUGCACAUGUCGCUUGAGGAUCGUUUUUCCUUCACAGACAAAUUGAUGAACUGCACUAGGGGAUCUGCUACUUCUCAACUUGACAUACAAAUGCGUGAACUACCACUCUGAACUCUGAACUUGCAACAGAAUGUUGGUAUUAAAUUGUACACAGCUUGACAUACAAAUGCCUGAAGUACCACUCUGAACUUCCAAUAGAAUGUUGGUAUUGUAUUGUACACGACUAUGCUUGUUUCUUGUGUAUCACAAAGAAAGUGGUGAAUCUGCACGUAAAGCAGUAUAUUACUUAUGGUACUCCAAUUUUAUCAGCACCAUUAGAAUGAUUUACUUUUAAGAAGAUCCUAUAUCAAACGACAUACAACUUAUAUGAUAAACACAAACUAAAUAAUGGUUUACUUCCUUAAUUUUAGAAAUUCUCAUGUUUGUAUCCCUCACUUAAACAUGUCAUGAUUUUGAUUAUAUUUCUGUUGGUGAAUUAUUAUUUUUAGUUCAUUUUAUCCUGUUGUGAUUUAGUGUUCUUCAGUUAAAACAAAUUAAUACAUAAAUCUCCUCGACUAUUUUGGGUGAAAGCCUAACAAUAAUUGCCACAUGCUGUUUGAAGAAACUAUAGAAAUCAGAAGAUUUUACACUUAGUCGGCGGAAUGCACUCAAACAAUAAGUCAAUAUGUUACUUUGUAUGAUUUAUGCAGGCCACAGAACACCCAAAAGAAAUACCCUUUAAAUUUUGGAUUGCAUGCAAUUGCUUGGGAAGUUUGAGAUGAUUUACAUAUCUCCUUGUUAUUUUGAAGUUAACAUGGAUUCUAGGCAUGCAAAUGAGUUGGUUCUAACAUUCAGACCUACUGAAUUUUUUUUCAUAAUCACACCAAAACAAACCCUCAUGAAUUUAAUGCUAUUAUAGUAAAAUUAGUCAUGCAUGUGUCGGAAUAAAAAUUUUUGUUUAGGAACCCAUCCAAAUGGAUCACCGAUAAUACUAAUUUCAUACUGUCUCUCUAUAGCUUUUUUAGUACAAAGGUAUGACUUGAUAAAAUUCAGUUGAUAUAUAAUUUCCAUUCCGGAAUCUAGAACGAAUGCAGUUGUUGAACUUAAUGCACAUGAGGAGCCCAGGCAUUUAUGUGUAGAGAUCAACAAUCAAAUCAUUAGUCUUGGACAAUAUACGUAACCACUGAUUUUAGUGGCUUUUUAUCCUAAAUUGACUUUGCUAUUUUCUUUGAGACUUAUAAACUGUAUAAAUUGCUUAGAUAUAGCCAUGAUACUGUAUAUAUGAGAAUUCUUUUUGGGCUUCUUUUGCAAAUGUGGCAUACCUGAGUCUAAAUCCUAGUUUAUUAUGUGUGAAUAUAUUCAACAGUCCCUCUUAGUCUCUCCACCACCUGCUAAUUUUUUAUGUUGUUAUCCUCUCCCAGCGACCUUAUUUAAUUUGCCAGACAAUUUGGUACAUCUUGAAGGAAUGGGCAGCCCACAUAAUUUUCCAAAUAAUUCUUCUGCUACUUCCAGGAUGCCUUAAAUCCAAUUUCCAGUCUUUGAAGAACUUUAGCACUCUUCAGGGAGUACUCUGUCAACUUGUACUGAUAUGUUUUGGCCAUCAAUAUUAGAAGAAUGGGACCCUCUUAACUUGAUCAGUAAAAUCAAGAAAGAGGUCUCUUUUGCUUUUCAUUUUUAAAGUGAUAUCAGCACAAAGCCUAUAGUCAGUCAAUACUGUAUCAUACAGGUAAGCACUUUGUGUAGUUUAUAUUUUUUGAAUGGGUCCUUGCAAACUAGUCUUGCACUUGCAGUCUUGUUCGGGAGCUGCAAGAUGUUGACUACGUUCAAAAAGAAAAGAAAAAGAAAAUGUUGGUUGGCCAAGUUGAGAAAAUCAGGUACUGGUAAAUAUGAGUCAAAUGUUCAUUUCUUUCAGAUCACGCUCAAGAUGAAUAAUUAUUGGGUCCUCAAAUUCAAGGAGACAAAGUCCACUUCAUUAAAUUUUUUCAAAAAUGAAACAGCUACCCGAGAUUUCUCGGAAUAUUUAAGAAAUCUUCUCCCGUUGACGGAUUUAAAGAGUUAAUAAUUAUGCUAUUCCUCCCUGCUACUGAUCAAGACUACCGUAUGAUUAGAGGAUGCAUAGUAUAAAUCAAGACUGGCGAAGAAUGGUGGCUACUGAGUUUUACCAAGUUGGUCUUCUGCAACUUAAUCAGGCAAGUCGUCUUACGAAUUUAACAGAGUUGCAUGGUUAUAAUUUCUUCCCGAUCUCUUCCGGUCGCUUUCUAUGUCUUUUAAAUUUGAGCUGAUUUUGAAUUUCAAUUACCUCUAACUUAAGUUUUAAUUUUUGGGCAUACAACACUGUGCACUUCGCAAGUUUCUGAGUAGAUGUAAAAAAUACUUGAUUCUUAUUCUAUUGUCUACUAAAAAUGGUUAGAGACGAUUUAUGACAAGCAGAAAAGGCCAUGAACUUCCCAUAACUGCAGAAUAUCCAGUUCUUGUGAGGUGGUAUCCGUUAAAAUUGAUAGCUUGAUGCUGGGAUGGGAUGCAGAGCUAGGAUUAAAAGGUUAAUUAGUUGGAAUUUUACACUUGGAGAACGUAUAUUUGUUGUACGACAGAUAGAAAUGCUUGUCUGUAUGCAGAUUGUAUGAGAUGAUUGUGGCUACAAUUGUGGUUUUUGUUGACUGAUUCUUUUGUUUUAUUCACAAUUUCACUAGGUAGUUUCUAGCGUACGACUGUAAUAUACUGUCAUGGGCUUGAAUUCUCCGGGGACAUCUUCAGAGACGAAAAAGAUGUUUGUAAGAGAAGAGAUCACUAACGAAGCACAAGACCGAAUAAGCCAAUUACCUGAUGCAAUUCUGUGUCACAUCCUCUCCCUUCUUCCGACUAAAUUAGCAGCACAAACUGGUAUUUUGUCUAAACAAUGGAAGAACGUUUGGCUUUCAAUACCUGCUCUUGAAUUUCAGAUCAAUCUACGGGCAAAUUAUGAGGGUGAAUGGAGUGCCUUUGAUUGCUUUGCAAAGCCUAAAAUUGAGAGUUUUACAAAUUUUCUGGAUCGACUUUUUGCAAUUCGUGACACUUCAGGUAUUAAAAAGUUCAGAUUGGUAUGUGAUCAUCAGGUUGACUCUAGAUGCCUCAAUAAUUGGUUGUCUGCUUUGCAUAAUGUUCAAGAACUUGAUCUCGAUUUGUGGGAGCUCGGGGAGUUCCCUUGGAGUCCCUUCACAAAUAACUCGCUGGAAAUCUUGAAACUGAGUUGCAAUGUUUUGCUCAACAUCCCAUCUUCUGUUUCUUUUCCACGUCUUAAGGUUCUUCAUCUUCAUUCAGUCACAUAUGUGGGCGGCGCAUCGGUUGAAAAGUUACUUUCUUCUUGUCCAGUCCUUGAGGAUUUGCAGAUAUCAAGGGGGCAGUGGGAUAACGUUAGGAAUUUUGUGAUUGCAGUCCCUUCAUUGAAAAGGUUGACUUUGGACUUCAGUACACCUGAGAUGGACUUAUAUGAUGGCGAUGAUUACGAAGAUGGUGUUGAGUACAAACUGAUAAUUACUGCACCAAAUUUGGAGUAUCUAAACCUGAUUGAUUAUAUGUCAGAUUCAAUUCAGGUCAGUUCCAUGACCAGAGUAACUGAAUCACGCCUUUCUGUUUACAAAAUCUUAACAUGUGUUCAGCGGACAGCCGAACAAACAAGUAAUUAUGAAAGCAAUGUGCGUGAAAUAUUUCGAAGCAUCCCAAAUGUCAAGCACCUAACAAUAGGCGAAUUUACCAUGAAUGUAAGCCAUGACUCAAAUUCCAAUCCUGCUUAUUGCUUUCUAAUUGUUAUACCAUCAAUUGCUUUCUUGGUCACAACUUAUAGCUGUCUUCAUACGUUUGCAGUCUUUGGGUGAAUCUCUUGAUAGCAGGCUGCCAGUGUUUCAGAACUUGGUCCACCUGGAGAUCAGUUUUUAUGUAGCGAACGGCGCUAUACUGCUGCCAAGUUUGCUCAAAAUCUCUCCUAAACUGGAAAGCCUUAUCUUGCCUCAGGUACAUUACAUAAGAGACUUGCACAAUUUUGAGAGAAAUAUGGUGAGCGUUGAGCACUCCUGUUUUCUUUUGACCAAAAGUUGAUUUGUUUGUAAUUUUUUUUCCCUAUGUCCUGGAUUUCAGGGGAUUACCAGUCCAAAUGUAAUCGGGUGGUUUAACCCUGAGGAGAAUCAAGUUAAGCCUCCGCAAGACGUACCUGAAUGCCUGCUAUUUAGCCUGAAAAAUGUGGAAAUUUCGUGCAUUACUGGAAGAGUUGAGGAAGAGGUGGAGUUGUUGAUAUAUCUUCUGGGAAAUGCAAUGGUUCUAGAGAAGAUGACGAUUUGGUACGAAGAAUAUUAUGUUUCCGGUGGACCGAUGGAUACUACUAAUUAUCCAACUGCCCGUCGGGUGCAGGAUCGUUUAUCUUUCACCGACAAAUUGAUGAACUGCACUAGGGGAUCUGCUGCUUGUCAACUUGACAUACAAAUGCCUGAACUACAACUCUGAACUUGCAGCAGAAUGUUGGUAUUGUAUUGUAUAAAGCACUUGUUUCUAAUGGCUUACUUUCUUGAUUUUAAGAAUUCUCGUGUUUGGAUCAAUUUACCCUCUUAUGAUUUAGUGUUUCUCUAUAUAACAUUCUUAGAUUUUUGCAAAUUAGUAUUGUCUUCUGUAAAUACAAAUUAAUACAUAAAUCUCCCCUCUUGAUUAUUUUAGGUGAAAUUCUAAGAACUACCACAUGCUCUGUUUGAAGAAACUAUAGAAACUAGAAGAUUUUGUACAUGUUCAGCAGAAUGCACGCGAACAAUAAGUCAAAUUGUUACUUUUUGUGAUAUAUGCAGGCCUCCAAACACGAAAAAAGAAAUGGAGUGCUACUUAAAUUUUGGAUUGCAUUGAAUUGCUUGAGCAUUUUGAGGAGAUUUACAUAUCUUCUUGUUAUCUUGAACUUAACAUGGGAUUAGGUAUGCUAAUGGGUUUUGAUACAUCUACUAGGGCUAGGCUCCUCUCCAUUACUUUUUCCUUCUAGUUUCCCUCAAUACACUCUUGGAUGAGUGACACAUAUAUUAAAUAUUUAUAAAGUGUUAGGUUUACUUCUAUCUAACUUGUAGAAUGUUAAGUGUUAACUAUGACAUCAUCCCAUUAAGUUACCACCUACUUAGGAAAGUUCCUACUAGUUGCAAUUUUCAAGAUUAGAAUUUAUAUAUCUUUUAUGUUAUAAAGAUUGCAAUUGAUAUAUCUUUUCCUCACUUUUUAAAAAAAACAAAAAGAAAUGAAAAUAAUAUAAACAAUAUUCAAUAUGAAAAAUAUUAUGCAUGCCACAAACCAAAAAAAAUGAUUUUUGAUUAAAUUUAUUGCUCAUUCUUUCUCAUUUCUUUUCUUUUUCAUUUUUAAUCAACAAGUCAGGUAAACCUAGUUUUUACAACAUGAAACCAUACAAAAAUGAAAUUUUCAUAUUAUUUUGAUUAUGAAUCUUGAUAUCUUUUUGGUGUUUAAAUUGAAAGACACACCAACUAUAGCAAUUAGAAAAACAUUUAAAUGGUCAAUCUAUAAUUUUUUGGAUUCGAUAAAAACUGCCUAGAUUCACAAUCCAAAAAAAUGAAAUUUUUUUUUUUCAAAAAACUUUUGUUAUCAAAUCUAGGUUUUUCAUCAUUUACUAAAUUUUUCUAAAAAAAACAAAAGAAAAGGAAUGUUCAAUUCAUAUUAAAUAACCAAAUUUCUUUUGUUUUUUUUUUUUAGGAUGCAUAAGAUUUUUCGUGACUACCUUUUUUCCUUUUCCAAUUCUUUUACUUGUUUCCAAAGUCAAGAAAAAAAAUUAUCAGUUCCAAUCUUCAAAAAAAAAAAAAAAAAAAAACCCCAACAUAUGCUAUGCAAUCAAAUUUUGAGUAGGAAAGUUGAGAACUUUCCUUAGAUAACUCGAAUGGGAUAGAUGUCAAAUGUAAAGUUUGAUGACUAUAGUUAAGAAAUAUGGUAAGCUAGAGAUGAUCUCAACCAUUUAUAAAUGCUUGAUACAUGUGUCAAAAAUCUAAGAAUGUAUUGAGGGAAAUUGGAGAGAAGGGAUAAUGGAGAGGAGCCCAUCUCACAUUCGCUGUUCUAAAUGGGAAUAGAGUUGCAGAUAUCUUAGUCCUGUAUCUUUUCUUUGAACAUUCCUUCUUUUGCACUGGUAAUGCUUAAUCUGGAUGGGUAUACUACUAGUACUUGGAUCACGGAGUAUUCUCAACUUGUUUUUCUGCAACAUUCAAGUUUGAGUAGCUAUUAAUAUAUCCUUCUACUCUCUGCUUCUAGAAGAAUUUGCAAAUAGAGAAUUGCAAACUGCUUGUUCAACAAUAAAAGGUUGCACUUAAACCAUCCUGUCAUCCCACUUAUUUUCAAUCUAACUACAUGGAUCAUGGUUAGUAGAAAGGGAUAAUUUCAGAUACCUCCCCUGAGGUUUCUAACAGUCUCACUCUUCUCCCUUGUGGUAUCAAAAAUAUCACAAACCUUCCCUGUCAGAAUUAAGGUCCCAUUUCUUAUAUCAUCAUGGUCAAAAAGACUAAAAUACCCUCACAAGUCAGCUAAUAUUUCGUGAUUAUCAGGACAAAGACAUUCCAACUCAUGUAAUUACUUUUUUCUAUGCUAUAUCUAAUCUCCCUUUUACAUGUAUACAUAGUCAAGUAACUAACACCUAAUAUAAUGUACAUUUUUUUAACACCUAACCAUUCCAAAUUUAUGUAUACCAUUACACUACCUUUUAUAGAUAUACACAGUCAAGUAAACAUCUAACAUAAUAUAUAUAUUUGUAAACUGAUUGUACCUCAUAGAUCACCCCGUGUAAGGUGUUUAUAGGCAAAUUAGUAUUAGUCAUAUAAAUAAAAUUACAUACCCACUGUAGCUUGUAAGGAGAUGCACAAGUGGUCAAAGCACCAGUAAACAUUCCAAAUGUAUACAUACCAUUGCACUAUGCGUAUUAUUGCGAUGACUAAUUGCAAUAUGCAUGUGAACAAAUAGCUGCAUGUUUAACAAUUUCGAUGCAUCGUACUUGGUCAAUAACACGGUGUACAUUAUUUCAACCAGAUUGUACAUUCACUAAGUAUUUAUAUACAUGCUACUUAUUGAAGUAAACUACCUCUCUACUAAAUAUUUGAUGCACUCUCAUAAGCACUAAUGGUUGAUUUAAUAUGCAAUUCGAACAAAUAACCAUCUAGUAAAAGCUUUAGAUAUAAUAUUAUUGAUGAAUAACAUAUUGUAUCUGAAAUUAACCCUUUUUGGUUUAUUAGUUUUCAUUAUUUCACUAAUAUAACUUGUACACUUACUGCAGGGCAUUUAUGGAAACAAAAUUCCCUCUCUUUCUUGAAAACACUUUUUUAUGUUCACUUUUGAUAUCAUGGGCUGAUUUUGUUAUAAAAUCUUAAACCUCAGGGGAGGUUUGUGAUAUUUUUGAAAUCAUAGGGGAGGAGAGUGAGACUAUCAGAAACCUCAGGGGAGGUUUCUGAAAUUAUACCUAGUAGAAAUCAGGACACCUACCCAAUUUUCAUGAUCUCGAAGGUUUGAAUGAGUUCUGUGUUGUGUAUAAAAGAAGGAAAUGGCCUCGUGUGUUUGGAUAGGAAAUUAUCUAGAAACAAUUAUUUAGAAUAAUAUUAUAACAUUUUUUAUAAUACAAUAUAGGUGAGAUAAAAAAGUAAUUAAAAAUUAUGUUUAUGAUAUAAUCAGAAAAAUAUUUAAAAUUUUUUUCGAACAUACAAUACUCAAAUGGACUCUAUGUUUUCUCCAGAAAUUUGGCGAAUGACAUAUAAGAUCAUUCCUUUCAUUUCCUUUUUUCUAACUUAAAUUAUGAUUUAUUUUCACUUUUGCAACAAUGCAACCGCUUAAAUUACGAUUUGUUUUGUUCCUUCUUCACUUGCAGACAUAUGGACAUGCUUAUUAUUAGUCAAAGGGUAACAGUUGUCAUUGACCACAGUAAAUUGCGUUUUUAACUGUUAUUAUGUGUCCCCCUAAUUCGGCAGACAACCUUACAAAGAGGCUCUCUGUGGACUUUAGCGAUUAUUUGAUUCAUGGGUUGGUCUUUACAUGAGUUAUUCAACUAUUAAUCUCGAGCCCACAGAGUUUUAUAAAGAAUUCAGCAUUUUGACACUAAGUUGUAUAAACUUAGCUGCUGAUUUAGGGGUGAUCGCGAGUCAAGCGACUUGCGAAUAACUCAAUCAAACAAUCUACUUGAACUUCGUUUGACAGAAAAAAUUGAGUUUGAGUUCGAACUUGAGUAACUCGAUAGCUGGAACUCGAUAUAGAAAUCAAGUCAAGUUCGAACCUCUCUUUGUGCUGCUUGAGUACUCGUCGAGUAGCUUAAUUAAUUUUAUUAUCUAUAUAAUAAAUAUUUUUUAUUAUGAAAUAAUCAAUAAGGGUUUGUUGCGAACUUUUGAAUUUCAAGUUUCUGAGUGCUCAAGCUCGAUAAGGCUUAAGAACAGUAUCGAACUUUAUCGAGUCAAAUUCGAGCUUUAAUUGUUCUUCCCUCGAGUCAAGUUGAGCUAUAUAAAUUUCUGCGCACUCGAGUCGAAUUCAAACUCAAGGAGACUUGCUUAUCAUUGAAUUCAAAUUCGAGCAUAGGACUACUCGACCUCGAGCAUAGCAAUAUUCUAUCUCGACUCAACUUGUUAUCACCCCUAGUGAUUACACAAAUAUGACAAUUAAAAUAUCUUGUCACAUACCCAUUAUUGACAAACACAUGCUCAAACCCCACCAUUUCUCUACCCUAAAACUGCUUUCUCUCUUUGGAGAUUGGGUUAACUAUGGGAAUCACCUCUAAGCUUGAUCCCAUCCCCUCAAUCUCCUUUCACUGUGUACUUGUGAUAGUUAAAUCUCAUGUAUCGAUCCUCAACAACUGAAUCGAUAUUAAACUUGUAGUAAUUUGGAAGUCAAUUGUGUUUGGAUUGACAUUAUUUGCUGUGCAUCAUGCACAUGCUUUUUAAUUAAUAUUUUUAUCUCAUAUAUAUCACAUCAAAAAAAAGUAUUAAAUAAUUAUUUCAAAUAAUUUUCUAUCUAAACAUACUCAAUUGCGUACUUGAUAGUGGACCUUGUUGUCAACAUCAAGCUCCCAAGUUUUAGGUGAUUCAUUGGCAGGCUUGAUACACAAGAAAGCAGUAGCAGCAGGAAAAUUAUCUAGUCCAGCUGCCUUAGGCCCAAACCGUUUGAGCUUUGCCGUUUGAAUAUCAUUGCUUCAACAUUCUUUCAGUGUCGCUCGGCCCUUCAUCCAACCCAAAAACUUUGAAACUCGUUGAGGACACCAUCUCAUAUUUGGUACAGAUAUAAAAGAUAUAACAUUUCCAUUACGUCAUUUUAUAUUCUUAAAAAAAAAACACAAAAGAGAAGUAAUUCUGCAGGAAAAUAACUGAUACUAAUUUCGUCUAGUAAGUAACAAUCUUUAAUGAACAUGGUAGCUGCUGUUCAUCUAUUAUUGAUCUAUACGUAAAUGUAUCAUGCGUAGAUGAUCCAUAUGCAUUGCUCAUAAUUCAGUGGCGGAGCUGGGUAGAAUAGAAGUGAGGGUGGGCAAUUAAAUUUUGCGCUCUCUCAAAUUUGAUAAAAUUACAUAAUGAUCUUAAAGUUUUUUUUUAAGAUUUUUGAAUUUGCAUCAUAUUUGCACCCCCCAAAAUUUAUAAAAUUCUCUUCUUUUGUUGCAUUGUUCCCUUUAAAUUUAAGAAAACUCUCUUCUAUGCAUAGAUUAUCCUCUUAACAUUAUAUAUUCUUUUCUCAUCCUACAUUGACCCCUAAAAAAAUAAGAUUUUGUGUUGAUUUUUUUAAGAUUUUUUAUUGAUUACCUCCUCUAACAAAAAGUUUGGAUCUGUUCCAAAUUAAACAUGAAUGACAUGAUUUAUACUAAAAUUGACUAUUGCAUCCUCUCGCCAUGGGGUCUUGACUCCAUCACUAACUUAUAUGAUAAAUGUGAUAUGGGUUUAUUAUCAUAAGAUAAAAAAAAAAAAAGGAGCUCAUUUAAAAAAUUUGUGUUUGAUAUGAAAUUCCUAAAAGAUAUUAUGUAUCAUUAAAUCAUUGGAGUUAGCUCAAUAGUCAGGGAUGACUUAGUUCUCUCUGUUGUUAGAUUCAAGAUUUGAAUCUUGAUGCUGACAAUUGAUACAAAAAAGGAUGGGAGUUUAAAUGAAAAACUAUUUUAGAAUUUAUAAGGAAGUUUUUUAUUCUUUCUCUCAAUAGCCUAUAAGAGUGUAUUUGAUAAAAUUGAAGUCUGAAAAUUAAAAUAUGAAAUCCGAAACUUGAAGUCUGAAUCCAUUAAAUUAUUAAAUUGUUAAGUACUAAAUCUAAUACAUCUGAGUGUGUAUCACAUUAGAUGAUAAGUAAAUAACUUAUCACUUAUUUUUGAAAGCAAGUUCUGGUUAGAAAAUUCAGUGUCACUUAAUAAAUUCAGAUGUUAAAUUUUUUGUUAUCAAAUACGUUUGAAAAGUUAAGAUGUGAAUUUAUUCAAUUUAAGCACUAAAUUAGAUUAUCAAAUAGGACCUAACUAACUAUAAUUACGAGGGUUAUCAGGUAUUUUAUGUCAGCUCAGUAGUUUGGGUCCAAAAUCAACCUAUCUACAAUCGAUAGGUUUAAUAAGGAAUAGUUGAUGUUAAAAUAUUUAGUUUGUUUGGGUUGUAAGUUAUUUGAGAUAUUUUUACUGUAGCACUUUUUGUGAUGUGAUGUAUAUAAGAUAAAAAGGUAAUUGAGAAGAUAAAAAGGUAUAUUAAAAAUUGUAAUGAUGAUGUAAACAAAUAUAUUUGAAAAAACAAUCAGCUGUCCAAACAAGCAUAUUAAUAACUAAAAAAGAAAGUACAAUUUUAGUUGGCAAAACUUUAAGAGGUAUCGAUUCCCACGUUUUAUACUUCGUAAGCACUUAAAAUAAAAGUUCAAGAAUAGAAAAUUGUAAAGCAAAGGCAGAUUGAAAAGCCUUUUUUUUUUCCCUCAAAUAAAGUUAAAUAAGUGGGAAACCGCUAGUUGAAGAGGACAGCAUUUCCAGAGGUGUCGAAUGUCUCAAAAGUCGGAUCAACAACCCAAAAAGUCUUUCGUUUCCAUGCAAGAAGCUUCUAAUUUCAGAGAAAUGUGGAGUUUUAAUAACUGUUAAUUACAAUUGCACAAAACAAUGCAUGCAUGCACAUAACAUGUAAGAUAUGUUAAUUGCAAAUUUGCAAUUGCACAAGACAAUGUAUGCAUUCACAUAACAUGUAUGCAUACACGAAAAAUUGUUUCGUUCCCACGAAGAAACUUCUAAAAAUUUUGAUCAACAACCCAAACUUUUGUUCCCAUGAAGAAACUUCUAAUUCGUAGAUGCUUCUAUAAUUGUUAAUUACAAUUGCACAAGGUAUGUUGGGGGUAUUAAACUUGACAAAAUUCAAGUUAAUUGAUAAGACGUUUUAUCUGUGACUUAUGAAUCUCUGAUUCAAAUUAUAAGGAGGGUAUAUAAAAUUUCACGACACUGUUAUUGUUGUUGAGUGAAAUAAACUAACCUAAAUUAAUCCUUAAGGAAAAUUUAAGAAGUGUAUAUCAAAAACUCUCUGGAAAUCAAACUUCCUCCAAGGAUAAUGCAUCUUUCCUGCUUUCCUCAAUUCAUGAAUGUUCUCAUAUAGUAACGUUCCUCAGUCGUGCUUGAACGAAGAUUAAGAAAAGCAAAUCAAAGAAUUCCUCUAAUACCAAUCAUUCCGUCAGGGUCACUUUUUCUUGUUGUCAAAUAUAUGUGUGUGACUGCGACGUUUAAGCAUAUUCUUUUGAAGAAAGAUCAAGAAUUUGAACCCAAGUUAAACGUCCAAAACCAUUUGCUAAUGAUCCAUCCCAAACUUAGCGACGGCCCCUGGAAAAUUGUCACGAAUUAAUGCUCGUGGGGCAAGUUAACCUAGUCUCAAAUUUUGUGGCUCAAAUUAAAGUCGUUGAAAAGACAUAAAAAAAAAAUAACGUAUUCAAGUUAAGAAAUGAGUUUCAAUUUCAAUCAUAUUCAUAUACAAAGUGUUAUUUAAGCCAAUUAAAAUCAGUUAAUGGAUUUCAUAGAUCCCUUUUACGAGUUUCACGACAAGUAUUAAAUAAUAGGUUUCACUUAUUUCUUAUUUUUUUAUUAUUAAAAUCCAUUGUUAUAGAGUUACCAAAUAUUGUUGGAGUCUUUGUCAAACUCAUUGUUAUGCCGUAAUUUAUUAUACCCAUAAUGUUAGAGAUUGUGAAAUUUGAAGCAAAUGGCUCUUAAGUAAAUUGUGUAUACGAGAUAUAGUUAUGAUUGUAAAAGUAAUUAGUAUUGGCUCAAGAUAAAAUCGUUUAGAAGAUGUAAAGUAUGAUGUACAAUUUCAAGUAAGUUGUGUACAAGAUAUAGUCAUGGUUGUACGAGUAAUUUGUGUCAAGAUGUAUUAGUAUCCUUACAAUUAACUGUUUACCACGAUGAAGAAGAAAUUGAUCAUUACAAAGACCACCGAUUGAACGUACAGUCUUCACGUUAAUUUAAGUUUCAUAGUCAGCCCCCCCGAAACUUUGGAUGAUUACCCAUUUCAGUCCCUAAACUUCAAAAUGGGACACUUAAACCCUAAACUUAUAAAUACCUCCCACUUAAAGAAAAUUGUUAAUAAAUCCUAAAUGCCGUUGGUGGUCGAAAUGUCCCAUUUUAUAAGAGUUUAGGAAUUUAAGUGUCCUAUUUUAUAAGUUUAGGGACUUAAGCGGAAGGUAUUUAUAAGUUUAGGGAGUUAAAUGUCUCAUUUUGAAGUUUAUGAAGUGAAGUAGGUAAUCGUCCAAAGUUUGGGGGGACAAAGUGGAAUUAACCCGUCAGGCUAUCAAGUCAUACUUAGAUUUACUCUUGUUGAAAAAAUAUCAUCAAAAACCAAAUAUAUUUACUUUGCUAUUAAUUGCAAAAUAAUUCUCUUUGGCCAAAAAAAAAAAGGGUAACAGUGACAUAUAUAGUGGAAUAGAUGAAGUACUUAAACCACUGGGUUUUUGUUCAAUAACUACUAGGAAGGAUUUAAGCUCUUCCCUAAGGUUCGAAUCCUGUCAACAUCAAUUCCGCCAAAUAGCAGCAACCCUAGCAGGUAAACACACUAUAUAAACAAUAAUAAGAGGCGUCUUCGCUCCCCUUACCAUUUUCUUUUCCAAGACCACUCCUUAUAAUAGAAUAGGAUUUCAAAAAAUAAUAAAAAAAAAGGAAGUACUUUUAACCUGGUUGCAUAUACUCGUGCAAAGAAACAUUCUGAAAGCAUCAGACAGUUCACGACCAUGUCCAGGAAAUUUCGUCCGUUCAAAGGCAAACCAGAUGUGGCCCAUUGGUUUUUGGUAUGAAUUUCGUCUGAAAAAGAAGUGCAAGUUUGACGUAUCCGUUGGGUGUGCAAGCACCUUCAAUGCGGCUUCAAUGAGCACAGUGACGUACGUUGUCAACACACAGAAACACGCACUACACGUGAUGAUUCUAAAAUCAAAAUGACCAAUAAGAAUUGCAAUUUUGACCCGUCAUAUUAAUUAUCCUUAAUUAAAUUGUUGCUUUUAAAAGCAAGCAAUGGCUGCUAAAGCAAGGGAAUCCAGUUGAGAAAGACGAUAAGUAUUCUUCAAAAUCAAAAUGGUGUUUUACCACUUUUAAGUUGGAAUUCUUCAAAGAAUCUUGGCAUAGUCAUUCAUCAUUGGCCCGUAUUAGUAGAAAACAACAUGAUAAAGUGACAUAUGCCUUUGUUUUAUAUAUAUAUUUAUUCUUUUCUUUAAGGAUGUUUGAUUUGAUGUACUGGUUGUCGUCAUUAGUGACAAAAUCCAUUGCAAUAUCAUGAAUUAUAUUAAAAAAAAAGAUGAUUAGACUUUGUAGAGUACGAUACGCAAUUAUUUUGUUUGAGUUAUUUGAUUGAUGAUUGAUAUUACGGAUAAUAUCAAACAACUUUCUUGAGGUUUCUCUUUAUUCACCUCGCACCUCUUAAGGUUUUAAAAAAUCACUUAUCUCUCUUACUUUUGUUAUUUGUGUAAUUACAAUUGCACAAGGUAUGUUGGGGGUAUUAAACUUGACAAAAUUCAAGUUAAUUGAUAAGACGUUUUAUCUGUGACUUAUGAAUCUCUGAUUCAAAUUAUAAGGAGGGUAUAUAAAAUUUCACGACACUGUUAUUGUUGUUGAGUGAAAUAAACUAACCUAAAUUAAUCCUUAAGGAAAAUUUAAGAAGUGUAUAUCAAAAACUCUCUGGAAAUCAAACUUCCUCCAAGGAUAAUGCAUCUUUCCUGCUUUCCUCAAUUCAUGAAUGUUCUCAUAUAGUAACGUUCCUCAGUCGUGCUUGAACGAAGAUUAAGAAAAGCAAAUCAAAGAAUUCCUCUAAUACCAAUCAUUCCGUCAGGGUCACUUUUUCUUGUUGUCAAAUAUAUGUGUGUGACUGCGACGUUUAAGCAUAUUCUUUUGAAGAAAGAUCAAGAAUUUGAACCCAAGUUAAACGUCCAAAACCAUUUGCUAAUGAUCCAUCCCAAACUUAGCGACGGCCCCUGGAAAAUUGUCACGAAUUAAUGCUCGUGGGGCAAGUUAACCUAGUCUCAAAUUUUGUGGCUCAAAUUAAAGUCGUUGAAAAGACAUAAAAAAAAAAUAACGUAUUCAAGUUAAGAAAUGAGUUUCAAUUUCAAUCAUAUUCAUAUACAAAGUGUUAUUUAAGCCAAUUAAAAUCAGUUAAUGGAUUUCAUAGAUCCCUUUUACGAGUUUCACGACAAGUAUUAAAUAAUAGGUUUCACUUAUUUCUUAUUUUUUUAUUAUUAAAAUCCAUUGUUAUAGAGUUACCAAAUAUUGUUGGAGUCUUUGUCAAACUCAUUGUUAUGCCGUAAUUUAUUAUACCCAUAAUGUUAGAGAUUGUGAAAUUUGAAGCAAAUGGCUCUUAAGUAAAUUGUGUAUACGAGAUAUAGUUAUGAUUGUAAAAGUAAUUAGUAUUGGCUCAAGAUAAAAUCGUUUAGAAGAUGUAAAGUAUGAUGUACAAUUUCAAGUAAGUUGUGUACAAGAUAUAGUCAUGGUUGUACGAGUAAUUUGUGUCAAGAUGUAUUAGUAUCCUUACAAUUAACUGUUUACCACGAUGAAGAAGAAAUUGAUCAUUACAAAGACCACGAUUGAACGUACAGUCUUCACGUUAAUUUAAGUUUCAUAGUCAGCCCCCCGAAACUUUGGAUGAUUACCCAUUUCAGUCCCUAAACUUCAAAAUGGGACACUUAAACCCUAAACUUAUAAAUACCUCCCACUUAAAGAAAAUUGUUAAUAAAUCCUAAAUGCCGUUGGUGGUCGAAAUGUCCAUUUUAUAAGAGUUUAGGAAUUUAAGUGUCCUAUUUUAUAAGUUUAGGGACUUAAGCGGAAGGUAUUUAUAAGUUUAGGGAGUUAAAUGUCUCAUUUUGAAGUUUAUGAAGUGAAGUAGGUAAUCGUCCAAAGUUUGGGGGGACAAAGUGGAAUUAACCCGUCAGGCUAUCAAGUCAUACUUAGAUUUACUCUUGUUGAAAAAAUAUCAUCAAAAACCAAAUAUAUUUACUUUGCUAUUAAUUGCAAAAUAAUUCUCUUUGGCCAAAAAAAAAAGGGUAACAGUGACAUAUAUAGUGGAAUAGAUGAGUACUUAAACCACUGGGUUUUUGUUCAAUAACUACUAGGAAGGAUUUAAGCUCUUCCCUAAGGUUCGAAUCCUGUCAACAUCAAUUCCGCCAAAUAGCAGCAACCCUAGCAGGUAAACACACUAUAUAAACAAUAAUAAGAGGCGUCUUCGCUCCCCUUACCAUUUUCUUUUCCAAGACCACUCCUUAUAAUAGAAUAGGAUUUCAAAAAAUAAUAAAAAAAAAGGAAGUACUUUUAACCUGGUUGCAUAUACUCGUGCAAAGAAACAUUCUGAAAGCAUCAGACAGUUCACGACCAUGUCCAGGAAAUUUCGUCGCUUCAAAGGCAAACCAGAUGUGGCCCAUUGGUUUUUGGUAUGAAUUUCGUCUGAAAAAGAAGUGCAAGUUUGACGUAUCCGUUGGGUGUGCAAGCACCUUCAAUGCGGCUUCAAUGAGCACAGUGACGUACGUUGUCAACACACAGAAACACGCACUACACGUGAUGAUUCUAAAAUCAAAAUGACCAAUAAGAAUUGCAAUUUUGACCCGUCAUAUUAAUUAUCCUUAAUUAAAUUGUUGCUUUUAAAAGCAAGCAAUGGCUGCUAAAGCAAGGGAAUCCAGUUGAGAAAGACGAUAAGUAUUCUUUCAAAAUCAAAAUGGUGUUUUACCACUUUUAAGUUGGAAUUCUUCAAAGAAUCUUGGCAUAGUCAUUCAUCAUUGGCCCGUAUUAGUAGAAAACAACAUGAUAAAGUGACAUAUGCCUUUGUUUUAUAUAUAUAUUUAUUCUUUUCUUUAAGGAUGUUUGAUUUGAUGUACUGGUUGUCGUCAUUAGUGACAAAAUCCAUUGCAAUAUCAUGAAUUAUAUUAAAAAAAAAAGAUGAUUAGACUUUGUAGAGUACGAUACGCAAUUAUUUUGUUUGAGUUAUUUGAUUGAUGAUUGAUAUUACGGAUAAUAUCAAACAACUUUCUUGAGGUUUCUCUUUAUUCACCUCGCACCUCUUAAGGUUUUAAAAAAUCACUUAUCUCUCUUACUUUUGUUAUUUGUGUAAUAAAACUUUGAAAAACCCAAACUACCCUUUUGCUCAUUUUGCUAAAUAAAAAUACUUUGAAACCACUUUGUUUACUUUAAAAGAAAAAACCACCACCUAAAAAUCAAUUUCUAGUUAUACCACCACAUCACAAAAUUAUAGUCCAUAAAAAUAUAACUUUGGAAAAUAAAAAUAUUUGUAAAAAAAUAUACUGGUACCAAUUCAACCCUUCAUCCUUAAAACCAAUUUCUUAUGAAUUUUUUUUUCCAACCUCUUCUCAGCCUGUGGUCCAAGCCUUUAAGUAGUGCUAAAUCAUUAUAAAAGUGAACUCAAAAUAAACAAGUAAAUCAUGCCCACCUUAUCACAAUUACAAAAAGAAAAAGGUAGAUAAAAUUUAAUUUAUUAUAAUUUACAAAUAAAAAUUCGCAUAAUCAUCCAAAAAAAUAAUAAAAGAGAAUGUUGGAGAAGAUAAAAGAGAGGAAAGUGAAUGUUGAUUCUUUUACUUUAAUUUUUUGAGUUCCAUUUAUAUGAUAUGUGAAUUAUGUACCACGUGAGGAUUAAUAUAGUUAUUUUGUAAUUAUUAUGGGAGGUAAAUUAUUUUUUAUAAUUUUAAGGAUGUUAGUGAUAUUAAGAAAAAUAUCGAGGGAGGUUUCUGAUAUUAUCCCUUGAUAUAAGUACAAUGGCAACUAAGCACAAUGUAUUAUAAGGAUAUCCAUUUGUCACUUCUGUUAAUGAACGAUUUUUAUAAUUGCCAAGAAUCAGAGAAUCACUUUACGGUAGAUACCUAUGAGUAUGUGGGCAACUUUUAAUCUACUAAUCUAUUUGCACCAGUGUGUGAUUGAAGAAUAAUGGUAAAAAAAAAAAGAAAAAGAAAUCCUACCACACAUCUAUAUCUACCGUCUGUACAUUGUCAGUGUAUAUAAAAUUAAUAUUAAACUUUGCUGGGCUAAUAUUAAGCUUGUAUUAAUUUCGAAGUCAAUUUUUCCUUGACCGUGGACCUCGAACAUCAAGCUCUCAAAUUUCAGGUGAUUCAUUGGAGGCCGGAUACAGAAAAAUAAGCCAGAAAAUCACCAAUUCUAGAAGCCUAAGGUCCAACUAUUGAAAUUUGCCGUUUGGACUACAUUUGCUUCAUCCCUCUUCCAGUCUUGCUCAGCCUCCAAUUUUUACAUUGACAAAAUUUGGCGGCCGAGUUUUGGACUGUUGGCCCCAUCCAACCCAAAAAAAAACUUCAACAGAUAACUUGUCAAGGCACAAUAACUUGUCAAGGAUCAAGGGCUAGAAAUAUAUACACACACGCAACCACCACGUCGCAUACAUCUUUUUAAAUGUCACGUGUAGAAUUUACAAAAGGGAAAAUGAUUAGUUUCAUUUCUCAUAUUUUACAAAAAUAUUCUAUUCGUCCUCACUUUUAAAACGAAACAAAAUCUUCGUUGACAUUUAAAAACUAAAGAUAUUGCAUCUCUGAAAUCAACUUUCAAUCUGAAUCCAAUCACCCAACAACUUGAUUACAAAUUUCGGGGGUAUAAUUGAUAGAUCACUUGAUCAAAUCAACUUGAUAUUCACAUGAAAUUUAAUGAACUCAAAAAGAAAAAAUAAAUAAUUAUAAUGUAAAAGAGAAGGAUCAAUCUUUCCUACAUUGUCAUUAUAUACACUGGUGGUCUAGAUAUCCGUCACAUCAUUUCAAUUCAAAUUUAAACACCAAACAUUGUGUGUAUGAUAUACAUCUAGACUCGUAAGUGUAUACAUUGACAGUGCAUGAAAAGAUUUAUCGAAAAAGAAAACCACUAUUCCAAAACAAAUAACGACCCCUUUAAGUUAUAAUUUUUUAAUUUUUUUCCUUUUUUGGUUCAAUAAAUGUCAUGUGAAUGUAAUGAAGUUAACUGAGUGAUUUAUCAAUUUUCUCCCCAAAAUUUAUUACCAGGUUACUUAAUUGUUUGAUUCAGAUUGAAAGUUGAAUUCAGGAUUGUAAUGGUUUCAAUUUUUAAAUGCUAGGACGAAUUUGUUUCGUUUUAAAAGUGAGAGAUGAAAUAAAUAUUUUUACAAAAUAUGAGGGACGAAACAAGUCAUUUCCUUUACAGAAAGUUUUCUAAAUUUAUAUUGUGUUGAAAGUGAUUUACAUCUUGAAAAAACAAACUUAUAUUCCAUUGAAUUAAGCAGAACCGUUUUGGAACGGUUGGACUAGCAAUCAUCCAUACCCGCCGUAGACAUUUGGUACAAUUGUAGAAGAUACUUAUGAAUUUCUAUUUCAUCAUUUAUAGUUUCGAAUAAUCAAACGCGAAAAACGAAGUGUAAUUCUCCAUGAAAUUAACUAAUACUAAUUUCUUCUAGAAAGUAACAAUCUUUAAUGGACACGGAAGCUGUGGUUAGUCUUUGACUGGAAUUUGUGGUUUAUCACUCCGUACAUAAAUGGAUAUCAUCUAUUUGUUGUUCUAUACGUAAAUGUAUCACGUAUAAAUGGUCUGUAUACAUAGCUUGUAUCCAACGAGAGAAAUCAACCCGUCUACGGGUAGGUUAUGCAAUAGCUGAUGUUGAAAAAAUUAAUAAACAAAUAAAAGAGAAAAAAAAAACAAGUUUAGAUGGCAAAAUUCUAAGAGGAUUGGAUUUCCCAAGUUUUUUGCUCUUGAAAAAGAAAGCUCGACAGAGGAAAAUUGUAGAGCAAAGGCAGAUUCAAAUUCCUAUUUCUUUUUAUUUGAAAAAAGUGGGAAAUAGCUAGUUGAGAAGCACAGCAAUUCCAGAUUUGUCGAAUGUCUCAAAAGUUUGAUCAACUACCCGAAAAAAGUUUGAGAGUCCCGAUCGUUAUUUUUCCCACUGAAAAAAAAUUUCUAAUUUUGAAGAAAGAGGUAUGUUAUAGGGUUUGAUACUGUUAAUUAUAAUUGCACGAUCAGUAUAUGUAUUAUCGUAACAUGUAAGAUACGUAAAGUUAAUAAAUUCAGUAAACUUCAAAUCAAUUGAUAAGACGUUUCACACAUAACCUAUAGAUCUCUGGUUCAAAUCACCAAGAGAAUAGAUGAAGUUUCAUGACUCUUUUGUUGCUACCAAUUGAGGAAAUUAUAAGUUGUGUAUGUCAACAACUCUCGCAAGGUAAACAACAUCCUCAAGGAUCAUUAAUCUCACAAUGUUGCUCUCUCCUCAAUUAAUUCAUGAACAUUCUCACCUUCCUUCGUUCCUUCCUUGUGCUUGCAUGAAGAUUAAGACAAGCAAAUCAAUGUAUACCACUAGAAAACAAUCAAAGAUGUCCUUUAAUACCAACUGCUCCCCCAGUGACACUUUUCCUAGUAGUCAAAUCAAAUAUGUAUGACCAUGACCAAAUGAACGUGAGGAUCCUCCUCCUUAAUUAAACAACUCCCACGCAAAUCCCCAGGAAAUAAUUAUACAUUUAUUAUUGAUCACAAUCACUUUUUGAUAGGAAAAUAUGCAGACAAACUUUUUGAAAAUAAAGCUUUCUCUCUGUGGUGUGACGAUAAUCUGUUGCUUUGUUUUUGUCAUUUUCAUAACUUUCUGAAAAAUUUUAACUGACAUGCUUUCUCUUGCUUUUGCUAGACUCUUUCCAUUUUUUUCCCAAUCACUUGCAGAGAUAUGAUUAACUUGCAGAGAAAGUGCAGAGAUAUGAUAUUAUUAAUCACGGCAUGCUUUUCUGUGGCACAAUGUUUUACUAUAGCAUGUCUUCUUUUAAGGACGCAACCUGACAAGAUUGUUUAUUUCUCAUGACUGUUGGAUUCGUUAAUCUUUUGAUAAUUUAAUCAGUUAGCUCUAAAGGAAAUUUCCAUCAAUUAGCAAAUGCCAAUUGUCAAUUGUCACUUAACCCAAAAACAAUUUUUUAGCAAAUUAAUCUAAGAAAUGGCAAUUGAUAUUUGUGAGAAACAAAUUCCUUGCUGACAUGGGACAGAACAGAUGUACACUAUCCUGUGACCUUGGAAUUUUUUAAACCAUCAUCUUUACGUUUGAAGAAAUUAAGGUGCAUAUGAAAUUUAUGAAAAGGGUGAAUUAAAAUAGUGAAUUAAUAGAAAUUCGUGUGCAUAAUUCUGUUUUUCUUUUUCAAUACAAGGCUUUUCUUUGAAGUCAGUGGAUAUUUCGAAUUGACGGGAAUCUAAACCUUACACAGGAAAGGGGGAAAUGGAAGGAUUUAAAAGUCAAAUCAGGAAUCUCGUGAUAACUUGAUUAACAUCCCAAUCGAUUGGUCUAGAUCUUUAAGACAAAUUAGUGGAUACUUCACCAAUAUAAAUUGGAAGAUUUCAAAUUUUACAAAGUUAAAUUUUGAAAAGAAAUAAAUUCAUAACGGAUAUUCUUAAGGCACUCAUUAAUACAUCUAAUAUUACAAAUUAUUGGAUACUUUUUUACCACGUGGACAAAUGCCACUGACCACUUCCUAAUGAAUAUUCUUAAGGCACUCGUUAAUAUAUCUAAUAUUUACCUAAUCUACUAUAUAUAUAUAUAUAUAUAUAUGUACAUACACUUCUUAGAGUUUCUACAGAUGUAUACAAAACAACCCAUCAUUUUGGGGGAAAAAUGCAUUAGUGACCCGUGCAACUAAUAUUGAAACUUGCAGAAGACAGUGGAUUUGGUCUCUCCUUAAGGAUAUGAGAGUUUAACACUAGGAGCAUAAAUGGCAUUAUUUGCACAGGUUGGGUCUAAAAAGCAUCUGUAUUGGGAGGGAGCAAUUAGUAGGAUUUCGACCUUAGGAAUAAGGGUGUCUAAUUAUGAGACAGACGUAGACGUUGAACUGUUAUAGAUCUUCCUAUGUGAACCACGUGGCCAUGAAAACUAUAAAUUCUGGAACAAUUUCUACGUGCAUACAUCUGUAAUUCACUUCAUGAAAUAGAGUGAUGUAGAAACAAGAAAAAAAGUAAUGGCUGAAUUUUUGUUUACUUGAGUUGAAAUUAACCAUUAAUCAGUCCCCACAUCCCACUGUAACCUUUUGAGCAUCUUCUUUUGAAGAAAGAUCAAGAACAAGAGCCCAAGGUAAACGGCCAGAACAUUACGCUGAUAAGCAAAAUCUCAAACUAAAGUCAUUGAAAAGAAAUCAAGAAAUGAUUUACAAUUUGAAGUAAUUAAUGGUGUAUACAAGGUAAACUCAUAAUUGCACAAGUAAUUUUUGCCAAGACAAAGUAGUAGGUAACUAUUAAGAAUUUACUAUAUGAUGAACAAGAAAAUAAUUACCUUUGCUAUACUGUGUAUAUAUAUAUAUUCUUCUUCUUGUCAAAUUUGAGUUUUUAAAUCCAUUACCAAUUGGGUUGGUGAAACUUAAUUUUGUAUAAAUUUCUUCAGUUUUCGUUUUGUCAAAAUAUAGAGCUUCCUUGUGGUUGUUUUGUUGUAUUUGUUUUACUUUGAUUGAAAGAUUGUCACCAAAAAAUUAAAUUAAGAUGCCUGCUGUUGAUUGCAAUAUACUCUUGUUUGAUCAACAAACCCUAGUUAGGGUUAAAAAAGAUUAACCUUCUUAAAUUCCCUCCCCUACUUGAGGGGAAAAAUAUUAACCUUCUUAAAUUCCACCACUUCUCCACGAGGACCCCCAAAAAAAAAUUGAUUCAUCUUUUUAAUUCCCACCCUUCUUGCAUGAAAAGAAACUAUUGUCGCUGUUAAAUCAUACUAGUAUGUAUCCAGAAAAUAUUGUACUAGGAAUGUAGCAGUAUAUUUAAAGAUGAAGAAUGUGCGUGAAAUUUUCGAAAAAGGUGAAAUAAGAUAGUGAUUAAUAGAAAUAUGUUUGCAUAUAAUUUAUUUUUUUCAAUAAAAAAAUUAAAUUGACAUCAGCGGAUACAUUGAUUUGAUGGAGAAUCCGACCCGUAUGAACCUGAACGUCAAAUUAAGAAUUUAAUGUCUGUCCUAGAUAAAUUAGAUUAUGAUGACAAAUCGUUAUUUAAGCAGUUACAAAAUUAAAGAUUUAUUAGAGUUCAACACGUUUUCCACGAGGAUAAAUGUACUAUUCUUGACUAAUUGGGCGCUAAAAAGCAUCUUUAUGAGUAUGGAGUAAUCAGUAAAACUCAGUCUAAUUGUAAGACAGACAUAGACAUUGAAGCUAUUGAGAAUCUUUCUCCUGUGAAGCAUGGCAAGAUAUUAAAUUCUGGAAUAUGCAUUUCACUUUCCAAAAAUGAUAUAUAUUUGAAUUCUAGAAAAAUUUGGAUAUGCAAUGCAUUUGUAAUUUACUUCUUAAAAGGCCAAAAUUGCCUGAUGUAGAAACAAGUGGAGAACUUAAAGAGUUGGAAAAUUUAUUUAGUUCUGUUGAAAUGAACCAUUAAUCAAUCCCUAUGUCCCGGGAAGGUUAGGUUGGGUUGAAUGGUGGUAAGGUUCGGGGUGGGGGGGGGGGGAAUGCACUUUUAUCCCCAAUGUUUGGAGUGUUGAACAAUUUCGUUCCUAAAAUUUUAGGCAAAACAUAUUUUAUUCUCGUAGUUUUAUAAUUUGGAUCAAUUUCAAUCUUGAAAUUUCAUGCAAAUACAUUUCAUUCUCAUAGUUUCAUAAAUUUGAUCAACUAAGGACAAUUGAAUGAUUGCUAACCAAUUUGGACGGAAUAUCAUCACAUCACUAGCAUGUCCCAUUAAUAUUUGUAUUGCUAAUAAUUAAUUCGGUUAUCGAAUUAAUUACAUAAAUAAUAAUGAGUUGUUUGGAUAGGAGAUUUUUUUUUUAAAAUUCAUGAUAUGAUAUAUGUGAGAUAAAAAAAAUAGAUUUGAUAAAAGAUAAACUAUUUGAAAAAACAUGUAUAUGAUGCAAAAAUACAAAAUUUUGCAAAUAAAUGAAAAUCAAAACAAUUCUUUUUUCAAAUUAAUUUUUUUCUCCAAUUGGUAGCAAUGGGAUUGUUUCAUAUUUUUUUCUCCAAUUGGCUAUAAUGGGUUGUUUCUUCUUCACAACUUCGUUUCUUCUUAAUCUUUUUGUUCAAUUUGUCAUUAAAAAGAGAGUAACUUUAGUUUUUUUAAAGAAAGGAGACAGUAAAUUAAAAUAUGAUUUUUGAGUUUUUUGUUAAUCCAAUUCUUUUUAACUAAUGAGCAUGUCGUGGUCAAAUGAUGAUAUUCCAUUCAAAUUAAUUGGCAAUCCAUUAAUUGUUCUCAAUUAGUCAAAUUUAUAAAAAUAUGAAGAUGAAAUGCAUUUGCAUGAAACUUUAGGGACGAAAUUGGUUGAAAUUAUAAAAUUAAGAGGAUGAAAUGUGUUUUAACUGAAAUUUUAGGGAUGAAAUUUUCUCAUGCCCCAAACAAUAGGGAUGAAAAUUGUAUUUUUCUCUAAUAAAAUGGAACAGAUUGUAAGUAAAAAAUCAUGAAUCGAGGACCUUCCACUAGAGAAAAAUAUGCGUAUCCCACUCUGCUUUUGAGCAUAUUCUUCUGAAUAUAAAAUCAAGAAUUUAAAGAACCUAAGUUAAACGCCCAAAACCGUACGCUAAAAUGAGAAACCACAAACUUAGAGACGUCCCCAUGGAAUUGUCACGAUUCUCGGAGCGCGUUGACCUAGACUCAAUUUUUUGUGGCUCAAAUUGAAAGUCCUUGGAAAGACAUAAAAAACUAGCAUACAAUUUAAAUUAAGUCAUAUACAAGGUAUAAUUAUAAUUAUUUUGUAAGUAAUUUGUGUUGGCUCAAAUUAAAGCCGUUGAAAAGACAUAAAAAAAUGGCGUAUAAUUUGAAGGAGAUCUUGUACAAGAUAUAGCCAUAAUUAUACAAUUAAUUUGUGUCAAGAUAAAUUAGUAUCCUUACAAUUAAAUGCUUACUACGACAAAGAAGUUAAUAAUCAUUACAAAGACUACCUUUUUUUCUUAAUAACAAGAACAAAAAUUCAUUAAUUAGAAACAGAAGGAGUCGAUCAAACUUAAUAUUUAGGAUAAGUUUCUUCAUAUAUAUAUAUAUAUAUAUAUAUAUACUUCAGAACACAUUAAUUUUUUGUUUAAAUUUUCUCUUGUUGAACAAAUAUCAACAAAAACUUUGUAAAAUAAGGUCUUGUUUGGAUUGCAUUUUUUGAGUUUUUAUAGAAAAUGUACUGUAACGAUUUGAUAUAUGUGAGGUAAAAAAAUUAUUAAGAAAUGUAUUCACGAAAAAUGUAAAAAAAUUUUGGUGAAAAUUGACUUUCUAAACAAACCUAGAUAAAAAAAAAAAAAAGAAGAAGAGUUAACUAUGACCUUGUAGUAUUUUAAUUCACAUGCAUGCAACAGAACAUUCUAAAGAAAAAAACAUCAGAAGCUUCACAGCCACGUCCAGGGGACAUAGACUCUUCAAGGGUAAAGCAGAUAUGGCCCAUUGGUUUUUCGUGUGAAUUUCACCUGCAAGAGAAGUACAAGUUUGACCAUUGACCAAUGACCAAUCCAUUGGGUGUACAAGAACCUUCAAUGAGCACAAUGACGUACAUUUUUAACACACAGAAAAACACACACUAAACGUGAUGAUUUUAAAAAUCAAAAUGACCAAUUAGAAUUGCAAAUUUGACCCGUCAUAUUAAUUAUCCUAAGCAAGCAAUGGCUGCUGCUAAAGCUAGGGAAUCCUAAUUGAAUAAAUAGGAUGAAAAGUAUUCUUCAAAAUUAAAAUGGCAUUUUACCACUUUUAAGUUGGAAAGGUAUUCAAAGAAUCUUGGCAAUCCAUUCAUCAUUGACCCAUAUUAGUAGAAAACAAAAUGAUAUAAAGUGACAUAUGCCCAUUUUUAUAUAUAUAUAUAUAUAAUAUAUGAUCUUCUUUAAGGAUGUUUGAUUUGAUGUGUUGAUUGUCGUCAUUAGUGACAAAAUACAUUGCAAUAUCAUGAAUUCUAUAAAGAAGAUGAUUAGACUUUGUAGAGUAUGGUACCUAAUUAUUUGACUGGUGAUUGACAUUAACUUAAGCACAAUUUAUUACAAGGAUAUCCAUUAGUCACUUCUGUUAGUGAAAGAUUUUUAUAAUUGCCCAGAAUCAGACAAUUGUUUGGAUAGAGUAUUAUUUGAAUAAUUACUGUAACACUUUUUACGAUGUGAUGUAUGUGAGAUAAAAAGUGAUUGAAAAUAUAAAAAUGAGUUGAAAAAUAUGUUUAGAUGCAAGCAAAUAUUAUUUGAGAUAUUUUUGCUAUUUAAACACGCCACUGAUCACAUAGGUAACAAGCAUGUCCAUUUGGGCAACUUUUAAUGUACUGAUCUAUUUGCACCAGUGUGAUUGAAGAAUAAUGGUGAAAGCUAAAAACCAAGAAAUCUUGCGACAUCACUGAUAAUGGACCUUCAAAACAUUUGAACUUCUAUAAUAGUUAGAGAUAAGCAAGCUUAAUCUAUUGUUUUCAGAAAAGGGAAAAAUGUCACUUCAGCCUCUUCAGCAAGUUUUGGAUGGUUUUCCUUUAUAAGAUUACAAUUAUUCCGUAAUUUAAGAAAAUUACCUUGUUUUGGAUUGCUUUAAAUACAUCUAAAACAAAGGUGUGAAGGGCGUAAAAUAAUUACCAAAAAAUUAUUUAUUUGUAUCAUAAACACAUUUUUUAAUAUAUUUUUUUAUUUUUUAAUCACUUUUUUUGUCUCACAUAUAUCACAUCACAAAUAUAUUACAGUAAUUAUUUUAAAUAGUGUCCAAACACACCUGCCUGAAACAAACAAACACAUCGUACAACAAAAUUUUUCCCAUGAAGGCAAUUUGAUAAUUACAGUUACAUCUAUUAUAUUCUCAGUAAUUGUUCGUAAAAACGAAAAGUUCUACGAGGGUCGAAAUUGUUUUAUACAAAUAACCAUUUUUAAUGUUUUAAAAUUUUUUUUUUAAUCAAGUGAAAAGACCAUUCAGCCUAUCACUUGCUAAAACGUACAUGUUGACAUCUGAAGCUAUAACUGGAGUACCAAUCAAGUCAUUCCAUUUAAGACCAAAAAUCCAUUUUCGUGACCAAAUGAACAAAAUCCAUUUUCAUGACCAAAUGAACCAAACAUGACUUGUCGAUGACGAAGCACAAAACCAUCUUUGCUUUUGUCAUUUGUCCCUUCCUAAUUUUGCCUAGCCGGUUGUUGGGAAGGGGAACAUUUCUAGUACAAUCAUAUGUUUUCUUGCUCGGAUCCUUAUUUUUCACACUAAAGGAAAAGAAAUGUCGGAGAUAGCAAACAUGAGAAUCGACAUAAUUUCGAAUUUUUCAAAGUUUGGUCUCAGGCAUCGAUAGUUUUUUCUUUUUCACCUCUUAAAUGAAGUUUCUGGAUGGGUUAUUAGUUUAAAAGAUAUCCAUAUUUUUCAAAUAAGCAAAACUUACUUUUAAGCGUCCGGUGCCUGUUGAACAAUCAUUAAGAUGUAAUUCAGGUAUUAGAUUUUUUGAAAGGUAAUAUUAAUUGAGGAUAGUGUAUUAAUAUAAGGGCGGGUAGUAAGUGCUAGUGUGGGUGUAUCUAUGAUAGGUUAGAUGAAUUUUAUGUGUAAUAAUGAGCAUUCAAUGUGCACUUGUUAAAAAAACUUAUUUUUAAUAUGAUGUGGAAUACAUCCACAUCUACAGCAAAUAGACCAACUUUAUCAUUAAUUCUUCUUGUUCAAUAUGCCUAGUUAAAAUAUCAAUUAAUCUUUCCUACACUGAUAGUGUAUACAUUAUUAUAAUUUUGGAUGAAUGACAACUAUAUAAAAUUUGAAUUUGAAAUCCAAUAUGUGCACAUGCGUCAUAAUGAUGAUAGUAUAUACACUGUCAAUGUAUAUAAAAUUUAUUCUUAAAAUAUCUCGUUGAAAUCCCGCCAUCUGUGAUAGUUUAUAAUAUGAGCUUAUGGCAUAGAUGGGUCAUUAAGCACUUCAUUGCUUAUAUGUGGUAAUAUUUUACUUUGUAUGUUUUAACGAUAGUUUUUUCCUAAUCGGUACCCUUUGAAUAUUGUGUAAUUAAUUGAUGGAUUUAUUUUCUAUACACUGAUGUUGUAUACACUUUUACUAUUAGAUACAUAACACAUAAUUUGAAUUUAAAUUUGAAACGAAAAUUUUGCAUAUGAGUCAAGUAUCCAACAGUAAUAGUAUAUACACUAUCUGUAUAUAUAAGAUUAACUCUUAAUUCAUACCAAAAUUGUAAAAUGCUUGUGCACACUUAUAUUUAUUGUCCACUUUUGUACUUAUAUACUUUUCCUAUAAUAUUUUAAUUUUCUACCACCUAUUGCCAACGUCCCUUAAAGAAUGCCCAAUCGUUAAACAAAACCUCUACAAUCAAUAUGUGAUAUAGCAUCAAAAAGGGAAAAAUAAAAAAUGAAAAAGCAAAAAAAGAAAACCCAAUGUGUACAACUCACAUAAAGUUAGGUUGUGAAUUAUAAGAAGCAUAAUUCUCGAAGGUUGGAUCUCGAAAUAUUUUGUUUCUUAAAAUUCUUGAUGUAUAACUUUUUAGCUUUAAUUGUGAUUUAUAUGUCUUGGACAUCUACUGUCUUAAUUUUGACUUAAGUGUAGAAUUUUACUUAAGCAAAAAAAGAAGCUAGGGAGAAAAUUAGGCAUAAUAAAUCUUUCUUGCACCAAAAAAAAUAAAGAGGAAAAUAUAAUUUCCUUCAAACUCUAGGCCACUUUGAUCUGCAACUUCACAUUACCCAAUCUUAUCUUAUAUUAAAGAAAGAUCUUACAACUCAGAGGGAAGUGAAAUUGUGGUGCACGUACUUACAGUAACAUGAGAGAUUAAAUAAUUAAAGCCCAUUUAAUUAGAUUAAUUCAAGGGAUAUUUGGGUUAAUUUCGAUUUUGUUGCAACUAAGCCACACACAAAGCACAGAAAAACGUGUCAUAUUCAGACAAUAUUUUUAGCUUAAGCAGGAGUACGUUCAUAGGUAACUAAAGAUAAGUGAUGAAAUUAAUAAACAAUUUAGUUUAGUUUUGAUUAAGGAUGCGUUUGAUAAAAUUGAAAUAUGAAAUCUGAAUUUAUUAAGUUAUUAAAUUAUUAAGUAUUAAAUUUGAUACAUUUGAGUGUAAUUAAAUGAUAAAUGGAUAGUCUAUUACUUAUUUUUGGACACAAGUUUAAUCUAGGAAAUUUAGUGCUAUUAAUUCAAAUAUUUAAUUUUUUAUUAUCAAACACGUCUGAACAUGUUAAGAUCUAAAUCGAUUAAAUUUAAAUAUUAAAUUGAAUUAUCAAACAUGACUAAGAUAAUAACAAUCUAAUUUACGUAAGACAAUUUCUUAAAAGUAAAAAAACAGAAAAAAGAAAAGAAAAGAAAAGAAAAGAAAGGACAAGACAAUAUAGUCACGGUCAACUUCGGAACUGGAUGUUAAUAUUCGUGUCCGGAACUGGAUUUUAGUAUUCCAAGACCAUUUGAGACCGCCGCCGUUGCAGUCGGGCGUUUAGCGUGGGAUGCACAAUGUUUGUAUAUUUUGACCAUAUUAUCCACAUACAUCAAGACAUGAUAAUUGUCAAAACAAAAAAAAGUAAUAAAGUUAAGGUUUUUUUUUUAUCAAUUUAUACCUACAAGAUAAUUGCACCAAAUAAAAAAAGUUACUCUGAGCCUAUAGGAUAGAAGAACCCCCAAAUUAUGAGAAAAUCAAAAUUAGGAUGCUAGAAUUGCACAUGAAGUGGUUGGAUGUGCUUUUCUGCUUUUUUUUUUUUUUUCCAAGAGUUAUUGUGACAUGUGCCCUCUAAUUGAACUUGUAUUGUGAAUUUUUUUUUUUGGUUUUUUGAAUUUUUAAAAAAAAAUUUAUAUUUUUCGUGAAUAUAUUUUUAAAUUAUUUUUUUACCUCACAUACAUUAAAUUGUUACAGCACAUUUUUUUUAUUAUAAAAAUUUCAAAAAAUAGCCAUCCAAACGGGCUUCAUUUGAUAACUGCCAAACAUUUGCUUGAUUUGAUGGAUCACAAGUGGAAGGUCCCAUAUUUGGUUAUUUCUAAAAAAUAACUUGAAGUUCGUUAAAACACAACUUUGAGGAACCCAAACUUAACUAUCAGAUGGGUGUGGCACCAAUUUCCUGAAGUACUGUUGGUCUCAAUCGACUUCAAACUUCAUAUCAUUUGCAAGAAGAUAUCAACAAGUUUUCUUUAAAAGGUAAGUAAGGCAAAGGCAGUAAAAAUAAUCCAUAAGAUCCUAUUUAGUUCUCAAAUAAUAAAAAGAUAUUCACCAAGCUUCUAAGGUUUUUCAGGUAGUCUAAUUGGCUUUUGCCAAACCUCUAAACCAACUUGUCUAGACAUGUAACUUCGAAAGGUUUGCAAGAAAUCCAAUUGAGAUAAUCCUUCUUGAAGCUGUUGACAAUUUGAUUGAUUGUGAAUAUUACUCGAUUUUGCACCAAUACCGUCAAAUGAAGGGUACUUGUAAAAGCAAAAUAGCUCACUCUUAAGAAAUCCAGUUGGACUUUUGGCCAAAUAUGCUGUGGCAAAACUCCCAGAUGAAUCAGAAUCAGUAGAUCAGCCAUUUGGGCAUUUGCAUAUAAAAUCAUGGCUCUGUCUGUAUACAUAUUUCAGGUAUUCUAUUUUUUUGAAAAUAUAAAAUUAAUUAGAGAAAGUAAAUAAAUGUAAGGGAGGAUGAAUAAGAUUAAAUAGAAAAAGUAUAUAAUUGUAAGGGAACGUAAUAAUUAUUAGUACAUAUAUAUAUAUGGGGUAAAUUAGGUAAAUCUUAGGUGUAUAAAUGAGUGCUUAACGGGCAUCCAUUAGAAAAAUCCUAAUAUCAUGACAAUCAUAAUAUGCCACCAAAUUAACCAUAUUAUUUGCCAAGCCUUAAAGAAUUAAUACGUGCUUUAAACUUGACAAAUCUUUAAAUUGCCCAAUUGGUCCGAUUUCCUCAAAUCAAACUCCCUUUCGUAAUUAAAGUGUCAAACUGAUAAUUCUUGCAACAAUUAGCAAAGCAAGGAUGUCAUUAUAGCUCCUUGGCCAUUGGCUAUUAUAGUAAAUGGACAAUAUGUUGUUCUUCUUCAUCUAUUGAUCCAUCUUUGUGCAUAUUUUGAUUGAGUUUCAUGUGAUUUGAGCUUCUAUUCUCUUUCGUCAACCCCAUAUGCCAAAACUAAUGAAGCAAACAUUGAAAGAAGAAACCAUGACAUGAUAAGAUCAAGACUGAUUAGUGGGAAUAAGAUAAUGCAAGAACAAAGUCCAUUCACAAAUUCUAAGUCAUUACCACAAAGAUUGGCCCUCUUCAUUCUAGAAUAUAAAAUUGCCACCUCAUCACAUAGGUAAGAGCCAAAGAAGUGAAGAGAGUCCUUGGUCAACUCUUCCUUGCUUAAUCUUACUCUCCAAGCCAUUAAACUGCAGUCACAAAACAAUCUCAAAUUGUUCAAAAUUUUCAACCCAUCUUAAAAGUAGAACCCUCUAGACCUCCAAGACCUUCAAGAAAUUUCAUAUAAUUCAAAACCCUUCCUCUCUUUAUAAACCCCCUUCCCAUCCAAUUUUCCAUCCAAAUCCCACCUUGUAUAUUUGUUUGCCUCUCUCCCUCGCUAACCAUCCCAGUCCAUUCCUUUUCUCCCACACUUUUUUACCCUCCUUAUUUCUCUCUUUCCAAGGACAAAACACCCAAGCCAAGCAAAGCAAGAAACCUCAAGCAAGCAGCUCACAAAGCAGGCUAAGCUAGAGCAGGUCCAGCAGGAUAACAAGAUGGGCACUAUGGUGGGACAUGUGGCACCUGGAUUUGGCUUCUUCCUAAUUGGGCUCUGGCAUUUAAUCAACCAUGUCAGGCUUCACUCUCUCCAUCCAAAAUCCUACACAUCUUUGCCAUGGUUUCCCACUUCAAAAAUCAGGUACUUGGAACAUUUUCUUGAUCAUGGGAGGCUGCCUUGCCUCAAUAUCCAUGGAGCUCUUCAUUGGUCCACACAGGCACCAACCAUUGGACACUGAUGGCACCAUCCCAUCAUACCACCUUCACAACUUUGAGCACUCAAACAUAUCCUUGACUUUCUUUGUCUAUUCACUUUUCUCCAUCAUUCUUGACAAAAUCCAGCCCCCAGCCCAUUAUAGCCUAACUCUAAUGCUAGGAGCCAUUGCUUUUGGCCAGCAAUUUCUCCUCUUCCACCUCCACUCCGCUGAUCACAUGGGUGUGGAAGGGCAAUACCACUGGCUUCUGCAAAUUGUCAUUUUUGUCUCACUUUUGACCACCCUUUUAGGCAUAGGUUACCCCAAGAGUUUCUUGAACAGUUUCAUAAGGUCUCUCAGCAUCUUGUUCCAAGGAAUUUGGCUGAUGGUCAUGGGAAUCAUGCUUUGGACACCAGAGUAUAUUCCCAAAGGGUGUUUCAUAAACGAAGAGGGUCAUAAAGUUGUCAGAUGCCAAAAUCAUGAAGCCCUUGAAAGAGCCAAGUCACUAGUGAAUAUUGAGUUCAGCUGGUACCUGGUUGGAGUCACAAUUUUUGGCAUGUGUGUUUACUUGGCACUCUACAGAAUGUUCCCUGAGAAAGUUGAGUACCAAUCUUUAACAAAAUUUGAGGAUCAAGAACUGGAAGAUGAUGAUUUGGAGGCUCAAAAAAGGAACAAAGUUGGAGGGACCAAGGCAAGUUUUCUUCCUCUGGGAAAGUCAUUGGAACUAACUGAUAUGGAAAGGUAGUAGAAGUAGAGGGGAAACAGGGGAAGAAAAGGAAAGGGGAGAAGAGGGGAAAUUUGAUUGUUAAAGAGUUGUAAAAAGAUUAGUAGAUUAGUUGGUGUGUGUCCACUUUGUUUAGUUAAGCCUACAAUAAUAUUGGCUUAGUAAAACCAGAGUUUGAGGGACCAAAAAAGGGAAAAGGGGAGGAAAAAGUUUGUGGUGUGAUAUUAUUGUUUGGUUUGCUUUGAUGCCUUUUAGUUGAGACUAAAUUUGGUGUCUUCUAUUUGUUGUAAAGUACAAAGGAGGAAAAAAAAAACAGAGAGUUGUUUAUAGGAGAAAAUUUAUUACUUUAAUAUUUUGCUAAACAUUUUUAGUCAAAUUUGUAAAUGUCUAUAUAUAUAUAUAUAUAUCCAAUUCUGGAUAACCUUUUCUCAAAUCAAAGUCUCUGUUCAAUUAAUAUGGUCCGUGCAGAUCUUUUCCUGCAAAGGUUGUUACUUGUUGGGACCAUUACCAACUGUAACUUUGAAUUUUGAAUGUUGAAUCUUGAUCAGGAUUGUCCUGGUUUAUUUAUUGGCAGAGUAGAUAAUAUCUCACCUCUGCUAUGAUCUUCCUCAAUCCUUCCAAGUUCCAGCAUUCGGGCAUGGCAUUUGUACUUUUGUUGAUUUGACAACUCACAUAAGAAUAAUUUUGGACAUUCAAUCUGUAAAAUAAUUUCAAGAAUUAAAAAUUGUUUACAAAGACACGUUUGAAAAAACAAAAGAAAACAAGAAAGCAAAUUUCAGAGAUGCAUGGAAUAUUCAUUAUGAGCUUAUCCAAGCUUCUCGCCAAAGUCACACCAGAAGCAGCAGCAACUUCUAUGAACUUUAGAAAGCAAUAUGAAGAAAUUUCUGAGCAAUUUGAAACUUGAAAAUGACCAAUUCUAUUCUAUUCAGUGCCUGCACUGCUAAUGUCAAUUAUAAUGAUACUAAUGAAUGGCCUCUGAUAAAGUGAUGAGUUAGUGUCAAGCCCCCAACAGGCUUGAAAUUAGGAUUAGAUACUCUAAUGUAGGCCAAUGGGCUGCCUAUUUAAUUGUGUUUGUAAUAAGCAAUUAUUUGAUGCAACCUUUCUCAACUUUCCUUACUGCAUCUUGCUCCCACAUUUUCAGUUGAUAAAGCAUGCAAAACAAUUGUCAUUUUAACUGCUAGAUUAAUGAGUAGAUGUUUGGAAAAUUAUGUCAAAAAGCUACCUGUAAGUCAUAUUAUUAGUAGUCAAAAUCAGUCGGAUAAGAUUUAACAGUUUUGUAGGCAACUUUUGGUUUAAAAUAGCUUGUGUUGUUAUUAUUCCAUUUUAAAAGAAUUCAAGUAGUUAUCAGCUAUAUAGUCUAACAUGGUGGUGGAUGAAAUUUUGAAGGAUUUCCUAAUGGUUAACUAUAGCAAAAUGUUACACGUACCCUUGUUUGGAUUUCAAUUUUUCAACGAAAAAUUUUGACGUUUUUCAUGAUCAUAUUUGUCAAUCACCUUUUAAUCUUACAUAUAUCGAAUCGUUAUAAUAUAUUUUUUCUAUAAAGCUCCAGAAAAAAAAAUUUUAAACGAGAGUAAAAUAGCAAAGAUGCGUGGUUAUCAAAUUGGAUGUGCAGAUAUCAUUUCCCUACGGCCAUGAAUUCAUGCAUUGAAGGAAGCCUAAUUUCUCAAUAAUUUGGAUUAAUCCGGUUGUUUAACCGUUUAAAAACCAUAAUUUUAAGCUCUUGAAGCUCAUUUUAUUUUUUGGGCUUGAAGCCAGUCUAAUUAGGCGUGACUUUGUGAUGCAUUAACUUUUAUUUGCUUAUCUGAUUGAUUUCUCAAUUCUCGUAUUUACAAGUAAACUAAAUGGUUUCACUUUUAGCUACUAAUACAUUGAGUGCAUCCAAAUGAACAGAAGAAAUUGGAUUGACAAUUUUUCUGAUUUUUUAAAUAUUAAUCUUCUAUAUACUGACCGUGUAUACACUUUCACCAUUAAAUACAUGAUAUAUAAAUAUGAAUUUGAAUUUAAAAUUCAAAUUUUGCAUAUAUGUUAUACAUUCAACCGUGACAGUGUGUACACUGUUAAUGUAUAGAAAAUUAACUUUUUUAUUCUAUCAUCACCACAAUUUUUAAUCAUCAUUCUCUUUUUUCUAUCAACUUUUUAUCUCACAUUCUAAAAAAUUCUAAAGAAUUUUUCAAAUAAUCCGCUACCCAAACAAUAUGUUUCUCUUUUCAUAAAUGAGCAUGAAAACUCAAAAGUGGGGAAGCGACUAAUAGCAUUACCAUUUCGGUUCCAGAAACUUAGGUGGAAUAUAAAUAUUGCAAGGAACAACGUAGAAAGAAACAACGUAUAAAGAAUGUCAGAACUCAACUAUUUCGUGCCCAUAUCGGUUAUAGUCAAAAAAGACUUUGUUCCUUGUACUCAAUCCUUUCCCACAGUUUUCUUCAAUUCCUUGUACUCAAUUAAUUAUUAUUUUGUUGAAAGUGCUAUUUUAUAGAAGUUUAAAAUCAGGACUGAAAGAACAAGUGUUGUAGCUUCUGAUUUUGGUUUUUUCUUUUUCUUUAGAAAUAACAAAGGCAAAUGACUUUUUCUAUAUAUAAAAAAAAAACCAGUUUAAAGUAUCAAUUGACAAAAAUUUCAAAAUCAAAAGCUAAAACUAGGUCCCAAAAAAAAAUCAGUUGAGAAUAGGUUCUAUAUCUCGUCUAGACUUUACUCUAUAUCCAAAAAUUUAUUUUUGAGUGUAAUUUCUUUCUUUUUGGUUUAUCUUUUCAAAAAAAAAAUAACUCCAAUUUAAAGAAGAUUUUUUUCGGCACACUAUCAUAUAUAGCAUCCUUUUUUCCCCUUAAUUUAAUCAGGAUACAAGCUGAAAGGAAUCGUCAUUAAUUCAUACAUGUACAUCAAAGCCAAAUGCUGUAAUAAAUUGCUAACAUAAAUACUCAUACGUACAGUGACGAAACCAGAAAAUUUAAUAUGAGGAGACGAAAUGCAUCCAUAUUUAAACUUUGAAGUAGACCAUAAAAUUUUUUGAAAACUUUAUUUUGGGACAAAUAGUUAUAUAUAUAUAUAUAUAUAUAUUAAUUUUCUAUACAUUGACAGUGUAUAUAUUUUUACUAUUGAAUGUAUGACACAUAAUCUAAAUUUUAAUUUUAAUAUAUAUAUGAAUUAAUCUUCCAUACACUGACAGUGUAUAUAUUUUUACCAUUCGAUGCAUGAUGCAUAAUCUGAAUUUGAACAUAUGUGUUGUGCAUUUAAUCGCGAUAGUGUAUACACUGUCAUUAUAUAUAAGAUUUAGUAUGUGUGUAUAUACAUAAAUAUCUAUAUUUAUGAGAAACUUUAAAAAAUUUAAAGAAAGAAAACAUGAAUUUGUAAAAGUUGGGAUGGUGACCUCCCUUUAGUUGCGUCCUUCAUUAUGUAUACACAAUAGAAGACUUCGAGUGAAAUGUACAAAUGCAUUGGUCGCUUGAAAGCCACAAAGUAGUUGUAAAUGAGUAAGAAGAUGCCACCAAAAACUUGAUGGAGAAUGAGUUAAAGACUUAAUAAGUCUAUAUGACAUGACCCAAGAAAGCUACAUAUGUAUUGCGAACCACGAAUCCCAUAAAAUAAAUGGGUAUUGUGUAGUAGUAGUAGUAAACUGUCAUUCUCUGCCGUAAUAUCUAAUCCAUUAAUUCUUUUGAACUUUGAUUCUUCUUUUUGGGAUAAAUUAAGAUAUCUGAUCUUGACCAGCAAGCAUCAAUUAGGUGUGUUUCACAAAUUGUGCCCCAAUGACGACUUCUAAAAGGGGAUAUUAAAUUUAUCCCUCCUUCACCAACAAGGCAAGCAAAAAAAACAAAAAAAGAUAAAGAUUCCAAAUCAAUUUUCUUCUGCCUUUUACAAUACUCUACAUGUUUAUACAUUCCAUGCUUGACCAUUUGAUUGGAAAGUGUAGCUACUGAAGUUACUAGAUAUUCAAAGGAAAAGCAAUAAGAAUAGUUUUGAUUUAGUUGUUGAAACUCAAUAUAAAACCCCAGAUUUUUUUUUCUUCAGCAACAAAAAUCAAUCAAGAUCAGUCUAACUUAUGCUCUACUAGUAGUCCAAAAGUGUCUUUUUGGUUAGCAUACUUUGCCAAAAGUUUUUCUAAAUAUUUAGUUUGCAUUAUAAACACAAUUUCCAACCAUCAUUUUAUCAUAUAUACAUUACAUCAUAAAAAGUGCUAAAGCGUUAAUCCUAACCUCUUUUUUCAGAUAAAUCUCCUACCCAAACACACAAUAUUCAUCACCGAAAUUGAGAAUCUUGAAUCUCAUCCAAGUUCUGAUUAUGAUUUUUUCCGUCCAUAUAAGUUGAAUCAUGAUUUUUUCGGUUCAGUUUGCUCGAGUUAUUAAUACAUCAAUAUACGUGGCAACUAUAUAAACGCAAGACAGAUAGGACAGAAAAUAAUUUCGGGAUAGAGGGUUUGAAACAGAAUACAGAGAAACUUAUUGGACAUCUCUCACAAAAGCAAGAUUGCUGAACCUUUACUUUUUCCAGUUUUCUUCAUUUUAGGCUAUUCUUGUUUCAAACUUUAUUUGCACAGAAUAGAAUUCCGUAACGAGUCAAACUAAUUAUUAAUAUCAUAAAAAUUUUUAAAUGCUGGAAAAGGCAUUCACCUACAGCCAACAUAUAUUUUUUGGCCAUCAACAAGUUUUAUAUCAAAGAUUAAGAUGAAAAACAAAUCAACAAAAAAAAAAAAAAGUAAAAUUAAGUGUGCCAUAUUGGAAUUCCAUUUUAAAUAAGGAGCAUAAAUGCAUAAUUAGCUGUAUUGCUUUCGUAGAAGCUUCACUAACUAUAUAUUAUACGUAUAAAGUUUAUUCUAGCCAAAUAUCAAUAUAUAAUUUAAUUUGUUUAGAUUGUGAUUUUUUGCAGGAAAACAUUUCCCAUGAACACAUUUUAUAAUCAUCUUUUUACCUUACAUACAUCAAAUAGUUACAGUAUGUUUUUCUACAAAAAUUCCUGAAAAUAGCAAUUCAAAUGGGCCGAAUUUAUGUGGAUAGUCAUUGAAAAAACGUGUGCAAUGAAAUAAAUUCGUUAUCUCUAGUAUUUGCUGGUCCAGUCCCUUUCUCCCUCUUUUGCCUUUUAAUUUCCCUUUUUCUUUCAUAAUUUUUAAUGAAAUAUGUAGCUGCUUUUAGUCUCCAAUCGUUUUGAUGACGGCUUCCUUCUAUUAUGGCAGCUGGGAAAUGGGAUAUUUUUUUAUUUUUUCCAUUAGUUUUCGAACCCCAAAAAUAAAAAAUAAACAUAGAAAUUAAAUUCAUGUUUCUUCGGCUGGACGAAACUACUCAUGCAUAACAGUUUAGUUUGACAAGUUAUGCUGACCUCUUAAUAAUAUGUAAUUAUAAUAUCCACAAAGAUUAUGUGAAAGACCUCCUAAAUUUCCUCGCUGGCAAGAAUAUCCAAUUGGAAUUACCAUUCAUAAAUUUGCUAUAGGCCAUUUUUUCAACAAAAAAAAAAUUGUUAUAGGGCAUAUUCUCAUGUUAUUAUAUGAUUUUUGAAGUGCUAGUUUUGGAAAAGUUCAAAAUCAGAAUUGAAUGAACAAUUGUUGUAGUUUCUGAAUUUGGUUUUUUUUCCGUUAGCUAUGGAAGAAAGCCAAAUGACUAAAAAAAAUAGCAGUUUAGAAUAUAAAAAUAAAAUUUUUUCCAAAAUCAAAAGCCAAAAAUGGUUCAAGAAGAAUCAGUAGAGAAUGGUUUCUAUAUAAUUCCUUUUUUCUUGAAGUGUGGAUUUCUUUCUUUUGGUUUAGCUUUUCAACAAAUUAGCUCCAAAUUAAAGAAGAUUUCUUUUGGCAGACUAGCAUAUAUAUAAUCUAUUAUGUUUUCUUCUACUUUAUUAAAGGAUAAAAGAUGAAAAAAGUGAUAACCUAAUAGUCAUAAUUAAGUAUCUAAAAAGGAAGCCACAAAACGUGUAUAAAUACAGUGGUCCUUUAAAAUCUAAUAAAAAGAACGAGUUAUAAGGAUUAAUUUCAAAAACCUCCCCUGAGGUUUCUAACAAUUGCACUAACCUCCCUCAAGAUUUCAAUAAAAAUCUAAAGACCUUCCCUGUCAAAAAAUUGGAUUCAAAUGCUUGCAUCAGCUGCAGUGAAAUGAGUGUAGUAGCAUUACAACUUACAAGGCAUUUGGCAAUUACGUGGAGUUAGUCAAUUAAAUCAGUAGUUAGCUGAAUUAAUAGAAAUAAUCACAAUUUAAAACUAAAAAAAAAAAUAAUUGGCCACGAGAGAAGGGCUCCAAUUUGAAGAUUCACUAUGAAGGCUUGAAGAGGCCAUAAUUUGUGACUGUGGUUCAUGGUUGAACUGAUUUGAUUUCAUGCUAUAUCACAGUGAUUCCACUCCAAUUCUUGAAUUUAAAUCCUUUGGAAUUUGCUCUCCAAUUGUUUAUUGUAACUGUUAUAUAAGUUGCUCUUGGAUGUAGCUGUUAUAAAAAGCCGUUGCAAAUAGUUGCAGAAGUCUGAAAUUGAUGACUUGCAUUUGUCACUUUUUGCGCUUACACCUCCUGAUCUUUGACUGUGUUAAAGUAACAAUUUAUGCUUUUCUACUAGAUUAACUAACCAAUGUAAUAUGGAAGCGUUUUUGGAAUCACAUUGUCUUCUUUCUCUUAAAUUUAAAUUUUUAUUUUUAUUCUUGAAAUAGUGUUUCAGGCAAGGUUUUGCAAAAUUUCAAAUCUCAAGAGAGGCUAGUGCAAUUGUCAAAAAUCUUGAAGGAUGUUUCUGAAAUUAACCCAUUUUUUUUUAUCAUAUUUAUACAAGUAGACAUGGCCACGCCAUGGUUUCAAAACCGUCGGUUUUGGUUUAAAAAUUGAGGGUUAUAUAUAUAUUUUUUAAAAGUGGAACUUAAAUGGACCCUUAUUGGGACAAUUACAGUUACGUUUCUUAAACCUCUAGUUUCGGUCUUGUUUUGAUUCCUAUUUUAUUCUAGUCAUGGUUCCAAUUUCUUUUGGUUAUGGUUCCGAUUAGUUAUGCUUAAGUUGUUGUAAAAUUGAUUCUAAAAAGAUAUGAUAAAUGUAGGGAAAAAAUAAGAACUUUAUUGUAUUAUUAUGUGGAAGAAAAAAAAAAAGAUGAUGCAAAUCUUAUGAAAAAUACCUCAUUAUUGAUUAGAUUAAAUUGGUCUUUGAUUUAGAUUAGUUAUGGGAUCUAACUUACUAAUAGGAUGAGACAGUGGUUGUUAGAUUAGAAUUGAAAUUGUUGGUGUUGGGUUAGGAUUGAAACUAUUGGUGUUGCGUACUGACUAUUAAUAUUGAAUUCUAAACUUAUCAAAUAGGUUUAGAUAACAAGUGUUUUUUCUAAACGAUUUGAACCGGUCCUAAACCGUCUUUCUGGUUCCGAUUUCAGUUCAAAUUUUUGGUGAAGUUGAAUCUGAACUUUUAGUCAUGACUAUGAUUUCGAUUUUCAAAAUUCAGUUUCCGUUUUGGUUUAACAAAUUGCCCGUCUAUUCCGGUCCAAUUACAAUUAAAAGUUGAACCGGGCUUGGGAUCCUGUCUACUAUUUCUGUCUAACUUCUCUAAUUAAGAAUGGACGACAUCGUUAGCUUAUGCUAUUGAUAUCGGUUUUUAACUUCACCAUGCUGCCUUUAAAACCACGGGUCACUUCUUCUAAAAUCUCAAACUUUCACCUCUUCUUUCUCCAUGCUCUAUUUUCUCAUUGAAAUUAGAAAUCUUUUAUAGUCUCCAUGUCCUUUUUAUUUAUAUUUGUUCACCAGUAGAUCGACAAGUCUUAUUCGAAAAUAAGCAAACCUUAAACACUUUUGAUAGACAAUCAAACAUUUCUUGGGACAAAUUACAAUUAUUUAGACACAAAAUCUUUUGUUUAUCAUUAAAGAACCGUGACCGAAAAUUUCCCCUAAAAAAGAGUUCAGAUUUAGUGACUUGUUUAAUACCAACGAUGUAUUUGUUUACCUUAAUAGAUUGACAAGAUCUGAAGAGCAAAGAGGGAUGGUGAUAGCAGCAAUUGAAAGUAAAGAAUGAACAGGUUUGUUUGGAUAGGGUAUUAUUUAAAAUAUUAUUUAAAAUAAUUACUGUAACACUUUUUGUGAUGUGAUGUAUGUGAGAUAAAAAAGUGAUUGGGAAUAUAAAAAGGUGGGUUGGAAAAUGUGUUUAUGAUGCAAGCGAAAUAUUAUUUGGGAUAAGUUUUGUAUCCAAACACUCCCGUAACAAGAUCUACACCGGAAAAAUUGAUGAAACCCCCCACAUCCCAAAAAAAAAAAAAAAAUUAGAUGACAUGGCGUGAAUUUUGGGCCAAACGAUGUCACUUCGUAUUAGACAGAGGAUUUUAGACUGAGAACUUAGGCAGGGGAUCCGGACCAGUUGAACCGCGGCUACUCCUAAGUCCUAACGAGUUAAUAAAUGAGAGAAACAGUUUCCACAGGGAAUUCAAUGGAGUAUAAGUUAAAGUCAUGACAUGACCAAAGAAAGCUACAUUUGCCUUGCGGACCACGAGUACCAUAAAAUAAGUGGAUAAUGCGUAGUAGCAGCAGGCAUCUGUGCCGUCGUAUAGCAUCCAUCAUUCUUUUGAACUUUUAUGCUUCUUUUGCGGAUAAAUUUAAGAUAGCUGAUCUAAACCAGGAAGCAUCAAUUAUGAGUUUUUCACUAGUUGUGUCACAGUGGCGACUUCUAAAAGGGUAUAUUGAUGUGUCCCCCCCCCCCUCCUCUCCUUCAACAAGGCAAGCUAAAGAUAAAUAAUAAAUAAAUAAGAGAUAAAGAUCCCAAAUCAGCAAUGAUCUUCAAUUAAUAGUACGUGGAGAAUUAGGUUGUCAAUUGUUGGGACCAUUUCCAACUUUAUCUGUGAAUUUUGAAUCUUGAAAAGGAUUGUCUUGUUUUUCUCACGGGUAGAGUACAUUGCAUAUCAGCAAUGAUCUUCCUCAAUCCUUCCAACCUUGGAGCAUGGCCUUUGUACUUUUGCUCGUUUGACAAGUCGCAGAAGAUCAAACGUUUGGAUAUUGAUGUGUGAAUUUAACUGUUGAUAAAGGUAAGUUAUGUUGUAAAUACAGGAGCGUUUCAAAAGAUUUUGUCUCACGUUGAAAAAUUAAAGAGACUUCUCAUCAUUUUAUAACGCUUAGUUUUUUAUUAGGUUUGUGUUAGAUUGGUAACUAGUGUGGGUUCACACGCAUGAGAGAGAAAUUAAGUUGGGCCGUUUCAGUACAAACUGACAGAUUUGCACCCCCUGCGCGUGAUUCAAACACUGCCCAAGAUACGUUCGUGGGUUUUAUUCUGGUCAAAUGUUAGUUUUCAUCCCAGGAUAUGUGUAUUAUUGGUUGUAUUAUUGCUGAAUUAUCAUUUGUCUUUGUUGAUCUUACCAUUGUGGAUUAUCUCCAAGUAUAUAUAUCAAAACAAAAGACGUUUGAAAUUAGAAAACUAAUUUCGGAAAGCAUAAGACAUAUAUUAUGUGCUUACCCUAACUGUUUCACCAAAUUCACAUCAGAAGCAGCACUUUUCUGAAGUCCAGAAAGCAAUGUGCUUGAAUGGUAUCUCCAAAGCCGCCUUGCCUUCAACUCCAAUAUGAAUAAAAAUCUAAUUGAUUUGAAACCUGACAAUGACCAAAUUUUUUUUUAUUCAUAGCCAGUAAUGCUGAUGCCAAUUAUUAUGAUAUUAAUGGCCUCUGACUAACUGAUGAGUUAGUGUCAAGCCUAUUGUAAACAAUUAUAUAUUUUAAUGGAGGCCAAUGUGCUGCCCAUGUCAUUAUGUUUGCAGCUAGUAAUUAUUUGAUUUUUCAGUUAAUAAAGCAUGCUAAACAAUUGUCAUUUCCAACAAUCAGAUCAAGUGUUUGGAGUGGAUAUUAUGCGUAAACAUUAUAUGACUCACAUUAUGAACACGUUUUUUAAUAAUAUUUUUAUUUCGCAUAUAUCACAUCAUAAAAGUAAUACAGUAUUUCUAUAUACUGACGCACGUUCAACUUGGAACAUAUUGUUGGGCGAAUGGGUCCAAAAACUGCCUGUAAGCCAUGUGAUUAACAAUCAAUGAGUUUAACAGUUUUUUAGGGCAAUUUCAGGUUUACAUUACACAUCUUGUUAUUAUUUCUUCUUAACAUGACACUGCCCAUAUUAAUCCAGCAGGUGGUGGGUGAAAUUUUGAAGUAUUUUUUUUAAGUAUUAAUUAUAUGGAAAUGAGAUAUUUGCACAACACCCCUAUUUGAUAUCUACACAUCCUUUAAUAUUUAAUUCUUUAUUACAUUCUAAACCAAUUUUAAGAUAGUGAGCAAGCGUGAAUAUCAAAUAGGGGCUUCCCUAUGAGACUCGUUUGCCAUAAUUUGGAUUAAUCUGAUUAGUUAACUUUUUCACGACCAGAUAUUAUGCUCUGGAACUUCUUUUCAGUGUUCGGAUUGCAGCUAAACUAAUCAGGUUUAGCAAUCUUUUUCUUUUUUCUUUUUCACGAUCAUUAAUUUUAGGGGUUCUGGCUUGUAUUUUAUGUGCAAACAGAGAAGCAACCUGAUUAUUUGAUUAUUGUACACACUAAUAGUUGAGAUUGUGUUCUAAAUGUGACAAACCUGGUAAGGUGCUACUGUUGCUAUUCGUUAUGAUUCUUUAAAAUCUCUUUAAUAUGUAGUUUUAGCAAUAUAAAUUCAGUUUACGAGAAUAACUCAAGCUUUUACUGCCAAUUCAUUUUUAGCCCAUACGUGAUGAGGCAGCGGAUGCGUGAAUAUUAGAUUUGUUUCACGAAUGAAAUCCAUAGAAGAACAAAGAGUGAAUUAUGUUUAAACCCAUGAAUAUGAAUCAAAGAUUCGAUGAUAACAAGAGAAAAUUCUCAACAAUUGGAAUAACCAAUCAAAGUUUCAUUGAUAUUUGAUAAAAGAGGAAAGGGUGAAUUAUGUUUAAACCCUGAACACAAAUCAAAGAUUCGAUGAUAACAAGAGAAAACUCUCAACAAUUGGGAUAACCAAUCAAAGUUUCAUUGAUGUUUGAUAAAGAGGAAUCGAUUACAAAAGUCUUAAUCAUGCCUGUUUAUAGGUUACAAUGAGUUUUACUCUAAAAAAGAAAACAAAACAUACAUAAAACCCUAAACGAACAAAACUAUGUUCUGACCGUGCUGAACGUGAGAAGUGGACAACUUGAGGUGUGACAAAUUCAUUAAACUGCCAAAGUCUUCCCACCCUUGUACUUUGUGUAUGUUCUAGAAGUCACAUUAAAGAACAAAGUUUGCACUUUGAAAUCAAUUUGAUUUUUGACAAAGAGUUUCAGGCUAGAGAAGUAGAACUAUCUGAAUUGUCAAUUGGUCAUAAUUCUAUUGUACCUACCAGUUCCUGGAUUCUAUUGUACCUACCAGUUCCUGGAUGCUACAGAUUGCAACUUAUUUUCUUUUAAUUCAUUCCAUUUCCAGUCAAAAUUGUUUAGGUCCUCAUAAUUCCUAAGCUGCCAAUGAAAACUGAAUUGGCCCGAAUUUGGUCAAACUUAUUCGCUGGAUAAAUUUUUGACUUGAAUACUUAGAAAAUUCAUACUCCAGCUUGUAACAGCUAACAAGGUAUGCUCGACUUUAUGACUAUCUUGUUUAUUUUGUCAUGAAGAUGCUUAUCGAAUAUGUCAGAAAGAUUAUUCUUGAUAUUCAAUGGUAUAAUUACUGCACUUAUCGAAGUUUCUAACCAGGUGUACGCAUUAGUUUGGCUGUUUUCAUUGGUUUAUGUUGUCUAAUAUUAACUUCUUAAUGGUUUAAUACCUUUAUAGUUUCAACUUCUUUUUAAUCUCUUCUUACGGUAAUCUUCAAUCAAAUUUUUACAGUAAAAAAGGGGCAACGAAGGGAUCAAUACACUGCCUAAAAAUACAAAAAUAGAACGACCAUUUGGAUUAUUAUUUUUAGGAGUUUUUGUAGAAAAAUAUACAGUAAUGAUUUGAUGUUGUGAGGUAAAAAAGUGAUUGGAAAAUGUGUUUAAACGUAAAAAUUUUUCUGCAAAAAAUCACAGCAUUCUAAACUAAACGAUAGACACAAGCAUGAAAAUUCCUAGACUCAAGGAAGUGGCUUAUCAUUUAGUUUGUUCCUGUUGCUUAAUUAUAUGUUGCUUCAUAUGGAAUUUCCCUUUUAAUUGGAACAAAUUACUCCGCGAGCUAGCUCUUUUUCCUAUUUCUAGUACAAUUCACAAUGAGAAAAAAAAAUUACUUUCACUAUGUCUUGUUAAAUUAAACAUUUAUGAAGACAUGAUGACCUCUGUAGAAACCGAUAUGUUAUCCAAUUCAUUGGGAAAAAACAAAAGAGAAAAAUUGAAAAAAACUAUUAUAGCUUGUUUUGUUUUAAUUAGAGGUAUGGAAUAAUCACGGGAUAAUAUCAUUACAAGUACUGCUAAGUUUUGAUUUGGCAUAUCUUUACCACCUAUAUAUAGAAUAUGAAACUUCAAGAAUAAAGCAUUCAUAGUUGAUAAUGGGUUCAUCCUAUGAUAUUCAAUUAUCAAAUAUUCAAAAUUUGUUAAUUUUGCAAACAAUAUAUUCGCUUUAUAAUAUUCAUAGGUAAAUUAUUAGAGCGUGUUCGGAUACAAGUUUUUCUUUUCUAGAUAUUAUUUUACUUACGUCAUAAAUACAUUUUCUUGAAUAAGUGGAGUCCCUCCACGAAAAUUGAAUAUAAAGUGAGGUGAAGUAAUUUCAUUUCAUGGAAAGAGAGUUGGAGUGGAGAUUUGAGACUCCAUUGGAUGCAUUAAAGUGGCUAGAGGUAACGUGGGAAUGUUUCUUAUUGCUGCAAGCAACACAAUCACAUGUAUGUCACGUUUUAGUCACAAAUCGUGACAAAGGAUAAUUUCCAUCUGUUUGACACUUUAAGUCAAACCACUAGGGGUUAUGUAUAAUUUUUAAAUCAUACUGGAGUUAUGCGAGUAAGUGAAAAAUCACAGGGACAAAGUAUAUUUUGCCCACUAGGGGAAGGACCCAAUUGAUAAAGGGCACAAAAUAUUUUUGUCAAAAGUGUAAAUUUAGCAUUCUCUAACCAUGUAUUAACUAUUAAAACUUAGGGAUAAUUUCACAAACCUUCCCUAAGGUUUGCCUUAAUAUCACGUUACACUUUAGUAGUUUCAAAAAUUUCUCUUUCCACCAAUUGAUUUACAUGUGUUAUAAAAUUGUCAAUCCCUACACAUUAAAAAUUCAUAAAAAGGAAAGAUAACAAUUUACUUCUAUUUGUCUUGUCCUUUAUAUAAAUAUUAGAGCAGCAAUUAAAACUAAAAUAAAUCUAAUAGGUAAAAGACAAAUUGGGAGAGAUACAAGUGCAAUAAAGAGAAAUUGUGGCAGAUAAGUAGUUUUACAACUGUGCAAUAACUAAUAUUUCAACUCUAGGGCAAUAAUGGUAGCAAAAGGAUCAGCUUAAAGAUGAAUUUAAUAGAAUUUAAUAUGUCAACUCAAGUUUAGCAUCAAAAGGAUCAAUUUAAAGAUGAAUUUAAUAGAAUUUAUUGUACCAAAUCAUAACAAGUUUUAAUAUUAGAAAGUACUGUUAUAAUUCACCAACAUUAUUUGUAUAAGGAAUCGAUAUUAUAGUUACAAUACAAAGGCAACAAUCAAAAUUCAGAGAGCGAAAGAAAUCCAAAUAAACAAUAUUUGCUUUUAAUGUCCAUUUGUUGUGCUUCUGAUGUGUUAGGUAAUAGUAGUGUUAAAAAUUCCUUAUUUUGUAUUGCUACAGCUAGAAAAAGUUGCUAUUAUAAAUGACAGUUUUGUUAAUUUUUGUCCUAAUCUUUUUUACUUUCCAAAUUCAUUUUUUAUGCUAAUUUUAUAUAAUCAAUUAGCAGUUUUCUGUAGGGUAAUAUUAUUAAUUUACUAUCUAUAAUAGAGAUAUCUUGUCAAUCUAAUAGGAGAUGUAAGAGAGAUUUUUGAAAUUAUGGGGUACUAAGUAACAUUAAGAAAACUUUAGGGGAGGUUUGUGAAAUUAUCCCUAAAACUUACUUGUUUGCAAUCUUUUUCAGUUUUUUCUCCCCCUUCUUCCCCAGAUGUCCACAGUCAAGACACGGAGACUUUCCUCUCUCCAGUAAUUUCAAUUCUCACAGCAGGUUGAAAAGCUUUCUGAUGUGAAAAGCUUUCAAUUCUCAGGAAAAUCGUGAAAAAUGGAGGAUAAGGAGCCGAAGAACCGCAGAAGAAGCGGCCACGCUCUGACUCUGAUAACUCGAAACGGGUAAUAAUCUUCAUUCGCACUCUAUAAAUUUCUGUAUGGAAAAGAGUAAGAAAUAGAGCAAAUUUUCUUAUUUAUUAUAUGCAUUUAAUUUGGAUAUUUGAAAAGUGCAUAUUCAGUUGAGUAGUCUACAUGCAAAUAAUUUUUCUUUUUCGUGCAGUAAUUGAUUAAUAUAUCUGUAGUCCAGUUGUACUUCGAAAGUAGGGUUUUUUUUUCAUGGCACGCGAAGAAUUAAAUUGGUCAUAUCUGCUUGGAUGUUUUGAUUUGCACUCGGCAAUUGUGAAGAAAGUUGAUAAACAGUUUUUUUUGUUUUUUUUUUUCUUUUUGGGACAAAAAUGAAGACUUUGGAAAAUUCUUUGGUUUAUUGAUUGGUGUAAGACAAGAAAUGGUGUAAUUGGUGUUGGAAUGUGAUAACCAGUUGGAUUCUACAGACUGGAAAAUGUUGCUAACAUUAUGAGUUAUUGACUUGAAGGCAUUGGAUACUUCGCAGAUGGAAUUUCAGGAGAACUGUAUGAUAGACAAUUAUGUGGUUUCAGUACAGCUGUUUUGAAAUUUGAUUCCAAGGCCGGUGGUCUUGUAAUAGGAUUUGGGGUUCACAGUGUUUUAUUCAUAUGUUCUACCAGCUAGGAGCUGAAAAUUAGUCAAAGUUUGAGUCUUUUUGUAUAUAUAUAUUGAGUUAGUUGUGGAAAUGGCCUUGAAGUUGUUGGUAAAAAUUUUGUACUCUUUUUUAGAGAAGAUUUGGGGUGGGCUUCAGUAAAAACCAUAAGUAACGUUUAUUACCAUACCACAUAAACUAAAGGAUUAGUGACCUCGACUUUCUGUAGCCUGUACAAGAAGUGAAAAGGGUGUUCUAGUCCAAAUACCUUUUAGAUAUGAAUAAAAAUUAAUCAUGCAGUAAUGUCAUGGUUUUCUUGUAGACAGCAUUUACUUGCUUUUCCAUGAUCUUGAGACUCGAUAUUUCCACCAAAAACUCUUUAGACAUUGUUUCUGUAAAGAGAAAAAGGAAAAGUUUUAAUCUUUGGUUCUCAAUGUCUAAAUGCCUGAACAAGUUUUGUUGUUGGGGAGAGAAAGAGGAUAUUAAAAACUUACAAGGUUCUGUUGUUUGUUAAGAUUGAUGCUGCACUUCUCCAGUAUCAGAAUCAGAGACUUGUUCAGCAAUUAGACUUGCAGAAGCAGGAGUUGCUUGAUCUGGAAGUCAAAAUGAAAGAGCUGAGAGAUAAACAAGCCUCUUAUGAUUCAGUGUUGAUUACAAUUAAUAGACUCUGGAAUCAGGUAACUGUUUUUCACAUGCACUCAUAUAUGAUUUGUAGCUCUUUUCUGCACGAUAUGCAUUAAUAAUGGUUUUCUGGAUGUAUUUCAUGUAGUUAGAUGGUGAACUAAUCCUUCUGGGAGUACGAGCUGGGGCUGGUAAAACAGCUCUGCACAGUUCUGAUCAAGUUGAUCGAUUACAAGGUUGCCUUUACAAUAUAGAGAAAAAAAAAAAAAGAAAAUGUAUUCUUUGCAGCUUUUUUAAACUCAUUGAGCAGGGAUAAAGCUCUUUUGUAAUGCAACUUUGAACUGUGCUUCCACUAUUAGGUCCAAUGCCAUCAUGUCGUGCAGAAGAUAUUUUUCUUUGCAGGCUACUGCAAACAAAUGCAAUUGAAAGCACCGGAAGUGAUGGAGCUAAUGGAUAUAUCAAAGAAGGCCUAGCUCGGCGUCAGGCUUCUACAAGGGCAUUGAUGAAAUUGUUGGAAGAUGCUAUUGAAGCUCAGAGAGCUAAAAUAGAGAACAUAUCGCAGGCUUUUCAUGGAAAAUCAUCUGCAGAAGGUCAGUAGACCUUAAUAAAUGGUCCUUUAGUUAGAAUAAUUUCUUUGUACGCUUUAUUUUGUCAUCUCCUAUUCCUAUUUUUUUAGUCAUUUAUUCAUAUCACCAUUUUCGGCUAUCAGAUUUUGUGCUCAUACUGGGAAAGAUUGAUGCUUUAAUGAAAGAGGAAGUUGAUAAUCUGCACAAGGUGAUGGAUAUCCUUCAUGUGAAGCAUAAAGAAUAUUUGAUGAGAUCCAGACCUGUAUUGAGAACAACUCAGUUGAUCAAUCAGAGAUAAAGAGACUUAAUGGUAUGUUAAAUUUUAGUACACCAUUACCUGCUUGUGUGUUUGAAAUUACAGACAAAGGUUCUAGUUUCAGCUGAUAGAUAUUUUUUUUGGGUCAAAGGAUCUCUCCUUUUUGUGCUUUUCUUCCACAUAAUGUAAUUUUGGUUAUUUCUUUUUGUUAUAAAGAAAAUGGCAAGCUUGUGAACCUUAUUUAAGACAGGUGGUGUACUGCAUUUUUAGUUAUAGGUCAGUUGUGUAUGAUGUGGUCAUCAUCUUUCAGGUGAGCUGGAAGAAAGCAUGGCAGAACUUGAGGAGAGUAGAAGAAAGCUUGUGAAUCUGAGAAUGCAGAAAGAGGGGCCUUCUGCAGUACAAUCCCCCAUAUCAGUUGUUGCAAAUGGAACUGCAUCUCCUGAAAAACCUGCAGACAGGGCCAAACGUUUACGAGGACUGAAGGAUUCGAUUGAGGAGACAAAGGUGUUGCUCUCUUUCUCUGUGAUUGUGCGUCUCAGUGAGUUUUUGCCUGUUGUUCCAUCUCUGUCUCUGUGUCUCAUGUUGUACUUGUAUUUUUGCAUGGGUUACUUAUUAGAUAUUACAUGGUGUAGGUGUCCUUCUAAGCAAAGCAUAAUAUGAUGUAGGUACUUGCAGAUGAUCGUCUUGCCGAGGUUCAAGAGAUGCAGGAAGACAAUCUCAGCUUGUUAAAGCAGUUGCAGGACCUUCAGGUUCUAAAUUUGUAUUCCCUAAGUUGAAAGUAACCGUCAUAUGCUACCAAGCAUUUUCAAGACUUCUUGUUUGCAAAUCUAAUUCGAUUUUUAAGUAGCCAAACUGUCUUUUUUGUUGAUGAAAUUUGUUACUUGAUUUUUCUUUGUGCAGAAUGAACUGAAGGAUGAUAAAUGUGUGUAUUCUUCUCGUCCUUACACCUUACUGAAUGAUCAGCUCCAGCACUUGAAUUCUGAAGCCGAUCGGUACAAAGUGCUUGCAGAGUCAGUGCAGGUCAAUGAAAUGAAUAACAGAAUUGUUUCGAGAAGUGCUAUCCAUUUUUGGCAUCAAACUUUUUGUAUUAACUCUGCAAUUGAUUAGCAGGCUGAGAGAUCUUUGAUAAUCCGAAGGGAGAAGGAACUUUCUGUAAAAGCAGAAUCUGCGGAGGCUGCAAGAAAGGGGGUUGAGAACUUAGAAGCCAAGAUUGAGGAGUUAGAGAAUCAACUUCAUAAGUCGAUUGUUGAGAAAAAUGAGCUGGAGGUUAAGAUGGAAGAAGCUUUGCAGGAUACAGGUUGAAUCAACUGCGACUUGUACUACUUUCAGUUUUCUGGUGGUUUUAUAUCACAUUCUCAAUAGUCCUGGCUUUUCCAGGUAGAAAAGAUGUUAAAGAAGAGUUUCAGAUUAUGGCUUCUGCUUUAUCAAAGGAAAUGGGAAUGAUGGAAGCUCAAUUGAAUCGGUGGAAGGAGACAGCCGAAGAGUCCCUUUCCUUGCACGAAGAAGUCCAGUCGCUGAAAGCUUUGGUGGACAGUAAGGUUUGAUUUUGCAUAUGUGAUGGUUUUUUCAAACUAGAUGUUCCAUUUUACUGUUGCCAAAGGGUAAUUUGUUCUUGCCUUCAGCAGAAGCUUAAAGUUUGAUGUUUUCUCUUUAAUUUUUUUUUUCCGUUUUAGAACCAAGCAUUACUUGGUUAGGCUAUUUGCAGUUAAUUUUAUUUGAAAAAGUUUAUGAAGAAGUUCAAAACACGUGAUAUUCUAUAAUUUCGAUUUCCUAGAGCAACCGCAUAAUGUUGUGGGAAUGCCUAUUGCUUAACAUUUUAAGAGGCAAUGGGAAGUCAAAUAUAACCACGAAUCUCCUUUAGGCUAUGUCCAUCUCACUGAACAUGUAAAAUUGACAAUGACAAUGUUCGAAGCUGUUAUGUUCAAAUUCACUGUAUGGAGUGAAAUUGCUUUGCUUUCAAUUAAUAGAGCACCUGGUUUUGCUUCACAUAGAAAGUCCUUCAGUGAUGGUGCAGCUAAUUGUUUAUGUUUAGGUGAAUUUUAGCUUUUCAAUUCAGAAGAUUGAGUUAGAGGCUUGGUUCUGUUUGUAGCUUACCUUGCAUGUUUCUAGGUAGUGACACUUGUUCUUUCCUUCUCAAGACCAUCAACUUGGUUAAGAUCCAUGCUGGAUUUGAUUUUGAGAUAUGACAUUGUUAUCUCAGGCAGCAUACAUUUAUUUAAAUUUGUUGUGUUGUUGCUCCUUUGUGUGGACAUGCGGUAUCUUUGCUUUUCAGUUGUGGAUAUUUUGGAAUUUUUGGUUGUUUUACCUUCUUUUAAUUUGUAGACUACUGAAGAGAAAGACUUGGCUGAUAGAUGUGCACAUCAAAUGGGAGUGAUCAAGUCUUUGAAGGCAUACGUAAGUCUGUGGAUGUUUAUAUGAUCUGCACAUCUACCACAUUUAAGCAGUGUGCUUGCUUCUUUAUAAGAAUGCAGAUACUGAAAAUUUGGAUGAAUGAUAUUGACCUAUGAAUAUGAAACCUUCGCAGAUUGAGAAGAUGCAGAAGGAAAAAGAAGAGCUACAAAUAUUUGUGGACAUGCUUGGUCAGCAAAUAUAUGACAAUAGGUGAACCAUUAUAUGUUGCUUUUGUGGAUUUGUUAGAUAAGCAUUUCAAUCAUUUCUUGGCACAAGCAAAUUUGAUGAGCCAACUCCCAGUGCUCAUCCUUGAAAGUGCGCAUAUUUUAAAUGCAGAGUAUGAUUUGGUGUAUAUUGAACUUUGGAAUGCUGAUUACAGUACUCUAUUGCAAGAGGAGGUGUUGAAGAAUGAACCAAUUUUUCUUGUUUGUUACAGUUGAAUUCUGAGCACUCUUUUUCUCUGAAAAUAUAAGAUCAUGAGGGCUGAAUCGUCAAUAUUGCGUGUGAAAGGCUCUUUCCCUUUUUUACUGAUUUUUUAAAACUUAGUAAUGGGUAUUGUAGAGUUAUCAGGUGAAUAAAAAGCUUGGAGCCUUGGAAUGAUUUUAGAAGUAUAAUAUGUUGAGUGGGGUUUCGGUGGUAGUAUGCAGUGGUUUAGGUGGUAGAAAUCUUUCUAAGUAAAUGAAAAACGAAAAAAUACAAUUGCACAUGGAGUCAAUCAAUUGCUACACUAAUUGGGAUGCACGCCCCUCUAUUUUAUACUGAUCUACUCUAUGCAAAAGCUUGAAAGUUAAAGUGGUUGGACCUUUGAAGUUGGGUGACUUAGCAAAAGAUCAGCUUGUAUUUCACAAAAGAUGAUGCUAAUGCAAGAUAAACUCUGUUCAAAACACCAGAAUCAACUCUCAUAUGUAAAACCUUUGAUGAAGCCUUUACUCAGCAAGUUGUCACACCUUUUGCAUGAGAACAGACCUCAGGGUCUUGGGAUGGUAGGCACCUCUAUUGUAUACUGAUUUACUAUAUGCAAAACCUUGAAAAUUAAUGUGGUAGGACCUUUGAAGUCAGGUGUCUUCACAAAUGAUCAGCUUUUGUUUCACAAAAGGUGAUGCUAAUGUAAGUUAAACUCUGGGCAAGAUGCCGGUACCAUCUCUCUACGUAAAACCUUUAAAUGGCAUCUUACAUAGCCAGAUUGUAGCAAGCCUUGCAUGAGAACAGACUUCAGUAUCUUUGAUGUUUCUUCUGCUCUCGUCAUGCACGCAUUUCCUUUUCCUUCAAGUUUGUAGGACAUUAAAAACUGUUUAUACUAUGAUAUUUAUGGAAGUAAUAAGGGGUGGUUUGCAGAGAUGGGUUCAUGGUUUUCACUUUCUGUGGUUUGUAACUUGAGCUCAUUGUUUAAAUUAUCCAAAUAGCUUGUAUUCUUGAUGUAGCUGUAGUUUUUAUUAAAAAAAAAAAAAGAAUUGGCAAAUGUUAAUUGCACUCCACUUUUUAUAAUGGCACUCCCACUAUCAUUUGUAUCAAUGUGGUUUGAAUUGUUGUGCGACCUGGUCAUGGUUGUUUUAGAAUGUUAUACAGGCUAAUCUGCAGCUUAAAGUUUCUUGAAAGCCAAAAAAAAAAGCAUUCUUUCUUUCUAAUUCAUGUUGUAUGCAUCUUGACAAAGUUGUCUAGAUGUUUCAAACCCUUUGCAAGUCACAUAUAAUGGAAAUGAUGGAACCUAUUUGGAAACUGGUAUAUUUUGGAAAAAGUUGCUCAAGUGAAUUCAACUUUCAUUGUUCAUGAUCUAGUUGAGAUUGGGAUUGCCUGACUUUCCAGUUGAAGUUUACAGGUCACACAAUAUUGAGCUAGGUGCAGACCUUCAGGUUCUUGCUGCCAUUUUUUUUCUAGUUUUUUGUGGUUGGAUAUGUCAAUGGUUGCAUUUUGUUAUGCCUGAUGUCUUGAGUUGUCUUUUUGUGAAAAUAUACUUCUCAACUUUGAAGAUUGUUUUUAUUAUCCCACCUUUGCUGGAAAGGAAUCUAGAAAUACACUUCUGCAAGUGGCAAAUAGGAUGAUCCACUGAUUGGCUGAAGAGGAAGUAUAAUGUUUUGGCAGAGAUUGGAAUCUGCUUUAACCUUUUUUUUGUUUGGUAGGGUUGGGUGGGAAACUAUCGAUUAACUGAACAUCAAUGGGAUGAGCCUAUUUUUAUCCUAUGUCCUUUCCCCGUGUCUUGUGCAUGCUAUAUCCAGUUUCAGAAACAAAUAUUGAAGGGCCUUGAAUGAAUGUUAUGUGUUAAUAUUUCAACGUGAAAUCCUUACCGUCAGAGCACCAUCUACAGCCUGUGUCAACAUUAAAGUCUGGAAAGCUGUAGAGGACAUGCACUCCCCAUUUUAAAUAUGUUCACGAAUUUCAGAGUGCUGUAUUUCUUAAUUCUGGGAUUGUUUGUUUUUUUUAAUAAUAUUGCAGAUCUUAAUUCAAUUUUAAGCAUAUCCUCAUUUGGUGCUUGUUGGGUUCUAUCUGCAACUAAAUACUAAUACAUUCGUUAAUUUGAUGGGCUUUGACUUCACCAAAUUUUGUUUAUUUAUGCCAGAGAUGUGAAGGAAAUUAAAGAGUCGGAGCAAAGAGCGCAUGCUCAAGCUAAAAUUUUGAGAAAUACUUUAGAUGAACACGGCCUUGAAUUGAGAGUGAAGGCUGCUAAGGAAGCUGAGGCAGCUUGUGAGGAAAGGCUUGCCGCUGCUGAAGCCGAGAAAGCUUCUUUGAGGGAUGAAGUAGAUGCCUGUGACAGGUCAUUCUUCUUGUCAUGUUGAAUUCUUGGGCACCCUUACUUCUUGAUCUUCUUGGUGCUGCUUUUUGUUGGUUUAUCUUCGCUGCUGUAUUCUCAAUCUGUCUUUAAGAAUCAGAAUCUAUUAAAUAUUGAAUCCUUGCUGUUCAUGCAACGCUUUUCCUAAGCAAUCUUGUACCUUAGGUAUAUGUAUCAAAAACUUUGUCUAGAGCAUUGAAGUGGGCAUCAUGUCUGCCACUUCUACAAGCAGCUUAUUAUGUGUCAAAGAAGAUGGGAACUGAUUUAAUGAUUUGAAAGUUACCUCUAUUUUACUGUUACCAGGGCAGGAACAGGUAUUGGAAGUUAGUGAUGAAAAAUUGGAGCUUUACAUGCUGAAGCAAGGAAUUUUACAAUGUUAGGGUUUUAUGGCAUGUUUAUGGAACAGGUUUAGAGUUAUGGAGCAUAUAUGAAUGUCAAACAUGUAUGUUUUACAUAUUUUCCAGAUUCCCAUAGCUUUCCUGAACUUGGUUAUCGUCAAUGGCUACCAAUCUUGUGUGUGGUGAUGAUGUUUCCGUGGGGAUUUGGUGUAUUGCUACAGCUGUAUCAGAAAAGCCCAGUUGCAUGAACAGACUAAUGCAGUUUUACUUUGCCACAGGGAUGUUUUAAAGCUUCAAGAGGCUAUCAAACUAAAAGAAGCUGAGGCAGAAGCAUAUAUUUCUGAAAUUGAGGUAUUUACUUACACUUGGACCCUGAGAGAUAUUUCAGGUAAUCUUCUUUAUUGCCAUGGACAUUUCUUGUAAGAUCUUGUUUGACCAUAUAUUUCUGAUUUACUUUUAUGUUCAGACUAUUGGUCAAGCAUAUGAAGAUAUGCAGAUGCAGAACCAGCGUCUCUUACAGCAGGUGACUGAAAGGGAUGAUUACAAUAUUAAGGUCUGUCUUUAAGUACCUUCUCCGGGUUUCUGUUUUUAAUCUCCUUGUGCCAUCUAGGUGAAGUAGCAGGACUGAUUCUUGGUUUUUGUUUUGCAGCUGGUAUCUGAGAGCGUGAACGCAAAGCAGGCACACAAUUUGUUAUUGUCUGAGAAGCAAGCAUUAAGCAAGCAACUUCAUCGAGCUAACGCAAUGCUGGACUCUCUGAAAUUGAGAAUUUCUCAAUGUGAAGAGCAGGUGGGAUUUCUUUUGGGUAGUUCAAUUUGAUCGAUAAUUCUCCUUUUACAGAGAUGGAAAUUUGCAGGUCAAAGUUCAUCUGAUGGAAGCUUCAAGGUACAUAGAAGAAGAUAGACAGCUUGCAGCAGACCUAGAAACUUCAAAAAGGGAACUAGUGGAUGCUGAGAAGGAAGUUAAAUGGCUGAAAUCUGCUGUUGCAUCAUCUGAAAAGGAAAAUGAGCAGAUUGAACGAAAGAAGGCUGAACUUCUAUUGGAAUUGGAGAGUGAGAGGUGAUUUUUUAAGUGAAGGCUUUUUUUUUGAGUGCAUUUAAUACUAGAUCUUCUCCCUCAAAACUCUUUCUCCUUAACACUCAGGGAAAUUUGAUGUACCUUAAAAACUCUUUACUAAAAACAAAUACAGGCAUGAAGUUGCAAUACUGGGACAGAGUGACUUGAUAUAAUUGCAUAGCAUUCUUGCAACAAAAUAGAAUUAAUGUAUCACUUAUCAAGCAGAAAUGACAUAAUUUUUCACCUUAACUACAUUAUUGAUAGAAACUACCAUGAAAUUCUUGAGUUUUGGUUGCCAAUCGCAUAUGCAAAAUUGAUGGUUCCUAGCUUAGUGGACAAUCUGUUGAGAAGAGGUUUCCUUAGCUUAUUAAUCAUGUUACAUGCUUGCCCAAACUUGUCUUGACUUAUUGCAGUGUCCUUGGAACUGUGUAAUGCUUAUGGGAACUGCAUAACGUGGGAGACUGCUGCUUUAUCGUGCUAUAUUCAACUAGCUGGGUUUUGUCACGGAUUGAGAUUAUAUGCCAUUGGUUGAUUAUAUUCAUGGUCAUGCUUUUAACAAUGUUGUUGGCCUUGAAUAACAGUUUACAAGGAGGAGACUGUCAUGCAGCAAGCUCAAUUUUUCUUGGAUUUAGAUACAAGUUUACUACAAUAUUUCACUCGUGCUUGUAGAAUCUUACUGCUUUUGCAAUUGUUUCUGUUUAUGAUGUGACAAGUCUUUCAUGCAUCUAUGUACAAUUUCGUUAGGUGUUGUGUAUGUUUAGUCUGACUAACACUUUAUGAGAGCAGAGAAGCAAGGAAGAAGAUUCAGGAAGAGAUUGCCACAUGGAACAAAUCUAUCGAUGAGAUGACUUCUGAGAAUGAGGAAGCUGAAAUUCUGAGACUUCAGGACGAAAUUAAGGAGUGCAAAGCUAUUCUCAAGUGCGGGGUGUGUUUUGAUCGUCCUAAGGAGGUUUGUGCACAUGACAUCUUUGGAUCAAAGCUGUUCCUCAUAAUUCUGUUGAAAUUUGUCCUCUCUGCAAUAAUUGUGCUCCUCUGGUAUUUUUGGGAGCUAUGUAGUUACUCCCAUGAAUUUGUUUCUACGAGACAUUGUCCCUGAGGCACUAUAGAUUUGGUGAAUUCUUCAGCUAAGUAGUGCCCAUAACCUGGUUUCCGUUUCAUGGCAGGUUCUUAUUGCCAAGUGUUAUCAUCUAUUUUGCAAUCCAUGCAUCCAAAGAAAUCUAGAGAUCCGCCAUCGAAAGUGUCCAGCUUGUGGAAUGGCAUUUGGGCAAAGCGAUGUUAAAUUUGUAAAGAUUUGAAGGCACGUAGUUAAGAUGUCUAAAAUAGAACUCAGUUUUCAAGUGGAAACCUUGAGAUAAUAUGUAAUUUUGUGGAGGACUGCAUCCCCAGGAGAAGCUAUUUAGAUUACAGAAACUCUCGGUCUAAAUUCUCUCCCUCUCUCUCUCUCGUUUUUUCUUUUCUGCUUUUAAAUGCCUAGAUGCAGCGUUCCUUUGAAGAGUGCUUUUAGGUGGAAUUAUCUGCUGUUGGGGAUGCUUUGCUUUGUUUCUCUCUGGGUAAGUCCUUUUCCUUUUGGCUCAAGAAGCCUUUGUCAGCUGUUAUUUAAUCAACUCUGACUCGUUGAUAUUUUUAGGAAGUGGAUAAGGUUUAGGAUUGACUGAAACAAUUGUAUAAAGAUAACCUGUCGCUCUACAGUCUCGAAAAUAUCAACAGGUCUUGGCAAGGUUGGGGGACCAAGACAGGGAUGGGAGCAAGGAGGAUGGUGAGAAAUGGUCAAGUAGCCUUUACGUUUUUCCCUUGCAAGUAAACGGGAGGAUAAAUAAAUUAGUGCACACUUUUAAACAAGAAAAUUAUGCUUAAGCUACACCAAUCAGCAAUGGCAUAUGGUUUGCAGGGGUACUCAAAAACCUUUGACCUCGUGGAAGCACUAUGAAAGGUUGAUCUACACAUAAUUAACACACACAAACAUGGAGGUGUGCGUGGGGGCAACAAUUACCUAUUUUCGCAUGAUGACAAACUUGAUUGAAGAGUCUUUAAGUUACUCCUUGACCAAACCAAUAAAUAGUACUAAUGUACUAUUUUGUAAGAGGUCAUUCCAUUUACUUCUUUUUUUUCUUUUUGCUUUUCCUACUAAUAAUUUAAAAUGUAAUUCCUCCUAACACUACUUUUUAAUAGAGUUGUAAAUGAAUUGAAUCGAAUUGAAUCGAAUUGAACUUUUUCACAGUUUGAGCUCGAUUCGAAAUUUUGGUUUUAAACUUGAAUUUCAACUUGAAUCCUAUACAAGUUUAAACUUUAAGCUCGUGCUCGAUUUGAUUUAAUAUUCGAUAGGUUGAAGCUAGAAAAUUUAUUUAAUUCUUCACUUUUGAUAUUAAAUCAUCACUAAUGCAUAUAUAAUAUCUAUAUAAUAAAAUAAUAAGUAUAUGAUUUUAUAUAAAAUUAUUAACAAAUAUUUUAAAUAAAAAUAUUAAAAUUUAUUCGAAUCGAAUUAAGUCUUAAUGAGUUGAAUUUUUACGAGUUUGAACUCGAUUCGAUACUAUAAAUCAAUCCUAAUUCCUAUUUAAAUUCGAAUUCGAGUUCCUUAAAAAUCAAACUCGAAUCUAUUUCUUAAUAAAUGGAAUCCGAACUAUUCAUAUAGAUUGACUAGAUCAAUAGAUUCUCUGACAUUUGCUUUGAAUUUUUUUCACUCCAGAUGCAGUUUGAAACCUCAACUACUGGUUCUACUUUUUUAUUUCUUGUACUCCUAAUGAUUAAAAAAAGGGAUAAUUGCAGAAACCUCCCCUGAGUUUUAUGGUAAUAGCAUUGACCUCCCCUAUGAGUUUUGAAAUAGCAAUCACCUCCCUAAAAAAAGGUGGACACAAUUUAAUAGAUUCUUCAUGGUCAAUUUACUAAAAUACCCUCACUGAAAUUUAAUUUUACCAAAGAAUGUGAUGACUUAAACCCAAUAAAACGUUUGUCAUUUUGAUAAUUGUAGUUUACACUAAAUUAACUAUUUAUGCAUAGUUUAACUAAAUAACUAAUAAUCUAAUUAAUUAAUUAACUAAUUAUCUGUUGACAUAAAUAGAUAAUUAACUAAUUAACUUUAGAUGCUUAACUAAUUAUGUAACUAGUUAAUUAACUUCUUAAUUAACUAACUAACUAACUCAAGCUGCAGUCUCCGUCCAGCUUUGAUUAAGAGUAUGCUUUACUGUGAGACUAGUAUUAGAGGGAAGAACAGGGCGGCAAUUGCAUAAUAACACUGAAACCCGCAAGCGGGAUUCUGUGUUUUUUCUAUUUCAAGGUUAGCUCGCAUGCGGGUUAAUGUUAUAUUUGAGCGCGAGAAGAAAAAAUUGGUAAUUAGGCUCUUUGGGCAUUAUAAGUAAAUAUUUAAAUUAAUGGCAGUUUUAUUACACCAAUAUUAUUGUAUUAUCAUUAUUAUGAUUAUUGUAUUAUUUCUUAUGCAAAUAUAACAUUUAAUUAUUUAAAUUUGAUUUUAUUUUUACAAUUUAUAAAAUUUUUAUCACUUAUAUAAUAUUUUUAAAACCCUAAUACAUCUAAAUUUGAUUUUAUUUUUCAAAUUUAUAAGAUUUUUAUUUAAAAAAAUGGGAUACGGAUAAGAUAUCCGGUUGGUUCGAUUUGCAUAGGUGCAUAUGAGAAUAUCCGAAUACUCUUUAAACCCGCAUGCGGGUUUAAGGAGAUUAUGGCAACUCUCUGACACACUAGUUCCCUAGCUCUUAAAAAAGGAAAAAAAAAAAAAUUGAGAAGAGCUCGCAUUCCACGAAUGCGAGCUCAAUAACCAGAGCUCGCAUUCCACGAAUGCGAGCUCUUGUAAGCUCGCAUUUCACACAUGCGAAGACCCCCCUGACGGAAAUUAAACCUAAAAUCACCCUUUUUGUAGAAUUUUUUUAAAAUUCAUCACAAAGUUGGAAAUUUCUCUUGUUUUGUAUUGUGAAGGAUGUAGGAGAGUUCCAUGAUGUUCUCCUGUGGCUGGAAGAAGCCAUUUUUUGAUUUCUGCAAUAUGACUUGAAACUGCCAAAUUGAGUAUCAAGCAAGCUGUGUUUUGAGCUAGAAAAUUGCUGCUGCAUACAUGAGUCCAGAUUCUGGUAUUCAUUUUGCUACUGACCAUCGUUUAUAAGCUAGUGCCUUAGUUACAUCAAUUAGCCGUUAAGUAGCCGUUGGUUUCUCAGCAAAUGAAGUUGUUGCAGGUCAUCAUCUGGAAGCAUGUUGUUGCAUUUAUACCCCCUGAACUUCCUUGUGCUUAAUGAAAAAGCCCCUCCUUGUUAAUACUACUUGUCAACUAACAUCAGGGCAAAUUUGGAACAAAUUUUUUAUCUCACUUGUACAGCUAAUUUUUUAAUGGGAAUUGAAGCUGCCUGGACUGAUUUUGCAACUUAAUGUUCCUGUUGAGGGUGCUAUCUGCCAUUUCAGAACUUAGAGGGGAGCUCAGUGCAACUGUCAGUAGUUUCAGGGGAGGUUUCUGCAAUUUUCCCUUAAAAAAAAUGUCAUAUCUUGUCUCUACACCCAUUAUUUUGUUGAAUAUAUCAAUGUCACUUUAUUAGUGUUUGUCUCUUUAUUGUAGUCUAUUUUAACACUCCUAUUCAGCAUUUCAAUCAGCCAUAUCCAGAGAAGCAGUAACCAACAGACACCGUUUGAUACGCGAUCAUCGUCACAGUAUCUUCCAAGUCUGAAGUGCCUAUAUAGGAUUCUUUACUACUACACUGUUCUCUAGUAACUUUUGAUAGAUUUGGAUGCCCUUAUAGCUUUUUUUGAGAAUUUCAAAGCAAUGCUUCUCCAAACAAUCACAACUAGUAGCCCUUUAAAUCUGAGCAACUCUCCUAACUUUUGCUAUUGUUCUUCUUGUUUCAAGAAUCAGAGCCAAAAGACUCCAUCUUUACUGCCCAAGACCCUGUUUCUCCCAAGUCUUGAUUCUAAAUUUUACUACCAUUUGAGUGAUAAAACCAAAAGGGGCUCAUUUUUUUCGAGUGGGAAUGGCUGUGGAGCUAAUUCCAUUCAAACAAGAACAGCAUAUGCUACUUUGCUUGAGACCCCUGUUCUGUGGGCUGGUAGAGUUUGCAUCUUUUAUGUCCUCUUGAAGGCUGGCUUAGCUGGAUCUCCUGCUAACCCUCUUAUCUCUUCGGGUAUGAACAUAGUCUACGAUGAUUAUUUGCCGUAUUUAUGCCAAAAAUAAAGUGUUUGUCUGAAUGCUGAUUUCGUUUCUUGAUAGAUUUGGAAACUAGUUCUGAUGAUUUGGGGUUCUCUAAGUGGUUUGAGAAGUUUCAAGGAAAUCCAGGUUUGUGAAUUUUCUUGCUAAUUAUUAUUGUUAUUAUUAUUAUAUUUUGCAAGCGUUGAGUUGUAAAUGCUUGAGUUUGGUAGUUUCUAAUACUGGUUUAUGGAAAUUAUGCUAGGGGAGAAUCAUAUUUGAGUUAAGGCAAUUUAAUAAUUACAGACUAGUAAUAAGGUGAAACUUUGGAAUGAGGAAAGUAGCUCUGCUUGUUGAGUGUAUCUCAAACUUUGCAUCAUUAGUGUAGUGUUCUAUGAUAUGACAUGUGGAAUGCCAUCUAUUCUUUCUAAUUUUGUGACACCACAUACAUUUUUUUUAGCUUGAUUUAAUUUUUAAGCAAAGGCUUACAACUACCUUGAAGGCUAAUAGUGUCAUCAGCGAAACUUGAAGUGGUUAUUGGGAGCCUGUAAUAAAAUUCCCAGUGGUGCUAAUUUUAUUCCCUUGUGUGCUUUUGAGAGAGCUGUGAAGGACAUUAAGACAGAGUGUAAGGAUAAGACUAAGAGGGGAUUGCCUGGACUGGUUUUUUAUUGAGAAUAACUUGUUCUCAAAACUGUGUGUUCUUUCUUCCUGUUUCCAUUCAAAUUGACCUAAAUAUACUGUACAAUUUGCACAUUGCAUAUAGCAGAAUGAAUCCUAGGGGAAAUGCAUGUUUGCCUAGCAACUGUUCCAUGAAAUUCCACUGUAGAUAGUCCUAGACUUAUGGAAGCAAGAUUAGGGAAAAAGUACCAACUUGGCAUGGGACUUCUUCAUGAAAUCGAUCAUCUGAACUAAAGCAAGUGUUGACAGAACAGCCUUCUGUAAGUAUUAGAUGAUAUUGGUAAUAUUAGGUAUCUGUCAUCUGGUCUACUUGUUAACUGAUUCUUUUUGUGAAAUUAACCUAUCUGGUAAGCGAAACAUUAACCCAUUUUGUAGGUGAUAUGAUUCUGAGACCAUGUGUGUUUUGUUCAUCUCAUUUAGAAGAUAUUUGGAUAAAAGAACUUAUUACAAUAUUAAUAAUUGGCUCCUUUAAUAGGCUGAUUUUGCAAGUAUUUAUUGAGUUUGAUGCUAAAUUGGCACAGGAAAUUGUCAUAUCAUGACCCUCUGCUUAAGUUGUUUUGGCAGUAACAUGUAUUAAAAGACUUCCUUUGUCUGAUCAUUAGACAUGAAUUUGGAGAAGAAAGAUGAAAGAGGAAAAGCUAAGAAAUAGGGAAACAACUAACAAAUGUGUAGCAUUAACGCUUUUCAAACUUUAUGCCUAAGGAUCACAUGUGAGGAGUAUUUAUAGGAGAUCUUUCGCACUAGAUAGCAAAAUUGACUAGCUUGACGUUAGGCGAUUUCUUGCUCUUAAGUACUUUUGUUUGACAGUACCAAGUCAUGCAACAAUCAGUAGACUGCUUCUCACAUCAUUCUCUACACAGGACUUGUUAAUUUAUUGAAUCAAGAAAGAUGAGUACUCCUAAAUAGAUGAAACUUCAGAACUGUAGCAUGAGUAUGCUUAUUGAUCAAGAUGUCUCCAAUAGAUUGAAUUGUCAAUAGUCCUAAAAUUUCCUUAGAUGGUAUUGGAUAAUUUGCAAGUGGUCUGCUGGGUAGAUCUCAUUAUGCUUAUCUUUUGUCUCAGGAUUAAAAGAGUUAAUCUGAAUGUUAUGAUACAUGAAUUGAUUUCAUUAAAAUAAAAAAAAAAUGUGAUAGUUUUUGGGAGGUGAUGACAUUUUUCGUUUAUUUUUUUAAGGAGUCUUUCAUUUCUCAUGUAUUGACUUAUUUAGUAAGUGGUCCUAUGUGAUGAAAUGUCAAAUAUGAUGUCACUUGGUACUGCAAUAACCAAAAUUUAGUCCAAGUUACCUAACUUGGAACUUGUAAAGAAGUUGCUUAACAUGAAGUUAUCUAACUUGUUGCCUAACUUGAAGUUCAUCAAAUUUACCAUCCAGGGCAAGGAACUCCAAUGAAUACUCAGUCUAACAUUCUGGAAUAGAAUCUGGAUAGCAUUAAUAUUUUAUAUUCUAGUUGCCAACUUUUUCUCUUAGCUUUUCCUUUCUCAUUUUCUUCCUCCAAAAGGUCAGAAGAACUUAAAAAUUCUUAAAGACUUUUCUCACUCAUUUUGAUAUCUUUUGCGUUGGAGCAUAAACCUAAUCACUAUGAGAGUUUGAAAUCCAGGAAUGAAGUUGGUUCUCUGUUUGCUUUGAGCAUUUAAUGGGCUAGUCUUAUUAUUGUCUAGUAGUUCAGUGGCUCCAGCCCAUAUAAUUCUACCUGCACGUAUGAGGGACUGCUUGUGUGGAUCUUUCUUUCAGUUUUAUUUUAAUUAUUUUUAUUGGGGGGGAUGCCUGUAGAGGUUAACUAAGGAAAAUAGCUUGAGAAGAAUGUUUCAAAUGGGUUCUGCAAAGCUGCUAUAGUCUGAGAAUUGUUAACUAAAAGUUUGUUUGGUCAUGGUAAAAUCCAUGGGAAGGAAGGAAAUAGAGGUGUAGAGAUUGAUGACUUCACAUGGCUGAUGAGGAACGGAGAAGGGUGGUAAUUGUGUAUCAAAUAAAAUCAAGAACCGCACCUUGGGUUUUUAUUAGCUUUGGAGUUACAGGUGUUGAUGAAGAUUAGGAACUUAGAACAGAUAUGACCCACUAUUAUCAGUCUAAAAUCUUGGUAUUAAGGUGAAUGGUAAAGUGUGCUUGAAAUAUUGGAAAGGUAAAGGUAGUAGAAGUGACUUUCUCUGUGUAAACAUACUUUUUGCCCAUUUCCCUUCCUGUUCUUCCUUCUUAAUGCCAAUUACUUACAAGAUUAAACCUGUACAAUGGGUAAAUAACUUCUCCAUUUGCUCUUACAGAUAUAACGUGCUUUAUAUGAGAGCUUGUGGUGCCUUGUUUGCUCUUAGUUUUUAGAUACAAGGAUCCUUCCUGCUUGCUUUAAUUUUUGUUUGUUUAAAAUGGAAGCUGUCUUCUUCAAGCAGAUAAGGAAGCAACUGAUAGAAGGAAACUAGUCAGCAAAUGGCAUCCAACAACCAAGGGUACCCUUAAGCGCAACUACAGGGUCCCAUCAAAAUCUGAAGGGCGCCGUCUUCUGAAAGCCAUUGCUUCUUUGUUAUCAGAUGAUGAUCACUUCAGAGAUGCCUCUUCUCACAAGGUAUAUCUGCUUCCUGCCUAAGAGUUCACUUCCAUUUUUCGUGGAUGAUGAUUUGAUUGUCAGCCUUGUAACUCAAGCUCUUUGGCCUUUUUCCUAGGGUUGUCAAAUUAGAAGGCAGAAUGCUCAUGGAGAAAGUGUUUGCUGUAACAAUGUUAGAGCUUUGUUUGAUGAGCUUCCUACUCCACACCUGGUGGUGGAAAUUACAGCUUUUCCUGCUGGUCCUCUCAACGAAAAUGAUUAUUUAAAAGCUGAGAAAUUAGAAAGGGUUCUGAGAUCUGCUCCUUCUGCUUGAUUAACUUGGCUAUGUUGGUACUCUAGAAUUUCUGAAAGCUAGAGGGGUGGUUUUCUCUAGUGACAAACCAAUUUGACGAUGUUGAAAUACUUGAGCCUCUAGCAGAUGCCAAUAGGCCCUUCGUUGUUUUUGUAUGUAUCUGAUCUGCUUGUAAAUAUUGAUGGCAUGGCUUCAACAUCUUGCGUCUGAACUCUGUGAGUUUGAGUACACUUCCAACAUGGGACCAGAUUCCUUUGAUCAAUCUUUAGUCAAAGGAAAAUCCUUAAAAAAUAAUAAAAAAAAGUUUGGCCUCUUUGACCAUAUUAUUUUGCGAGGUUUUAAUAAAUUUUGUAGCUAAAAACUUUUUUUUUUUUUUUUUUUUUUUUUGCUUUUUCGCUAUAUUUUGUCAAUCAACAAAACCACCAAAAGAAAGCUUGACAAUAAGCAUAACCAUAUGUAGCAAUCAGUAUUAUGCUGGUUUGUUAUUUACUACAAUAUUUCAAAUUAGUUGAAAUGUUUUGGCAAACUAAUAUCUUUCUUAUUUCUCUUUUAAUAAAAUCAAAUUUCAUUCAUGAAGAGACUUUGUUACAUAUAUUUAAACAUCUUGAAUGAGGUCUCAUGCUACGCAUGAAAGUGCACAGAUAUAUGGUUUGAUUUGAUUUGAUUUUCUGUUCAUGGGAGAUAAACACAAAGCUGUAUAAAAUACUAGACGAUAUUGACCAUCACAAAAGAUAGAGCAUCCAAGCUAGUUUGAUGAUAUAGAAAUGCUGGAAACUUUUGGUGAGAUUCAAGUCAAAUUUGUAAGGUAGUUGAAAUAUGUGGGAAGAAAAUUUGUAAGCAAAAAUUUGAGUGCAUUAUGGCAAUAUUUGAUACAUUUGGGAUAAAGUUAUUGUGUAUGAAUAAUAUAUUUCAGAUAUUGAGUGGGACAAUAUGGUGUACAUUGAACUGCAACAAAUAUAUAAACUGGAACAACAUCAUAUGUAUUGGUAUUGUUUACAAAUUAUCAAGAAAUUAGGGCAAUUGAUGAUAAGAUUAGUAGGCCUAUAAAUCCAACCUCCUUCUUAUUGGUUUAUUUACAACUAGUUAUUCACUGGUACAUUUGUACGAGCCUUUUUAAUAUCUUCAAGAAGAAAAUCUUUAUAUAUAAAAUAAUCACUUCUAUAAAAUUUAAUAUGCCAAAUACAAAAAACAUGUCCACUAAAUGUGCUACUAUACGUGACGUGUUUUUUUUGUCCUUAUUAUUAAUUGACUACUAAUAAGGACAAAAAAAAAAGUGUCUACUUUUUUUUUAGUUUUCUGAAUUGGAAAAUAGAUAUCUUAAAUAGAAUAGAAUUUUGAUGAUGUUGGAGUUCAAGGCAAGGCAAGUUUUGGAGAUGCAAUACAACCUUUUUAGACUUCAAAGAAAAGUUGUGCUACCGCUGCUGAUUUGAGUUUGGCUACAGCUACCAGCAGAUGAAAUAUUCAAUCAUUGUCUAUCACUUUAUCAUACGAAUUAUCCAAUGAACAAAACUGGGAAAGCCAAGUCUAAACAGUUAAUUCCACUUUACACCCUUCAACUAUUUCUGAACUUCCACAUUGAUCCCUAGAUUUUAAAGUGGGAAACUUUAGUUCCUAAAAUAUAAAAUGUAUUCCAAAAUAUAUCCUACUUAUGUAAACUUUGUCCCACUGUAAUUUUUAAAUUAUAAAUAUUUGAAGAUUCCAUACUUUAUCAACUAAAAAUGAAGAAAUUUUAUUUAGAGAUAGUAGAUUUUAUACUUAAAGGGGUAAAGUGUCACAUUUUAAAGUUUAAGAUUUAAAAUAAAUAUUUGAAUAUUGUUGAACGUGUAAAGUGGAAUUAAACCAUGUCUAAAUGUUUGCAAGGGAUUAAGGAACACCAGAGUUGAGAUGUAAUGUACUAUAUGCUCUGGUUUCAAAUCCUUAGUCCCCAAACUCCCCCUGUCCCAUAUCCCACUUUCUGCCACGUGUCUAUUAUCGAUUUAUUUGAGUUUGGGUUAACAAAAAACUAGAAACACGGCACGUGGCAGCUGUACAAAUAAGGGAUAGAGGGGACAGAAACUAUUUUGGGGACGGAGGAUUUGAAGCCCUAUUACAUUAAAUAAUGUUUUAUGGUUUCUUCUAUCUUGCUCAUAGACUAACAGAAAUAGGUAAAUCAUUCUCAGCCUUGCAGACCAGGAUGGCCCUAUACUAGCAGCAUGGAUGAAUUUCCUUGUCUUUGAUCUUAAAAAAUUAAAUGGAUUUGAUGUGUACUAUGUACAUCAUCAAUAGAUAAGUAUGCUCAAUCAAUCAUUUAGGCAUUUUAUAUUACCUUAAAUAUAACUGGGAAAUCAAAAUUAACACCAUAUCAGAUUUUUACCAAUGAGAAAAAUAGGAUAAUCAUUUUUAAGAUUCAAGAAUCAAAGUUAGAGUUGAUAAUUGUCCAUCAAGUAACAAACCUAGCAGCAAAAGAUCUAGAGUUACUAUUCAUUAAACACAGAGUAUAAAACUUAGGGAGUUCCUAAACUAUCAUUGUUAUUCAUUUUUGGCCCCCUAAUCUAUUUUUCGUCUUUGACUGGCCCUUAAACAAUUAAAAGUGUAUAGUUCAAGGACUUUUGCGCAUUUUAGACAUAACUCCAGUUGGAAUCAAAGCAUUUUUGUCCAACCUUAAUCAAAAGCAUUAGAAGCAAUCACAGGCCAACAUUCAAGUUAGGAGCAACAGCAGCUACAGGCUAGGUAGUCUAGUCAGCAGCAUCAGAAGUAGAAACCACCCAAGAAUCAGGCCUUUAAAGCAAGGAAAUAGGCUUCAUUGACUGAUGUUGAAAAGGGGUGGAUAACCUCCAACUAUGCGUAUCUUUGAAAGCAGCCUCCUUUUACAGUUGGAAGGUGGAAAGAAAGAUAGGAUAGAAGUAGAGCUAGUGAAAAUAGCAAUGAAAACCAAAGUGAAGGUGCUGGAGCAAGAGGAAGAGGAAAUGGGAGAGGUAGGGGAAAUAAGUGUCUGCUCCUGAUGCUUUUGAUUAAGGUUGGACAAAAUUCAAUUCCAGCUAGACUUAUGUCUAAAAUGGCUACAAAUACUUAAACUAUGCAUUUUUAAUUGUUCAAUGGUAAGUCAGAGAUAAAAAUAGAUUAGGGGCCAAAAGUGGAUAAUGGUGAUAGUUUAGGGGCACUUCAAGUUUUUUUUUUUUUUUUUUUUUUUUUACUUUAAACACAAGUGAAUCUUAAAAUGCAGACUGUUAUCUAGAAUUAGAUAUAAAAAACUUUUACAAUAUGUGAAGAAUUUUAACUAAAGAUUAUAGUAAUUUCUAUAGUAAUUUCUUCGAAUAAACAUUUUUUAUUUUCUCCUCUGCACAUUAAAACAAACGGACGAGUGAAAGUAACUUGUGUAAUCUUUAACUUUUUUCUUUUUUAGUGUAAUCUUUAACUUUGUUAAUACUUAAUGCAACUUCAACAUUUUAUUAGGGGAUAAUUUUAGAAAACCUCCCUUGAGAUUUUUUACAAUUCUCCUAGUACUCGAGAGAUUUUCAAUAUUACAUUUACCUCUUUUGGUCCUAUAAAUGACCAUAAUAAUCUUAAUAUAUUAAUAUUUUUCAUACAAUUAAACAAUCUGCUCCUAAUCUUAUGCCUAAGAAUGCAUUUCACACAAUUAGACAUUAAAUGGAAGCAAAAAUAAGAUUCACCUAUGGAAUAACCAAUUAUGUACUAAACAUAAUUUUAACAUAUUACAAAUUAAUUUUAGCUUUGUUUGGAGGUUCUGGAGAUGAAUAGAAGAAAAUGUAGGCUGAAAGUUUAAGAAGAAUGGGUUUGUUUCUGGUUUUCCAACAUUUGAGGGAUAGGGUGUUAUAUUAAUGCAAUUGGUAAAAUUUUUUGACCUUAACGGUGCUUUUUUUUUUUUUUGUUGGUUUGGAUUGAGGUUUUAGAAAUUAGGGAUUGAUUGUGGUAAUGGUCAUGGAAAUAGUGAUACUGAUUUGAGAUGUGAAAAUAUGAAAGGUUUAGAAUAGUAGAAAUGAGGGUUAGAAAGUGAGUUUGUAAUGUUGUUGAUGUUUCAAAAUUUUUAAAGAAUUUUAUGGGAAGUAAAAUGAAUUUCACAAUUUCAAGAGGGCAUUUUGGGUAAUUCAUUCAAAAUUUUAACCAUUGAAUAGUUUUUAUUAGUAAAAUUUACAUGAAUAGGAGGAAUGCGUAAUUUUUAAAAAACUUAAAAAAAAAACUAGGUGCAUUUUUUAAAAACAUCAAGAGAGUUUUCCGAAAUUAUCCCUUUUAUUAAUAAGUAGUGCAUCAUAUGGAACUGUUAGUAAAAACAGAAAUCAACUAAAUUAUUCUGCUAAAUAUAUAUGUUUCUUUUUUUUAUUAUUAUUAUAUUCAUAUUUUAUAAGACCUAAUAGUAUACGUCGUUAAGUGUGACAAGAACCUCUUCUCAUUACUCUUUUAUUAAGUUAGAAACAUAAGGGCGAAUUGCUACCAACCCCUUUAUUAAGGGGUCGAUCUGUAAUUAAGUCUAGCUGGAGUUUCUAUGGAGUAGCAAAAUGCUAUUUGAUAAUUUUGGAAUUCAAGUUUCUAACAGGUAACUUAGAAGCACUAUUUCUACAUGAUUACUUAUGGGACAAAAUUAAGUGUCAGAUCGCUUACGAUUUGAUCAUGAUGGAGUUCAAGGCAAGCAUAUGCUACUUUAUUAUUUGGAAACAUGCUUGAGUACACAGAAAUUUCCCAAUUCUUGGUUCUUUUUUUGCCACAUAAACCGAGCAAGCAGAGCAUAGAACCAAAUGCAAAUCAAAGCAGGGCAACAAGAUGGGCGGUUUAUGGGGACAUGUGGUACACGGAUUAGCCUUCGUUCUAUUUGGGAUCUGGCAUUUACUUAGCCAUAUGAGAUAUCAUUUUCUACAUCCAAAAUCCUAUACAUCUUUGCCAUGGUUUCCAACUUCAAAAUUCAGGUAUUUGGAGCUUUUUCUAAUCAUGGGAGGAAGCGUUGCCUCAAUAUCCUUGGAACUCUUCAUUUCUCCAAGCAAGCACCAACCCUUGGACCCUGAUGGAACCAUCCCAUCAAGCCAUCUUCACAACUUUGAGCACUCAAACAUAUCCUUGACCUUCUUUGUUUAUGCACUUUUUGCAAUCAUUCUCGACAAGAUUCAGCCACCAGCUCAAUAUGGCCUUACCCAAAUGCUUGGAGGCAUUGCUUUUGGCCAACAAUUUCUCCUCUUGCAUCUCCACUCUACCGAUCACAUGGGAGUGGAAGGCCAAUACCACUGGCUUCUACAAAUUGUCAUACUUGUCUCAUUUUUCACUACCUUCCUAAGCAUAGGGUAUCCCAAGAGUUUCUUGAAUAGUUUUAUAAGGUCUCUUAGCAUCUUGUUCCAAGGGAUUUGGCUGAUGAUAAUGGGAAUCAUGCUCUGGACACCAGAGUAUAUUCCCAAAGGCUGUUUUAUUAAGUUGCAAGAGGGUCAUUAUGUUGUCAGAUGCCAUGAUCAUGAAGCCCUUGAAAGAGCUAAAGCAUUGGUGAAUAUUCAAUUUAGCUGGUACUUAACUGGAGCUACACUUUUUGGGCUGUGUCUUUAUUUGGUACUCUACAAAAUGUUCCUUGGAAAAGUUGAGUAUCAAUCUUUAACAAGCUCUGAGGAUGAUGAUGAUAUUGAGACUCAGAAAACGAACAAAGAGACUUUUUCAAGGACAAAAGAGUGAAGGACGCCGGGGGGGGGGGGGGGGGAAUGUUUGUGGUGUGAUAUUGUUUGGUUUGCCUUGAUGGCGUUUGGUAUCGGAAAGAAUUGAUGUUCUUCUAUUUGUUAUAAUGUAGAAAGGAGAUAAUAAAUAGUUGUUUAUAGGAGGAAUUGACUUCAAUCUUUAGUUCAAAAUUAAUUCUUGUGUAGGUAAAUGAUUUUUUGUUAAACUUUUUGUCUAUUACUCUCUUGUUAUAUUACCUGUCCGAUUGACUGUGUCUCAUAUAGUAAUGGAUUGGGCAAACAUAUUUUAGAUAGAGCUGUAAAUGAACCGAAACGAACCGAGUAUCUCAUGUUUGAACUCUAUUCGUUAAGCGAUUCGAACUCCGUUCGUGUUCGUUCGUUAACUUUCGAACUCUAAACCUGUGUUCGUGUUUAGUUCGUUAAGUAAAGUUCGUGUUCGUGUUCGUGUUCGACUCGUUUAACAUAAACGAGCCGUUCGCGAACACGCUCGAAAAGUUCGAAUCCAGAUUACUCUAGGCCUUAAAUAUGCCACACAAAUCAUUAAUCAUCCUAAAAAAUAAUUAAAAUACUAAAUGACUAAAUUUCAUUAUUCAAUAACUGCAUAACCAACAUUAACAUAAAAACAACAAAUAAAACAAAGUAAUUUGUCCUUCAAAUAUAAAAAUUCAGCCAUAAGACAAGUACAAAUUUUCAGCAGCGGCCAACGGGGAAGGAAAACAAAAGUAAGGUUGGAAAGGGAAGGGGAAAGUUUUAGAAUUUCUUAUGAGUAACCCUAAAAUUUGUCAAAUGACAAUUAUGUCCUUGUUCGCGAAUGCUCGUUAAAAUUCGCGAACAUGUUCGUGUUCGCUCGAUUAUUAAACGAACACAAAAUUCGUUCGUAUUCGUUCGUUUAAGGCUUUCGAACGAGCCUUUAAUGAACACGAACCGAGCUAACGAACAGCUCGGUUCGUUUAAUAGCUCUAAUUUUAGAUCACUUGUUAAUUUAACAUGGUGUAACUAGAAAAUGUGUAACAGAAGACAUCAAACCAUCAAUUUAUAUCCAAUGUUGAGAAUGAAGUUUAGGUUUUGUUGUUGAGUAAUAAGAGAAAAGUAAGAAAACGCGAGAAAAAAAUGUUGUGCCCUAAUUCAUCGACCUUUCUUGUUCAAACUAAAACUAAUCGCUAAUAAAAGUCAUCUUAUCACUUAUCUCUGGAAUUUUCAACCGUUUCAAAUUUUAAUAAAGAAUUCUAUCUCAACCAAACACUUUAGAAUUCAAAACCAAAAAAAAGUUUAUCUUUUUUUUUAAAAUUUUGGGUUAAAAUCACCAAACGUCCUACUCAUUUGAACUUUUCCCGUAACAUUAUUUUUUGCUGCAAUUUUCUAUUUUAAUUAUCAGUCCAACACUAGUACGGGCAUAGAUGCGAAUUAAGCAACUAGUUUGGGAGUUAUGAUUCCAUAUCGGACACAUAAAUACUUGACCUACUUAUAAGCCUAGUCCAAUGGUUCAAUAAAAUAACAUUAAUGACCUCACAAAUAUAAAAUAGGGUUAAACUACUUUAAAAAAAGAUCUAGAUUUCUUUUCCUUGGGAAGAUGUUAAUAAAAAAUAAGAUCCAACAGCUAAACAAAAAAAUCACAUGCACACAUGUAAUCUAUUGUGUAUGACAUAUCCAUCUCAAAUGUAUGAGAGAUGUUUUACCAUAUUGUAUGUCACUUCUACUCAUUGAUGACAAUUUGUGGAGUAAUAUUUUUUUUAUUAUAAUAUCAUUUUGAAUUGAAUUAACAAGUUGAUAUUUUCAAAAAACAAAAAAGAAAAUUUUUGGGACUUAGAUUGUCAUUUUUCAAAAUAUUUUUAACAAAAAUAUAUUUUAGCAAUUGUUGUUAUUGACAAUUAAUUGUCUAGACCAACUUUUGUCAGCAAAAAAAAUAGUGUUAUUAAGAAUAAUUGAAGUUCUGAUAGUAAUACUCUAUUCAAAUGUAAAUAUUCAACCUAAGUAACAAAAUAAAUGAUAACCAAAAAAAUGAAAUAUGAGCUCAAUUGAUCUUGUUCAAACUACACAUUCUGUUAAUGGAUAAUUAGUAUAUACUAAAUUGUAUUUCCAUUUGUAGAAAAAUAAUAUGCAAUGUAUAUCGACCAACAAAUAAAUUACUGAUGUUUUAAACAAAUCAUACCUUAACUAAUGAUGUGCUGCUACAUAUGUAGUUGCUCACCUUUAUAUUUAUGCCAUCCUCCUCUCUUCCAUUUGUUUUUUAAUAGUGCAAAAUUCUUUUGUUUAUACUGGUGAAAAAAAUAACAUAUUUUACAAAUUAUUCCAAUUUAUUUAGAAAAUGUUACUAAUUUCAGGAGAAAUUAUGUAUUGCAAAAAUCUUUUAGUAAUUUUCUACUAAACAUAACUACUGCAUACAAAAGGAAAGCUAUUUGAUUUUGUUUUAUGUUGAUUAGAAGAACUUGUAUCAGUAAUAAUAGAAAUAGUGACAGUGGUGCAAAUUUCAAAUCAAUAAUCAACAUACACAUGAUUAUAGUAUUUUUUUAGUCGAUCAGACUAAUAUAUGCCAUAUGAUAGUAAGAUUUAGUAAUUUGUGAAUCGACAAUUUUAGCAGUUUACAUACCAUUCACCUAUAAAAAAUUAUGAUAUUUUAUAAUAAUUUACGUACCAUUUGCCAAUAAAAAAUGAGUUUGAUUAAAAAAAUGCAAACAAAUCGAUAAUGUAAAUGAUACAAAGUAUAUUUGAAAGUUACAGAACUUAAUAUAUGGGCAAAUUUACUAUGAUUUUAAAAGAUUAUGCUACGUUAAUACAACAUUAACUUUCAUACUUGUGACCCAGAAAAUAAAUUUAUUAAAACUUUACCAUUUUAUUAUACUCAUAGGUAUUAAUAUAUCAAAAUUGUGAUGUAUAGAUAAGUGCUAUUCUAUAUAUAACUCGAAAGAUUUGUUGUUAUUAUCAUCCAAACUUUCUAACCUUUCACAAAUUCAAAAAUAAUUCAGAAUUUAUAAUAUGACAAAUAAUUCUUACAUAUUUUAUAAAGUCAUGUGAAAAAAUAGUUUUCAUAGUAUAUUUAAAAUGCUUUAAACACAUCAUAUUUAUAAAUGAUACAUACAAUCAUGUAUCAUACAUUUACAUUUCAAGAAAUUACUAAAUAUAAUAGUAAGUAUCAAUCAUUAAUAAAAAAUCUUAGCAUUAUUUCAAAUCAACUUUCUAAUACUUGUUUCAUAUAAGUCUUUUAAGUAAUAUAGUAAAUUUAUGCCAUAAACUAGUAAGUUUUGACCAUUAACCGAAUUCACUGUUCUAUCAAUAAGAUUUACUAUUAAUCUAUAAAAACUUACUAUUACUUGAACUAAAUUUACGCUCCAAAAGGUAAGUUUCAAAUAUAGAGUAGUAAUUUAUUUUUUUAAAAAAGUAAAUUUCAUAUUUAUUCCAAUUUACUUUUUGAGACAUAAAAGUUACUAAUUUAUCAAGUUAACUUACUAUUUUUUAUGCAAAACUUACUAACCAAAUUUUUACGUAUUAUCUUAUUUAUGUGACUGGUCCAAUAGGUAAUCAAAUGAUCACUAAAAGUAUUUAAAAAAGUUUCGUUACCAUAAUAAUCUUUACUUCAGACUUUUCCUAAAUUUUAAUGCAAAAAAAUCAGUAACUAUGUAAUUUUGGUUCUGUCUAUAGGUGGCAAACAAUCAUAUUUAGCUAAAUUUACCCAUACCCAUCCAUGAAUAGAUGGGUAUGGGUAACUUAAAUUUUUGCAUACGAGUAUAAAUGAGUUGUUCAAUAAUAUCCAUUUAUUGGGUAUGGGUAUUAUUGGAUAACCCUGUCAAAUCUAAUGAACCCAUUUAAAAUUGUCUUUCCCCAAGUCUCCUCUCUUCCCUCACCCAUUUUUUUUUCAGAUUUUUUAUUUUGUCAUGAUGUUAACUACCUUUGUGUCAUUGUUAUUAUUAUUUGUUCGUUUUAUCUUAUCAUUUUAUUUUAUUUUAGUUUAUUAACUUGCUCAUUUUUCAGUAUUACCAAUUUAUGAUAAGUUUUAGCCUCUUUUCCUACCUUUCCAUAAUGAAAUUUUAAAUUUACACACGGAAAAAAUGAUAGGGGUUCAAAAUUUUUGGAUUAAGUUUAUAUGUUAACUUUUAUUGUAUUUAGUUCAAAAUUUUAUAUUCUUAUUGUUUAAUUAUUAAAUACUAUAUAAUUUUGCGACAUAAUGUACAGAUAGAAAAAAAAUUGGUAAUUAGGCUUAUUGAGUAUUAUAAGUAAAUAUUUAAAACUAAUGAUAGGUGCAAAGGGUGGUAUAAAUUGAUAACUUGUUUGCAAAAAUGAAUUUAAAUGAGUUUACAAAAAGUUAAAAUAAAUGGGUUUAGUUUGCAAAAAUGAAUUUAAAUGAGUUUACAAAAACAAAAAGUUAAAAUAAAUGGGUUAUAAAUUGGUGUUUUGGUUAUCCAAUUCAUUUUUUGACUUACCCAUUUAUACCCAUCUAAUUAAAUGGGUAUAAAUGAGUUGACUGAUUUAUACCCAUUAUUCAUUUUAAUGAAACCAAAUCCGUUCAAAUCACCCAUUUUGACACCUCAAAAUUCUAUCCUUCUACUUUUCCUUUCGGAUUUUUUCUUCUAAUUAUUUUCUUUUUGGAUUAAUCUUUUAUAUUAUUACACUAUCAGUGUAAAAUAUUACAUACAUGAGCGAGCUCAAUUUGCACAGCAUGUUUGAUAUUAACUUACAUAAUCUAGAAUUGUUCAUGUAAAACUUUUGUUAGCACUGAUGGAUUAAUCAUUUUCUCAAUUAAUUGUGUAGUCAGAAGUGCAUACAAGAUUAAAUUGUGUUAUGAAAUGUUUUGGGCUAUAAGUGUAUGUCUAUUACUCUGGCAACUUGAGUGUUUAUAAGCUGACUGGAUUAGCUUUCAAGAAGGCAACCCAAAGCUUGUGAAUUAGAAUGUUGAAUCUAAUAGAACUUGUGAUGCAUUCCAAUUCCAAGACCAAAAUGAAUCAACUUUGCUUCAAGGGUAACUUGGCUCUUCGACCAAAACUAAAGCAAAUAAAAAGUUGCCUAAUCCAAGAUUAUAUUAUUGUUAUUAUGAGUCAAACUACUAUUUUUUUAUUGCGGGGAAUGGAUUGCAAACCAAUUUUUAGAAUGCUUCGCGGCAUCCGUUGGGACCAAUACAAUUGCAUUUCCCAGCAGAACUCUUUAACAUGCUUUGGGUGUAACACUCCCGACAAGAUGGAAAGGUAAAUUUGUAAUGGAAGUGGGAAAUGGCCUCAAGGUUGAAAGCUGUAAAAUCAGAAGAAUUGGGAAAAGUUUCAUGUUUUUCUCAUUGCCAUCUGCACUAUAUAUACAAGUACAAUGUGCACCCCAGGCUCCCGUGACUUCAGCCCCAAUUUACCUAAUUAUGUGCAAUUACCAAAACUACCAAAUAUAGAUAGAUACUAAUAGACACAAGAUAGUCGAAACUUCAGCCCAGCCACCAAGUAUACACACUAAUACCCCCCUCAAGUUGGAGCAUGAAGAUUGGAAAUGCCCAACUUGCAAAGAAUGUCAUCAAACGAACGUUUGCCGAGAGCCUUGGUAAGGAUAUCAGCUAGUUGGUGAGACGAGGAUACAAAUUGAGGAAGAAUGAUACCACGACGAAUCUCAUCACGAACAAAGUGACAAUCAACCUCGAUGUACUUGGUGCGUUCAUGAAACACAGGGUUGUGAGUAAGGUGAAGAGCGGACUAGCUAUCACAAUAAAUUCGCAUAGGAGAUGAGUGAGGGACGCUAAGAGAAGCUAACAAACCCUUGAGCAAUUUCAAUUCACAAGUCGUAGAGGCCAAAGAUCGAUACUCUGCCUCAGCCGAAGAUCGAGAUACAGUAUGCUGUUUUUUCGUUUUCCAGGAAAUUGGAGAAUCCCUAAGAAAGACAAAAUAUGCCGUCAAAGAACGUCGAGUCAAGGGGCAACUCGCCCAAUCCACAUCACAAUAAGCUGUAAGAUGAAGAGAGGAAUCAGAGCGUAGCAAAAGACCUUGCCCAGGAUGAAGUUUUAAGAAACGAACAACACGAAGGGCCACUUCCCAAUGACUAUGCCGUGGCUCCUACAGAAAUUGUGCCAAGAUAUAUACACAGUAAGACGAUUCAGGGCGAGUAAUCGUCAGGUAGAUAAGACGACCAAUAAGAUGCCGAUAAGGCAUAGGAUCAGGAAGGGUCUCGUCCUUAGCUAAAGCGAGGUGAUGAUUUUGCUCCAUUGGUGUGCCGGCAGGUUUAGUACCUAACAAACCGGUCUCAGAAAUAAUAUCGAGAGCAUACUUUCUCUGACAAAGAAAAAUCCCAGUCGAAUUUCGCGUUACUUCAAGACCAAGGAAGUACUUCAAUUUACCAAGGUCUUUCAUGUGGAAACAAUCAUUCAAGUAAGUUUUAAAACGCAUGAAUGGCAUCACUAUCAGUCCACCUAUCACUAGAUCAUCCACAUAGACCAAAAUGGUCAACUGAACUUCGCCACGCCGAAACGUGAACAAAGAAUAGUCUGAGCCAGAUUGCUGAAAUCCAUAUUGAACCAGAGCCGCAGCCAGCUUGGCAAACAACACCGCGGUGCCUGUCGCAGCCCGUAGAGAGACUUCCGCAGAUGACACACUUUUAUCGCCUCCGGGUGCGUAAAACCUGGUGGAAAACGCAUAUAAACUCCUCCUCAAGAUCGCCAUGCAAAAAUGCAUUGUGCACAUCCAUCUGAUGCAAUUCCUACGCACGGAUCGCUGCUACUGCCAAGAAGGUACGAACCGUGACUAUUUUUGCAGUAGGUGCGAACGUCUCAGUAUAAUCAAGACCCUCGAUCUGGUAAUUCCCGAAAACAACCAAGCGUGCCUUGUAUCGCUCGAUUGUUCCGUCUGUAUGAUACUUGAUUUUGUAGACCCAUUUACUACCAAGAGCCUUCUUUCCCAUAGGCAAAGUAGCAACUGUCCAUAUCCCAUUAUCCUCUAGAGCCUCAACCUCCUUUCUCAUUGCCUCACGCCAAUAUGAAUGCUGCAUUGCCUCUUUAAAACUGGUUGGUUCAAUCCCUGUAGUUACUGCAGCCACGAAUCGACGAUGCGACAGAGAAAAUUUAGCACAAUUCAUAUAGUUUGUGAUGGGGUAGGGCGUACUUGAGGAUGCCAAGGAAGAGGAAGGAGAGCUCGAGGAACUGAGGGCGGCUGUAUACAACACAUAAUCAUGCAAACGAACUGAAGGCUGUCGCGCUCGUUUGCCGCGACCAAGAUCGUCCGCUGCACCUAUAACCUCUGCAACUUCAGGUAUUGGUACGAUCCCAUCUGUUGUCGUACCCUCUUCCACGGACUAUCCAUCAUAUUCAGAGGCUGGCGGAGGUGCCUCAAUCUCAGGCACAUCCUCCAAUAUAGUAGGCUCAAUGACAGUAGGCAGAGGAUCUGGAGUUGCCGACCUUGCGGAGUCCGUAUGGGCAAAAGGAAACACGUGCUCAACAAACUCAACAUCUCGACUUUCAAAACAAACCUUCCUAUCUAGAUCAUACACCCUCCACCCUUUUACCAUAAGAAUAACCCAUGAAUAUGCACUUAUGACUUCGACUUGCAAACUUAUCCUUCUUCCGAUUAAUGUUCUUAGCAUAGCAUAGGCAUCCAAAUACUCUAAGAUGAGAAAUAGAUGGAGGGCUUCCAAACAAAAUUUCAUAUGGAGUUUUUCCACCCAAAAUCAAUGAUGGAGUAUGAUUGAUUAAAUAUCCUGCAGUGAGAAUGCAUUCUCCCCAAAAUUGAAUAGGUAAGUUAGCCUGAAAACGAAGCGCUCUACCAACAUUCAAAAUGUGUCGAUGUUUCUUCUCAACUCUUCCAUUUUGUUGAGGUGUCCCCAACCAUGGAAGUCUAAUGAAUAAUGCCGCAUUCCUUAAAAUAAUCAGCUAAACAAGUAAACUCUGUACCAUUGUUACUGCGUAUAAUUUUGACUUCUUUAUUGAAUUGUCUCUCGGUCAUAGCCAAAAAUUCUUAACAACACAUGGGACCUCAUGUUUCCCUUUUAACAAAUAAACCCAUACACCACGAGAACAAUCAUCAACAAUAGUUAGAAAAUAGGUAGCACCACAAAAACUAGCCUCUCGAUAAGCUCCCCACAAAUCACAAUGAAUUAAUUCAAAUAUAUCACUAGCUUUAUGGUCACUAAUAGGAAAAGGAAUACGGGUUUGUUUUGCUCGGAAACAAACGUCACAAGGUUCAUGAGCACCUUUAUUUAUCUCGAUACUACCGUCUAUUGUAGGGAUCUUUUCUAUGACUCGCAUAGAGGGAUGUCCCAACCUUUUAUGCUACAAACCCAUAUUCUUGACUGCAGCGGCUCCAUGAGCAUUGACCAGAGGCUCCCUUCGUGCGACAUAUAGCCCCUCAAGCUCUUCACCCACUCCAAUCAGCAUCCUCGAAGUGCGGUCCUGGACAACACAUAAACGAUCAGUGAAUUUCAAAAUAUGAACUUUGUCACUGGCUAAUUUUGAAACAGAUAUCAAAUUGCAUCGUAUUUCAGGGACAUAUAAAACACCCUUGAGAGAUAAUUUUCCUACAAGAACUGUUCCUUCUCCUGUUGCCAUAACGUAUUCACCGUUUGGCAUUUUCACGGGACAAGGAGGUAUUCCUUGAAGCUCUACAAAUGCAGUUUCCUCUCUCGUCAUAUGAUGCGAAGCACCUGUGUCAAACAACCAUUGUAAAUAUGCCUUACCAUUAAGCCUUGGCUGAGCAACUGAUGUAUUAUUCAUGUGAGUGUUCCAGAGAGACUUCAAAGUCUCCCAAUCAGCUUUGCUCAAGUUCUCCAAUCCAGCUUUAUCAGAAUCAUCAAGUAGUCUCCCAUGGGAAACAUUAGCAGCCGCCCCUACUGCCCUUGUGCAACAUGAGCCCGUGCUACUCCACCACGACCACGCCCCUGGUUACCACGUCUUUUGCCUCUUCCUUAAGUCGAAUUUCCUGGCCACCAGUCGGGAUAGCCAUGAAGAUGAAAGCAUGUGUCCAUGCUAUGUCCCGGUUUCUGGUAGUGAGAGCAAACUACUCCAUCGUCUUUUCGGUCCCCUUGAAUUCCGAGGGCUUGGCUGGCUAUCAUGGCAAAGCUCACUGGAUCAGACCGAUUGGGAGCUACUCGAGUCAUUACCUGCACUUGUUCUUACUCCGUAACUUGAGAAUAAAUCCUGAAGCGAUGAUGUUGGAACGGACAUUACUAUAAGAUGAUUCAUCAAGCCCUAUGAGGAAUUGAUGCACCCACUCUUCCUCUUGACCUUGUUGAAGCCGUGUAACGAAGUUACACUUGCAUCCAUUACAAGAACAAGUAGGCAUAGGAUCAUAAUCAUUCAAAUCAUCCUACAGUUUCUGAUAGCAUCAUGGUACGUGGGCAGGCCAACAAUGGCUCGAGUAAUCGAGGAGUUGAGGAUCACGUGCACGCCCCAAAUGGACCCAUUACUAAGGCUCGCGCAAAGAAACUUCGUGAGUAACUCAAUGUACUUAUUCAGGCCAUACACAAGUCCUUUGAAGGAUUCAUACACUCAAGUGAAGGUGGUCGCGUCCGAUAAUGAGCAUUGAAGCUACACCUGAGGAGUAGGGUUUUGCCAAACCCUAAUUUCCGUUUUAGCAUCAUAGUUAGUUAUUUCCACAUUAGUUGAUUAGAUUGAAUAAUUGGCUAAGUGCAUAUUGCACGUAGAAUCGCCAAGGGUAGGAUUGCUAAUUUACUCAUUAUUAUUUACUAGAGUGGGCUGCCUAGGAAGGAAAGGCCACAUGAGUCCCAACCCGUCGGGGAUUAAGCCUCCCUUAUUAGGGCCCAUAUCCACUGCACCCUUAGUCCAUUUUCUACUAGAUUAGGGUUUUCACUUGUAGCCUAUAUAAGGCACCAUAUUACAUCAAUAAAAGGGGGACACUUUUAUGAUAAAAAUAUUGAGAGAGUUUUCUCCAUAGCUUUCGAGCAAACCUUGAACAACUUAGAGUUAUACUCUAGUGUUCUUGUUCGGCUUAUCAAUUCAAGAAUCGCACUUGAAUUGUGGCGCCUUCUACACUUGCCUGAGGUUCACUAAUUCGUUUGGUUACGGGUUGAGAUAAUAUCAAUAAGUUCGUAGUCACGGGGAUUAGAGGGGUCGUAGGGUUUCCGCUGCUACCGUUCUUGCGUUCGAAGUCAAAUCCAACAAGUGAUCUUGGGUCGCGAAUCUUCUCACCAACGAGAUUCGUAUCAGCUGGCAUCAGAGCUAGCUUGUUGGUAACAUCAUUUUUUAUCCCUCUUUUCGUGUCUUUUGUAUCUAUCUCGUUAGAAAAAAAAAGAAGAAAAAAUCUAUUCAUUCCUUCUUGCUGAGUUUCGAUAGUUUCCAAAAUCUGUUCGUCUUUCUUGUUGAGUUUUAGUUGUUUCCAAAUCUGUUUAUGUCGUUUUUCUUGAGUUGCUUAUCAUCUAGGAAAGUAUUGGUACCUUGUUCUUGAAAUUCUUGCGUCAAAUUUGCUGGUUUCACGAAGAUCUUGAAGGGAUUCUGGAUAUUCUUGAAAUCUGGAAAUUAGCCUUGAUAUUCUUGAAGUUAUUUGCUGGAAAUUGUGGUUUGAUCUUGAAUUAUUGAAAUUUUCUUAUGCGUGACAUUGAAACAUACCUGAACUUUGAGCUCUAAUUGUUGGGAACCAAGAAUCACAACUUGCCCAAACAUUAAAAUCACCAAAACAGGCCGCACCAAAGCUGCAACCAAACCUGGAAAUUUGUGUUUGAGCCGAACCCAUAGUUCAUCUUUUGGCUGUAUAAACAAAAAAAAAAAAAAAUUGUUGCAGCAGCCAAUUUGAUCUUGAAAGGAACAAAAUAAACUGCCCAUCUUGUUCCACAACCAAGUAAGGGGAAUCGGUAACACCAAGCAAGAAAAAAAAAAAAGGCAGCUUCCUAAUCUCCAAAACCCGAAAGAUUUCUAAAGCCAAAGACUUCCAAAACUGAUAGGCUAACUUUUAGCCGCAUCUUGUUCCCUAUUUUAUAGCUGCAUAGUGCCUAAACUCCUGCCUAUCUGUUAGCUAUAUCACUUGCUAUAUUUUGGCAAACGGCCCAGAGAAAAAAAAAAAUUCCAGCAAAGCAAAAGGACCAUUUUCCUUGUCGGUUAGAGUUUUUAGUGUCGUUCUUAAUUUUUUUAGCUUUUGUGUCAAUUCCUUUUCCAGUUUUUAGUCUUGAAUAUAUUCUACCACUCCAUUCUUAGUGUCCUAAUUUUGUUUUCCAAGAAAAUCUCUACUCUUACGAACCUCAAAUUCUAGCGUGAACUUGUUUUUUGGCUACACUUGAGCACUUGAGGAGUUCUACUUUCUUCAAGGUUUGCAAGGGGUUGUGAGAAAUUUUGGUGAGCUCAUUAGAGUGAUCUGAGUGACCAUACACGAGUGUGAGAGUAUACACUUAGGGGGUGAAGUAAAAAAAAAAAAAAAAGAAGAGGGGAGACAAACGUUUCUUUCUCCUUUUUCCCUUUCUUUGCUACUAACCCUUGCAGGUACACUUGAGACUUCAUGUCUAGCGGCAACGAAGGAGUAUCUCGUCCCAUGGACUUUGAACAAAUGAUGGAGCAAAUGGAGAGACGUUUCCAAGGCAUGCUAGUAGCCAUUCAAGAUGAGUUGCUGCAACUCCAAGUUUCUGGAACACCAAAAACCACUAAGUCCAUGCGAAGGCGAAGGGAAGUGGAGGAUCGUCCGAUGGUUCCAAUAACAAUGAUGAUGAUGACGAGGAACCUCCCUUUCGGGCAAGACGAAGGAACCCGACUGGACCCGCUGAUGUAUUCAAGGGGAUCAAAAUGAAAAUCCCUGAAUUCAGAGGACGGUCCGAUCCCGAGACCUUUCUCGAAUGGUUAUCCAAGAUCGAAAUGGUCUUUUCUUGCCAAAACUACUCCGAGGUGCAAAAGGUCCAAUUGGCAACCAUGGAAUUCACUGAGUACGCUGUGGUUUGGUGGGACCAAAUCAAGAAGUCUAGAAGGAGAAAUGGACUCCCUGAGCUCGUUCCAUGGCCCGAACUUCGAGCCAUGAUGCGCACCCGCUUUGUACCUGGACACUAUACUAGGGAUUUGUACCACCGACUACAAACCCUAAUUCAGGGCAACCGGAGUGUGGAUGAGUACCACAAGGAGAUGGAGAUCCUGAUGCUUAGAGCGGAUGUACAGGAGGAUCCUGAAGCCACCAUGGCGAGAUUCUUGAGCGGGUUACGACCCGAUAUUGCUGAACGAGUGGAACUUCAACAUUAUAUGGAGUUGCAUGAGCUUGUUGACAAGGCCGUUAAGGUCGAGCAGAGGCUCAAGAGAAGGGGUACUACUCGACCGACUUUCGGUAACACCACCUACUCUACCAACCGCCCAUUCCAACCACGGAAUGACUCCCGGCCUUCACCAAAUGCUCCUACACCAAAACCGAGAUUCGAAGGAGGUAAGGUGGGCAACCCUAGUAUUAGCAAGCCGCCCUCUUCUACUCCAAAAUUUGAGGAGCCUAGGGUACAAACUAGAGCUCGUGAUACUCGAUGCUUCAAAUGCCAAGGUAGAGGCCAUAUUGCUAGUCAAUGUCCCAAUCAAAGGACUAUGAUUAUGAUGCAAAAUGGUGAGAUCGUGAGUGAGGACGAAACCGAGUACGAAGGCAUCCACCUCUUGACGGAGGUAGUGAUGGGAAUCGCCAAAUGAAGAGGAGUUUAGUGCACCCGAGGGUCAUUUUGGGACUGCUUUGGUUGCAAGGAGAGCAUUAACUGCACGUGUUAAGGAGGACGAGCUUCAACGGGAGAACAUUUUCUACACCAGGUGCUUGUCAACCAAGCACUUUGUAGUAUGAUUAUUGAUAGUGGGAGCUGCACAAAUGUGCUAGUUCACUCAUGGUGGACAACUUGAAGUUGCCUACAAGGGAUCACCCGCGACCCUACAAGCUCCAAUGGCUCAACAACUCUGGGGAGGUUCGAGUAACCAAGCAGGUUCUUAUAUCCUUCCAAAUCCAUAAAUAUUCUGAUGAAGUAUUAUGUGAUGUAGUUCCUAUGCAGGCUAGUCACAUUAUACUAGGUAGGCCUUGGCAGUUUGACAGACAGGUGACUUUUGAUGGUAUGACUAAUAAGUAUAGUUUCUUGUACAACAGUAAGAAAGUCACACUAGCUCCCCUUUCCCCCAAACAAGUGCAUGAGGACCAAUUGAAAUUGCAACAAGAGUUUGAGAAGUAUAGUGCAAAAAGAAAGAAAAUGAGAGAGCCGAGGCAAAAAAAGAGAGGAAAAAGGCUAUAGAUAGCUCGGCAAGUGAGGUAAAAAUCGAGGGAAAACAAAUGCUCCUGAUAAAAGCCAAGAAAGUGAGGAAGUUAAUGAGAGAUGAGCAGCCACUUCUUAUGCUUGUUAGCAAGGAAGUAGCUCUGAAUAUGCAUGAACUUGAUACUGAUAUACCUCUCGAGGUUAAGUCUCUUUUACAGGAGUACGCUGAUGUCUUCCCCGAGGACGUGCCAAGUGGAUUGCCACCACUUAGGGCAUUGAGCAUCAAAUUGACUUCAUCCCUGGAGCUUCAUUGCCAAAUCGCCCAGCUUACAAGAGCAACCCGGAGGAGACUAAGGAGUUGCAAAGGCAAGUGGACGAGUUGCUUGGCAAAGGAUGGGCACGUGAGAGUUUAAGCCCGUGUGCUGUUCCAGUCAUUCUGGUGCCCAAGAAAGAUGGUACGUGGAGAAUGUGUACUGAUUGCAGAGCCGUAAAUGCCAUCACGGUAAAGUAUCGCCACCCUAUACCUCGCUUAGAUGACAUGCUUGAUGAGUUACAUGGGGCUGUGUUCUUUACCAAAAUUGAUCUCAAAAGUGGGUACCAUCAAAUUAGGAUUCAGGAGGGGGAUGAAUGGAAAACUGCCUUCAAAACUAAGUAUGGCUUGUAUGAGUGGUUAGUGAUGCCUUUUGGGCUAACUAAUGCACCUAGUACCUUCAUGAGGUUAAUGAAUCAUGUUCUGCGUCCAUUCUUAGGAAAAUUUGUGGUAGUUUACUUUGACGAUAUCCUAAUUUAUAGCAAAUCUUAUGAUGAGCACCUAGAGCAUAUUAGGGCUGUUAUGGAUGUACUUCGAAGAGAGAAGCUCUAUGCCAAUCUCAAGAAGUGCAAUUUUUGCACUAACGACUUGUGUUCUAGGGUUUGUUAUAAGUGCGCAGGGAAUGAAGGUGGAUGAUCAAAAGGUAAAAGCUAUUCAAGAGUGGCCAACACCAAGGUCUGUGGGUGAUGUUCGAAGCUUCCAUGGCCUUGCGGGUUUCUAUAGGAGAUUCGUGAGGGACUUUAGCACUAUUGCUGCACCCUUGACCGAGUUGAUCAAGAAGAAUGAGAACUUCCAUUGGGGAGAUUCUCAAGAACAAGCCUUUCGCGCUUUAAAGCACAAACUCACACAUGCACCUGUACUUGCUUUACCUGACUUUUCUAAGACAUUUGAAAUUGACUGUGAUGCUUCAGGUAUUGGAGUUGGAGCUGUGUUGAACCAAGGAGGAAGACCUAUUGCCUACUUUAGUGAGAAACUCAAUGGGGCUGCGCUGAACUACUCAACUUAUGAUAAAGAGUUGUACGCCCUCAUUCGAGCACUACAAGUUUGGCAGCACUACUUAAGGCCUAAGGAAUUCGUGAUACACACUGAUCAUGAGUCCCUUAAAUACCUUAAGGCCCAGCACACCCUGAGCAAAAAGCAUGCAAGGUGGAUCGCAUUCGUGGAGUCCUUUCCGUACGUGAUUAAAUAAGGCUGGUAAGUCUAAUGUGGUUGCGGAUGCACUCUCACGAAGGUACUCUCUACUCACCUCCUUAGAUGCUAAGUUGUUAGGGUUUGAGCUGAUUAAAGACAUCUAUGCACAAGAUAGUGAUUUCGGUGAACUUUACCUUUCUUGCAAACACACUGGGCAAGGUAAAUUCUUCAUUUCCGAUGGUUACUUGUUUUAUGCCAAUCGGCUUUGCAUCCCACAUGGAUCCAUCCGCGAACUUUUGGUACGAGAAUCCCAUUCGGGUGGCCUUAUGGGACAUUUUGGGGUUGAUAAGACUCUUGCCAUGCUGCAGGAGCACUUCUAUUGGCCGCACAUGAGGAGAGAUGUUGCACGGGUGGUAGAGCGAUGCUUAGCUUGUAAGAAAGCUAAAUCCAAGGUACACCCGUAUGGCCUUUACACCCCGUUACCUAUUUCUAGUGCACCGUGGGUUGACAUUUCUAUGGAUUUUAUACUUGGUUUGCCUAGAUCCAAGUAUGGCCAUGACUCCAUUUAUGUGGUUGUUGAUAGAUUCUCUAAAAUGGCACACUUCAUUGCUUGUCAUAAAACGGAUGAUGCAUCUCAUAUUGCUAACUUGUUCUUUAAAGAGAUUGUGCGAUUGCAUGGCAUUCCUAGGACCAUUGUAUCUGAUAGAGAUGUUAAAUUCCUGAGCUAUUUUUGGAAGACACUCUGGUCUAAGUUAGGCACCAAACUGCUAUUCUCUACUGCGAGCCACCCCCAAACUGAUGGUCAAACUGAGGUAAAUCGUACAUUAGGUACCUUGUUGCGUGCCAUCAUCAAAAAGAACUUAAAAUCUUGGGAGGAGUGUUUACCUCAUGUUGAGUUUGCUUAUAAUAGGGCUAUCCAUUCUACUACUGGUUUCUCUCCAUUUGAAUGUGUUUAUGGUUUUAAUCCGCUAACACCACUUGAUCUAGUGCCAUUACCUAGUAAUGAGCGCGCACAUUUGGAUGGUAAGAAACGUGCAGAGUUUGUUAAGCAACUGCAUGAGAAAGUCAGGGCUAACAUUGAGAGGAGAACUGCUCAAUAUGUCAAGCAAGCUAACAAAGGUCGCCAAAAGUUGAUUUUUGAGCCUGGCGAUUGGGUGUGGUUGCACAUGCGCAAAGAACGCUUUCCUGUUCAAAGGAGGAACAAAUUACAACCACGGGGUGAUGGACCUUUUCAAGUGUUGGAGCGCAUCAAUGACAACGCCUACAAACUUGACCUUCCUGUGAGUAUGGAGUUAGUGCUACAUUUAAUGUCUCUGACUUAGCUCCUUUUGAUGCAGAUGAUGCGUUUGAUUUGAGGGCAAAUCCUUCUCAAGAGGAGGGGAAUGAUAGCAUCAUGGUACGUGGGCAGGCCAACAAUGGCUCGAGUAAUCGAGGAGUUGAGGAUCACGUGCACGCCCCAAGUGGACCCAUUACUAGGCUCGCGCAAAGAAACUUCGUGAGCAACUCAAUGUACUUAUUCAGGCCAUACACAAGUCCUUUGAAGGAUUCAUACACUCAAGUGAAGGUGGUCGCGGUCCGAUAAUGAGCAUUGAAGCUACACCUGAGGAUUAGGGUUUUGCCAAACCCUAAUUUCCGUUUUAGCAUCAUAGUUAGUUAUUUCCACAUUAGUUGAUUAGAUUGAAUAAUUGGCUAAGUGCAUAUUGCACGUAGAAUCGCCAAAGGUAGGAUUGCUAAUUUACUCAUCAAUUUCAUCUGAGUUCUGGUUCGGCUCCUUAAUGGUGCCAUCAAUGAAACCUUGUUUCUUCUUUGCCCUCAACGAAAUCCUCAUGGCCUCAGCCCAUUCUUCAUAGUUUGGUCCUUUGAAUUGUGUCUGCGUAAUUAAAUUGCCUGGAUUGUCAUUCGCGCUCAAUAAGAACGACGAGUUGGUCUUCAAACUUGAAGCAUUUUGAUCUGUCAUCGUCCUAGGAUUUAUAGUUUAGGGGUUCGGUAUUGUUUCAGAGCUAGAAGGCUCUGAUACCAUGUAAAAUCAGAAGAAUUGGAAAAAGUUUCAUGUUUUUCUCAUUGCCAUCUGCUCUAUAUAUACAAGUACAGUGUGCACCCCAGACUCCCGUGACUUCAGCCCCAAUUUACCUAAUUAUGUGCAAUUACCAAAACUACCAAAUAUAGAUAGAUACUAAUAGACACAAGAUAGCCGAAACUUCAGCCGAAACUUCAGCCCAGCCACCAAGUAUACACACUAAUAAAAGCUCUCUAAGGAGGUUAAGGAUAUGAUGCAGUGGAUGUGACAGCCUAAUCUUGUUGUGCCAAAUAGUUGAUUCUGAAGUCUUUAAAGUUAAAGAGCUAUGAAGGCUAUCAAAGGAUAGGGACCUAAUGCGUCUUGCUCUCGACUAGUUUGGGGUAAACAUUUGUCCACGGGUAUGCUUUCAUUUUUUGGUUAUACUCAGCAAGUAAAAAUUGAGUACUGUGGACAGACUGGACAGACUCAAUUUGGUAAGGGUAGAACACGCCCUAUGGUCAAUCUGAGUCCUGUAGAGUGGAUCCAGAAGAAUAUGUGUUUUGUCUUAAGAUGAUCCAGAAGUGGACUGCAAUUGUUUUAAACAACAAUUUACUUUGCGAUUCUCACAUUGGGGAUAGCUUAAACAUCAAUUAGUUAACUAGAAAGUUAAACAACUUGAACUGAAUACAUCAACUAGAAUCUGAAUCCAUAAUCCAAUAGUCUUGGUUGUUACUUCAAAUUCUAAGCAUUAUGUAAUUUGUGGGUGAAUAAUUUGCACUUCUAUGUAAAAGUCUCCAUCAACUUUUCUCUUAAACUCACAAAUGCAAGUGUCUUCAUAUCCAACAAUGUUGAUCCUGCAGAGGCUUGCCCAUCCUUCAUAGUACCAAAGUCUGCCUUCCUUCCAAUGAUUAAGAGUUGCAGUCCACUCUCGGCCUUGUUGGUCAACAAGGAUAAUCUCUUGUGGCAGUGUAAGAUUGUGAUCUCUCACAACAUCAAUCGGAACAUACUGCAUUGACUAUCAUCAGCAAAAUUUUGUUCUAAUCGAUAAGCAAUACUAGGAAUUCCUGUGAUGUGUUUGUAAUGAAAUAGGUGAAAUAUUAAAGGGAAUAGAUGAAUACUAACAUACCAGUUCAUCUAUUCUCUUUGCCUUUAAUUUUGUAACAAAAUAAGGAUUUUUUGGCUGGGGAAUGCGUCUAGACUUGAAAAGAUCAUGGCCAUAAUGGUCAACAUUCCUUGUGGUACGACGUUUACCUUUAGCAGCUUUAGCUUCUGCACGAUUAACCAAAAUCAGAGGUCCAGCAAAUGUGAUGAAGUAAACAGGUUAAUUCUAUGAAAAAUCAUGCUUAAGAAUAAUGCAAAUUUCACAAUCUUGUACAAUUAAAGCAAUCUCUUGAUGACAGUCCUGGUUUAAAUAAUUGAUUGAGUUGUGAAACUGACGUUAUUUAGUGCUUAUUGUAUAAUCAUAGAAGGAUCAAGGAUAGAUCAAAGCCUUAGAAACUUACUAUGAUCGCCACCUUUGAACAUUUUCAAGUCUUUGCAGGAAUGCUUUGAGGCUAUAGUGUCAACUGGUUUGUCUAUUUUAGCUAUUUCCCCUUCCCCUUUUUCUUCUUCUUUUGCGGUACUAUUGUUUUCCUCUUCCAUUAUGCAAUCAAAAUCCGUGACCAUUUCAGUUGCAUCAGUGUAAUUCUCUACCACUUUCUUUCUCUUCUUUUUGAAGCUCAUUAGCUCGAUUCUCUUUCUUCCCUUCCUUUGUUUCAAUCUCAUUAUCUUCCUCCUUUUCCUCUAUCUCUACUGCUUUCCUUUCCUCUUCUUCUUUUUCAGCAUACCUUCUGCUAUGAUUUUUGUUGUAGAUAUGUGAUCUGAUAUUGUAGAAAUCAUAGAUAUAUGAUUUAAUUUGAUAUUGUAAAUAUUAGGAAAGAUUAGAUCUUAUUUGCUUUGAUUAUAGUAUCAGAUAUUAGAAGAUUUGAUUAGAUUAUAGAUUGAUUUAGAUUAGCGUGAUUUUAGAAUCUAAAUCAACUUACACUUGUGUAUAUAUUUGUGCAUUAUAUAGUCUAAAAGAAUAAUGAAAAAGGGUGUUUUCUCUCCCUUCUUAGUUUACAUGGUAUCAGAACUUUAGGCUUUGUUAUUAGUUUGUCUUUUGACGUAACCCUAUUGAGUCACUUUUAGUUCUUUCUUGUGUGAAUUAUAAUGGCGGAUAUCAUAGGUAGUGGUAGAGAGAUGAAAACAGUAAUUUCUGAUGUUAUUCUUACAAUAUCAAAAGUUAUUGAACACAAACUAAGUGGAAUUUUUUUUUGAAUUGGAGUAAAUUAUUCGGAUAUAUCUGCGCAACAUCGAUAGAGAUGAUUAUUUCACUGAUGACCCAUCUGUUAAUGGGGAAGAAAAGAAGGUUUGGUUAAAAGAAGAUGUAAAACUAUUUUUGUAGAUCCGAAACUCUAUUGAUAAUGAGAUAGCCAGUCUGGUUAAUCAUUGUGAGUUUAUUAAAGAUCUUAUAGAUUAUUUGGCUUUCUUGUAUUCUGAUAAGGGUAAUUUAAAUCAUAUAUAUGACGUUUGUAAGGAAUUUUACCGUCCAAAAAACUAGCAGAGAUCCCUUACAGAAUAUUUUAUGGAUUUUAAAUAUGUAUAUGAGGAAUUAAAUUCUUCCCUUCCUUUUGGUACUGAUGUAAAAACUCAACAGUUUCAACAGAAACAAAUGGCUGUAAUGAGUUUUCUUGCAAGAUUACCAAUUGAGUUUGAUGCUACUCGAAUAUAAAUUUUCUCUAACCCAGAGAUUGUUUCCCUCCAUGACACUUUCACACGAGUGUUAAGAACCAAAGAAUAUUUAUCUACUUCUAAUAUUACUAGUGCUCUUGUGAGUCGAAGUAGAGUUGGUCGAAGAAAUAAUAGUAGAAACAGUAGUAAAAAUGGGACUACUAGUCAUGAAAAAUACAACUCAAAUCAACGAGUCUGUUAUCACUGUAAGAAAUCGACCAUACCAUACGUACAUGUUGGGACCUUUGAUGAGGAAGGUGCCAUCCAAGUGGAGCAAGUGAAGGUGCCAUUGGGGCCUAUGACACGAACUCGCGCGAAAAGAUUAAACGAGACACUAUAAACAUUGGUUCGUGCGGCCUGAGAGUCGAGUGGAGAGCCAAAGGUCAUCGAGAGCCUCAACGAGGUUAGACUUGUUGUCCUAGUUUUGGCCAUCACUGAAGAUGAAAAGUCCAUAAAACAUUAUUAGUUUAGUAUAGUGUAAUAAAGAGAUCCAACUAACUUGUGGUCUGGACUUUCGUCGUUGUUAGUCCUUGAGUCAAUGGGUUAGGCCAUGUGGGCCACGUAGUUAGUCCCUAUGCUGAGCUGUACGGGGGCCACGUAGUUAUUUCUUCAGUUUUAUUAGGUCUUAGUCUCGGCUAUAAAUAGCCUCAAAUCGGAUGUUACAUUCACUUUUGGAUGAUUAAUAAAAAUUACAUUGAGAGUUCUCUCAAAAGCUUUUUUGAAGCAUCCAUUGAAUAUCUUAGAUUCAUUCUUAGGUAUUCAAUCAACUUAUCAAUCUAAGACCGUGCUAGAUUAUGGCGUCCUCUACCAAGUACCGAGGUUCGUUGACCACGUGAUUAACGAGUUUAGGUUAUCCGCUGCGUUCGUCGUCCCCAACGUGGUUCAUACCUUCUAGAUCAUUCCUGUCUGUAUGGGUUGCAUCACACGGUUGGUGCCGUUCGUAUUAACCUUCAUGGUAGACCUCAACAGCAUCCCUCAUUUGCAAAUUUUGCAACCCAGGAGAACAAUUAUGUGCUUUUUGACAAAUCCAUACUCAUCUCUGCUGAUGAAUUUGCCCCUUUAUUGGAUUUCAGUUCUCACAAAAAUCUGUUUACCCAUCUUCUAGUACCGAUCUUCCUUCUAUUGAUCACUCAGGUAAAUCUACUACAUAUCUUGUGUCAUCUUCUAACAAAUGGGUCAUCAAUUCUGGUACAACAGAUCAUAUGACCGGUAAUAAAGGUAUUCUCUCAUCUUUUAAUCCUAACAAAAAUCAUCCGAAUGUUACUUUGACUGAUGGAUCAUGUGCUUCAGUUGUAGAUUCUGGUGUAGCAAUCCCUAUGUCAUCUAUCCCCUUAUCUUCAAUUUUAUGCUUAUCUAAUUUUUCUUUUAAUCUACUCUCAAUCAGUAAAAUUAUAAAAGCAAUCAAGUGUUUUGUUUCAUUCUUUUCUGAAUAUUAUAUUUUUCGGGAUCUUAUGACGGAAAAAAUUAUUGAUAAAGAAUGUGAGUCUGGCGGUCUUUAUACACUUAAAAUCCCUUCAAUGAAAGUACUGAAACCUGUUGCAUGUUUAUCCACCUUGAAUUCUCUUGAAAUUCACUGUCAUUUGGGUCAUCCAUUUCUACCCACAUUGAAGAAGUUGUUUCCAAUUUUCAGAAUUUAUUCUAUUUAGAUUGUGAGUCAUGCCAAUUUAUCAAACAUCAUCAUUUGGCUUAUUUACCUAGAGUCAAUAAACGGGUUGUAUCGCCAUUUGAAUUAGUGUACUCUGAUAUGUGGGACUUUUGUCCAAUAGUAUCUAAAUCUGAUUUUAAAUAUUUUGUCACAUUUGUUGAUGACUAUUCUCGUGUUACUUGGUAAUAUUUAAUGAGAAGUCGUUCAGAUUUAUUUAGCAUCUUUUGUUCCUUUUGUACUGAAAUAAAAUCAUAAUUCAAUGUGUAUGUCCGCAUUUCGAGAAGUGAUAAUGCAAAAGAGUACUUUUCUAAACCCUUUAAUUCAUAUAUGUCAGAAAAUGGAAUCCUUCACUAACUUUUAUGUCCUAUCACACCACCACAAAAUGAUGUUACUGAAAGGAAAAAUAGGCACUUAUUAGAAGUUGUUAGAGCCCUACUAUUUCACAUGAAGCUUCCUAAGUAAUUUUGGGCAAAUGCUAUUUCAAUAGCCUGUUUCUUAAUUAAUCGCAUGCCAUCUUCUGUGCUUGCUGAUGAGAUUUCUUAUUCAAUUUUGUUUUUAGCCCAAUUUUUAUUUUCCAUUGAGCCACGUAUAUUUAGGUGUACUUAUUUUAUUUGUGAUACCUGUCCCCAAGUGUCUAAAUUAGAUUUCAAAUCUCUCAAAUGUGUGUUUUUGAGUUAUUCAUGUCUUCAAAAAGGGUAUAGAUGUUAUUCUUCAAUUUUUGAUCGUUAUUUAGUCUCUAUUGAUUUUAUAUUUUUUGAAACUCAUCCAUUUUUUUUAGUCUAAUGUCUACGGUAGUAAGAGAGAGGAAGAUGAUAUUCUAGUCUACACUGUUACAAUAACUAUUCCUAUAAGACUACCAAUCACUCAAGUAUAUUCUCGUCGUUCUAAACACGUAAACUUACAUCCUUCACAAUAUUCUCCGUCUACAAAUUCGAGUCUUGAUUCACCGUUUCCUCAGUCUCUAUAUUCUAGUCUUGAUUUGCCUAUUGCUUUAAAAAAGGUGAAAGACAGUGCACUUACCCAAUUUCAUCAUUUGUUUUAUAUGACCAUUUGUCUCCCUCCUUGCACUGUUUUACUGUUUCUUUAGAUUCAAUAUCUUUUUCUCAACUUAUCUGAGACUUUGGAACAUCUUGAUUGGCGGCUGCUAUGGAGGAAGAAAUGAUGGCUUUAGACAAUAAUGGUAGUUGAGACUUGGUUCAUCUAUUAACAGGUAAGAAAUCUAUUGGUUGUAAAUGGGUAUUUGCUAUUAAAGUCAAUCUUGAUGGUUUUGUUGCUCGUCUCAAAACUCAUCUUGUUGCAAAAGGGUAUGUUCAAACAUAUGAAGUAGAUUACUCAGACACGUUUUCUCCAUAGAAAAACUCACAUCUGUUCGAUUAUUUAUUUCCUUGUUGCUACUAAUAAUUGGCCUUUGUACCAGUUAGAUGUUAAGAAUGCAUUCUUUCAUGGAGAUUGCAAAAAGAGAUUUAUAUGGAGCAACUAUCUGAAUUUGUUACUCAUGGGGAGUUUGGUAAGGUUUGUAAAUUUCGAAAGUCAUUAUAUAGCUUAAAACAGAGUCCUCGUGCUUGGUUUGGGAGAUUCAAUAAGGUGGUUCAAGAAUUUGACAUGAAAAAGUGUAAUUCUGAUUAUUCUGUCUUUUAUCAAUAAUCUGAAAUUGGUUUUAUCCUACUUGUUGUUUAUGUUAAUGAUAUUGUUAUUACUGGUAGUAACACUGCAAGUAUUGCAACUUUUAAAAAUUUUCUUCAAUCGCACUUCUAGAGAAAGGAUUUUGGUAUGUUGAAAUACUUUUUAGGCAUUGAGUUACAAGAUGUAAACAAAGUAUCUUCUUAUGCCAACGGAAGUAUGUUCUUGAUCUUUUGAAAGCAACAGAAAAGUUAGGUGUUAAGUCAUGUAGAGCACCAAUAAUCCCUAACAUGCAACUUACAGCAGAUGAUGGAGAGUUAUUUUCAUAUUAGUAAGGAAGUUGGAUUAUCUUAUUGUGACUCAUCCGGACAGUGCAUAUCUAGUUAGUAUUGUGAAUCAAUUUAUGUUCUCACCAAGAACCACCCAUUCGACAGUUUUAGAGCAAAAUUUUGUGUUACCUUAACGGAGUUCCAAGGCGUGGUAUACUAUAUGAUAAUCAUGGCCAUUCUCAUGUUGAAUGCUUCUUAGAUGGAGAUUGGGCAGUUUCUAAAAUUGAUUGAAGAUCUACAAUUGAAUUUUGUGUCUUCAUUGGAGGUAAUUUGGUAUCAUAGAAAAGUAAGAAACAAAAUGUAGCAUCUCGCUUAGUGUAGAGUCUGAAUAUUGGUCUAUGGCAUAGUCCACUUGUGAACUUAUAUGGAUACAUCGAUUAUUGUGUGAGAUGAGAAUCAAUAAUUCACUUUCAAUGAAAUUAUUGUGUAACAAUCACGCUGCUUUCAUAUAGUAUCAAAUCCAGUUUUUCAUGAGAGAACAAAACAUAUCGAAAUUGAUUGCCACUUUGUUCGUGAAAAAAUUUAGCAAAACCUGAUAUCAACCAGUCAUGUGAGAACUGAAGAGUAGUUAGUUGAUAUUUUCACUAAAUCUCUAAGUGGUCUGAGAAUUGAUUAUAUUUGUGGCAAGAUGGGUAUGGUUAACAUCUAUACUUCAUUUUGAAGAGGAAUAUUGUAGAUAUGUGAUCUGAUAUUGUAAAAUCAUACAUAUAUGAUUUGAUUUGAUAUUGUAGAUAUUAGAAAAGAUUUGAUUUGAUUUGUUUUGAUUAUAGUAUCAGAUAUUAGAAGAUUUGAUUAGAUUAUAAGUUGAUUUAGAUUAGCAUGAUUUUAGGAUCUAAAUCAACUUAUACUUGUGUAUAUAUUUGUGCAUUGUGUAGUCUAAAAGAAUAAUGAAAAGAGUGUUUUCUCUUCCUUCUUAGUUUACAGUUCUCACUUUUAACGGCUUUAGCUUUUGUAUGAUUAAGCAAAUCAGUGUUAAGUGAAUGUGAAAUAGGUAAACAGAUUAAAUAAAUGAAACAUCAGACUAAAAAUAAUAUCAAUUCCACAACCUCAGAGGAUUAUAGAGUAAUUUGUUUUUUGUUUCCUAGCUUAAUUAAUGAUUGGGUUGUGAAAUUGAUGUAUAGUCGCUAAUGAACUUAGAGCACAUCAAAGCCUUAGAAACUUACCAUACUUGCCUCUUUUGAUCGUUUGCAAGCCUUUGUAGACAUCUCCUUCCUUUUCUUCUUCUUCCUAAGUGCUAUCAUCUUUCUCUUCCAUCUUAUAGUUAGAAUCCUUGUCCAUUUCAGUUGCAUCAGAGCAGCUUUCCUCCUCUUUAUCUUCAUUAGUUUCUUUCUCCUCUUUCUCUACUUCUUCUUCUUCUUUUUCAACCUUGUUAGCGUCAUUUUCUGCUCCUCUUCUUCUUCUUUUCCAAACUCAUUAGAUUUCCCUUCUUCGUCCCAUUCUUCUUUCACCUCAUCAUCUUCUUCAAACCCCUUAGUUUCCUCCUCCUCUUCCUUUACUUUAAAAGCUCCAACUCCUUUCUUUUCACAAGCAUUGUGGCCAAGUAAUAUUACAUCAUAAACACAAUUGCCAUCAUAUUGAAAAACUAAAAAAUCUCCAAGUUCCACAGUAUUGUCCUUACCAAAUUCAGCCCAGCCGUUGAGGAAAAAGAAGUCAUCUUCAAUUCUUCCCACCUAAACAUGCCACUUAUUUCCAUAUCAAUCUCUUAUGUAUGUACUUGGAGAUAGCUUUCAUUUCAUAUACGAUGUAAAUGCUGAUGGGAUUUUCUGCCAAGUGAAAAAUGGCUCAAUGUAUAGCAAGAAUGUAAACGAAUCUACUUCAAAAAGUGCAUAUCUACACAUCUCGUGCAUCAUUAGUAUUGAAUUGAUUGUUACUAGUUUUUUGCUUAAGAUGAUCUUGUAAUUGUCAAAUAGAAACAAGCAAAUAGAUCAUCAGAUGGUAAAAAUAUCGAAGUCUUUAGAAGGAAACCGAUAAGUAAAUAAACAAUGGAUCGGAAGAUUUGCAAAUUGCAACUAGUUUUUCAUCAAGAGAAUCUACAACAGCCUCACUUCAACUUAUCAACCAUGCAUCCAUCACUGCGAAUCAUUUGAUUUUUUUAGCUAUCCAUCUCUAGACAACCCCAUCGAAUACCAAAAUUUCUCCACCUUCCUGUCUUGGGUAUCAGUAAGCCACCUUAUCACCUCAUAUAAACAAAAUUCAGCUGCCUCAAGUUUGUCAGAUCUCCAGUCUACUUUGGCCUAUUGGCACUUGGAAGGUUAAAAUCCAGGAGUUUUAGAUCAUAAUGAAAUUCUUAAGAUAUUGAUAUAUAAGUAAAACUCAAUCAUUUGAUGAUCAGAUCACAAUUCUUAAGAAGAAAAAGUUGAUCAUAGGAUCUAGUAGACUAUAUCAUCAAGAAUCUAUAAUAUGAGUCACAUCUGAACUCAUCAAACAUGUAUCUUUACCAAACACCAAUCAAAAUGUUUUCUAUAUCACAUAGUCCACACCCCAACUAUAAAAUACAACAAGAAUGAAAAUUUAAAAAAAAUUAAAAAGAGAGAGAAUGCUAGCAAUUACCAUUCUUUCUCUAGAUCUAUCAAGGAUGAAAUUUUUGAAAAAGGCACGAAGUCUUUCACCGUCAUGUAGGUUGUUGGUCUUCAACCCUGAUUCUACUGGAUAUCAGUUCAAUGGUAUACACUCAAUCGUCCAAUAGUCUGCAACUCUACUUACUAUCAAUCUUCUAAUAUAGGAGGUUUCUGUUGAACAAAUCAGUAGAAGAUCGACCUGACAUGGACGGUGGUUGCUGAAGCCAACUCCUCUAAUACUAGCUCUUCUUGGUAAGUUUUGGAUGGCAGGGUGAGAAAUUGAGGUAGAUAACAAAGUUCUAAAAAAUGAAUUUGUUGUCACAUUUAAGCUUCAAAAUAGGGGUAAUAUCAAGUCGAGUCAAACUCGAGUAUCACCAUACUCAGAGCUCGAACUCGAUGUCUAGUAGUAGUACUCGGACUCGAACUCAAGUGAGUUGUUGGAACAAAGUUUGAGCUCGGCUAGACGUAAUACUUGAAAGGCUCGAAUUCGACCCGAUAGAGCUUGAGAAGUUGGCGAUCUUGAUAUCAAGCUCGAGUCGUAAAUAUUGCAAAUAAUCAGCCUAAAAAGCUAAUUUAGUUAUUUAUAAUGUAUUAAUUAAAUAUUGCAUCGAAUGCUCAAUAGAGUUUCAUGAACUCUUGAGUAUAUGAUAUACAUACUCGAUCUUGACUCGAAACCUCAAUCGAGUAGCUCGAGCUCGACUCGAACUCAGCAUUGAUUAAGCUCCAAUCAAGCAGUUGACUGAGCUAGUUGUGAGUUCAAGCCAAGCUGCUCGAUUGAAUUGCACCCCUACUUCAGAAUAUUAGAGGCUUCAUUAUUGAUAGGGCAAAAUACACUUUAUCUCCCUGUGGUUCAACGAUUUUGUACAUAACCCCUUAUAGUUUCAAAAAUCAUAUAUAAUCCCUUCAUAAUUUGGAUUAAAGUAUCAAAAUGAUGGAAAUGAUUAUUUGUAACCCAUGAAAAAUGUCAAAAUUACCCUUAUUUAAAAACUAAAUAGCUGAAAUGACCAAAAUAUAUAAAUAUAAUAUGCAUAACACUCUAACCGCGUAUGGUUUUAUAUUUUACUAUAUAACUCUCUUAUGGUUUAGUGGUUUACCAUACAACUCUCUUAUGAUUUUCAAUAUAUAUAAUAUAUAUAUAUAUUAUAUAUAUAUAUAUAUAUAUAUAUAUAUAUAUAACCCUAUGGUUAAUAAAUAAUUUUCAAAUUUACAUAGGGGUAUUUUUGAUAUUUUAGUUGUCUCUUUUAUCAUUUUCACACUUUAAUCUAAACUAUGAGGGGAUGUAUAGCUUUUAAAAAUAUAGGGAAGUUAUGUGAAAAAGUUCUAAACCAAAGGGAAGUAAAGUAUAUUUUGCCCUUACUGAUAUCUUUUAGUCCCAGGAACUUGAUGUCCAUGCUUUUGUCUUGGAUAUCAAUCAAGUGUAAGAAUUCAACUGAGAAAUGGUAGGUUCAUGUUGAAUUUAUUCAUGAUUGCUAGUUUUAGCUAAUGUACCAAGUCAAUCUAGGACUGAUCAAAGAGAUGAUCCCCUAGAUCUCAUACCUUUUCUGGAACUCCUUGUAUGGGUGUUUGAUGGGGAAUUUCGGUGGUCCUAGACAACAUUUCUCAAGACAAUCCAGGGCUAAACUUGAAAUUUGAGAGGAUUAAUUUCUGAAUUUUCAGGUGAAUUGUUAAUCCUUGGUUGAACAACGACAUGCAAUACUUAUAAAUGGCUAGAGACAGGUUGGUUUCGUUCAUAAUAUAUUCACUAUAUAAAUGUAGGCAAAAACUUCCGACCAACACACACACAUAUUGGUGUUGUAUAGUACUCAAAAGUGAUUUUUCUGGUUACUACGUUAUUACCCUUUUAGGCUUUUUGAAGUAUAAAGUUUUAAUAGCAAAUGUUUAAGAAGUAAAUUUUCGUCAAUAUUCAGGUCUCAUUGGGAUAUUGUUAAAUGGUUACUGUGCUGCGAAAAAAAAAUAGAGAGAGAGCAACUUUUGAUGAACAAAAGAGUUGAUGAAAAGGUUACUUGAUCCCGUAAAUAAGGCAUGGAGAUUUGAAACUUUAAACAGCAAACUCUUUUUGUAUUUUAAUGCUGAAAUGAGAAUGAAAAAUUACUAGAUAGUUUUCAUUUUAAACUAUCAAAUGAAAUUAUUUGAUGGUUGAUUACAAAAAAAAAAAAAGAACAAAAUUAUAUGAUGGUGUGCUAGAACUUUCAUGAAAAUAUGAUGCUGCUUACCCAAAAAUCACUUUGUACUACAAUUUAUAUUAUGAAUAAGAUAUGUGAUGUUGCAAGUGAAGUAACAUUUUAUUACUAUUACGUACUUAAAUAGUGGCAUCAUCACUCAUAGAUACUCGAAUCCACCUAUAUAAAUAUAGGAAAAAUGCCUAUUAUAUUGACUUGCCAAAAUAUUUGUUUGAAUAAUUACAACAUUGAGGAGAUAAUUGCAUUAAAAGAUCCAGAGGUUCUAAACAAUUAAACAUAAAUCAAUCUUGAAAUGCAGAUUGUUAUCCAGAUCCGAACAUAAAUAGACAUUUGCAAAUUUGUUAGGUUCUUUCAAUAACAAAUUAAAGUAAACUCCUCCGACAAACAACCUUUUAUUUUCUCCUUUGUACAUUACAACAAACAGAAGAACAACCCCCAUACUCAAUAACCAUCAAGGCAAACCAAACAAUAGCACACCACAUACUUUUGAGUUGAUUUAUUCAACAUUUCUUGUAUAUGCUAACUCAAGUGUUCAAGAUUCGUUUGAAUCUUACUACUAAGAAUUGAUCGUGUAUUAUCAUUGUGUUUUUUUUGGAAGACGUUUGUAUAACUCUUCUGUUAGUACGCUUCCGUGUCACUAAGCAAGAAUGUCUAUGUCAUUAGUAACGCACGCGUCUAAAACUCGUCUCUCUUCCUUCUCUCUAUGACACUUCUAAUCAAAAUCUUCUUUAUCUCUCCCAUGGGAGAGAGAUCAAAUCUAGUCUUUUCCCUUGAGAGGAAGUACUCUUUAUAGUUUUUAAUUUGUCUUAUUUAAAUAAAUUCUCUCCUAAGAUUUCCUAAUGGGAGAUUCUUCUCUCCUAAGAUCUCCUAGUGAGAGUUUCUUUUUUUUUUUUUUUUUUUUUUGAUUGUUCUAGUGAGAGUUUUAUUCUCUUGUGAGAGGUUUUUAGGUUUUAUCUUUGUGAAAUUUGAGAUUUUGUAAAUUUAGAAUCUAGUUUCUUAGAUCUAAAAUUUCUCCAUUAUUGUCAGUAGGCAUGCACUGAUGUAUUGGGUUAGAGUGAUUCAUUCGGAUAGAAGAUAUAUAAGAGCAUUAAUGUUAUCUUUAUUUCUGUUGUUUAUUUAGAUCUAUUAUAUCUAUUAAUUUCAUAUCUAUAUGUAUUGGUGUCAUAUUUGUUUGAUGUAUUUUUUGUUAUUAGUGCAGAUUUGUUUAAAUAAAAUGAUCUUUUCUAUAAAAAAAAAAAAAGCAAGAAUGUCCACAUACAGUCAAGCCCACAUACAGUGAAGGAAGUCUUUUCUCUUCCUUCUUUCUAUAACUUUUCUAAUCAAAAUCUUCUUUAUCUCUCCCAUGGAAGAGAGACCAAAUCUAGUCUUUUUCCAUGGGGGGAAGUACACUUUAUAGUUUUUAAUUUGUCUUAUUUAAAUAAAUUCUCUCCUAAAAUUUCCUAAUGAGAGACUCUUCUUUUCUAAGAUCUCUUAGUGGGAGUUUCUUUUUUUUUUUAGAUUGUUCUAGUGAGAGUUUUAUUCUCUUCUGGAUUUUUUUCUUGUGAGAGUUUUUUAGGUUUUAUCUUUGUGAAAUUUGAGAUUUUGUAAAUCUAAAAUCUAGUUUCUCAGAUCUGCAAUUUCUCCAUUAUUGUCAAAUCUUAAUUUCUUUUUGGAUUUGAACUAGUUUUAAUCAAAUCUGAUUGUCAGCAGGCAUGCACUGAUGUAUUGGGUUAGAGUGAUUCAUUCGGAUGGAAGAUAUAUAGGAGCAUUAAUGUUAUUUUUAUUUCUAUUAUUUUUUUAGAUAUGUUAUAUCUAUUAAUUUCAGAUUUAUAUGUAUCAGUGUCAUGUUUGUUUGAUGUAUUUUUUGUCAUUAGUGUAGAUUUAUUUGAAUGAAAUGAUCUUUUCUAUAUAUAUAAAAAAAAAAGCAAGAAUGUCCAUAUACAGUCAAGCCCCAUUCCAAUGCUAAACCCCAAUUUCACAUAUGUGUUUGGAUUGAGAGAUUUGACUAAGGAUUUAAAAUCCUCUCAAAUCCCUCUAGUUGUUUAUAUUAUUUAGGAGAUACUUGAAUUUAUAAUUUACAAAUUGUUCUAUUAUUUAAAAUAUAUUUUAAUAGUUGGUGUAUUAAAAAUUCAAAUGCCUAUCAAGUAAUCUAAAUAAUUAGAACGAUUUAGAUGAAUUUCAAAUCCUUUGUUAAAAUUUUCAAACCAAAUGAAACUUGUUGAAUUCAAAACGUUAUUUCUUGCACCUCCGGACACUCCUCCACGAUUGAGAAGCAUAUCAACUUACAACUUUUACACAUCAAAUAUCACAGGUCAUUUCUCGCACGAUUUAUCAAAUAAACGGAAAUAGGAACGCCAAUGCUGGAAGGAUUAAGGAAGAUCAUACCUGAGAUGUAAUGCAUUCUACCAAUGAGAAAAAUAGGACAGUCAUUUGCAACAUUUAGGAUUUAAAGAUAGAGUUAGCAAUAAACCUAGCAGCAAAAGAUCAAGAGGUACCAUGCGUUGAACAAAUUGAUCAUAAAGUACAGAAUCCAUAUUCGGAUUACAAACUUCUGAAUAAUUUUUAUCCUAUAAAUCACUUUAUAUUUUCUCCAUUGAACAUUACAACCAAUUCAACCCCGCACUAAAUGCCAUCAAGGCAAACCAGACAAUAUCACACUAAUACGAACCUUUUCUCCUUCCUUAUUCACUUUUUGGUCCUUGAAAGUCUGACACGAUGUGGUUCAUUAAGCCAACAUUGCUAUAGGCUCGUUAAAAGAAGAGACUUUGAUCCUUUUCUGAGUCUCAUCCUCCAGUGUUGUUAAAGAUUGAUACUCAACUUUUCCAGCUAACAUUUUGUUUAAUCCCAAAUAAAGACACACACCAAAAACUAUAACACCAAUUAAGUACCAGCAAAACUGAAUGUUCACUAAUGAUUUAGCCCUUUCAAGGGCUUCAUCAUCUUGGCAACUGACAAUACUGUGCCCAUCUACCGAGUUUAUAAAGCAGCCUUUGGGAAUAUACUCUGGUGUGUAAAGCAUGAUUCCCAUGACCAUCAUCCAAACUCCUUGAAACAAGAUGCUCAGAGACCUUGCGAAGUUAUUCAAGAAACUCUUUGGAUAACCUAUGCCUAAAAGGGUAGUGAAAAAUGAGACAAGUAUGACAAUUUGGUGAAACCAGUGGUAUUGGCCUUCCACACCCAUGUGAUCGGUAGAGUGGAAAUGGAAGAGGAGAAAUUGUUGGGCAAAAGCAAUGGCUCCUAGCAUUAGAGUUAGGCCAUAUUGAGCUGGGGGCUGAAUUUUGUCAAGAAUGAAGGAGAAAAGUGCAUAGAUAAAGAGAGACAGGGCUAUGUUUGUGUGCUCAAAGUUGCGAAGAUGGUGCGAUGGAUGGUGCCAUCAGGAUCCAGUGGUUGGUGCCUGGCAGGACCAACGAAGAGUUCCAUAAAUAUAUAGGCAACGCAGCCUCCCAUCAGGAAGAAAAGCUCUACGUACCUGAUUUUUGAAGUUGGAAACCAUGGCAAAGAUAUGUAGGAUUUUGGAUGGAGAAAGUGAAGCCUCAUAUGGUUAACCAAAUGCCAAAGCCCGAUCAGAAAGAAGCCAAUUCCAGGGAUCACAUGCCCACCAAACUGCCCAUAGCUAGUGCCUUGUCUUGUGUUUUUCUUGCUUAAUUGCUCCCUUGGUUUGUAUGUUUUGUUUUAGGAAAUGCGGUGGAAGGAGGUGAAUGGAAACCAGAUUUCAAUGUAUUCAAAGUGUGCUUAUUGUACUACAUUAGGAGCCUAUAUAUAGGGUAAAAUACAAAGAGUAAAUCUUAUAUACACUGACAGUGUAUACAUUAUCACCGUUGGAUCAAUAACAUAUGUGUAAAAGUUGAAUUUCAAAUUCAAAUUUUGCACAUUUAUCAUUCAUCUAACGCUGACGGUAAUAUACACUGUCAGUGUAGGAAAGAUUAAUUCAAUUACAAAAUGAAAAUAAGAAAAAUAAGCAAUACAAGGAACCUCUUGCUAAUUGAGACAAUCAACUCAAAUUUACAAAAUCAAAUCAAAUCAAGUAUUUAUAAUUUGUACGUAAGGUUUUUUUAUUUUAUUGUCCAACGGCACAAGAUAAGUGGUCUAGUAUCACUCCUUCCAGUAAAGAGCAUUUCUUUUUCAUGCUUAUCUUGUGCCUACACACAAUGAAAAAGGGAAAAAAAGAAAAGAAAAGAAAAGAAAAGGUAUAUAUAAGCAGAUAUUUUAUGGUAAAAAAUCUGAUCAUUUGUUGGUUUCUUGUUUUAAUGUUGUCCAAUUAGUUUAGCGUAGGGGUUGACAGAAUAAAAGACAAGUUGAAACUAUGAAACGGAACAAAACUAUACACAAACAUCAAUGAAUGAGGAAGAACAACAAAUAGUUCAAUUACUCUACUAGCUAAUGGUAAGAAAGCUAGAUAUUUUAAAUAGUUUUUUUAGCUAAUUGGAGUAUUAUCAGUCUGAGAAUUUAAUUACGAAAGGGAAUAAUCUAGUUCAAGGAAUAAGCAAAUUCAGUGAUCAAACGAAACGUUGUUGUUGGGCUCUUUGUUGAUGUAUUAAGUUCAAGACACGUUUGAAACGCUUUUAGGAUUUGCUAAUUUUUCUCGAAAUAUUGUCUUAGCCAAAAUGCCCAAGUGGAUUUCUUAAUAGUUACCGACUUUCCAUUUUUUAAGUAUAUAUAAUUUGUUUUGGUUGGUAUGAAUGCAAAAUCAAGUUAUCCAUCAUACUCAAACAAAUAACUAUCACCCUUAAGUAGGAUGACGUAUGAGAUGUCUUUCAAUAUUCGGAAUUAGAAAUUAGAAAUGUUGUUUAAGAGUUUUGGCUCAGCCACUGUGAAUGAAGUAUCCUUGACAAAAUUGAAUAUUGAGUAGCAAAGUAAUUAAGACUACUAAGGAUGGUUGAAGGGUGAAUUCAAACUUUCAUUGCAAAAGUUUAUGCUAAUUUUCAGUUUACAUCUUGAAAAUCUAUUUGAAACUUUUUGCACCGUAAAUUAUUUCACUUUGGAACAAAAACUACACACAAAAGCUAAUGAGAUGACACGUUUGAUUUGCUAACUCCAUUUCUCAUUGACCAAUGUAAAAGUGAGUAAAAGUUUAGGAUGAAAAGUCGAACAAAUUAAAGUUCUUUGUGCGAAAUGUUCAAAAUUUAAAUUUCAGGUACAAAAUGAGAGUUAGUGACAGGGUCGAGUUUGUGCAAUAAUAAAUACUUACUCAAAUAAAAUACAGAUUUUUGUAUAUAAUCGUGAGCAGGUCGAAUCUAUAGGGAUUGGAAAAAAUUCGUUUCUUAUAGAGUUUAGAGUAUGGGGAAUUUUUAUAAAAAUGGAAACAAUUAAACAACUCAAAUAAAAUAAAUAAAUAAAAAUUAAAUGACAAGUUAUUAAAAUUAGAACAAUAAUGGAUAGACUCUGGCCGAGAAAUAACUUCGGAAAUGAUUCACUCAAUUUAUCAUUAAUGCAAUAAUAAUUUCACUUAUUAACUGAUAAAUAAGUUAUAAUUGCCAAACAAUUGAUAACAAUCAACUUCUCCUUACUGUAUUGAUGGUUAACGUAUGACCAUUAAUCACUUCCCUAAUCAAAAAUAACCCUAAGUACAACGUUACAAUUCAAUUUCUUAAUUACCUUAAGAAUUAGAGAAGCCCUAUUCUAACCAAAUAACACGCUACAAGGUUAUCUUAAAUUAGCAUAUAUGUCUGCCUAACACAAACUCGAUCAUGCCAAUUACCACCAAUUUAAAGCAAUUAAAUAAUUACGAAUUUAAUUAUUCUAAUUGAUUUUAGAUUAUUAAAUUGCAUUAAAUAUCGAGCGCUCUUGAUAUUCAAAUAAAACAAUAACCAUAAAAAAUUAAAUCAAAGAACAUACGAAUAUCAGUAAAAUAAUAGAAAUAAAUAUAAUCAAUUCGAUUUCACAAUUUUAGAUAAACCAAAUCCUCUAUUGUUUUUAACUAGAAUGAGAAGCUUAGUUCAUCUUUAUUGAAGAAAUCGCGGGCAAAAUAGUUGAAUUGAUCACCAAGGCCAUUCUUCGAUUAUUAGAUGACUGAAGAGUAGGAGGAAAAACGAAGGAAACGUUGUUCUCGUUUCUUCCUACCAGAAAAACCAAUAGUCCCCCCGUUAAUCUGGCUUUUCACCCAAGAAAAGAAUGACUGUUGCUUCGUUUCCUAUCUCUACUGAAACUACUACAACUUAUCCAACCAAAGUUCAAAUCCCAAUAAGCCAACAUGUCAUUUUUCAAAAAGUCCUACAAAAUAGCCUAGACCAGUAUUCAACAAAAGUAGGAGGCUAUCCAUUCGGUGGAGUAUCCGACUUUCACUUCUUCAAUUUAAAACGAGAGAUCACGCGCCAAAUCCCAAUUUUUCAGACGUGCAAAGUUUAAGUUUUGACAUGCUUACGUCAAACAGCAUAAAAGUCUAGUGAAAAUCACGUCCUUUUUUGCUCCAAAUCCCUGUGACCAAUGCCAAUUACGAAAAAUAAGUAGAGUUUACCAAUUAACAUAAUAUUUGGUAAAAUAAAAGAGGGAAACAAUAAUAAAAUUAAUAACAAAAUGUAACCUAUCAGUUAGUGCAAAAUUUCUGGGUGCAAACUAGAAUUAAUGUUUAAUAGCAACUUUCUUGUUUACAAAUAUGCAUGUCAAUUUUUUUUUUGGUAGUUAGCAGUUGAACAUCAAUAAUUCUCCUUAGAUUCAUGAGUAUAUGCAUAUCACAACGAAUAAUUACAUCCAAUCCAACCCCUUUUAUGGCAAUUUUGUCUUCCGGGUUUUGCUCAGUUAUUUGUUUAAAACGUUUGGGCAAUCUAUUUUUAGAACAACUAUCAUGUCUUGAUAUGUUAUCUGAAAACAAUACAGUGCACACUUUUUUUGAGCAUUUGUCUGUCUUAAUUCCUUUUUAAUUUUUUUUGGGGACAGAUUGCCCAUCUUAUUUCAUCACUAAUUUUAGUUACACAUGCACAACCCACUUCAGCCAAAUGUUCGAAUUUGUACGUUUGUCUUGGUUUUGUUUGUGGUUGAGUUGCUACAAAAUUAAAUCUUAACCAACCCAGAGCAGCUCAUAAAUAAAUUUGACUAAGAUGGCUUCGAUAAUUCACUCUCUUAAUUAAGUAAUCACAAGCGAGUGCUCCCGAUUUUCAUUUUGGUUUAGAAAUCGUUUUUGUUAAUAAUUGAUUUAGUGGGAUAUUCAGCUUAAUUAGUGUUUAGGAGAAGUUUUUCCUCUUUUGCCAAGAAGAAUGUGUAUUGCUUUGAAAUGUAUUUUCCACUUUGUUUCUUUCUUAAAAGUAAUAUUUCCCACUUGUCUUAGCAAAAUUAAGACCAUAGAUGUCCAAUUCUUGUAAAUCACAUUUGACAUCAGGAACUUACGUAUCAUGAAUGUUAAGAAACAUAAGUUUUUCAGGAUCAUCUUGUCAGAAUCAUGUUCUACAAUUUUCCCUUCUAAUAUUCUCAACUACGCCCUCUUAAAAUUAUCCAUUACAUGAUCAAUUGUCCAACAUUUUUUUUUAAAGUUUUUGAGGCUGUAUCCCAUGGUUAUUUUUGAACCAUACUAACACCAAAAUAUUACAGCAUGCACAUAACAUGGGUUUUUGUUUUUCCGGAUGUGAAUUUACAACAGAAAUUGUGAUUGAUACAUACACCAUAUAUAGAAAGAAACAUAAUACUCCAGUGUUCCCAAUAAACUUAGGCUUUGCAAGUUUAGGAUGUAGUCGAGCUUACUGUAUUUCUUGGUUGUUGUUAUCGAGUGCAAGUAUUCACUAAGAAGUGGCAAGUUGAUGUGGAAUUUAUUCUUGAUUGCUAGUUUUAGAAAAGAGAGAAUUGUAGUUUUGGUUUCAAAUAUUUGGGACGUGACUUCUUCUAGUUGUAAAAGUUUGGAAGAAAGCAAAUGUAGCUCUAAAUGUUACAAUUUCUAAAUACAUUUAGUACUACUGACUGACAGAGUGAGGAGGGAUGAGUUGGCUGAUUUGAAAAAAAAAAAAAUGUAAGUCUCCACUUACACUAAAAAAAAAAGUCUUAUUGACUAAUUUUUAUCAAUUGCUAUUGGACUUCAGUCACAUACUAUUAUGUACCAACAAUUAAUUUUCUAAAAACUUGAAAAAAUAAUUGUGGUCAUAAUUUUUUAGUAAAAGAGGACUAGUUAUUUGCACGAUGAUCACGUGACUAAUUAUUCUCAUUUAGCCAAGAAAUACAAAAAUUUUUGACAAAAAAAAUUGAGAUUAAAGAUUAAUUACUCAUGUGACCAACAUAUGUUUAAUUAGUCAUCUUCUAUUACAGUUUAUGGCUAGCAAUAUUUUAUUAAAUUUUUAAAUUCUUUUAACGAUUAUUUUCUGGUACGUGAUCGGUAGUAAUUGGUAAAAAUCAGUCAUUAGGACCCAAUGUGCAUAGAAAGUGAAAUAUUUGACACUAUAUUUGUAUUCAUCCAAACUUUAGACAUUAAAAGCGCUCAUAUUCCAAAUAUUUGGAACCAAAACUACAAUUCACUCUUUUAGAUAAUAUACCAAGUCAAUCUAGGACUAAUCAAAGAGAUGGCUGCCCUCUAGAUCUCAUAACUUUUCUGGAUAUCUUUACGUGGGUUUGAUGGGGACACUUUGAUGGUCUUAGACAAAAUUUCCUGAAUUUUCAGGUGAUUUUUCAAUUCUUGGUUGAUUAAAGAUAUGCAAUACCUAGCUGCUGAUCACUAAAUAGUAUUGAGAAUGGCAUGGGACAGGUUGAUUUCAUAAAUUAUAUUUUCACUAUAUAAAUGUAGGCAAGAUCUUCUCACCAACGUAUAUGUAUUCGUAUUAUGUAGUGCUCAAAAGUGAUUUUUUUCAUAACUACGUAAUUUUCUCAUUACCCUUUUAGAAUUUAAAGUGCAAUUGGUGAAUUUUGUGGUCAUUUACAUGCUUUUUGAAGUAUAAAAUUUAGUAGCAAAUGAUUUAAGAAGUAAAUUUUCCUCGAUAUUGAGGUCUCAUUGGGAGACUUAUUAAAUGGUUAUUGUGCUAUUAAGAAAAAAAAAUCUCAUGAUUGCACGUGGUGUUAAUUAAAAUUUUUUAUUUGACAGAUAUUUCUGAGUUUUUGUUUUGUGAUGCCAAUCUUUAUCAUUUGGUCUAACGAAUUAUAACAAUUUCAUAGUCCAACUUCUUUUUAUUUUGGUAGAAAUAAGAGGAUUUUAAAAAUAUUUACACGUAUUUGUUAACUGCAGUUUUUUUUUCCUUGGGCUGAACUCCUAAUAAUUCUACAAAACUCAAGGAACAUAAAACAAUAGAUGAUUAAUUACACUCAAAUUUCUGUGCUCAAUCUAAAUCUUUUCUGACCAUCAAUAUUUACUUUGUUGAAAAGGCAAGAAAGGCCAAAACUGUUUCAAUGAUUAGGAAAUUGCCAUUUGGUCCUGUACUUCAAUUAAUAUAGUUCCUCAUCUCUUACAAAUUUACAAUUAACCAACUUGAUCCCUUAUCUCGAAAAUAUCGCUAAUGUAGGACUUUUAACGAUGAACUAGAAAGUUAUAUUGAUCAAGUCAUGUGCACUACACGUGCACCAUUAAAAUACAAGGGAAAAUCAUGAAAAUAGUGUGACAGCCUCACCUCCCCUAAGGCGAACCAAAGGGUUCGGUGGACCGCCUGCCCAACUCUCAUCGGAACUCAGUCGUUCACUUCAGUCUUUAAUCAACACCAGAACAAACCCAUAAGAAUAAAUAUAACAAUGAUCCAAAACUUAAGACAAAACUUAUAUACAUUGCUAUCUCAAAAGGAAAUACAAACGUCGAAUCUACAAAGGUUCUCAAUUCACCAUACAACCAGCCCGUGCCAAGCACUAGGGCGAGAACCAUUACAAAAUCAAAGAACUAGACCAAGCUAGUCUAUACAGAGCUCUCGUCCUUGCUCGCCUUCCCUGUUAAGGAAAACAAAACUAAAGGGAUGAGUUAAAAGCUCAGUGAGGUUCCGAACACAUAGGCGAAGAAUAAGUCUAAUGCAUUCACCAUAUAUAACCAAUAAUUCAAGAUACAAAUACAAGAUAAAGCGAUAAACACAUUCAUUAAAAGAAUACGGGCUCACAGGGAGCCAUAUAUUCGUUCGUUCAUUCAUUCUCCUGUCAUUCCCCCUUAUUCCUCCGGUCAUUAAAAAAAAUGCAUUUUUGUAAGUAAAACCCUCGUUCGUUCGUUCAUUUCAUUCACCCCCUCCUGGAUAUUGGCCAGGCUCCACCAGAAUACAAGGUAAUACUCGAGUAUACCACAUUUAUACCCAGGGUCACCAUAUCGUCGACCGAGUCUGCUUCUGGCUCGAGUCGAUCGGUAACGAAGGGCAGGGUCCAAUUCAGCCAAAAGGCUUACAUCAUGCACAACUAACGUUUCAAUCAUUAAAUCAUUGAAAAUUUCACAUUCAUUUAGGUCGAGUGCGAUAAAGUACACACUCGCCUAAAAACCUCAUUUUGAAAAUCAUUGAGAGCACUUAACACGUUAUCAAACAAUAACACAAGUCAUAAAGUCAAGGAAAAUAUAGCAAACAAGGAACACUCACCUAGUUAUGCAAAACAACGUGCAAAAUAUCCUUCCGAAUAUUACACUCAGUCAUCGAGAAAACCUAUGAUUAAACGAGAAAGAAUAUUACAGUUCAUCUAACACAAACAAUUAGGUGAAAUCGAAGAAACCUGACAAAUGAUGAAUAAAACGUAUAAAAAUGACUUUAAAGUGAAACGAAGGCAUUUGGACCUGUGGACGGAAAUGACUAGGGUUUCAUAAACCAAACGCAAAACCAAACUAAAAGGGUUAAAAUUUCCAACGGAAACACUUGAACCAAAGGCAAGUCGGAAUCCAACUAGAUAGGCUAAGAAAUGUUGUUUUCGGAAUCGUUUAUGUGGUUCAAAAUCGUCUCAUAUUCAAGUAGAUAUUAUAGACUAAAUGUCUUGAUGAAAUUCACUUAAAACCUUACUUGGAAGUAGUUCACUUGUGGCCGAGAAAACCCUAAUUCAUACCUCUAUAUUUGGUAAAGAGUAAGUAAUCAUUUGGAAUUUGAAACUAAAGAGGUAGCAUGUUUUAAAAUGGUAGAACGGUCAUGGUAUUUGCCAAACAUAUAUAUAUAUAUAUAUAAUAUAUAUUAUAUAUAUAUAUAUAUAUAUGUUCAAAUAGAAACUUAGCCCUCGAACACCUCCCGAGCGAAUCGAUGGAAUUGUUAAUGAAAUACGUUCAACUUGACAAAACACAUUUCCAAAACCAUUUUAACUCAUUCUCAUGACAAGAAAAGAAACGGACAGCAUUUCCCCUAAUUUUCUUCACUUUCACCCUACAAUUAAAAACCCAUUCUCAUACCAUUAAUUACAAUCACACAUAUGGUCCAAAGGUAAUAAAACAUGUCCAAUUACGGCACAAAACUCUUCAAUCAAAGCCAAUUAGAGACUCCAAAGCCAACUAUAAGAAAACCCCAAAUCAAAACCCUAGAACCGGAAAUUAUCCCCACAAGCGGAAAUUUUCCGCAAUCAACCGCAAUUAACGUACACAAGUUUCAAUUAACACCAUUUUAAUCCAUCAAUCCAAGGCAAAUCCAUGACUAUCAUAUAAAAUCAGGAAAAUUCCCAAUAAAUCAGAAAAUAAUCCAACUUGACCUAAAACCAUGAAAUCAUUCGUAAUAUAGCAUGAUUAACCCUUACAAACUGCUAAUUAACCAACUUUAGAACAAAAGGAGGUUUCUUAACAACUCACCUUAUGAGUUCAAGAAAGGUAAAAACUUACAACUUCCCCUCCAAAAACAACUCCACUAGCACCUUUAACCCACCUUAGCUAGCACUUGUACAGAGUGGUUUCAAAAUCCAACGGUGAAAUCUCAAGAUUUGAGUGAAAAUAGAAGUUGGAAAAUAAGAGUUUUCUUUCUUCUCUCAAGGCACACGGCUGAGCUGAGGAACAAAUGAAGAUUUUGGCCAAAGUAGGAUAAGAAGAAAGGAAACAGCCGGUCAAAGCUUAUGACCGACUGUGACACGUCACAAUUCGGCCGGAAUCUGGCCGGAUUUUCGGCCGGAUUCUUGGCCAGAUUUAGGGUAGAGAGGAACCAAAUUUUUUUUUUUAAAAACCCAUAACAAUCCGGCCAAGAACUGGCCGGAUUUGCGGCCGAAUUCGACCCUUCAAUCUUUUCGCAAAAUUUUUCCUCUUUUCCAAGUUCGAUUGCCGCGCUCAACCGCACUUCCAACACGUACACAUAUAUACAUAUCGCACACACAAAUACACGAAAUAACAAAACCUUUCUUUGUCGGAAACAAAUGGUUAACAAAUUUUCACUUAAGAGGGAAAGUGAGAAUAAACAAAAGGCUAAAAAAAUAUAAAAUUUUUUAGGGUUCUCACAAAUAGUCCUUCAUAUGUUUGAAAAAUCUUGUUUUAAUCCAUCACAUUUAAAAUGGUAUAAAUAUGGUGAUAGAGCAGUUAUUGGGCAUAUUUUGCAGUGUUAUUUUGGCCUAAUUUUGGCUAUUUACGGUGCUAAGUACUGAGAUUUAACUCAUAUCUCAUAUUCGUAUGAAUUAUAGGUGAUCGGCAUUAAAAUGAUCUCGUGGGGUAGAUUCCCAGAAGACUUGUCGUCCCAGGGCGUGACCACGCCUUGGAAGGUGGACGAAACCGAAAGACGGACCGUGGUCCAUGUGGACCAGGCACAUGGGAUCAAAACUCCAAAAGGGAAAUGGCUUUUGUAGAAUCAAUUGCACCAGACGUUUCCUUCUUUGACUCUUCUUGGACGGCGGUUAUAAAAAGAAAAGGACAAAGCAAGAUUGAGCAUCAUCUACUUUUUAGCCUUAGGUUCUCUUUUUCUACUUUUUUGGAGAAGAUUGGUCAGACGGUUUUCUUUUGGUUUUUCUUUUGUUCCUUCUGCAGCUCUGGGUCAGACAUUGGAGACUUUCUCCGUUGCUGUAGCUUUUGUUUUUGGCUUCUGUACAAUUUUUCCUAUUCGACUUUUGCUUCUACUUUCGCUCCAGGGUACGAACACGAAACCCAACAAAGGGAAGCGAAGCUUUUUCAGCAGUUCCUACGUUAAUUCAUCUUUUUCAAUUCUUCGGCAAUUAAUUGAAUGAAUUCAAUUAAGUCACGCGGGAUUGAUACGAUGAGGAGCGGCUAAUUUCUCCCUCUACCCAAAGGUUGACGCGAGGGCGCGGUCCAUAAUAUCUGUGAGAUCUAAUCGAAUCUUCAUUAUUUCUUCCAAUUUAUUGCUAUUCGUGUGUUUCCUGAAUUAAUUGUUCAUGGGUAUUUUAUUAAUUGAAUAUCAACGGCCGGGAUUUGAUUUAAUUUAAUAGCCUACUGCCACGUUAAUUAAAUAGAAUCCGUAAUUGUUCAUUUAGUUGACACCCGUGGCAACCACCAUAAUUGGCUUUAUGAUGGGGAAAUACAAGAUCUAAUUUAAAUAAACCCUCUUAGCUUGUUUAUUGGUUAGGGUUGGGUUCUUCUAGCUUUAAUGCAAUUGGGUAAUUAAAUUCCUAUGGUCGUACCUAGGGUUGUUAUCUGGUUAGGGAAGCAGUCAAUGGUCGUACCUUGACUGUCGAAAAGGUAAGGAAGAAUUGGUUGUCAGAGCUUAUUGAUAACUAUAACCAACCUAGUGAUGAAUGGGUGAAAUAUCUUUGCAUCGAUGAUCAUUUAAUUGGACCGUGCCUGAGCAGUUGAUCCUUUGGGUGGAAUUUUGUUAAUUGCUAUUUUUAGUGAAUUGUGCUUUGUGAGUUAGUUUUGAAUUUUGUUUGUUUUAUUUUAUUUUAUUUUUAUUUGCCUCCCAUUGAAAAUCCCUCAAUUUCGUUCUACUAAUUUGGAAAGAAAUAAUUUCCUACCUGCUCCCUGUGGAAUCGACCUUACUUGCCAUUGUACGCAAAAUUAGUAUUUUUAUAGACAAAUCCGGUAUAUCGGAUCAAGCAAACUCUUCGGGAACAGGGUGAAUCAAGUAACCCAUUGCACACCUAGGGUCCCUGCUCCAGUACUUGGAUUUGUUCUAUAAUUAUUUAAUUAAGGUGGUAAUUAGGACUUUUUAGUAAUUAUUAUUGCACAGGUUCGGCACCUGUCAAUUUUGGCGCCGUUGCCGGGGAGUUGGCGUUUGGAUUAUUUGUUUCCUUUCAAAUUCAGUUUUUAUUUUAUUUUUAUUUUAUUCUAUUCUUGUUGGUAUUUUUGCUAGUUUAUGCCCCGUUCUUCUCGCACAGGUGAAUUGGUAUACGAUCCUGAGGUUGAGAAGGCAGCGCGUAGGCGGAGGCAAGAGACCAAAAGGCAAAAAGAAGGGCACUUAUUUGCUGCAAACAAGUCAGCAGAAGACGAAGUAAGCAUGGUCAACACCCAAACAUUGAGGGAACUGGCUGCCCCGGAGCUGACUCACCAGCCCUUAUGCAUCACAUUCCCCACUUUGGCUGAGAAUACUGCUUUCGAACUGAAGUCGGGGUUGAUUCACCUCCUACCUUCUUUCCAUGGUCUCUCUGACGAAGAACCCCACAAGCACGUAAAGGAGUUCGAGGUGGUUUGCUCUAGUAUGAAACCUCCUGGGGUCACUGAAGAGCAAAUUAGACUGAGAGCCUUUCCGUUCUCUCUCAAGAAUGCAGCCAAAGAUUGGUUGUACUACCUACCAGCAGGUAGUAUUACCACAUGGGCGCAGUUGAAAAAGAAAUUCUUGGAAAAAUUCUUCCCUGCAUCCCGAGCUGCGAGUUUGAGGAAGGAGAUCUGCGGCAUUAAGCAAUAUCCCGGUGAGUCCUUGUAUGAAUACUGGGAAAGGUUUAACAACUUGUGCACUAGAUGCCCGCAGCAUCAAAUUAGUGAGCAACUGUUAAUCCAAUACUUCUAUGAAGGGCUCCAACCAACAGAUAGGAGUAUCAUUGAUGCUGCGAGUGGGGAGCACUUGCAAACAAGACACCGAGGGAAGCGUGGGAGCUCAUCGAAGCCAUGGCAGAGAACUCCCAGCAAUUUGGCUUACGUGAGAGCAACCCUCCCCGUAGAGUCAACGAGGUGGAGACGUCAUCCCUCCAGCAGCAGAUAUCGGAGCUAACAUCCGUUGUUCGACAAUUAGUGGUGGGAAAUGUGCCCCAAGUAAAGGCCUGUGGAAUCUGCACAAACAUGGGCCACCAUACUGACUCAUGCCCUAUAUUGCAAGAGGAUGGGGCUGAGCAAGUGAACAUGGCUGGAGGCGUGCCCCGCCUCGUAGGCAAUACGAUCCGUAUUCCAACACGUACAAUCCAGGUUGGAGAGAUCACCCCAAUCUCAGCUAUGGUAGUAGGCCACAAAAUGCAUUCUCCAAUCGGCCUCCAGGAUUUCAGCAACCGUGGCAACAUAAGUCUCAACCCUCGUCCUCAAGCUCAGGGAGUUCUUUGGAAGAAAUUGUCAAGAGUUUGGCCAACACUACCACUCAACUUGUCACGACCACCACUCAGUUCCAACAUGACACCAAAGCAGGCAUGAAAGACAUGGAGACUCGCAUGAGUCAAAUGGCAACUGCCAUUAACCGCCUGGAGUCCCACGUCUAUGGGAAAUUGCCAUCGCAACCCGAGGCAAAUCCCAGAAUGUAAGUGCCAUGACAUUAAGGAGUGGCAAGGACUGGAGGAUCUAAGUUGACGAUUCAAAAAGCAAAAGUGAGGAGCAGAUAGAAAAGGAGAAUUGAAGAGGAAGGGCGUAUUCGCAAGAGUCUAAGGUAACAUCUAUUCCUUCGAUCCCUAUUAAAUCUAAUAUAGCUCCUUUUCCUUGCAGGUUGGAAAAGACAAAGAGGGCAGAAAAGGAAAAAGAAAUCCUGGAUGUGUUCCGCAAAGUUCAAGUAAACAUCCCCCUAUUGGACGCGAUCAACAGGUACCCAAGUACGCAAAGUUCUUGAAAGACUUGUGCGUUAACAAAAGAAAGCUAAGGGGUGAUGAAAGAGUGAUGGUAGGAGAGAAUGUAUCAGCUGUACUUCAAAGGAAACUCCCACCAAAUGCGGAGAUCCAGGUAUGUUUGCUAUCCCCUGUAAGAUUGGUCAUUCUAGUAUCAAAAAUGCCAUGAUAGAUUUAGGGCUUCUAUUAAUGUGAUGCCUAAGUCAAUCUAUGAUUCCCUAAAUUUAGGACCUUUAAAAGAAACGGGGAUAAUAAUUCAAUUGGCUGAUCGUACAUGUGCUUAUCCGGAUGGGAUAGUUGAGGAUGUUUUAGUGCAAGUAGAUGGAUUAAUUUUUCCUGCUGAUUUUUAUGUGCUUUACAUGGAUGAUAGAAGUGCCCCAAAUCCAUCACCCAUUAUAUUAGGAAGACCAUUUUUGAGUACUGCCCAAACUAAAAUUGAUGUUAGUAAGGGUACUCUCACGAUGGAAUUUGAUGGAGAAAUAGUCCACUUUAAUAUUUUUGAUACAAUGAAAUAUCCUGUUAACUCUCAUUCUGUGUUUGCUAUGUAUACCACUAAUCCCUCUGUGCAAGAAUUUUCUAAGUUUGCUUAUAGGGGUAAAUCCAAGGUUGCUGCGAACAAGUCCUAUAGGAUGAAAGCAAUUCAUGAGGUAAAAAUGGAGAGAAAAUUUAGGAAAAAAGUUGCACUCAAUGGCCAUGUGGAUCCUGGAGGAGGGCCACCAAUUACAAGGAAAAUUCAAUUACAUCCAGACUAAAGAGUGGUGCUAUGUCUAGCCAAAGACAUUAAAGAAAGGCGCUGCUUGGGAGGCAACCCAAGGCUUCUUUUGUUUUAGUUUUCUUAUAUUUUUGAAGUUUUUGUUAAGUGUUAGUGUCAUUUAGUGGGUUGUUAUUUUGUGACAGGAAGUUGGCAGCUAGACAUACCCACGCUAGGUCAUCACACCUAAGGAAUGGAGUUUUGGAAUUGACGGUCAGACGACUAUAACUUCUAAGGCGUGCCCACGCCUUCCAACCCUUCCGAAAAAGAAACUUCAGUCUUCUCCUUCCUGUUGGUGUUACGUCCGCCGCCACCACACCACCUUGUGCACGCAGCCGUCUCACCUCCUCCGCCUUAGUGUCUCACUUUCUCUCCCCGGUGGUCAGGGAAGUUUCUUUUCUUUUCCCCUAAUACUUCAUUUGUCUUUUCUACAUUGAGGCAAUGUAGGUUUUAGGUGUGGGGGGAUUAAUGGCUUCCAUUAUUUUAUUUAUUUUUUUUCUUUGUUACUCAAAAAAAAAAAAAACAAAAAACAAAAACAAACAAAAACAAAAAAAACAAAAACAAAAACAAAAACAAAAAAAACAAAAACAAAACAAAAUGAAAAAAAAAUAAAAUAUUGUAGUUAGGCGGUUUUUUGGCUAUUUCUAUGCUUGUUAGUAUUAGGGCAUGUUGCUAUGAUGAAUGACACAAUCAAAGUGAGUGGGUAUGUGGUCGAAUAUACUAGCUGUGCAUUUUGUUUCCCUUGGCAGUGUCGUUGAAUGUUGAAUAUGCUGGAAUUGACCCAUUCUUGUAACUUUUGGGGGAGCUUUUGAGCCUUAUAUGAGCACAUUAUUCUUGUUUGCUCUAUUUUUGUUUGAUUGAGUGGGUAUCACACAUGGUAUUGGCAUUCUAGAACUUGCUAGUUUAUACAUGUCAAGCCACAUUUUUGUUGAAUUGGAUGCAUUUGAAAUGAUAAGGGCAUUUAGGAUUUAACCCUCUUUACUAUCUAAAAAAAUCAAGCCCUCAUCUUAUCUCCCAAUAGUGAACCAAUUUGAGCUUUUGUCCUUCGUUUCUGGUUGUUAUCCGUGUUUGUUAACCCAAGCUCUCUUUAAACUUUCUUGUUUACCCCUGUGUUGUCAAGGGAUGCCUGAAUUCCAUCAUUUGUGCAAAGCAAACAAAAUUGGGGUUGCAAGUGCUGUUAGAUUAGGAGCUAUAUGAUGCUAUCCUUGUAUAAAGAAGGGAAAAUUGGAAAAAGGCCACUGACCAGAGGACUUUGGCUUACAGGGCGUGCCCACGCCUUACAGGACUUUCUCCUUAAAAAAAAAAAAAAUCCUGAAGAGACCUCGUGACCAGAGGACUAUGGGCACAAGGCGUGCCCACGCCUUGCGAGCAGUAUUCAAUCAAAAAAAAAAAGAGAGAAGAAAGAGAAAAAAUUGGGGACACUUGUACAAAGGGUACAGCAAAUGAAAACUGCCUUGUUGUGAAACUCCUCCGGUGAAGCACUGUGGUUAUUGGUGGGUUUCGGACAUUCUCUUGACACUUUACCCCCUAUCUAUACCUUCUUAACCCGCCUUUCACCUGAGCCCAUUACAACCUUAUUAAAGUCCCUUUGAUUUAUGUGUUUAGUUCACUUUUAAGUGGUGGAGAUGUGAUGAAUGUGCAAGCCUAUGGUAAUGGCAUUCCGUGAUGUUGAUUUGAGCGUUCCUAGUAUUCAUAUAUAUUCUUUGAAUUACAACAGGUCCGGUGUGCUCUACUUUUGGUGAUAUUGUCAGGGACACUAGAUGCUUGUGUUAGUAUAGACUACUGCAUGACCUCCGCUCUCUUGGUUGUACUUCUGAGCUUUGAAAUGUUGAGGGCAAGCAUUGUCUAGGUGUGGGGGGAUUUGAUAGAGCAGUUAUUGGGCAUAUUUUGCAGUGUUAUUUUGGCCUAAUUUUGGCUAUUUACGGUGCUAAGUACUGAGAUUUAACUCAUAUCUCAUAUUCGUAUGAAUUAUAGGUGAUCGGCAUUAAAAAUGAUCUCGCGGGGUAGAUUUCCAGAAGACUUGUCGUCCCAGGGCGUGACCACGCCUUGGAAGGUGGACGAAACCGAAAGACGGACCGUGGUCCAUGUGGACCAGGCACAUGGGAUCAAAACUCCAAAAGGGAAAUGGCUUUUGUAGAAUCAAUUGCACCAGACGUUUCCUUCUUUGACUCUUCUUGGACGGCCGCUAUAAAAAGAAAAGAACAAAGCAAGAUUGAGCAUCAUCUACUUUUUAGCCUUAGGUUCUCUUUUUCUACUUUUUUGGAGAAGAUUGGUCAGACGGUUUUCUUUUGGUUUUUCUUUUGUUCCUUCUGCGGCUCUGGGUCAGACAUUGGAGACUUUCUCCGUUGCUGUAGCUUUUGUUUUUGGCUUCUGUACAAUUUUUCCUAUUCGACUUUUGCUUCUACUUUCGCUCCAGGGGUACGAACACGAAACCCAACAAAGGGAAGCGAAGCUUUUUCAGCAGUUCCUACGUUAAUUCAUCUUUUUCAAUUCUUCGGCAAUUAAUUGAAUGAAUUCAAUUAAGUCACGCGGGAUUGAUACGAUGAGGAGCGGCUAAUUUCCCCCUCUACCCAAAGGUUGACGCGAGGGCGCGGUCCAUAAUAUCUGUGAGAUCUAAUCGAAUCUUCAUUAUUUCUUCCAAUUUAUUGCUAUUCGUGUGUUUCCUGAAUUAAUUGUUCAUGGGUAUUUUAUUAAUUGAAUAUCAACGGCCGGGUAUUUGAUUUAAUUUAAUAGCCUACUGCCACGUUAAUUAAAUAGAAUCCGUAAUUGUUCAUUUAGUUGACACCCGUGGCAACCACCAUAAUUGGCUUUAUGAUGGGGAAAUGCAAGAUCUAAUUUAAAUAAACCCUCUUAGCUUGUUUAUUGGUUAGGGUUGGGUUCUUCUAACUUUAAUGCAAUUGGGUAAUUAAAUUCCUAUGGUCGUACCUAGGGUUGUUAUCUGGUUAGGGAAGCAGUCAAUGGUCGUACCUUGACUGUCGAAAAGUUAAGGAAGAAUUGGUUGUCAGAGCUUAUUGAUAACUAUAACCAACCUAGUGAUGAAUGGGUGAAAUAUCUUUGCAUCGAUGAUCAUUUAAUUGGACCGUGCCUGAGCAGUUGAUCCUUUGGGUGGAAUUUUGUUAAUUGCUAUUUUUAGUGAAUUGUGCUUUGUGAGUUAGUUUUGAAUUUUGUUUGUUUUAUUUUAUUUUAUUUUUAUUUGCCUUCCAUUGAAAAUCCCUCAAUUUCGUUCUACUAAUUUGGAAAGAAAUAAUUUCCUACCUGCUCCCUGUGGAAUCGACCUUACUUGCCAUUGUACGCAAAAUUAGUAUUUUUAUAGACAAAUCCGGUAUAUCGGAUCAAGCAAACUCUUCGGGAACAGGGUGAAUCAAGUAACCCAUUGCACACCUAGGGUCCCUGCUCCAGUACUUAGAUUUGUUCUAUAAUUAUUUAAUUAAGGUGGUAAUUAGGAAUUUUUAGUAAUUAUUAUUGCACAGGUUCGGCACCUGUCAUAUGGUCCCUCACUUCUAUAAAACAUACCGCUAUGGUCUAAAAUCUCAUUUUGGGCCAAUUUUCUAAUCAAAACUUAAACAAAAUUAUCAAUUUGUGAACUGAAUCACUAAAAUCACCAACCACAUUACUGUUUUCCAGGUCCAAAACUCCAACCAAAAAUUUAAUGAAUCGUGAUAAUAGCAUGAUUUUUUCUUUUAAAAAAAUAUUUGUAUAAAACUAUUGAAUAAAAGAAAAGGCAGAAAAAAGUGGAAACAAAUCCUGUUGAAAUCAAAGGUAUUAUGUUGCUAAGCUCAAUUGUUAGAUUUUGGCUAGUUUUAGACUUUUGAUUUCUUAAGCCUAAAUUAUGGCUUUAAUGGGCAAAAAUGUCAUGCGUUGGGCAUGUGACCUUUUUUUCCCUUUUGGGUCAGAAAUGUUGAUUUUGGUUUCAUAUUUCUUUUGAAAAUAUGGACACUUGAAUAGUGCAUGCAUUUUUUGUUUGUCAAAAAUUGGCGGCAAAUGGGUUUAGAGACCAAAUUGAUACAUUUUGUGUUUGUGAGUACCAUUUUGCAAUGGGGAAGGGUUGGGUAACUUGGGUUGGAUGCUAAGGUAGAAAGGAUUAUCAGAAAGAGAUCCUUAGUUCAAGACCUUUCGCUAAUCAAAAAAAAAAAAAAAAGUACCAUUUUGGUCAGUUCUGAUAUCAAUCAUUUCUUUGUGUGGGUAAGUCUGAUUUCAAUUUUCUCAUCAAAGAAAACCACAUUAAUGUCGCUCGAUGAAGAGGAUGAUUUCCUCUUGUCAACCAUGGCUGGAAGACCAUGUCAUGUGUUCAUCUUUUUUUUUUUUUUUAAACUUUUUCAUUAUGGUUUCAUUUUAUGAGAUAUUUCAGGUAUUUAAAUUUUCCUUUAUGAGAUUUUUUUUAGUUUUUCUUUUUUUAAAUUUAGGUCUGUCAUGGAUUGAAAUUUCACUUUGGUCUAGUAUAAAUCAUACAUUGCACAUGGAAAAUAUCUUAGAAAAGAAAUCAACUUAAUGCAUACUGCUAAAGCAGAGGAGAUUUGGAUUUUUUUCAAAGAAAUAAAACCGAAUAGGUGCAGAAAUUAUAAUAAAACAAAAAUGAUGAUGGCAGACUUUUUCUUUUUCUUUUUUUUGUUGUUAUUUAAAGUGGUGACAGACUUAGUAUUAAGCAACUUUAAGGCUUUAUUAUGGUGAAUGAGACUGGCAACUUGUUAAGCCAGUAAAGUCUAGUAGGAAAUGAUCCACUUAUCAUGGUAUUCAAUUUUUUAUCCAAUAGAAACUGUUGACUUAUAGACAAUCUGUCAAAAAAAAGUUUUUGUUUUUGGUAUAUUAUUGUUGACCUGUAGGCAAUGUAUUCAAUGCUAGCAUAUGGUGAUUUUUUUUCCUUCUUUAUUUUUUUCCCUUCUUUAUAUUAUUGUUGGCAAGUAGACAAUCAUUCAAUGUUAGUAUAUGGUGAUAUUCGUUUUUUUUUUUCAACUGUGAGUAAGGUUAUCAAUAUGGUUUAAGUAAAUUUGGUAGGAAUCUAUUUCUGAAAUAGCAAUCUGAUUACCAUUUUUUUGUAUUUGUCUUUUAUCAAAGCAAACAUAGCCACUUUGUGUAUUGCACAAUAUUAAAAUUCCAAAUAUCAAAACACAGAGUUUACAUAUUUGUAAACAAUCAUUAAUUUCGUGACUAAUGUAUUAAAUUCGUUACAUAUUUUGUCUCUAUUGGCAUCGUUUCACUAGACAGGGUAUGAUCAUCAUAUACGUUGUCUUCAAAUCUCUUCAGAAAGUUGCCCUAUUCGAAAAUUUUCAGAAUUAUGUUUAUUUUUAAUUCCCUGGAUUUUAUGUAUAAUGGAUGGUUUUUAUUUUAUUUUAGUUUAAUUUUAAUUUAGGAAAAAUUACAUUUUACCCCUAUGAUUUAGUAUUUUUUUACAUAACCCCCCUAUGGUUUCAAAAACUAUAGAUAACCUCUUCAUGGUUUGGAUUAAAGUGUCAAAAUAACAGAAUUUGCAUUCCAUAACGGAAUCAACUAAAAUGUCAAAAAUACCCCUAUGUAAAGUUGAAAAUUAUUUAUUAACCACAGGGGGGUUAUGUAUAUAUUUUGAAAAUCAUAAAAGGAUUAUAUGGUAAGGUACUAAAUCAUAAGAGAGUUAUAUGGUAAAAUAUAAAAUCAUACAUUUAUCAUGCAUAUUAUGCUUAUAUAUUUUGAUUACUUCAAUAAUUUUACCUUUAAAACAAGGGUAAUUUUGACAUUUUUAUAGAAUUCGUUACGAAUGAUCAUUUUCGUUAUUUUGAUAUUUUAAUUCAAAUUAUGAGUGGAUUAUAUAAGUUUUAAAACUAUAGGGAAUUAUGUGAAAAAUAGCUAUACCACAUGGGGUAAAGUGUAUUUUGACCUUUAAUUUAAGUAGUUGCAAUUUUAACACCAAGUCUAUUCUCAAGUGGAUAUGCAAGAUAAAUGCAAUGUUUUGAAAAUCGGACCGGACCGGCCGGUUUGACAGGUCGGACCGCAAACCGGUUAUGUCUCCGGUCCGGUUCACUACUAAAGUUGACUUGUUAUAAGAACCGGUCAAAACCAUAAAAACCGUUAGAACUGUUCAACCCGGAUUGACCCAUUGAACCACGGUUUUUUAUUUUUUCCUAAUUUUUUAAAUCGAAUUUAAAAGUCUUGAAAGGUGAAAAUGCAUCUUCCCAACUUUUCUUUCUAACCCUAAUUUCUAAUGACGGCUGCCGCAUACUCUCUCUCAUUCUUAAUCUUUUCUCCAGUUCUCUUUAUUCUUGUUUCAAAUUAAGAAUCCAAAUUCUCAAAGGUAUCGGGCUUCUUAAAUAUGGGGUUUCUUAACUGCAAUUCUCUAUUUUUUCUUGCAAAAGAUUGGAUUAAUCUCACAAAUCUUAACUCUCAAGACAUCGUCCAGGUUAGUUUCAUUUUUUUUUCAUUUAUUUGUUUAUUACUUGGCGUUUGAUAGAUUGUAUGAUUCUUGAGGUCUGCAAUUUUUGGUAGUUUUAUUUUUAUUGUUCGAUUUUUCUUUGAAGAGCAAUUUGUCUAUUUCAGUUUUUUUUUCUUUUUCUUUUGUGGGUAAGAAUUUGAAUGCCAUGAGAGAAAACCAGUGCAGAAAGCUAAUUUACUUGAUCAACUAUUAUGUCACAAAACUCAGGAUUCAAUUCCUAUUUUUGGUAUUGUAUGUGUACUUCACUUUUGUUGAUUAUGUACUGGAAAAUUCUUGAAGUACUUUGCACUAAAAUAUAUAAUUUAUUUUGGCUGCUCUUAUCCAUUAGGAAUACUCAAGAACAUAAUCUUUAUACUAGGCCGACAAACGAUGUUAGGGACACUAUUUAGUGGAUUUUCCAAAAUAUUGCAACAGGCUACACUUGCAAUUUUUGUGCCUAUUCCAGAGCAUGAUGAUCAAAUUGCGUGGCUUGAAAAUUCUUCAGGGAUGUUUACCGUAAAGGAUGCUAUGAAAACAUUCCGGCCCGAGGUACCGCUGUACAUUGAAGUAGUUUAGUAUGGUAUGAAAAUCACAUUCCUAGACAUGUUUUUAUAUUGUGUUUGGUAUGUAACAAAGACUUAGUACGCUGGAUUAGAGGAAAUGCGGUGUUCUCAGUUGGGGAAAAAUUCCUAGAACUCGUGCAAUAUUCAGAUUAAUUGUUCUUAUUCACUGGUUGUAGCAAGAAAAGGGGAGCCUGCAUGUUUGUGAGUUCUCAGAUUGUAAAAAGCCUCCAAAGGAUCCUACAUACAGUUUGCUAUGAUAUUUAUAUUACCUACUACUGUUAGCCUGUUACUUGACAUAGUUGGAUCUUUAAGUGCUUUUAUGUACUCUUUUUCCAGGCAGAAUGUUCUGCGAUACACUUGUUGUAUUCUUCUUCUUCUUCUUCUUUUUUUUUUUUUGUUUUUGUCAAAACAUGUUUAUAGGCUGAGAGGUUAGAUCACUUUCUAUAACACACAAUAAAGAAGUAACUACUAAUUUUGUUGCAAUACAUCGACUACCAAGUUUAUCAAAAAAACAGAAAGUUAUUUGUCAGUGACAAACGGAGAUGAUGCAAACAAAUGUAUGCGUCCGGGAUAUCGUUGUUGCAAAACAGAGGUGCAUGAUAAAAACUACUAAAGAAGCAUGAUAUUAGUCUAAAGAAAAUAAUCGAACUCCUAAACUAGUUAAGAAUUUUGUGACUUCUAUCAUAAUGGAGACACAAAAGUACGUGAAUCUAUUAGAUUUUUCAAUUCCUUUCCGGUUAAAUAGAAAGUUCUGAGUAUUUUGACUUCCGGAAUAAGUUUAUUCUAAUUGUUCUCAUAUUAUAACAUAUUCAUUUGGUAAGCUAGUCUCUAUCUGUUUGUUUCAGAUUUUGACUAUGAAUUAAGGUUGGAUAGGGAGCAAAACCAGUUUGAUUGGUUUUUCUUUUAAAGAGUCUGAUCUCCCUUCCAAGGUAGAUGGAGCAAAGGCAGAGGUCCAAGACCAAGAGAAAGAUGACAAGAGAGAAAAGAUUGAUAGGAACUUAACUCAUCUUCUAUUAAGUGGAUUAAGCUAUUAAUUUUCUAAUAGAUUAGUUGUACUAAUCAAUUACUAUAGCACAUUUGUUGAUUUUUUUGGGCAUACACUAAGAAGCAACACCUUAGUAUUACCAAAAAAAAAAAAGAAGCUUAUAAGAGACUUGUAUUGAAACUGAAAAUGAGCUUAUGCUAUUAAUUCAUCAACUCAUUAUUUAUAGUAAUUACAUGAAAUAAACUAACAAAAUAUCUAACUAACAAUUAUCCUAAAAAAUUUCAACAAAACACUUGAUAACAUAGUCUCCUACUCAACAAAUCUUCUCUAAAAUAUUUGUUAACAAAGCACAUGAUUUUUAGUUAACAAAUAUCCUAACAACAAGAUUUAUUUAACUACUAACUAAAUUAUUCUAAUAUCAAACAUAAUAUAAUAAAAUCUAUAAAAAAAGUUGGCAUAUUUCAACACUUCUUCUUGCCACUUUUGCUGCAGAUUUUGAAUUGCCUUCUCAAAAUUUUGGAUCUUGUCUUGGAGAAAACUUUUAUAAGAAUCUCUGCAACUGAUGAUUAGCCUUGCAAUGAACUUCUUCUUUUGGACUUUCAUACAAGCUAAAGAUUAGUCUUGCAACAAACUCACUUCUUUUGUCUUCUCAUGCCAAAGUCCAAAUAAAAGAUGUUUUUUUAAUUAUUUUUUUAUGUUUCCAAAUAAUCUUCUCAUAGGAUUAAAGUGAAACACCAUUCGACAAUAUUUAAACUUAUAAAAAAAAUAUUAAAUUCUACAUGGUUCUUCAUUUUAUCAUCACCAUCAAAACUUGUAGACUAAAAAACAACAAUAUUAUAAUCAUGAUAAAUAUUAGUAAUCAAUUUGAUACCUCAUAACUUAUCAAUGAUCUCCUGUUGAAUUUUUUCAGGAUCUAAAUUCUUGAUUUCAUCACGUUUUACUUCAAAAUUAUCAAAACCCGACCAAUUCAUAGUGAAACUUUGUCUUUUCAUUUUAAUUGAGAAUAAUUAGUUCUCAAUCAAAUUAUAAGCCAUUAUCCUUGUGAAAACGGCAUCAAAUGAUAUGUGAAUGCUGAUUUUGGAUCUCUAUCUAACUUCAACUCUACGGUCUUUAAUCUGUAUAUCCAUCGGUUUUUCAAAUAUUGACGAUACAAAAUUUGUGUCCACCAUAUCCCAUAGAUUGCUGACUACCAAAUAAGUCCAAAAUUUAAUGGCCUAAAUUUGGUAAGUUUCACCACUAAAAGUUGAAGCAUUUGACAAAAAGUUCUUUCCUAUCAUGGUUUUGAACUUAUAAAGGAUCCUCAUCAAAUGUUCUCACUCUCAAAAAACAACACAGGCAUUAAGACAUAGGCUCUGAUACCACUUUGUUGUUUUUCUUGGGGCAUAAAUUAAGAAAUAACACCUUAGUGUUACAAAAAAAAUUAUAAAAGACUUGUAUUGAAACUGAAAAUAAUCUUAUAUUAUUCAUUUAUCAACUUACUAUUUAUAGUGAUUAUAUGAAACAAGCUGACAAAAUAUCUAACUAACAAUUAUCUUAAAAAAUCUCAACAAAACACUUGAUAACAUAAUCUCCCACUCAACAAAUUUUUGCUAAAAUAUUUGUUAACAAACCAUAUGAUUUUUAGUUAACAAAUAUCCUAACAACAAGAUUUUAUUUAACUACUAACUAAAUUAUUCUAAUAUUAAACAUGGUCUAAUAAAAUCUGUUGAAAAGGUUGGCAUAUGUCAACAACAUUGAUUUGAUUUUGCUUGAGAUUACAGGCAUCAUUAGUUCCAUACUACCAUGUGACACUUGUUUGUACAUUUUUUUUUUUUGUAUCGAAAUGGGACUUCUGCUAACUACUUCUAUUAAAAAGUGAAGCAGGUUUAAAGACCAGAAUUGGUGUGAAAUAAUGUGGGAAUGCAAAUAAAACUAAUUCACGGUUAUGAUAGAGAACAUAAAAGCUAAUAGGCAGUAUAUAUGCUAAACUGAAUUGCAGGAAAGGUAAAAGCGAAUACCAAAGAGUCGAGCGGCCAAAAAAAAAAAAAAAAAAGGACUCCUGCUGCUUUUGGUCAAAAUUUGCUUAACGAUCAAGGAGGUAUGGGACGGUAAAGAAGAAAACAAAAUCAUGUCCUAAUUUAUUAGGACAUGAACUUUCGUCUAUUAUUCUUAACUGCAAGGAGCUGUUGACUACAUUCUAGCCGAAUAUGUUUCUACCAUAACUACAGCGAAGCAAACAAAUGUGCAGACAUCCUAGCAAACUGGGGAAGAAGCAGCACUCAAGACUUCACUUCUUUUGAAUUAUGUCCUAAUUUUGUCCUUCCCUUACUUUUGCAAGACUUAAAGGGUGUUACCACCCCACGGAUGACUGUACUUUAACUUCCACUCUGUAGACUUGGCUUUUACUUUAAUGCAUCUUUAUUUACCAAAAAAAAAAAAUAAAUAAAACAAAAUAGCUUUGGAUUGAAAAUUCUAGCGUUUAAUACUAACAGUGGCACUGGCUUGUAUCUACUUUUAUGCUUACCCAAAAGACUUCUAGUUUCAUGGCCGGAUUUCAUAACUUGUGUCUAGUUACUCCAUAAAUGUACUAUGCAAGUGAUUAAUAUGAUACAACAUAUAUGUAAAAUUUAAAAAUUACAUUACUAACCAUGAAAUUAAAACUAAACUAAGGAAUAUUAUAAGUGGCUUUUAGGAUGGAACAUAUACGCUCAUGAAUUUUAAGUUACUACUCGGACAUACCUGUGGUAUCCUUCAAUAGGAUUUUAUAAUCACUUCAAAAAUUAUAAUUGUCUAACUUAUUUGCUAAGUUUUCCAUAGCUUACAAUUUUUCUUCGUUGUGUUGGAUAUGGUGGGAAUUGAGAGUCCGACAUUGAUUCUGUUGAUGCAGUAUUUUCUUGUUGGUCGACGAAAUCAAAAUCCUUCCUUAUCUCUGACGGAGUUUUUGAGCAUCCACAACUCAUACCAAGGUUAUAAUACCCCGAUGUGUAGUGAUUUCCCAUAUUUGGAUUAAAAUAAGUAGGUGGAGGAUACAUGGGAAUUGGGCAUGAAAAAUUUGGUAGAUUGUGGAAAUUUGAUGGAUAGUUGGAAUUGGAUAAAUUUAGGGGAUAUACAUAAUUUUGCACAUUUGUAGGAAUACCAGAAAAUGGGUAUUUUAGGUAAUUUGAAAAAUUUUGGUGGUUUUGAUUUUGCGAGGAGGAUGAAUUUUCUAUAUUUGGAGCAUUUACAUAUUUGUAAAACUACUAAAAUUCUCAUCCAUAAACAAACUAUUGAAUUUUUGUUAAAAAAUUGUGCAAAGAGGUUGAGGAAAAUGAGUGAGAGAGUAAAAGGAAUAAUAGAGUAGGAUAGUAAGAUAUGAAAGAAAAAGGAAUGUGUUGUGUUUAUAUAGAGAAUUAAAACAUAACCAUUGGAAAAAAAAAAGAACGUUGCUAACUUUUCCUUGCCAAUAUAAAUUUUGUCCGUUGUGACUUCAAAAAAAUUAGAUUUUUAAAAAAAUUGGUCUAAAGGCACUAGUCUACCUGUUACACUAUCAUCAGAAUGAUACGUGUAAUGGAUAUUACACGGGCAUAAUGAAUGACCGUGUAAUGGACCAAUGUCAUGACAGGUAGUACAUGCAUCAUUACACUCCAUUGUGGAUGCCCAUAUACUAACAAAACUGGACCCUCAAAGGCAGCUUUUUGAUGACAAGCACAUGAGAAGUAGAUUUCCUCGAGCAGCCUCUGGAUAGUGCUUGUGGCGGUGCUGGUGCUUUUGACAUUCUGGGCUACAAUGGUGAUGGACUAGGCAAUGUGGAAGAAUAUAUUAUACUGGAAAGAAAUUCACAAAAUAUGGGUGCAGAACUCCUCAAGGGUGUAAAUAUUAUAUUUAUAUCACCCCUGCUUUUACAAUAUAAUUUCUUCUUCCCUAUGCUUUAAUACAUUGACUACUUAACAAAUGUAGAUAUAUUUGCUUAUAAAACUUCUAUCAGUAAGUUUACUUCUUCACGCACAUUCAUCAAUGUCUUAUGAUCACCAGCCUCAAAUGAUUAUAUGGGUUAAACUUUUUAAAAUAUUUAACACCGGCACAACUAUGCAUUGAAAUGAUAAAAUAUUCAAGAGUCUUGGAAGGUGCAACCUAGCCCAAUUAUUACUACUGAUCAGCAAGCUCAACAGUCAAGACUUCUUCCAUUCUUUUGUUCCUAAUUUUUACCUACUUUCCUUCAAUGACCUCUCACACCAAUCAUUCCUCUGUUCAUCAUCUCACCAUUAAUCUCUCAAAUUCCUCCAAUAAAGUUCAGUUUUGUGCCUUAAACCAUAUGCGCAGAGUUUUGUGCCUUAAACCAUAUGUGCAGGUUUGAUUUCUUAAUCUACAAUAGCUUUUGUUUUUAUUAUUUCUACAAUUUACUAAUGUUCUAGUUUGAGAUUUAAAUCUAAUACUGUAUUUGCUUUGAUUUUGCAGUUCUUAUACUUUCAAAGGCAAGUACUUAUCUUUCUUCAUCUUUUUCUUUUGUUUGAUUUUUCUUUUUCUCCAACCUUAUUCUUAGCAUUUUUAGCCGUUGCCUGAGUCUAAGUUUGCCAUCUUUUCUUCAUCUCUCUCUCUCUCUCUCUCUCUCUCUCUCUAUUUUUCCUUUUUCAGUCUUAUCAGCAUUGUUUACAUAGCAUUUGGUUAAACAAUUAGUAGCAAUUUUUUUUCCUUGAAGAAGUUUGUUUUCCAAUUUCGUGGACAAUAUUCAAUGAGAUUGAUACAUAGUGUCAGAACUAUUGUACAAGUUAUCUCUGUACCAAUUUUGGCUUUCUUUCUGCGUUUAUAUCUACUGGUGGAUGCUGCACUUUUUGUUAUCUAGAAGGAUUUUUUCCUUAUAUUUUGUUUUGUGAUUGUAUGUAUUAUAUUUGCAUUAGGGCAGUGGGGAUGUACUCUACUAGAUUUCUAUUUUUUUGCUUUGUAUAUGGAAUAUUAGGGCAAAUUUCACUUUACCCCCUGUGGUUUAGCGUUUUUCACAUAACCCCUAUGGUUUCAAAAGCUAUACAUAACCCCUUAUGCUUUGGAUUAAAGUGUCAAAGUAACGGAAAUAGUCACUCGUAAUGGCGUCACCUAAAAUGUCAAAAAUACCCUUAUGUAAAGUUGAAAUUUAUGUAUUAACCAAGGGGGGUUAUGUGUAUAUUUUGAAAAUCAUAAGGGGGUUAUAUGGUAAAGUAUUAAACCAUAGGGGGGUUAUAUGGUAAAAUAUAAAAAUCAUACGGGGUUGAUGUGUCAUGUAUUUAUAAGGGUAAUUUUGACAUUUUUAGAAGUUCCGUUACGAGUGACUAUUUCCGUUACUUUGACACUUUAAUCCAAACCAUGAGGGGGUUAUGUAUAGCUUUUGAAACCAUAGGAGGGUUAUGUAAAAAAAGGGUAAACCAGGGGGGUAAAAUAUAAUUUACCCGGAAUAUUAUGAUGUUAAAGUUGGAGAUGAAAGCUGUCUUUAGAGUGUUUGACUUCAUGGAGAAAGUUCCGCUGUUCAUACUUUCCAUUUAGCCAGUAAUUCUACUUACUGUUUGGCAACUUUCUCGAUUUCAUAUUACUAGAAAACGAAUUUCUUGUUUCUUGGUCUCAGGCUUGUCACAUUCAUAUACUUUUGUUCAAGAAGUCAAAAUUUGUUAAUUGGCUAAAAGGCUAGAUCACUUCUCUGAACACUGAAUGAAGAAAUAUCUAUUGAAUUUUGUUGCUGAUGCAAACGAUUAAUAUGUACAGUUUUUGUAGAAACACCCAAUCAACAACUAACCAAACAGAGCAUAUAUGUGUGCCUCUUAGGAUGUCAUUGCUGCAAAACAGGGGUAACAUGAACAAAACUAGUAAGGAAUUUUAGAUUAGGCCGAAGGAAAUCAUCGAACUCCUAAGUUGGUCAAGAAUAUGGUGUCUUCUAUCAUAAUAAAGAGACAGAAGUAAGCCAAUCUAGUGGUAUUUUCAAUUUCUUUCCGGUAAAAUAGCGACUGCUGAUUAAUAUGACUUCUGAAUAGGUUUGUUCCAAUUAUUCUCAUCUUACGAGAUUUUCAUUUGGUAAAGUUAUCUUGAUAUAUUAGUUUUUAGAGUUUGCCAUCAAUUAAGGUUGGUAGAAGGAGCAAAACUAGUUAAGUUGGAGCAUCAUGCAUGCUCCCACACAUUUUGAUGGGUUGACGAAACUAGCACGCUUGGGAAGAACAUGAGCAACAUAUAUACCUAAUCAUAUGUUGAAUGAUAAUGAUGCUUGGCAAAUGCUUAUUUCAGAGAGUAAAGCAGGUUAAAACAGAAGAUAUAUGACAUCCCGCAAGUAUUUCUAGUGACUUUCAUAUGUAGUUCAGCCAAAAUCAUUUCAUUGGUCAAGCAUGGUACUAAUGUAGCUUAAUAUCUUAUUUCCACAUUGAGUUUGAUUGUAUUUAAGCCUUUCAAUAUUCCCUUAACUACUGAUGAAUAUUGUUUCUGAUCAAUUCUCAUUUUAUUUCCUGCCAACUGCCAAGUACCCUUGUCCUUGACAUGUAUAGCAAUAGCUAGAUUGUUACUACUGCUACCUUACCUCCUACCUUUAACAUAAUCCAAAUUGCAGAAUAGCAGCAAGGUACUGGAAAUGGAACAAAUUCUUCACACGAAAGGAGGGGAAGAUGAGGAAAGCUAUGCCAAAAAUUCAACAUUUCAAGUAAGUGAUAAAUAUCAGAUAAAGUCUGAAUGAUUCUCUCCGGCCCUCUAUAUAUAAUUGUGUGACUGAUCUCUAAAUCAGUUUCUACCCUUUGGAGAUCAGUGUUUAUGAAUGUCAACCAUGCACUCAAUCGGAGCAUUCAGGGUUUUGUCAAGCCAGCCUAGCAGAGGCAGAGUGCAUAAGAGUAGCAGAUCUGGGAUGUGCAUCGGGACCGAGUAGGGCAAAUUACAUUUUACUCCCCUGUGGUUUAGCAUUUUUUACAUAACCCCAUAUGGUUUCAAAAGUUAUACAUAACUCCCUCAUGGUUUGGAUUAAAGUGUCAAACUCCCUCAUGGUUUGGAUUAAAGAAUCACUGACAGAAAUAGUCACUCGUAACGAAACUUCUAAAAAUGUCGAAAUUACCCUAAUAAAUACAUGACACAUUAACCCCGUAUGAUUUUUAAAUUUUACUAUAUAACCCCCUUAUGGUUUUCAAAAUAUACACAUAACCCCCUUGAUUAAUAAAUAAUUUUUAACUUUAUAUAAGGGUAUUUUUGACAUUUUAGGUGCUCCAUUACGAAUGGUCAUUCCUGUCACUUUGACACUUUAAUCCAAACCAUAUGGGGUUAUGUAUAGCUUUUGAAACAAUGGGAGGGUUAUGUAAAAAACGUUAAACCACAGGGGAGUAAAAUGGAAUUUGCCCGACCGAAUACGUUGUUAACAGUUGAAAGCAUUAUAGAUAGCAUUAAUAGAGAAUGCCAUAACCUGAAUAUUCUUAAGCUACCUAAUAUUCAAGUUUUCUUAAUGAUCUCAUGUCCAAUGAUUUCAACUCCAUUUUCAAAUUAUUGCCUAGUUUUUAUCAAAAACUUGAGGAAUCAUAUGGACGUGGUUCAAGGUCAUGCUUCAUUGCAGCUAUGCCGGCUCUUUUAUGGAAGACUUUUUCCUGACAACUCCAUGCAUUUUAUACACUCUUCUUACAGCCUUCAUUGGCUUUCUCAGGUUCGCCAAUCUCCUGCUUUGUUGUUAUUAACACGCAUUGCUAUGUUGGUAUUUACGGACCCUCACUAUCUUAAUUUUCAUUACUAUCUAUCUAAACCCCUGACUGCCUGAUAUAAUUUUUACAUUAUUACUAUCUGUAAUAGUUUUUGCAAUAGUUUUGCUGUUUUUUUUUCCUGUUCGAUUAAACAUUUGUGUCCUUAUACUUGUCUGUAUCUUACUUUCAGAGUACUUGUGAUGCUACUUGAAUCCUAAUAUGUAACCUUUGUGGUAAAUUAUCUUUGAACUCUUUGAAAAGGUUUGGAUUUAGUUUCCAAACUAGCCAUCACAUAUUUUUUACGUCCUUUAAUGUUGUUCAGCAAAUCAAACUGAUUCCUUGGUGUCAAUUAGAAAAUUAAUAUUCAAGUCUUAGCCUCAAACAUAAUGAAUUCUACAAGUAUACCAAAAGAAUAUGAAAACAAUGCCAAGCCCCAAAACAUGAUACUUAUCAUGUAUUUCUCUACCUCUCUGCUGCAGGUCCCGAGUGGGUUGGUGACUUAGGAAGGGUUGCCACUGAACAAAGGCAAUAUUUACAUAGGUAAAACAAGUCCUAAGAGUGUGCAUGAUGCAUAUUUGGAUCAAUUUGACAGAGAUUUUACAAACUUCUUAAGUGUCCGUGCUGAUGAAUAGGUGUCUGGGGAACACUUAUUUGUGACCUUGGCGACUAAAAUCGAUGGUCCCGUAGCAUAUAACGUUCAGGACUUACUUGGAUGACAAUGAAUGACAUGGUUUCAGAGGUAAUGAUUCAUACACACUCAAUCUCGAUACAAUGUGUGGUGAAAUAUGAUCCCAUCUGGGUAAACUGUACAGGGACUGAUUGAGGAAAAGGCACUCGAUACUUCAACCUUCCACAUUACCGGCCUUCUUUGGAGGAGUAAAACCAUCAUUGAGAAAAAUCGUGCUCUUAAGAUAAGGUAUCUGGACACCAUUCAACUGCGAGUGAUUGGUGCGGAGGCGACAGAUUGCGGGAAGGGCUACGUUUUCAAUACAAACACCAAUGCCAAGUACAGGGCUAGGAUUGAGUGCUAUUUGUGAACCCAUCUUUCAAGCUCACUUUGGAGAUGGUAUAAUGAACGAUUUCUUUAUAAAGUUGGCUGCCAAUAUCUCACAACAUCAGGGAAUGAUGAAGAGCCCUAUCAACAGUCUGGUUCCUUCCCUCUCCAGAACAUGAAAGCGGAAGAUGUAUACUUUGGCUGGAUUAGGUUCAUGAGCAGGCUUAAGUGUGUCGUAUUGGUUUGAAAGGGGUAGAAAUAGUGUCUUAACAUAUAGAUCUAAAUAGUGCAUGAUGCAUAAAUCUGUGGACCUUUUAGAUUAAGAUUGGCUUUGAAUUUAUAUCUGAGCCUCCUUGGUGGGGUUUUUUUCCUUAAUAGUCAGAAAUAAAAUGAUGCGACUUUCCUUGGUGGGGAUUUUUGUGAUUUUAAAUUAAAAAAAUUCAAAUUUUGCCUUUCUUUCCCUUCAUAGCAACAUAGAAUGGAGGAAAAAGAAAGGCAAAUUUUGAAAAUUUUUCUAUUUAAAAUCACAAAAUCAUAGCAAACAUCAUUCUAAAAGAGAUGACUAGUUUGUUUUGUUGAAUCUUGUGAUCAUUAGUAUAAUUUUGUUGCUUAUUUAUAUUGUUAGUUCAUUAAAUGUGAACUUUUGAUUGGUAAAAUAUGUAUUAAUUGUUUCUAAUUUUUAAUUAUUUUUAUUCUUUUACUAUUACAACUUAUUACAUGCAUAAGGAAAUAUUUAUAAAAUCAAAGUUUCAUCUCUCUCCUUAAAGUACUUUUUUAAUGUUACUUUUUCUAAAUUGAUUAAUUUGUUAUUAAACUUUAAUCUCAAGAGAGGUUUGUGUAAUUUUAAAAACUUUAGAGAGGCUAGUAAAAUUGUUAGAAACCUCCGGGAGGUUUAUGAACAUCCCUAAAGAAAACCAAAUGCCUUGGACAGCCGGAAGAGGACCGGUCAGGAUUUGGUUGACGAAAUGAGGAAGGAGAAAUUUUCAGCGAGCUUUUGAAGUCAUUUGAGGCAAGUCUUGUAAAAUUCAAACUUAUUUAGCCCUAUUUUAUGAACUCGGGUUGGUUGAAACCUAAAUCAAACUCCCCAAAGCAUGGUCAAUUAAGUAGUUCAAAAGCUGAAAGCUCUAGAUCACAUUAAAACCUCAAAUCUUAUCUCUCUGCAGGCCAAGCUAGAGUAAUAUAUAUAUGCAUUCUAGCCAGCUAUCUGGGUGACAAUUUAGUAUAGUAAAGACUUUUUACAUGCCUACAAUCCAACAGCUAGCUACCGGUAUUCUUGCCGUCUCAUCUUCAUACUUUCAAUGCUUCCAUUGAUAUGAGAUCCAUAUUCAUGAGAUUGACAAAGAGCAAUCCAGACAGCUUAAACUGGAACCAAGAUCAACCAAAUUGGCUACAGGUCUCAGCCAUGCCAGCUAAAUGGUUCCUUCAUAUGUAUUCCCUGUCUCAAGCAAAUCAGAUCAGAAGAAACCUGCAAAAUACAUGAAAGGUCGAGCACUUCCAUAUGUCUGUGAAAGACAUCCAACAAAGCCUAUUAACUCGAAAGCUGCUGCUUCCUACAUGUUCCAACAAAGCCUAUUAGACACUGACUGUCUUCAAUAUUGAUACAGAUAUUGGAUAAAGAGUUGACAAUGAACAAAGAACACUGUUAACAAUUGGUAAUGGAAAGAUGAUCAUUCCAAAUAAUUACAUAGAUGAACCAAAAAUGGAAUUCAAAAAUUAGCGAGGGCAAUAAAAUUUGCAUAUUGUCAAUGUUAAUAGAAGCAUGAGAAUGAAAGCUAUAUGUCUAUGUAAAACUCGGAAGAAUAGUGAGAUGAUAAUCCUUCCUAUGCUUACAAAGUGAGGUUCUAAUCUUAGCUAGUUUGGCAUAAUAACCCAAGAAAAAGUCAUGAUUGAUAUUCAUGUAUUAAUUCAAAACAAAAAUCAACGGAUUUAGCCUCUAAGUGCUUUCUUUUGAGCAAACGAUUUCUCCUAGUACACUAAAUAUUUAGGACAAAAAUGGACUAGUAAAAGAUAACCUUUUUCAGAAAGAAGCAGCAAAAGAAUGCCGCAAUUCUAUAAAUGUCGGCAAGUAGUUUCCUUCUUCCUUGAAUUUGUUAAGAGUUAAUUGCCAACUUCAUUUCAAUGGCUACGCUGAAAAAAUGCUCAUCUAACCUAGCAGAAUAGACUUGUGGCACAAUAUCUCUAUCAAGUGGAAUGAAGGACCUUGAAAAACUUCCUUGAGUAACAUUUACUA
Molecule: long non-coding RNA, 268869 nt
Filed under: Coffea arabica (coffee)
Lineage: Eukaryota; Viridiplantae; Streptophyta; Magnoliopsida; Gentianales; Rubiaceae
Description: long non-coding RNA (CARA_LNC000044)
Source: RNAcentral